UGAUACUGAUUAACAAACAUUGUAGCCAUUUUAGUUGAACAAAUGCAAAGAUAUAUUUGCACAUUAAAAUUAAAAAAAAAGUAAAUGUUGGUGUAAAGUCAAUCCUGAAAAUGCAAACUCCAUAUCGCUGAAGCUUUGACCAAAUGUUUCAGCAGUGUGUUGGUUUUGCCCAGUACCCUAUGUGUUGCCACUUGUAAUAUUCACACCCCCCUUCCUCCUCUGUGUGUGACAGAUACUGGUGGUGUCUGUGCACCUCAACUAUUUCAUCGACUUAUCGGACACCUAACACCUCUCACAUACUGAAUAAUUGUGUCCACCAAGACUUCCACACAUGGAAGAAAUCACAAAACCCCGAUUUCAUAUGAUUAUCACCCAUUUUAUUGAUAGCUAGACACUGCUGGAUGAUAUCUAGAAUACUUUAGAAUGUGCACCUUAGUUCAGCUGUAACUGCAAGGCUCUGAUAUCAACCACAUCAAAAUUCUGCCUGACCCUUCAUAAAUGAGUUUAAUCUCCCAAUAGAGUAAGUGAAGUGGCUUGGAGCCUUGGAAUCAGAGUAGAGUAUACAGUAACAUUCACUCUGCCCCCUCUUCUGUAAGUGUGUGUGUGAGAGAGAGAACGGUGGUGGACGUGCAUCUCAACUAUUUCAUCAAUCAUCAGACACCUACCACCUGUCCACUAUCACAUAUAUGAGUAACUAUGUCCACCAAGACUUGGACAAUGCACAACUAUUUCAUCAAAUCAUCAGACACCUACCACCUCAUACAUGAAUAACAAUGUCCAAGACUGUGGACAAAUGGAAAUAAACUGUUGAUCUCUUUUGUUUCUACAGGAUUCCGAACCUCAUUUUCGCAUAAUUUUCACCGAUUGCCAGGAUGUUAGCUAGAUAUUGAUCCAAAAAAAUGCAGUACUUUUGGAGGAUCCGAAAUGCACGUGCCAUCAUUGUUGCAGGCUUGUAGAUAUUGGUUUCUUGAAAUACAUCUGAAGAACUGUUCUCUAACAGCUUGUUUGAUAAGGAGACAAAUACUAUUUCUUAGUUCUUGUAUAUUCAAAUAGAAUCAAAUAUACAUUACACUGAUUUUUUUUCCCAUCUCCAAACAGAAAGCUAUGGAAAGUAAUGAGUGAUUAUCCCACAUUGACAACUAAUAGAGAAGUGGAGCGAAAGCUGUAGUAUUUGUAAUGGGCUGAGCUAACUGGGCAACAUACUUACCUGGAUGUGGUCAAUGGGUGAUUAGUAAGACCCAUGGUCUGGGCUUGUGGCCUUUAUUGCACUUUGGAGGGGUGCCUACCUAAGGUUAGCUCAAGUGGUUGAGCCUAUGUCAUAAUUUGUGGUAGAGAGGGCCUGUGUUUGUGUGCCCCCUGCCAAUUCAAAGUAAAAUUUUAUAGCUAUGUGAGUUCAAAUGUGUACUUGGCCCAAUUGAAUCAAAUAUGGUCUUUUUUUUUAUAUAUUGAUAUUGUGUGAUAAAUAUUCUCUUUAUAUUUUUAAAUUAGUGUACUUGUCUGUGCGGUUUUAAACAAAUUAAAAUAUGAUUGAAGAUAUAGUAAUUUAGUACCAUAAUAUUAUGUACAAAUUAUUUGAUAAAAAGAAUUGUGAGAAACAUUCUAGUUGAAUAGGAAACACCAAUUUGAACGUUUGUAAGUGAAUUUGAAAAAGAAAAUAAAAAACAAAUUUAAUGAAGAAAAAAGUUAUGUUAUAAGUAUUAAGUAUCUAAUCCCAUAUAUAUGAUGGAGAAAAAUUAAAGAAUGUUUCAUCAAAUAUAAAUAAAUGUUAAAGAAUAAAAAAUGUAUCAUGAUUAACAAUUAAGUCACUAAUCUUGAAAGAUCGUUUUAAUCUUCUAUUUAGCUUUCACCGAAAAAAGUCGCUCUGCUGCCUCCAUAUUCCCUCACUUCCACUAUCGAUAAAAACUUUAAUAUAGAAUUUUUUUUUACUAAAUAGCCUUAUUAAUAAUAGUUUUGAACUCUGAAUUUGAAUAUUACUACAUUACGAAGUCAUUUAAUAUUAAGAGCAGAAAGAGAAAAAUAUAUAAUAAAAUUCUCUUGAUUUCAUAAAUUGAACAAGUAAACUGAAAUAACUAUUUUUAGUAUAAGUGCCGAGUAAAUAAAAUGGAGGGAGUAUAUUUAUAUAUUUGUAUUGAAUGAUAAUUAAUUUUAAACAACUAUGUUUAGUAUAAGUGUUGAAUAAAAUAAGACGGAGAGAGUAUAUAUAUAUAUAUAUAUAUAUAUAUAUAUUUUGUACUGGAUGAAAAUUAACUUUAAACAAUAUUGAUGUAUUCAUCAUGAAAUGCAAUAAAUAGGAGAAGGUUGAAAAAGACAUUUUGAAGAGUUACAACUUUUCAUUUUCCAUUUUAGUGAGUAAUUGAAUCUCAUAAUUAAGAGAGGUAAAAGAGAAUGACUUUAAUUUUUUAAGCUUCUUGAAAUGAUAUUUCCAUUAAUGAACUACUUCAUUUUAAUAUAUUUUUGUUUUUUAAUUAAAAAUGAAAGGAUGAAUUAGUAAAUAUUUAGAUUUUAUAAUAAAAAUAGAAAUAAGUGAAAUGGUAAAUUUGAGGCAUUUAAAUUCUUACAUAAAGAACAAAAAUAAAUGAAGACAGCAAUAAUUGAUACAUCUACUUUUAUAUAAUAAUAAAUAAAAUAAAAUAUUAAGAAAAUUGUCAUAAAGAUGAGCAAAAAGAACCUGGUAUCAUGAAUUAGCACCCUACGAGGGUGUGUUUAUAAAAAAAUAAUGUGUGGAUAUAUGUACACCAAUCAUGAGUGUGUUUAAUAUUUCAAUUAAGAAAUCUUGAGUUUGCAAUAAACCCAGGGUGUCCAUCCAUCAUGGUUGGGCCAAGUUUUUUUUUUUUUUUUUAAAAGAUAAAUAAAAUCCCUAGCUAAAGAGAAGUGCCACAUCACUUCUCUAAUUUUAUACUAUAUAGAAUGUAGUUUUACAUUCUAUAAUUAUAACCUAACUUAUUAUUAGUUAUCACAAAUUACAACGGUUAUAAUUGUAAACAUAAAUUUUCAUUAACAGAAUUAUCAUAAGUUACAACGGUCACAAAAUCUUUGACUUACUUGCAAGUGUUAAAUUGGUAUAAUUUAAUUAGUUAGUAGAUAAUGAUGUUAUAUAUUAUUUAGUGAAAUGACGGAAAACAUUCAAAAAUAAAUAAAAUGAUCUUUUAGGCCAUAAAGAGGUGUACGUCAUCUUAUAUAUAUAGGUGUUUUUAUAGAUGUUCAUAAGUAUUAACUUUAUGUCUUAGUACUUUCAUAACUUUCAUUGACCUUCUUUAAAAUCAUUAAAAAAAGAUUUUAAAAAGAAACAAAAAAAAUACAAAAUUGAACUCGUUUGCCGCAAAUUCAUAAAAUCAAAUGGAAUGAACUUUUUUUUUCUUUUAUCUUAAAUACGUGAUGAUAGAAAAUUAUUAUUGAGGGGAUUACUACAAUAUGAGAGGAUUAUUACAAUGACCAUAAAAAAUUAUUAUUAAGAAGAUUAACAAAGAGAAGAGUAAAGAAUUGAGUGUAAUUAAGAGGAUUAACAAAGUGGUCCUUUGAAUUUGUGGCAUAACACAAAAUAAAUAGAAUAAAAUUUCACAAGAUCAAAAUUUUUAAAAGUAAUAAAAGAGGAAAAAAGUGAAAAAAUAUAAAAUUUUGAUCAAUUAACUGCACAUUGCCCUCUAAUAGAUCACAAUUAUAUUCAAAUAGAGAUAGCAUAUUUAAAAAGUAAUACUUAUAUAAUAUAAAUAUGUUUUAUAUUAGCAAUAAAAUAAUCUGUGUAUAGAAAGUGCAACAUUUUGUAAUAAAAUCUUGUUCUUGAAAAGUACAUAGAUAUAUUCGAAGAAAUAACUAAUUGACAAUACUAAAAUAAACAACAAUAAGUGCGUGUGUGUAUAUAUAUAUAUAUAUAUAUUAUUUACAAAUCAUUCAAAAAAAAAUUACAUUUCAAAACUAAUUUGAUCAUUUCUCUCGAUGAAUUAAACUUUCUUCUUCAUCAUGACAAUGAAUUGAUAUGAUACUAAUUUGACGAUCUCUCUUUUGAUGAAUCUUAUAUCAUCAUCAAACUUCCUUCUCAGUAUUGAUAAACUUUUGUUUGGCUAGAAAAUUAUUUGAUCAAGUAUUUGUAAGCGAUGCUUUCUCGUGAAGCUCCAUGAUUUUCGGUUACUUACAAAGUGAGCAACCUGAUUUAGUUCUUGAGUUUUUUUGUGACAUAUUAGUUGUUGGCGUAAAAUCAAAUGACAUAGAAAGUUGAUAUUGAUAUGGAUACGGCUUGGUGGUUAAGGAAUCCAUCCCACUGGCCACACACAAAAAUGGAAUUUCCUCGAUUUAAAGGAGGAGAUCCUCGUGGUUGGAUAUUGAAGGCUGAAAUUUUUUUUCGAUACUAUCAAACACAUAAUGAUUUAAAGGUGGAUAUUGAAGCCAUGUAUUUAGAGGGUGAUGCGCUUGAUCUCUUUGCAUGUAUUAAUAGUGAGCGUACACUAUUAUAUAGGGAGGACCUUGUUAAAGCUUUACAAGAGAACUAUGGUCCUACAGAAUUUCAGAAUCCAGAUAAACAUUUAUGUAGUAUUCGACAAUUGGGCACAGUCCAGGAAUAUCGCCAGGAAUUUGCUAAACGAUCUGCCCGAGUCAAGAAUUAGCCAGAACAUUGUCUUUUGGGAGUGUUUCUUACUGGACUUAAAGAAGAACUCAAAGUAGAUGUGACAAUUCACAAGCCCAGAACAAUGUAUGAAGCUAUGAGCCUUGUUGUGGACUUUGAGAAAAAAAUGGGUUCCAAUGGUGGGAAUAAAGGUUCGCAAUGGACAAAUAUGUCAUGAUCCAAUACAAGACAAAUGGGUUCUGCGCGUAACACUCUCCACCAAUCAGCAGGCAACCAACUUAUGUCAUGAACAAAUCCAAAUUCUGCACAAAUAUCUUCUCGUCCUUCUCAGAAUCGUGCUUGGGAUAUAGAGAAAUAGAAUCGCAUAGCCAUCAUUGCAAGACAACAUCUCUCACUCUUAUGGAGACAAAAGACAACAUUGAAGGGGGUGAAUUAGUGGAACAAAUGGCAAGUGACGUUAUUGACAGGAAUGCAAGUACAAAUGACCUUGCUGAAAUUUCAUUCCAUGUCUUUCUAGGUAACACAAAAGGCACAACAAUGAAACUUCAAGGGACUUUAAAUGGACGCAAGGUACUACUUUUGGCUGAUAGUGGAUCAUCCCACAGUUUUAUCUCUAAGAAAAUUGUUCAAGAAUUACAGUUGCUGGUUCACAUUGUGCCCUAUUUUGGAGUCCAGAUCGGCAAUGGAGAAAUCAUAUGUUGCAACCGUCUAUGCCAAAAUCUGGUUGUGAAAUUCCCUAGAUUAACUAUUGACCAAGAUUUCUAUCCUUUCUCUGUUGGACGGGCUGAUUUGGUGCUUGGAAUUAAGUGGCUUGCGUCUUUAAAUACAGUCCAAGCUAACUGGAAUGAAAUGUUUUUGAUAUUUAAUUUAAAUGGGAGUCGAUAAGAAUCAAGUGCACUAGUUGCUUUCCAAUUUUUCUCCAAAGAGGAGGAUACUACAGGUAAGUCUCUACCUGUCGAUAUUCAAAGUUUGCUCCACAACCAAUGAUCUACCACCUUUUUCGCCAACACACCCACUCUAUCCCUUUGACUCCUAACUCAAAACCUCCCAAAAUCCGCCCUUACCGCUAUUCUUACUUUCAAAAAUCAGAAAUUGAAAAUCUAAGUGUUUGAAUUAAUUCAGAAAGGAUUUAUAAGUCCAAGUUCCAGUCCAUUUGCUAGCCCCGUCCUUCUCGUUAAGAAAAAGGACAAUACAUGGCGUAUCUGUAUUGAUUAUAGAGGUAUCAAUCAAAUCACGAUUCCAGAUAAGUAUCCAAUCCUUAAUAUUGAUGAGCUUCUUGAUGAAUUACACGGAGCAACUAUUUUCUCAAAGAUUGAUUUGCGUUCUGGUUACCACCAAAUACGUGUCAAUCCUGCAGAUAUUCAUAAAACUGCUUUCCGUAUGCACUCUGUCCAUUAUAAAUUCACCGUUAUGCCCUUUGGUCUCACUAAUGCCCCUUCUACAUCCCAGUGCACUAUGAAUGAUCUGUUCAGACUACUCAAAAAUUACCUUACUGCCAACGUAUAUUUUACUGGCGAAUCAUACAAAACUCGAACUUAUUAUAAACAUAUUUUAGUACAAACCUUCAGUGCAACCUUUGAUCACAGCUCCCUCGGAGAAACUACCCGUGGAGUUCAUGGAUACUCCAAAAUGGUAAUUAAAAAACUUAUUCCUAUUGAAGAAUGGGGAAUUUCGUCAAUAACUCAAAGAUCUAUGCCAAUGGGACCAAUGGCCCAAACACUUGCCAAUUUCACUUACUGGGAUUAUAUUAAAGCCUUUUCUCAAGUAUUAUAUUAUAAUAAUUAUAAGCACAAACACACUUGGUUCAUAAUAAAAUGCAAAUGAUAGAAGAAUAUUUAUCAGAGGUCCGAGAUAAAUUACUUCAAACUGUUGAGCAAAAUUCAGACANNNNNNNNNNNNNNNNNNNNNNNNNNNNNNNNNNNNNNNNNNNNNNNNNNNNNNNNNNNNNNNNNNNNNNNNNNNNNNNNNNNNNNNNNNNNNNNNNNNNNNNNNNNNNNNNNNNNNNNNNNNNNNNNNNNNNNNNNNNNNNNNNNNNNNNNNNNNNNNNNNNNNNNNNNNNNNNNNNNNNNNNNNNNNNNNNNNNNNNNNNNNNNNNNNNNNNNNNNNNNNNNNNNNNNNNNNNNNNNNNNNNNNNNNNNNNNNNNNNNNNNNNNNNNNNNNNNNNNNNNNNNNNNNNNNNNNNNNNNNNNNNNNNNNNNNNNNNNNNNNNNNNNNNNNNNNNNNNNNNNNNNNNNNNNNNNNNNNNNNNNNNNNNNNNNNNNNNNNNNNNNNNNNNNNNNNNNNNNNNNNNNNNNNNNNNNNNNNNNNNNNNNNNNNNNNNNNNNNNNNNNNNNNNNNNNNNNNNNNNNNNNNNNNNNNNNNNNNNNNNNNNNNNNNNNNNNNNNNNNNNNNNNNNNNNNNNNNNNNNNNNNNNNNNNNNNNNNNNNNNNNNNNNNNNNNNNNNNNNNNNNNNNNNNNNNNNNNNNNNNNNNNNNNNNNNNNNNNNNNNNNNNNNNNNNNNNNNNNNNNNNNNNNNNNNNNNNNNNNNNNNNNNNNNNNNNNNNNNNNNNNNNNNNNNNNNNNNNNNNNNNNNNNNNNNNNNNNNNNNNNNNNNNNNNNNNNNNNNNNNNNNNNNNNNNNNNNNNNNNNNNNNNNNNNNNNNNNNNNNNNNNNNNNNNNNNNNNNNNNNNNNNNNNNNNNNNNNNNNNNNNNNNNNNNNNNNNNNNNNNNNNNNNNNNNNNNNNNNNNNNNNNNNNNNNNNNNNNNNNNNNNNNNNNNNNNNNNNNNNNNNNNNNNNNNNNNNNNNNNNNNNNNNNNNNNNNNNNNNNNNNNNNNNNNNNNNNNNNNNNNNNNNNNNNNNNNNNNNNNNNNNNNNNNNNNNNNNNNNNNNNNNNNNNNNNNNNNNNNNNNNNNNNNNNNNNNNNNNNNNNNNNNNNNNNNNNNNNNNNNNNNNNNNNNNNNNNNNNNNNNNNNNNNNNNNNNNNNNNNNNNNNNNNNNNNNNNNNNNNNNNNNNNNNNNNNNNNNNNNNNNNNNNNNNNNNNNNNNNNNNNNNNNNNNNNNNNNNNNNNNNNNNNNNNNNNNNNNNNNNNNNNNNNNNNNNNNNNNNNNNNNNNNNNNNNNNNNNNNNNNNNNNNNNNNNNNNNNNNNNNNNNNNNNNNNNNNNNNNNNNNNNNNNNNNNNNNNNNNNNNNNNNNNNNNNNNNNNNNNNNNNNNNNNNNNNNNNNNNNNNNNNNNNNNNNNNNNNNNNNNNNNNNNNNNNNNNNNNNNNNNNNNNNNNNNNNNNNNNNNNNNNNNNNNNNNNNNNNNNNNNNNNNNNNNNNNNNNNNNNNNNNNNNNNNNNNNNNNNNNNNNNNNNNNNNNNNNNNNNNNNNNNNNNNNNNNNNNNNNNNNNNNNNNNNNNNNNNNNNNNNNNNNNNNNNNNNNNNNNNNNNNNNNNNNNNNNNNNNNNNNNNNNNNNNNNNNNNUUUUUCAUCAGUAACUUCUUUUAGUAAUUCGAGAACAUUUUCAGCAGUAAGAGUUUGAAAUUUUAAAUCAAGAUCUUUGAAUUGCGCUUGAAGUUUAUACAUCAUUUCAUCAUAAUUGCAAACAUCAUUAUCACAAUCAUUACAUUUAUUAACCUAACUGAGCUCACUAUCAGAAUUAGGUAAUUCAAAAUCAUCUUCAGAAGUAGAAUCAGAUUCGGAAUCAGAGGUAUACAAUAAAUUAUAAACUUGGUCAUGAACUUCUUCAGAAAGUCCUAAGGACUUGAGUUUUUGUAAUUUGCAGUUUGGAGCUAUAUGANNNNNNNNNNNNNNNNNNNNNNNNNNNNNNNNNNNNNNNNNNNNNNNNNNNNNNNNNNNNNNNNNNNNNNNNNNNNNNNNNNNNNNNNNNNNNNNNNNNNNNNNNNNNNNNNNNNNNNNNNNNNNNNNNNNNNNNNNNNNNNNNNNNNNNNNNNNNNNNNNNNNNNNNNNNNNNNNNNNNNNNNNNNNNNNNNNNNNNUGCUCACAAAAGUCUCCUAAUUGGGAUUUUUCUCUGAGUUUAUCAAGCUUAAUUUGUCUAGCUAAUUUCAACUCGUUGCAAAGGGCUAAGCCUUCUUGAGUACAAGCUACAAUAAGCUGACCAUAAGUUUUUUCUGAAUACUGGACUUCUCCAUAAGAUCCUCUAAGAGAUUUUCUAACUCUUUCAGCAAAUAAAGGUGGAAGGCCAUCAAUGAAUUUAGCUUUCCAAUGGUCAUACUUACUUUCGGGUAAAUCCAUAACCCUACUAAGAAAGGUAUCUUUAUACCAUCUAAAUUCGCCUAAGUGUUUACAUAAAGGUAUCUUUAUACCAUCUAAAUUCCCCUAAGUGUUUAAAUUUUAAACCAUUAAGAAGGGUCCUAAUGUUUUCAUACUGAUUAGUAAAUCUUCCUCCAAAAUAUUCAAUAAUUGUAAGCAUAAGGGUAUAGACAGCAUCUGAACGUCCUGCCCGAAGAGGUCGUCCUAGAUUAUCUUUCCCGGGUUUAUCAUUGGUGGCAUUAAAAAUAGCCUCGCGUUUAUCAUCGUCCAAGAAAUUAUCCCACCAGCCUCGAAGUUGGCCAGUAAAUCUUGCAACAAUCAUUUUACAAAUUGUUGGUUCGGUGGAUUGGCCCAAUUUUCUGGCGAAGCAGUGGCUGUGGCAAUAGUAGCAUACAUGGACAUACGAUGGAUAAGAAUAGAGAGUUGUCGGUCAGAUAAUCCGUCAAUAUUCCAUUCAUAAAUGGCUUCUCCACUAUAAGAAGUAUUUGUAUGAUUCCAUUCCCUUUCCUCUAUCAGAACAUCUUGAGGAGUUGGGCGUGGAUAAUAUGCAGUAGACAUACGGGGAAUAUCAACGUAUUUCUUUUCCGGUUGUUUCUUAAUCAUACCUUUCAGCUUAUUUAGCUUGGAAGAGAUUACAUCUCCAGUAUUUUGAGUAGACUCAAUAUUAUCAGCAAAAUUAGACUCAAGAUUUUGUACAAAAUCAUAAGAAAUAUUAAGAGGUUGAAUGUUUAAACGAGAGAAUUUUUUAUCUAAGAGUUUUUCUAAUUGGUCUAACUGAGAAACUUUUUCAAAUCCUUCUAUUUCAGGAGGUCUUUGAAUACAAGGUUUUGAUAAAAUAUAUCCUUCUUCAUCAGUGAUUUUGGAAGUAGAAGGAAUGUUAGAGGAAUUCAUCUGGGUGCUAAGUUUGUUAACUAACUCAAUUAAUUCGUCAAGUUUUUUAUCAAGAGAGGAAAUGUGUUCUCCUAAAACCUUAACAUAAAGACUCAAAUAAUUAUUUUGGGCGAUAAGGUUAUUUAUUUCAGAAACAGUAAUUUUUCCCACAUCUUCACUGACAAACUUUUGAAAAGCAGAAAAAGUCAUGCCAGUAUUAUUGGGCAAUAUAAAGGAAGACUAGGAGGAUAGAGUGCUUGAGUAAUUGUGCCAUCAGAAUGUUGAUAAGAUCUUUCGAUUAUUUUGACAUAUGACGGUAAAUAUGCAGACAUGAACCAUGGUACAAAGAAAAUAAUUUUAUUAUGUAAAGCACAAAUUUCAUAGAAUUCUUCUGAAAUAUUUCGUAAUUCAUCAGGAGUAUAAGUUUCAAAAAAUCAUGUCCGAAAGGUUUUCCAUUUUUCAGAAUAAAAUUCUUUCUGAAUAUAUUUUCUUGCCUGAGAACCAGGACUAAAACCAAUAAGUUGUAUGAUCAUGGUUAAACAGAAUUGAUGUCAAAAUCCAUUUCAGAUGGGGUAGGAUUUUCAUUAUCAAAAUCUUGAACUAUAUUAGUUUAGACAUGAACCAUGGUACAAAGAAAAUAAUUUUAUUAUGUAAAGCACAAAUUUCAUAGAAUUCUUCCGAAAUAUUUCGUAAUUCAUCAGGAGUAUAAGUUUCAAAAUACCAUGUCCUAAAGGUUUUCCAUUUUUCAGAAAAAAAUUCUUUAUGAAUAUAUUUUCUUGCCUGAGAACCAGGACUAAAAUCAAUAAGUUGCGUCAUCAUGGUUAAACAGAAUUGAUGUCAAAAUCCAUUUCAGAUGGGGUAGGAUUUUCAUUAUCAAAAUCUUGAACUAUAUUAGUUUUUGAGUUGAUUUUUAUCUUUUCUACACCUUUAGGUGUACUAUGCGAAUUUGCAGAAUUAAUAGUAUGCAANNNNNNNNNNNNNNNNNNNNNNNNNNNNNNNNNNNNNNNNNNNNNNNNNNNNNNNNNNNNNNNNNNNNNNNNNNNNNNNNNNNNNNNNNNNNNNNNNNNNNNNNNNNNNNNNNNNNNNNNNNNNNNNNNNNNNNNNNNNNNNNNNNNNNNNNNNNNNNNNNNNNNNNNNNNNNAACUUACAUCGAGGAUUUAGAGUUGAUAAUAAUCGAUAGUAUAUGCGGUAAGAUAAUCCUAUUAGAUCAGAUCCAGGGGCAUAAUCAUAUCCAUGAGUUUUCACAUUUAUGGUUAAAGCAUGAAGAAUAUUUACAUCAGUUAGAGAUAAUUGUAAAUUUGGCUGAGUAUUAAAAUAUACAGGACCAUAAGCAAGAGUAGAUUCAAUAGACCCUAUUAAGGAUUUUCGAAAAUUUAGAUAUCUAGCAUCACGAAAAACAGCUAAAAAUGUUUCAGGGAGACCCUUUAGGGUUAAAGGUCGAAAGGCAAUUUGUACUAAGCCAAUAUGCAUAUAAUUAUAAUUACGUUUAAAAAUAUCAAUAUCAUGCUUAUUUAGGAGUUGAAUAGUCUGUUCAUCAGCAUUUAAAGCAAGAGAUUGUUCAGUUGUUUUAAUAAUUUGUUUAUGUUUUAUUUUAUCAAAAAAUCCAUAUUCAUAUAUGGUUUUUAAUUCAACUUUUGGAAUUGUCCUUUUAUUCAGUAGAUCCAUAUCUUGAGGUAAAUCUACCUCUUCGAUUUUUGUACUUUUAGUACUAACUUCUUCCAUAUCCAUAGUUAUAUAAUACAAUACAAUAUAAUAUAAUAUAAGUUUUAUAUUAGCAAUAAAAUAAUCUUAAUAUAAAAAGUUCAACAUUUUAUAAUAAAAUCUUAUUCUUGAAAAGUACAUAUAUAUGUUAUAUUUGAAGAAAUAACUAAUUGACAAUACUAAAAUAAACAACAAUAAGUGUAUAUACAUUAUUUACAAAUCAUUCAAAAAAAAUACAUUUUAAAACUGAUUUAACCAUCUCUCUCGAUGAAUUAAACUUUCUUCUUCAUCAUGACAAUGAAUUGAUAUGAUACUAAUUUGACGAUCUCUCUUUUGAUGAAUCUUAUAUCAUCAUCAAACUUCCUUCUCAGUAUUGAUAAACUUUUGUUUGGCUAGAAAAUUAUUUGAUCAAGUAUUUGUAAGCGAUGCUUUCUCGUGAAGCUCCAUGAUUUUCGGUUACUUACAAAGUGAGCAACCUGAUUUAGUUCUUGAGUUUUUUUGUGACAUAUUAGUUGUUGGCGUAAAAUCAAAUGACAUAGAAAGUUGAUAUUGAUAUGGAUACGGCUUGGUGGUUAAGGAAUCCAUCCCACUGGCCACACACAAAAAUGGAAUUUCCUCGAUUUAAAGGAGGAGAUCCUCGUGGUUGGAUAUUGAAGGCUGAAAUUUUUUUUCGAUACUAUCAAACACAUAAUGAUUUAAAGGUGGAUAUUGAAGCCAUGUAUUUAGAGGGUGAUGCGCUUGAUCUCUUUGCAUGUAUUAAUAGUGAGCGUACACUAUUAUAUAGGGAGGACCUUGUUAAAGCUUUACAAGAGAACUAUGGUCCUACAGAAUUUCAGAAUCCAGAUAAACAUUUAUGUAGUAUUCGACAAUUGGGCACAGUCCAGGAAUAUCGCCAGGAAUUUGCUAAACGAUCUGCCCGAGUCAAGAAUUAGCCAGAACAUUGUCUUUUGGGAGUGUUUCUUACUGGACUUAAAGAAGAACUCAAAGUAGAUGUGACAAUUCACAAGCCCAGAACAAUGUAUGAAGCUAUGAGCCUUGUUGUGGACUUUGAGAAAAAAAUGGGUUCCAAUGGUGGGAAUAAAGGUUCGCAAUGGACAAAUAUGUCAUGAUCCAAUACAAGACAAAUGGGUUCUGCGCGUAACACUCUCCACCAAUCAGCAGGCAACCAACUUAUGUCAUGAACAAAUCCAAAUUCUGCACAAAUAUCUUCUCGUCCUUCUCAGAAUCGUGCUUGGGAUAUAGAGAAAUAGAAUCGCAUAGCCAUCAUUGCAAGACAACAUCUCUCACUCUUAUGGAGACAGACGACAACAUUGAAGGGGGUGAAUUAGUGGAACAAAUGGCAAGUGACGUUAUUGACAGGAAUGCAAGUACAAAUGACCUUGCUGAAAUUUCAUUCCAUGUCUUUCUAGGUAACACAAAAGGCACAACAAUGAAACUUCAAGGGACUUUAAAUGGACGCAAGGUACUACUUUUGGCUGAUAGUGGAUCAUCCCACAGUUUUAUCUCUAAGAAAAUUGUUCAAGAAUUACAGUUGCUGGUUCACAUUGUGCCCUAUUUUGGAGUCCAGAUCGGCAAUGGAGAAAUCAUAUGUUGCAACCGUCUAUGCCAAAAUCUGGUUGUGAAAUUCCCUAGAUUAACUAUUGACCAAGAUUUCUAUCCUUUCUCUGUUGGAGGGGCUAAUUCGGUGCUUGUAAUUUGUUAGGACCGAAAUAAUUAGGUGUCAUGUGGAAGCUAGCAAAGCAAAUCUCGAAAGAUGCCACGUAAGAAGAUAAAUGAGAAAUACAUCAAACGAGACACAAUAAUUUAACGUGGUUCGGUCAAUCAACCUACAUCCGCAAAAGGAGAUGAGCAAUCUACGAUAUAAAAGAGAGUACAAACUGUCAAGAGAGACAACCUCACAUAAUUCACUUAGAAUAAAAAGAGGUUUACACAAGUGAUAUUGCAACACUUAUCUCACAAAGUCUCCCCCCAAACGAAACUCUCAAACCCCUAGGACUACAUUGUGGAUGCUAAUAAACUAGAAGAAAAGAGCCUCUAUUUAUAGAGUCUAUAACCUUUUCCUAUAAGAAUAAGGAUUAGCCAAAUAUGGAGAAUUUAGGUUUUCUUUAUCCUAAAGGGAAACUCAAUUAUGGUACCUAAAGGAAAACCUAAUUAUGGUAAGAAAGUCAGGACAAACACUGAUAAUUCUCCACCUUCUUCACGUAGUCUUCAUGAAAUUCAAUCUCCAUCUCCAAAAUCUCCUCCAUUAAAUUUUUGUCUCUACACAGAGUAACACUCAAACCAGAAUCUUCAUUAUCGUCAAAUAGGUUGCGACUAAAACUGAAUCAGCCAAGAUGAACACCCGAUUUAACCUCACUUUGAUACCACUUGUUAGGACCGAAAUAAUUAGGUUUCAUGCGGAAGCUAGCAAAGGAAACCUCGAAAGAUGCCACGUAAGAAGAUAAACAAGAAAUACACCAAAAGAGACAAUAGUUUAACGUGGUUCGGUCAAUCGACCUGCAUCCAAAAAGGGAGAUGAGCAAUCCACUAUAUAAAAGAGAGUACAAACUGUCAAGAGAGACAACCUCACACAAAUCACUUAGAAUAAAAAGAGGUUCACACCACGUGAUACUGCAACACUUGUGUCUCACAAAGUCUCCCCCCAAAAGAAACUCUCAAACCCCUAGGACUACAUUGUGGAUGCUAAUAAACUAGAAGAAAGGAGCCUCUAUUUAUAGAGUCUAUAACCUAUUUCUAUAAGAAUAAGGAUUAGCCAAAUAUGGAGAAUCUAGGUUUUCCUUUUCCUAAAGAGAAACUCAAUUAUGGUACCUAAAGGAAAACCCAAUUAUGGUAAGAAAGUCAGGACAAAUACCAACAAAAUUAAGUGGCUUGCGUCUUUAAAUACAGUCCAAGCUAACUGGAAUGAAAUGUUUUUUAUUUUUAAUUUAAAUGGGAAGCGGUAUAAGCUUCAGGGGGUUCCACCUGAAUCAAAUGCACCAGUUGCUUUCCAGCUUUUCUCCAAAGAGGAUGACACUACAGGUAAGUAUCUACCCAUCGAUAUUCAAAGUUUGCUUCACAAGUUUGAAUCAAUUUUUGAAGAACCUAAUGAUCUACCACUUUUUCACCAACACACCCAAUCUAUCCCUUUGAUUCCUAACUCAAAACCUCCCAACAUUCGCCCUUAUCGCUAUCCUUACUUUCAAAAAUUAGAAAUUGAAAAACAAGUGUUUGAAUUACUCCAGAAAAGAUUUAUAAGGCCAAGUACCAGUCCAUUUGCUAUCCUCAUCCUUCUCAUCAAGAAAAAGGACAAUACAUGGUGUAUGUGUAUUAAUUAUAGAGGUCUCAAUCAAAUCAUAAUUCCAGAUAAGUAUCCAAUCCCUAAUAUUGGUGAUCUUCUUGAUGAAUUACACGGAGCAACUAUUUUCUCAAAGAUUGAUUUGCAUCCUGGUUACCACCAAAUACAUAUCAAUCCUGCAGAUAUUCAUAAAACUGCUUUCCGUAUGCACUCUGUCCAUUAUAAAUUCACCGUUAUGCCCUUUGGUCUCACUAAUGCCCCUUCUACAUCCCAGUGCACUAUGAAUGAUCUGUUCAGACCACAUUUGCACAAAUUUAUUCUCGUAUUUUCUGAUGACAUCUUGAUCUAUAGUCAGAGCAUUGAGCAACAUAUCAAUCACUUGCAACUUGCUCUCCAACUUCUGAGGGACAAUCAUUUUUAGGCCAAAACUUCUAAAUACUUAUUUGGACAGCUUCACAUUUCUUUUUUGGGUCAUGUGAUUUUAGAAAAUGGGGUUAGUGUUGAUCACGAUAAUAUUCAAGCAGUCAUGUAGUGGCCAGUGCCAACUAAUGUGAAGGAAUUAGGUGGAUUUCUUGGGUUAACAGGUUAUUAUCGCAGAUUUGUGAAGGGUUAUAGGAUGAUGGCUCGACCACUCAUUGAACUUACCAAGAAAAAUGCUUUUCAAUGGUCGAUCUCCAUUGAAUAUACUUACCAACUUCUCAAGCAAGCUUUAAGAACUAUUCCGGUACUAUGACUUCCAGAUUCCACUCAACUACUUGUGGUGGAAUGUGAUGCUUCAUCAGAAGGAAUAGGGGCUAUUCUUCUUCAGGAUGACCAUCCGAUUGUGUAUUUUAGUAAGGGACUUUCUUUUUCUAGUCGUUUAAAGUCUACCUAUGACCGGAAAUUGCUUGCUCUUGUUUUAGCUUUGCAGAAAUGGAAACAUUACCUCUUGGGCCAUCAUUUUUAUGUCAGAACAGAUUGUUGACGCCCAAAUUUGGCUCUUCGUGCCUAAAAUUAAUGCUUUCAGGCUUUCUGAUCGUUAAAGGGCACAAAAUGUAAUUUUUUUUACAUAUUUUUAGAUUUUUUAACAAAUUAUUGAUAAUCGUCAUUAUUUUAUAAUUUUUUCAUCAAUUUUUUUCAUAUUUUUAAUUUUACAUAAUUUAUUAAUAAUUAUCUUUAAUUUCAUAAAUUUUAGGAUUUUUAUCAGUUUAUUAUCAUUUUAAUAUUUUUGCAUAGUCAUCUGCAUACGCACACAACAUAGCAUUGUAUAUCGUUAUCGUACAGUAUAAUUUUAAUUAUUUUAUAGCAUAACAUUUUUUUCAAGAUAAUUAUAUUUUUUAUUUAUUAUAUAUAUAUUUUUUGUAAUUAUAUAUCGGUAUUCAUUAUUUUAUAUGUUUUUUAAUACGACCUGCAAAAGCUGAGUCGGAUCAAUUAUUUCAACACACAGUACAAUAAUAAUUUGGUGUCUUUAUCACAUUAAUACAAAUAAUAUUAAACACAUUAAUACAAAUAAUAUUAAAGUAAUUUUCUUUUUUAAAUACACAACACAAUAAAUACACAAAAUAAGCACAUACACGACAUAACAUCAAAUUUUUUAUAAUAUUUUUAAUUAAUUAUAUUUUUUCAAUAUUUUCAACAUUAUUUAUAUUUUUUCGUAAUUUCAAAUUAAUUUUUUUUAUAUUUUUACGAUUCACAAACACUGAAUCGGAUUAAUUAUUUUUACACAAUAUAAUAUAAAAUAAAAAAAGGGGAGAGAAACAACACAAAAUAAGGGAAGCCACAAGACAUAUUGAGACUUUUUUCUUUAAAUAUACACUCCACACAAUUACACACACUAUACACACACAUAAUCCACACCCCAAAAUAUUUGAUCUCCUUCUCUCUCUCAACCUCCCGCCCCUCUCUCUCUACUCCCUCUCUCACUUAUUCUUUUUAAAAAACUUAAACCUCAUCACCACCGGUGGACCACCGUGAAGCUUUCCCUUCCCAUACUUCCCACACCCCUUAUAUCUCUGCCACCACAGCUCCAGCCGGCAAAAAUCCGACGCCUCAAGCUGCCAGCCACCAGUCCAACCACCAUCCCCUUUCUUUUCUCCCCCCAAUUUUCCUCUCUCCGACGCCUCACUGUCGACCGCCGGAUUUAAUUGUCAGACGACUGGCGACCACAAAUCGCUACUGCUCCUUGCCGCCUCUUUCUCUUUCCCCUUUUUCUCCAUUACUGGAGGAAAUUGUCUCGUCAGAGAAAUGGCUAGAUCUAGCCCGAUUAGUGCUUCUCCAGCGUUGCUUCGGUGAAGCCCGUUGAAGCAACGUCGGCAUUAUAAUUGUUCAAAUUUUUUCUUUCUUUAAUCUUCGAUUAUUAUGUUGAUUAACUAUUAUUUCUCUCAGCAUUUCUCCAUUAUAUGUUCAUGGAUUUUGUUGUACUGUUUUUUUUGAAUUGUUGUUGACAUUUGGUUGGCUCCGUGAAUUCCGGUGAACCUUUGACAUUGUUGUCAUACCAUUAUUGUAAGUUUUUUGUAGUUGUUGUUGUGGUCUGGCUCUCUGAUUUUUUACUGAUUCUGCAUUUUUUUGGUGACUAACAUUUUUCCGUUUGAUACUACAUUGAUAACGAACAAGAAAGACUAACACUUGGCCAAUGAAAUUAUCUCUCCGUCUGGAUAUUUGAGGCCACCCCAUUACAAAAGGCGGACUUUAUUUUUUAAAUUUAUUAUUUUAUAUUAAGGGCCGAUACUUGGCCGAUGAAGAAAUUUUUGGUCGAUUUUUGAGGCCUUCAAAAAUAAAAAGACGGAUAUUACGUUUCUAAAUACGUACUAAAAUAAAUAAAUUUGGCCGAUGACGAAAUUUUUAUUACAACGCAAAAGAUUUUAGGACUCGUAUCUUGGCAAGACGAUUUAGGACGGUCAAUAAAUUGACCAACCACUUCGUAGCCAUGGCGUAGCUAAAAUUUAAUUCGAGCCCAUCUUUUAGCAAAAAAUAUAUUUUUAAAUACAUGUAUGCACACUUACCUUUUAAAUUUAUUUUGAUAAUUAUUUAUUUGUUACUAAUAUUUUUAUUACAUGUGCUUGUACAAGUUCUCGAGAAUACUCGUCGGGAAUGAUCUCCAGAGAAGAGCUUGAAUUUUUUUUUUUCGUAUUUGUAUUCUCUUUUAUUCUUAUCAUUGUACAAAUAUUAAUUAUAGUGAAAUCUUUAUUUUUGGGGCGCUGGGCGGGGAUGUUCUUUAUUUAUACAAUCCUUACUACGCGUUAGGCAAAUUUAGGCUGUUAAUAUUUAUAGUAAAAUUAAUUUAGAUAUUUUAUUAAAUAAUUCACACUUUUUACACUAAAAAGAAUUAUGUAAUUUUUUAUUUAAAAACAAAAUCUUUUACUAUUCAAUCUUUGCCUUUCUUUUUUAUAUAUCCUUACAUACGUUUGUUUAUACAUCUUUACGCGCGUUUAUAUAUAUAUAUUUUGCAAUAACAUAUGUGUUAUAUUAUUUUUGUAUUUGCAAACAUUGAUUUUUCUUUUUCUUUUUUAAUAAUAAACCUAAGUUUGGUCGGGAACCACAGUUGUGGAUUCUGAAAGAUGCCUAGCCCAAUACCUUCGAAAUAAUUUGAACCCUUACCUUGAAUUUAAAUUGGUUUCGUAGAUUAGAAUAAAGUCAUACUUGUUAGAUAAAUAAAUAGGUUUCCUAUUUUUCCUUAAAAUUAGGUGGAGACUCUAUCCAAAAUUUAUUCUUUUAGAGUCCAUUAUAUCGUGCUCGUUUUGACCCUAGAUAAAAAUCGGGUAUGACAGUUUGGCGACUCUGUUGGGAAUUCAAGGUUCUAACCAUUACAGUCUUAGGUAACUAUUUAUGUUUUUUAUACACUGUUAUUUACUUUUACUUAAUUGUUUUGAUUUAUCUUGUUUAUGUGGCAUAAGUUAUUUUUUUUAAAUUAUUUGUAUAGAUUAUUUAUUUAUUUAUUUAUCGCUUUAUAUAAAUUGACAUUCUGUUCAUAUUCCCUCCAUUUUGGAAUACUGACACGCACACACAUUGUCCAUGCGGAUUGUACACUGUACUUUCCCAAAAAAUUUUCAAAGCACCUUAUUUUUUAGAGUCGGCGCAUGCAUGGGGUGAGCGGGAGUUUUAUUUCCGUGGGACUACGUGCCUUCUGAUAUAGGAAAUUCAAGUCCGUGUCUGCCCACUUUUAGUCAAUAUAGGUUAUAGCUAAAAUACCACCUUUUAGGUGCAUGCAUCAUUAGACAGCUCUAUGUUCAAAGGGUUCCCAACCCAAGUGACAUAUUAUUAUAAUUUUUGUACAUAUUUGAAGGAUUAUUGUGUCUGUACAUAUUUAUUUGCUCUAAAUUUGUUAUACGGAUUAGUUAAAAGAUGCACCUUAGCAACAUCGCCACUAGCUGCGUAUGUUUGAACUAUGUUUUGACCUGAUUCUUGUACUGACAAGAUACGUAGGCAACCCUGCAUUAGAGUUUGGUCUCUUCACUAUUUUAGAAUAAUUUCUCCGGUGUUCAAAACUGGGGCAAUAUUCUGAAAUAGUUCAAAAUGCUCUCCAGAUUCUUCAGGAGCACAACCAAUAACUCCCAAAUCCAAACCUUAAUUACAUUAGUGCCUAGCCAGCCUACUUUUAGAUACUCACCUAAUUUUUGUGCUAGAAUACCUAGCCUUUUCUUUUGAACUCCGUAACUCAUUAAAUUUAUGGCGUAUCAAUCCUCACUUUCAAAAGCAAUGGUUCAAUAUUUUUUCAGUUAUAAUAAUCCUGCUAAAUGCGGAGAAAUAAUGUCAUAAUUUCUUCAAUGUCUGACUUUUUUUAAUCUUGUCAGCAUACUGCAGUUGUGUCAAAGCUCUUCCCAGCUUUACAUCCAUUUUUUCGAUCAUUUGAUCAGAAUAAUUUUGAUGCUAAAAGUUGUUCUUUCUUGAUCGUCUUUCACAUUAUUUUUAUGAAUGACCAUCAAUUUUUUUUGCACAUACAUAUUUGUAAAUUUUCCUAAACUACGCAGACCUGAUUCUUGUUUUCACAAGAUACGCAGGCAACCUUCAUUUGGGUUCGGUCCCAUUCUUUUUUAAAAAAUAAAAUAAAAUUGACUUAGUUGGUACCAAUACAGUUAGGAGUAUGGAUGAGAAAGAACAAAUUGGUAUGAUGAAAAGGGCUGACUUCAUGGUAAACCAUAGAUUCUUUUGGUACCUUUUAUCACACCUGAGUACCACUUGAAAAAUUCUCUUGCAUAAAUAUAAGACAAGAACGAAAUCAACCUCAUCGUUUUAUGCGCAUUGUGUGGUGAGCUUUAGUUUAAUUUGUUGCAUUGCAUUGUUGAUCUAGAACUUGACCUAAAUGUUCACUGAGGCAAAAUUCUGAGUUACGCUUGGUUUAGGAAAGGAUUGUAGGCUUUCUUUGACCCGAUUGAGCAUUUUACAGCCCACCAAAUGACAUUUAUCCCUAGCACUCCCUUAUUUUGAGCUUAAAACCUUUUCUUCGGAUAACUGCAUAUGAACCUAUUCUUUUUUGAGUGCUUACAUGCACUAUCCCUCUCUUGGCCCUACCUCCUUGAGUGCACUAAAUACGUGUAAUUUGUGGAAAUAGAUUCAAGAUCAAAGACACAAAAUGCAAAAGAUAUAUUGUCCUAGAUGAACAAAAAUGAAAAACGACUUCAAAAGGAGCAAAGCCCCACAAAAAGAAAAGAAAAGGAAUAAAUAAAUAAAAAAUAUAUAGUUUCUUGGAAAAAUAGGAGAAAACUCCAACAUAAGAUUCAAAAGAAGUCAAAGAAAAUACAAAAACAAGGGACAACGAGGCACAAUAAAAAAGAUCAAGCGUCAAAGCACAACAAUAUUGAAAGCACAAAUACUGUGUAACACUCAUUGAGGAAUUAGUCACUUCCAUCCCUAAUAUUAUCCUACCUGUCCCCAAGCCUACAUUACAAGCCAAUAGCAAGUCCUACAGGAUCCUAUUCCAAGGGUUCUCACAUUUGUGGAUACUUAUAUGAAGGCCAAGCCUAUGGUAUCAUAAUUGCAUGCACUGAAUUUCUUUCUAAGUGUGAGUGUAUUUCUCUAGACGUCCCCAAAUUCAAAAAGAAAUUACUUAAAUAUGUGAGAAAUAGGACUUUCUUUCCGGAGAGGGCACUUGAAACAUGAGAAUAAGCAUAGCUCAAAAUCUUUGUUUGAAGUAAGACGAUCAAAUCUUGUCGGUACUUAGGUAUGUCUGAGGUAUCACUUGAAACUGUAGGAGUUACCCUGAAGUCGAUCUCGGUUAGUCGGGAAAGAAAUGGAGAAUUCUUAUACACUACUAAUUAUUGGUAUCAACCGAAGUCAAGACAAAAAUGUGCAUUCUUAUCUCUCAGCACUUUUUAUCAAGAAAGUAUAUAUAUAAAAAAUUCUUUCUUUUUUUUCAAGACAUCCAUAUGGACAUUUUUCACCUUUAGUUUAAGGAACCCACUUUCACAUGCAUGCAUUUUUUUUAAUUUUUAUUUAAGGCUUUUAAUUUUCAAAUACGAAUGUUUUGCCUUUUUCUUUCAAGCACAUACCUUUAAAUACCAAUAUUUUAUUUUUCAGCCAGACGCUCAUUUUUGAGUAUUUUAUAUUUUUUAUAGCUCCGUCAGUCGAGAGGCUAUUACAUUUUUUCUCCCAAGUCAAGAGUUUUUUGUACAUCAAUAGCCUCACUAGUUGAGAGGGCUAUUAGAUUUCAGUCAACUCACUAGUUGAUGGCCUCAGUCUUCGUAAAUAAUUGGAGACGACAAUCAACAUAGUCAUCGUAGACAAUCGAAGACAACAUUCAUAACAUAGUCUUUGUAGACAAUCAGAGACAUCAUUUUAUCAUCAAGUCUCCGUAGACAAUCGGAGAUAUCAUACACAGUCUUCGUUUAUAAUCGAAGACAACACUCAUGACAUAGUCUUCGUAGACAAUCGGAUACAUCAUUCAUUACAUAGUCUUUAUAGACAAUCAGAGACGUCAUUUUAUCACUACUCUCUAUAAACAAUUAGAGAUAUCAACAUAGUCUUUGUAGACAAUCGGAGACAUCAUUUAUUACAUAGUCUCUAUAGACAAUCAGAGACGCCAUUUUAUCAUCACUCUCCAUAUACAAUUGGAGAUAUUAACAUAGUCUUCAUAGACAAUCGAAGACAACAUUCAUUACAUAGUCUCUGUACACAAUCAGAGAAGUUAUUUUAUCAUCAAGUCUUCGAAGACAAUCAGAGAUAUCAUACAUAGUCUUCGUAUACAAUCGAAGACAACAUUCAUGACAUAGUCUUCAUAGACAAUCAAUGACAUCAUAAAUGACACUGUCUCUAUUGACAAUCGGAGGUAUCAUUCAACAUUAAUGUCCGUAGACAAUUGGAGAUAUCAUACAUCAGUCUUCAUAGACAAUUGAAGAUAACAAUCAUUGUCAGUCUUUGUAAGCAAUCGGAGAGGACAAAUCAACAUCAAUCUCUAUAGACAAUUAGAGAUGUCAUCCAUCAGUCUCCAUAGACAAUUGGAGCCAUUAUCCGUCAGUCUUCGUAGAUAAUCGAAGACAAAAAUCAAUAUUAGCCUAUAUAGAUAAUUGGAGAUGUCAUCAAGUCUUUGUAUACAAUCGAAGACAUCACCAUUCAACAUUAGUCUCCAUUGACAAUUGGAGAUGUCAUCCUUAAGUCUUCAUAGACAAUUGAAGACAACAAUCAGCGUCAGUCUUCGUAGACAAUCGGAGAUGAAAAUCAAUAUCAGUCUCCAUAGACAAUUAGAGAUGUCAUCCAUUAGUCUUCAUAGACAACCGAAGAGGAUAAUCAACAUCAGUCUUCGUAGAUAAUCUAAGACACCCUUCAUCAACAUUAGUCUUCACAAUCGAAGAAGCCAAUAAGUAUUAGUUUCCAUAGACAACCGAAGACAUCGUUUAUGACACAGUCUCUGUAAACAAUCGGAGGCGUCAUUUAUCAUCAAGUCUCCGUAAAUAAUCGGAUGUAUCAUACAAAGUCUUCAUAGACAAUCGGAAGUGAAAAUUAUCCAUAAGUUUUCAUAGACAAUUGAAUACGACAAUUAACAUCAAUCUCCAUAGACAAUUGGAGAUAUCAUACAUCCAUCCCCAUAGACAAUUAGAUACGUCAUCAAGUCUUUAUAUACAAUCGAAGCUAUCAUCAUUCAACAUCAAUUUUCAUAGACAAAUGAAGACGACAAUUAACAUCCAUCUCCAUGGACAAUUGGAGAUAUCAUCAAGUCUCCGUAUAUAAUCAGAGGCAUUUUUUAUUCAUUACAUAAUCUUCAUAGACAAUCGAAGAUAAUUUUAAUUCAUCACAUAGUCCGUACCUAAUCAGAGACAUCUUUCAUUCAUAAGUCCCCGUAGACAAUCGGAGACGUCAUUCAUCUUCAAGUCCCCAUAGACAAUGGGAGACGUCAUACAUCCUUUCAGUCAAAAUACAAUACACAAUAAUAAGAUAUUUUUUUCCUUACUCAGAAGACAGUAUCAGCCAUAAAUCAUACACUGGGACAAAUUUUGAGAGUUGCCUCAAAAUUUAUCCUAUCUUUUCAUUUUGAACUACAAUGACCUGAUUCUCGUGACACUCGAGAUAUGUAGGAAGCUCUGUACAGAAUUCAGUCGUCACAACCAUAAUCAUUCUUUCUUCUCAAGAAGUACACAAUCUUGCAUCCCCAAUAUCUUACAGCUCGAUACUGAGGCAAUUUUGAAUGAAGAAUCGGGAAUAGAUGAACACUCCUCUUCCCAAAUAGUCCUUCUUUUUAUAAUCAUCGUCACAUGGUCUCUCACUCUUAAAAACAGGGCGAUUCGCCUAAUCUUUUGAACUACACCCGACAUGAACCUCAUAUAAUUCGAGGUGUGUAGGCAACUCUAAACUAGGGUUUGAUCAAUUUUUUUAGGAAAAAUAAUUUUUUUAUCGAGCAAAAUUGUCUAUACAUCAACGUUUUCGUCUGAAGACUUCUACAUCGUCUUCAAACGAAAAGGGAUUGUUGUUGACACCCAAUUUUGGCUCUCCAUGCCUAAAAUUAAUGUUUUUAGGCUUUCUAAACUUUAAAGAGCAAAAAAUAUAAUUUUUUUUACAUAUUUUUAGAUUUUUUUAACAAAUUAUUGAUAAUUGUCAUUAUUUUAUAAUUUCUUCAUCAAUUUUUGUCAUAUUUUUAUUUUACAUAAUUUAUUAAUAAUUAUCUUUAAUUUUUAUAAAUUUUAGGAUUUUUACCAGCUUAUUAUCUUUUUAAUAUUUUUGCACAGUCAUCUGCAUACGCACACAUCAUAGCAUUGCAAUUCAUUAUUGUACAAUAUAAUUUUAAUUAUUUUAUAGCAUAAUAUAUUUUUUCAAGAUAAUUAUAUUUUUUAUUUAUUAUUUAUAAUUUUUUUUGUUUUUAUAUAUCGGCAUUCAUUAUUUUAUAUGUUAUUUAAUACGACCCACAAAAGCUGAGUUUAAUAUAUUAUUUCAAUACACAGUACGAUAAUAAUUCGGUGUCUUUAUCACAUUAAAAUAAACAAUAUUAAUGUAAUUUUUUUUUUCCUAUUUUCUCCACUUUUUUGAUUUUCCCACAUCUUCUUUCCAUCAACUUUCCCUAAUUUAAGGGAUAUGUUGGAAGAAAAAAAUAUAUUUGAUAAAUUUUUUUAAAUACACAACACAAUAAAUACACAAAAUACGUAUAUACACGACAUAACAUCAUAUUUUUUAUAACUUUUUUAAUUAAUUACAUUUUUUCAAUAUUUUCAACGUUCUUUAUAUUAUUUCAUAAUUACAAUUUUUUUUUGUAUUUUUAUGAUUCACAAACACUGAAUCGGAUUAAUUAUUUUUACACAAUAUAAUACAAAAUAAAAAAGGGGAGACAAACACUACAAAAUAAGGGCAGCCACAAGAUAUAUUGACACCUUUUUCUUUAAAUAUACACCCCACACAAUUACACACACAAACACACGCAUAAUCUACACCCCAAAAAUUUGAUCUCCCCCUCUCUCUCAAUUUCAUGCCCCUCUCUCUCUACUCCCUCUCUCUCUUCUUCUCUCUAAAAAACCAUAGCCUCACCACCGGCGAACUGCCGCCGGUGGACCACCAUGAAGCUUUCUUCUUCCCUUACUUCCCAUACCUCUCACAUCUCCACCGCCGCCGUUCCAGCCGGCAAAACUCUAACGCCUUAAGCUGCCAGCCACCAGUCCAACCCCCACCCCCUUCCUUUUCUCCCCCCAAUUUUUCUCUCUCCGAUGCCUCACUGCCGACCACCGGAUUCAAUUGCCGGACGGCCGAUAUCACAAAUCGCUANNNNNNNNNNNNNNNNNNNNNNNNNCUUUUCCCACCAUUAAUGGAGGAAACUACCUCGUCAGAGAAAUGGCCAGAUCUGGCCGGGCUCGUGUUUCUCCGGCGUUGCUCCGGUGAAGCCCGUUGAAGCAACGCCGGUAUUAUCGCUAUUUAAAAUUUUUCUUUCAUUAAAAUUCGAUUAUUAUGUUGGUUAACUGUUAUUUCUCUAACCAUUGCUCCGUUAUAUGUUCAUGGAUUUUAUUGUACUAUUUUGUUUGAAUUGUUGUUGACAUUUUGGUUAGCUCCAUGAAUUCCGGUGAACCUUUGACAUUGUUGUCAUACAAUUAUUGUAAGUUAGUUGUAGUUGUUGUUGUGGUUUGGCUCUAUGAUUUUUUACCGAUUCUGUAUUUUUUUUCGUGACUAACAUUUUGCCGUUUGAUACUACAAUGAUAACGAACAAGAAAGGCCAACACUUGGUUAAUAAAAUUAUCUCUCCGUCUAGAUAUUUGAGGCCACCCCAUUACAAAAAAACAAACUUUAUUUUCUCAAAUUUAUUAUUUUAUAUUAAGGGACGACACUUGACCGAUGAAGAAAUUAUUCAUCGAUUUUCGAAGCCUUCACAAAUAAAAAGAUGGAUAUUACAUAUAUAAAUACGUAAUAAAAUAAAUAAAUUUGGACGAUGACAAAAUUUUUAUUACAACUCAAAAGAUUUUAGGACUCGUAUCUUGGCAAGGCGAUUUAGGAAGGCCAACAAAUUGAGCAACCACUUCGUAGCCAUGGCGUAUCUAAAAUUUAAUCCGAGCCCAUCUUUUAGCAAGAAUUAUAUUUUUAAGUACAUAUAUGCACACUUACCUUUUAAAUUUAUUUUGAUAAUUAUUUAUUUGUUACCAAUAUUUUUAUUACAAGUGUUUGUACAGGUUCUCGGGAAUACUCAUCGGGAAUGAUAUUCAGAGAAGAGCUUGAAUUUUUUUUUUCGUAUUUGUAUUCUCUUUUAUUCUUAUCAUUGUACAAAUAUUAAUUAUAGUGAAAUCUUUAUUUUUGGGGCGCUGGGCAGGGAUGUUCUUUAUUUAUACAAUCCUUACACGUGUUAGGCAAAUUUAGGCCGUUAAUAUCUAUAUUAAAAUUAAUUUAGAUAUUUGAUUAAAUAAUUAACACUUUUUACACUAAAAAACAUUGUGUAAUUUUUUCAUUAAAAACAAUAUCUUUUUUUUAUUUAAUCUCUGCCUUUCUUUUUUAUAUAUCCUUAUAUACGUUUGUUUAUACAUCUUUACGUGCGUUUAUAUAUAUAUAUUGCAAUAACAUAUGUAUUAUAUUAUUUUUGUAUUUGCAAAUAUUGAUUUUUCUUUUUAUUUUUUAAUAAUAAACCUAAGUCUGGUCGGGAACUACAGUUGUGGAUUCUGAAGGAUGCCUAACCCAUUCCCUUCGAAAUAAUUUGAACCCUUACCUAGAACUUAAAUUGGUUUGGUAGAUUAGAAUAAAAUCAUACUUGUUAGAUAAAUAAAUAGGUUUCCUAUUUUUCUUUAAAAUUAGGUGGUGAAUUUAUACAAAAUUUAUUCUUUUAGAGUCCACUAUGUCAUGCUCGUUUUGACCUUAGGUAAAAAUCGAGUAUGACACAGAUCAUUAUAGCCUUAAGUAGCUCCUUUCCCAGCGUAUUACAACUGAUGAGCAACAAAGAUUAUUGAUGAAAUUGCUUCCCUUCGACUUCACAAUUAUCUAUAGAGCAGGGAAAGACAAGUUGGGGGUUGAUUCUCUUUCAAGGAGGCCAUUGAAUGUUGAAUCUUGUUGUUCCUGUACCAUUGGAUUUUUCAAACUGGCAAGAUUCUCUCCAAGAAGAUACAUAUACUCGUGAGAUUAUUCAAGCAAUCUACCAAGACCCUUUCUUGCAACCAGAUUUUCACAUGGUGGAUCAGAAACUUUAUUUCAAGGAAAGAUUGGUUAUUCCAGAUCAUUCUUCUGUCUGACAAAAACUUAUCUCAGAAUCACAUGAUACACCUUUUGCUGGACAUGGAGGAUAUUUUAAAACCUUGAAACGCCUUUUAUCUAACUUUUUCUGGCCAAGGAUGAAGUAGGAUGUUAAACUCUUUGUGUAGAACUGUAUGGUUUGUCAACAGGUCAAAUACCAAGCUUUGGCCCCUGCUGGACUUCUGCAACCAUUGCCUUUACCUGAUAGAAUAUGGGAUGAUAUCUCACUUGAUUUUAUUAUAGGACUUCCCAAAUCUGGUGGUUAUGACACAAUUUUGGUUGUCGUAGAUCGUCUUAGCAAGUAUUCUCAUUUCAUCCCACUUUCUCACCCAUAUAUUGCUAAGACUAUUGCUAAUAUUUUUUGCAAGGAAAUUAUACGUCUCCACAGCAUUCCUCGGUCCAUCUUAUCUAAUCGAGGUGCUAUCUUUCUCAGUGCUUUCUGUCAAGAGCUUUUUUGACUUAGCCAAACAAGAUUAAGAAUGGGUACGUCUUAACAUCCACAAUAUGAUGGACAGACCGAGGUGGUUAAUAGAUGCUUGGAAUCUUAUUUGCCAUGCUUUGUUAUGGAGCAACCUCAUACAUGGAGUCAGUACUUACCAUGGGCAAAAUUUUCUGUCAACACAGGUUACCACUCAUCCAUAGAGACUAUUCCAUUCAAGAUUGUUUAUGGUAGAGAUCCUCCUUUUAUUUCUCCUUUUGUUCAUGGAGAAACACGCAUUCCUGAACUUGAAAAACACCUUUGAAUCAUGAUGCCAUGUUGAAAAUUAUUAAGGAUAACCUUUUAAAGGCUCAAACUCGAAUGAAACAACAAGCUGAUUCUCAUAGGCGAGAUGUUGCCUUUCAAGUUGGAUAUUCUGUCUUUCUAUGUGUUUAGCCUUACUGACAAUGAUUUUUGGCUAAUCGCAGGCAUGAAAAAUUGUCACCUUGGUUUUUCGGACCAUAUAAAAUCUAACGUUGUGUUGGAUCUGUAGCAUAUGAACUGGAGCUAUUGUCUUCUUCCAAAGUCCAUCCAAUUUUCCAUGUAUCCUUGCUCCAUCCAGCUCAUGGUCAGCAAGUUGUUACGCUGCCAGCCCCUCUUCCUCUUAUCGAAAACUGGGAACUCGACUUAUCUCCUGCCAAAAUACUUGCACAUCGAUGGAUCAAAGAAGAUGGUGCAUUUUCUUUGGAAUUGCUAGUUCAAUGGGUUGACCGUCUCCUUGAAAAAGUUAGUUAGGAGAUCUAUGAUCUCAAUGCAAAUCAAUUCCCUUAUUUUUGCCUUAAGGACGAGGAGACUUUUCAUGGGGGAUGCACUGAUAUGACUGCUCCUUUACGGACUUAUUCUAGAAGAAAAUCCAGACAAACAAGUGGAGAUAAUCUGUCUUAGUUAGUUUCAGAUAAGAUAAGUUAUAUAAGUAGUUAUUUAUAGAAGUUAUCAUCAGUUAAGUACAGCAGCAACUGUCUGCCUAUGUCCUAUGUUUAUGUCUUAGUCAGCAACAUCUGUCUAUAUACAUCCUAUCUUUAUGUUUUAGUAUAAAUAUUGUAUCUGGAGAAUUCUAAAACAGAUCAGCAGUAUUAUUGUAUUUCUAUCUGGAGUUUUGUCUACUCCAUACGGACUUAGUUAUUGGUUACUGUAGUGUUUAAGAUUCUUGCGCUUUAUUUAACCAGCAAUAUUUUCAUUUCAUUCUCUUCUUCAACUUAGUUUCUAUCAGCCUGGCGCACCCCACCAAUUCUAGUUCAAUGUUUGAGCAGUGUGUAACUUUGGCCCAGUGCUUUACCAAUAAGUUUGAGUUACUUCAUACUAUUUACUGAUACUGAUUUAACAAACAGUGUAGCCAUUUUACUUGAACAGUAAAUGCAAAGAAAUUUUGCACACUAGAAUUAAAAAAAAAAGUAAAUAUGGGUGCAAUGUCAAUCCUGAUAAUGCAAAUUCCAUACUGCUGAAGCUUUGACCAAAUUUAGUUCAAUGUUUCAGCAGGGUGUUGGUUUUUCCUAGUACUAUAUGUGUUACCACUUGUAAUAUUCAUGCCUCCCUUCCUCCUCCGUGUGUGAGAGAUACCGGUGGUGUCCGUACACCUUAACUAUUAUAUCAAAUUAUUGGAUACCUACCACAUUUCACGUACUGAAUAAUUGUCCACCAAGACUUCUAACACAUGGAAAGAAAUCACAGAACCUUGGUUUCACAUAAUUGUCACUCAUUUCAUUGAUCACUAGACACCUCACGUACUAAAUACUUGUGUCCACCAAUACUUUAGCACAUGAAAGAAAUCACAAAACCCUGGGUUCACAUGAUUUUCACUUAUUCCAUUGAUAGCUAGACACUGCUGGAUGCUACUAGAAGACUAUUUUAGAAUGUGCAUCUUAGUUCAGCUGUAAUUGCAAGGCUCUGAUAUCAACCACAUCAACAAUUCUACCUAACACUUCAUUGUCCGUUCUUGGAAAAAUUGUCCAUUAAAGAGAGAGGUUGGGAAGAAGGGUUAUGUAUUGAGUUUAUAUUAUGUCUGGAUGGAUUUAGAUAUCCUCUUUGCUAAAAAUAUAUAUUGUGUAAAAUGAGCAACUUUGGAUCCGUAACGUGAAAUAAGCAAAUAUAUCAAAGACUUUUUGAAUAUUGAAUCUAACAUCUAGCAUUGGUCCCAGCGAAGACCUCUCUCUUUUAUUAGAGCAAAGGGUGCCUAACCUGAAAGAGGAAAUAGUAAUUUUCCUCGAUGAGAAAGAGUUAUAUCAGUAGUUUAUCUGGUAUGAAUUCCUAAUUACCAGUCUUAGUAAUGAUAAUGAAUUAUGCCAAGGGAAGCUCGUGCCAACCAGUGUCUCAAGCUGUCGGAGAAAGGACCAGUCAAUCCAAUGUAGUGAAGCUGUAAAAGGGGUAUAAAAGUUGUUUAUAUAAAUGUAGAGAAUGAAGAUGAAGUUAUUUGAUUUCAUUGAUAUGUAUGUGUAUAUAUACAAGAGAACCCAAACUAAUUAAGGAAAGAAUCAACUAAUAAAGAAUUGUGAUCUUCUCCCAAAUGGAAACUAAAUCUCUAUGAGAUACUAAAUCAAUUAUGAGAUACUAAAUCAACUAUGAGAUAUCUUAACAUGUGGUACAUACUCUAUUAUGCCCCCUAUAGUUAGGUAUGAUGAGACAACACCUAACUCGGGUAGCAUCUGCUGGAAGGCUGGCUUAGACAAUGGUUUGGUGAGUGGAUCUGCAACUUGAUCAGUGGAGUGGAUGUGUGAUACUUGGACUAGGCCAUUACGAACUUGAUUGCGAACAAAGUAAAGAUCGACCUUGAGGUACUUUAUUUUUGUAUAAUGUACCGGGUUUUCCGCAAUGUAAGUGACCCCAAGGUUAUCACAAAGUAAUGUAGGUGUAAUAGAGAGUAGCACAUGAAUAACCCUGAGAAAGUGAGUGAUCCAGUUUGUUUUAGAAAAGGCAGAGGCAACUGCCCUAUACUUAGCCUCAGUGGAGGAAUGAGAGACAGUGGGUUGCUUGCUAGAACACCAGGAAAUAGGAGUCGUACCUAGAAAAACAAUGUAGCCAGAGAUUGAGCGACAAUUAUUAAUAUCACCCACCCAAUCAAUGUCAGCAUAGGCAUAAAGAUCAGUGGACUGGUGUGGAGAAAUAUGAAUAACAUUUUGAGAUUUUUCUUUGAGAUACCGAAGGAUUCGUUUAACAGCCUUUCAAUGAACCACUGAGGGGAAGUUGUUAAACUGAGUAAGCUUUUUUACUGAAUAUGUGAUAUCCGGUCUGGUAAAAGAAAGGUAUUAAAGUUUACCAAGUACAGUCCUAUACUCUUUACUAUCAGUUUUAGGGGCUCCGUCAUCUACCUGUAGUGCCUCAAAUGUACUCAUUGGGGACUGAACGCCUUUGCAGUCUUGGAUUUGAGUGUCAUGCAAUACCUCCUGAAUAUACUUAGAUUGACUAAGAAACAGACCGUUGGCAUCUCUGUGUACCUCAAUGCUCAAGAUAUAGUGCACUAAUCCAAGAUACUUAAGAGAAAAUCUUUUGGAAAGAGAAGUAAUGACUUCUUGAAGAAGUGUUUCAUUACUGCCAGUGAGUAUGAUGUAGUCCACAUAAAUUAGUAUAUAAAUAGUUACACCUAAGUUAUGCAAAACAAACAAAGAAUUAUCAGAUUUAGAUAUACGAAAUCCCAUUCUGAUUAGAGAAUCAGUGAGUGCAUCCUACCAGGCUUUAGGAGUUUUUCGUAGUCCGUAGAUAGCCUUUUUGAGAUGACAGGCAUAGUCAGGAUGUGCUGAACUUUCAUACCCGGGUGGUUGGGUCAUAUAGACAUCUUUACGAAGCUUUCCUUACAGAAAAGCAUUAUUGAUAUCUAUUUGAUGUAAGGGCCAACUUUUUUGUAGAGCAACAGUAAGGAUGGUCCGAAUUGUGGUUGGUUUAACCACUGGACUGUAUGUUCUUAUAAAAAUCAACCCCAGGCAUUUGUGUGAGCCCUUUUGCAACCAAACAAUCUUUGCACCUAUCAAUGGAUCCAUCAGGCUUGGUUUUGAUUCAAAACAACCAUUUACAAGGAACAAUAUUUCUGGUGUAAGGAAGAAUUACAAUAAGUAAACUUAUCUUUUGAAGAAUAUGAAAGACAAGAACUAUUUAAAAUGGAAAGAAAAACUCGAGAGUGGUCUUCGAUGCCAUAGAUGUAAGAAAGGUUCAGCAAUGGCAAUGUUGAUGUUUGGUUGAGUCAGGGAUGGCCAUUCAUAGAGACCUGCUUUAUUCGGGCCACGCAGAAAAGGUGCUCCCAUAGUCAGAUCCUUCAUAAGAAAAGUAAAAGGAAAAGAUUCUAAGGAGGUUAGAUUUUCUUCACAAAAUAGAUGAACUAAAAUGAUUUUGUGUUAGAUAGCUGGAGCACACAAAAUACUAAGUUUGAAGACAGUAUUUGAUGCAGUUAAGUGAGUAUUACCAGUUUGAGUAAUCGAAAUCACAUUACCACUGCCCAUUGUUACUGCGUCCAGACCUUUGAAUUCUUGAACACUGUGGAGUGAGUUGGUAUCCAAGAUGAUGUGGUGAGAUGCAUCCAAAUCUAGAAUCCAGGAGUCAAUUGGUGUUAUGUGCGCAACAAAAUUUGCUUUUGCUUCAAGGUGGUUAUGGGACCGAGAGCGACAAACAUUUACUGUAUGCCCAAAUUUGUCAUAAAGUUGACAGCGUACUCAUGAUGAUUGGUGUGGGUAGUUACGCCAUUGAGAAUUAUCCAUUGGAUUGCGCCACUGGGAAUUAUCCAUUGGAUACUGAGAAUGAGUGCUUUGAUUAGGCUGCCUGUAUUGUGGACGCUAGUUAUUAUUGUUGGAUGAGCGUCUAUUGUUGUGUGGGGCUGAUGGAGCUGAUGGAGGAUUUGGCACUCAUUGAGGAACAACUGCUGUGAUCUGGGCUGAAGUUUUCUUGAGGUCCUCAUGUUUGAGGAAAAGUUCUUGAUUAAGAAGCUUGUCAAAAAGUUCUUUAUCGCUAAUAGGAGAGUCCCUUUCCCGUAUGGCUGUAGAGAUCUCACGGAAUUCUAACUCGAGUCCACUCAGUAUUUCAUCACUAGUUCUUCAUUAUUGAUGGGUGAAAUUAUUGUGGCGAGUUCAUCAGAGAGAGAAUCUCUAGCAUAUAUUCGGAAAUGGAUUUGUUGUCCUUACUGAGUCGUUUGAGAUGGUGACGAAGGCUGAAGACGCGGGUUUGUGAUUUGUUUGCAAAUAAAGUGUGAAGUUGAUCCCACACAACUUUGGAGUUGAUUGCAGAAGCUACCGUGGAUGGAUUGUGGCAUCUACAAAGGCCAUGAGAGCAUUUUGGAUCAAUUUAUCCUAAAGAAACCAAUCCUUGUAUGCAGGGUUGGCUGUCUCAAGGCCGUUAGUUAUGAUUGUUUUAGCAGGAAACAAUAUGGUGCCAUCAAGAUGACCAUAAAGGUCAUGGACAUGAAGCAACAUGGCAAUGUGGGCUUUCCAGAUGGUGAAAUUAGUGCUGCCAGUUAGUUAAUGGGCAGCUGGGAUGAUGGAUUGAAUUGAAUCAAGUGUUUGAGGACAGGGUCUGCGUUAGCAUUAACGACGGGGGCAGAAGUGGCCAUCGCUCUAAAGAGAAGAAGAAGAAGAAAUGGAUCUUGGACUCUGUUGAGAGUAUUUUGGAAUUUAUACCCUAUAAAUGUAGAGAAUGAAGAUGAAGUUGUUUGAUUUCAUUGAUAUGUAUGUGUAUAUAUACAAGAGAACACAAACUAAAUAAGGAAAGAAUCAACUAAUAAAGAAUUGUGAUCUUCUCCUAAAUGGAAACUAAAUGACUAUGAGAUACUAAAUCAAUCAUGAAAAAUCUUAACAUGUGGUACAUGCUCUAUUAGUUUCGAGUCACACACUCAAAUCUUAACCGCGAAAUUUUAGUAUUUUCAUGAAUCCUCUUAUAUAAAUUUUUGGCUCCAACACUGAUUAUUCCUAUUGGUUUAUUACAAACUAUAUUCAAAAUGAACCAAUUUACAAAAUAUUUAUUAAAUUAAAGACUAUUUGGGAGGACUAUAUUUUUGCCUUUGCUCCUUUUGUUAUGUUCACCAAUUCCACAUCAGAGGAAGAUUGGAAGUAGACAAUAGAAAGUUGCUCCUUUUUUCGGCCUUUUGGAUAAAGAUCAAGUGUAGCAUCUGUUCUUAUCAGUUUAAUAUCAUAUAUGUGUACCAUUGGUCCGCACUAUAUUAACUCUAUUUUUUUAAGGGGAAGGUCCAUUAGGUAGCUUGCUAUGUAAUGACCCUUCAGGUCAUUUUUCAUAUUUAUGCUUAUCUUCACCGUUUGAGAUUCUCCAUAGCUACCGCAAGUCAUUUAUGACUUUCUGGAACUGACGGUUUGGUUACCGGGCAGUUCGUUUGGAUUUUAGAAGUAAUUCCCUGUUUAGAAGUCUUCACUAGUUCCAAAUGGCCACUGAGUGAAAACUUCAGUGAAACGAUCUCGGAUACAAAUUUUGACUAUGCCAGCAGAUCUGGAAUAUCAAUGUAAGUUUGGGUAGACCUUUGGUUCAGGUUAAAUGCACCCAAGCUCAUUUCGAGCUAUUGACCGGAAUUUAUGAAAAAUGAAACUAUAGGUGUGGCCCCACUUUUUCCCAAAAUGAUCUCUAAUGAAAUUUUUGAUGAUUCCAAUAAAUUUAAAAUGUGGUUUACACUCAAAUUUCACUAUUGGAUCAUAUAUUUUGGUUUUCGAAUGAGUUUCGAGGGUUAAAAAUAAGUUUUUGACUUUGCUGGUGGCCCAGACAGCGACUGCGGAUCUCCAAAGCUGGUAGGGGUAUUUAAGCACCCUAUAGACCGCGUUUUUCACCAUUUUUCACUCAUUUUUGAGAGCCUGAAAUCCUAAAUGGUUAUGAUAACUCAAAAUUGAGUCUUUUGGGUGUCUAGGAAACUUGGUAAAUAUCUUUUAUAAGAUUUUAUCACUUUAUUGGUGAAUUUCUUAGUUCUUGACCCAAAACUCCAAUUUAGCUUAGGUCUUGAUUUAGCCCUAAAUUUGGUUUGUUUUCACCAAUUCAUUGAGGGUUAUGAUUCCUUGGUGAUGUAUGAGCAUUGGGUUGACCUCGAAAAUGCGAUUUCCGUACGUGGGACCCACUUGGAGUUUUUGGUGUCAUUUUUGGAUCCGAAGCAUAAUAGUGUAAUAUGGGUAUCGUUAGACUCGUAUUGAUGAGUAGAUUAUAUUAUUGAUAGUGUGAUGGAAUUUUAGGGAUUGUGAAGUGAAGACGAGCAUGUGGUGUUUGAAGUGUGAUUUUGUGGUUUAGCCUCGAGGUAGGCUUCUGUCUAUUCUUCUUCACGGAUGAUUUAUGAUAUAUAUUGUGUGUCAAUGUGAAUGUAAAGAUUGAUAUUGGAUAGAAUGACUUAGUAUUUAUUAUACAUAUAAGUUUGGGAAUUAGAUGGGGGUUUUGACCCGUAGGUUGAAAUACUUAAUAUCCUUGUAGAAUCCUAUUGCCUUCUCCUUAAUUUGGGUAAAUUUGUAGCGUGGAUAUAAUAUAAUGCUAUGCUUGGAAUAUCGUUUUAGCAUUUGAAGCAUGAUUUGUAUAUUUAGCAUUAUUAGGCUAGUGUGAUAGUUUUGAAACUGUAAGUUUGGUAGAGUUGACUUGAGUACCCUUGUUUCUAGUCGAAGUUACUAUCUUAGGCUUUAAUAUGGCUUGCUUGAUAUCUAAAAGAUGAACUAGAUACCUUAGCCUAGUUUGGGGCAUAGUAUGCUUAAUUAUGAAAAUUAUGGAUUAAAGUGGGAUCAUUCGACCCUCUUAGGCCUAAGCUUAUGUUAAGUCUUGUGGACUUAGUUACGGAUGUUAGACCUAUACGAGCUAGUAAACCUUAGAAUAAGGUUACUUCAUAACUGGGUGACUUGUAUUGAUGUUUCAGGAUUGUGGCUAUUUAGUUAUGGUUAUGAUACUACUUGUGGAAGUGAUAUUGGGCAUUUAGAGAUAUUCCUCCUAGAUACAUUAUGUGGCCUAUAGAGAUGCUAUUUCCUCUUAGACAUGAUGAUUGGACUAUAGAGAUGCUAUUUCCUCUGAGACUAGAUGAUUUACCUAUAGAGAUGCUAUUUUCUCUUAGACUUGAUGAUUGGCCUAUACAAAUGCUAUUUCCUCUUAGACUUGAUGAUUGGCCUAUAGAGAUGAUAUCUCCUCUUAGACUUGAUAUUUGGUCUAUAAUUUGCUAUUUCCUUUAGUUAUGAUUGUUGGACCUAUAGAGAUGAUGGUUCUUUUGGAUAUGUAAAUUGUCCUAGAGAAGCAAUAUUUCUCGUCGUCUUGACGUAUGACCUAUUGAUAUAUGAUAUCCUAUAGUCAAUUACAUGUUUAUCUAUAUUAUGCCUCCAAGAUGUGAGAUAUCUCUAGUGUAAGAGAUGAUAUCAUAUUUAUUUAUUAUGCCUCCUAUAUGUGAGAUGCCUUCUAUAUGUGAGAUGAUUAGAGUUAUGCUACGGCUUAUACGUGUGAUUAUUGAUAUGAGUUCCGGAUAUGUAUAUGGGCCUAAGGCCAUGAUUAUGAUUUUGUGAUUAUUCCGAACAAAUUAAUGGGCCAAGGGCCGUGUUAUAGUACUGAUUAAAUAUCCAAGAAGUGUUUAUUGUUAUAAAUGAUGUGAUUGGGAUUUAUGAAUAUGAAUAUGUAUAUGUUUGUAUACACAUCUCUCCGGUAUGGGACGGAGGAAGAUGCAUUAUGAUGCUUACUAUUCCACUACCUGAAUACUGGUGAUUGCAUGCAUAGGUUUGGUAUGUUAGUGAUUAUUUAUCAUUAUAAAUGAAGUGAUUAUAGCUGAAAUAUGAUCUUAUGAUUGUUCUUCUUGUUAGGCGGUUAAGCUAUAUGGUAACUAGUUGUCUAUUAGCUGAAUAUUACACUUGAUGGCUAGGAAGCUAAUGUAUUAGUUAAUGAAUCUUGCUUAGUUGGAACAUGGUAGCUAAUGAUGGUUAGUUAAUGAAUGAUGUCAUUUAAUAAAAGAUGGUUAGGCGAUAAGUAGAAUGUGUUGUCUAGUAAUGAUUAACAAAAAUAGGAUGAAUAGUUGAUAAUAAUGAAUGGUGGAUACAUGACGGUUUUGGUAUAGUGAUGAACCUAGACUAGAUGUUAGAUGUUGACUAUUAAAUGAAUAGUGGUUAUUUGUUAUCCCAUGAACAAGGAUUACGUGAAGGAUAAUGUUUAGGCUAUUAACUAGAGGUUAUGUGAUGACUAGUGAACUAGUGGUUUAAUAAUAUUAAGUGUUGGUUAGCUAAUAAUGAGUACUUGGGAUGUAUUGAUAAGAUAGACAUCUUUACAAUUAUGAGUACAUCAGCUUGUGUCUGUGCACCUAUUAUAUGCCUAUAUUUAUGUGUCAAGAGUUAUGAUGAUACAUUGGUACCCGGCAAGGACAGAGGACAUUGCGAUGACAUACUGAUACUUGGCAAGGCCGGAGGAUAUUAUGAUGAUAUUGAUACCCGAUUUGAGUCCGGAGGAUAGCAUUGAGAUGAUAUUAAUUCUCGACAAGGCCAGAGGAUAUUAUAAUGAUAUUGAUACUCGGUUCGAGUCCAGAGGAUACUAUUGAGAUGAUAUUGAUUCCCGGCAAGGCCAGGGAAUAUUAUGAUGAUAUGGAUACCCGAUUUGAGUUUGGAGGAUACUAUUGAGAUGAUAUUGAUUCUUGGCAAAGCUAGAGGUUUAUUACGAUGAUGAUGGUCCUGAUGAGUACAAUUAUGAGUUGUAAUAUUGAUGGUAUACUUUUCAUUCAUUCCUGCAUGUGCAUUGCCUAUCACCACUAUGCACCUAUGUCUAUCAGCCGGUAUGGGACGGUUACAUAGAUAUAGGUGAAGAAUAUGCCUUGUGUUAUUAUAUGUUGAUUGAACCUUCCGAGUCUGGGGCGGUGGGGGUAUGCAUAGGCUCCGCUAGGUAUUUGGUUGUCCGGUGUAACCUGUUAUUUACAAUGUUGUUGAUAUUGUUAUUAUCAUUGUUUUGAUCAUUAUUAUGGCUAGCCUAUGACAGAUUGGUCAUGGAUCCAGUAUUGGGAUUUAUUUAUGUCUUUGGCCUUUGCUAUCUUAUGAUUACAUUACUAUACACGAUUAUUCUAUGUCUAGCCAUAUGGAUUAGAAAUCCUGAGUAUGUUGGUAUUAAAUCUUGAUAGUAUUAUAAUGAGGUCUUAAAAUGAGAACAUGAUGAUCUAGGUUAUGUUUGAGAUGGCCUCCUAUUUAUAUGUAUUAUAUAUAUAUAUAUAUAUAUAUAUCUAGCUAUAUGAAGUCAUGGUACUAUCGGAUAUUCCUUUCUUCGUUGUUCAUAUUGUAUAGUAGUUCCUUUACCUUGUAUAUAACAAUAUAUCUUUCUUUCACUCUUUAUUUGUAUAUUGACCUGGGAUAUAUGGUAUAGCUUUGGCAUAUAUUGAAUGGCUGGAAUAGGAUAGUUCACCUUGAUACUUCCUUAGUCUUAUUAUGUUAGACUCUUAGACAUGAAUAUGUAGUUGUCCCUUGUUAUUCUCAUUGACUUAUUACAUGAUUUAUGGACUCUUGGUUGUAGUUUCUAUUUUGUUUAUAUGUUGUAUAUAUCUACUUUAUCUUUGGAGCUCAGUUGGCAGUUGCCUACUGAUUACCAUUCAUUUGGAACUCAUACUACACUUCCGCAGCCUGCAGAUCAUAGUACGAGUUAUCGCCAUUGAUGUGUGCAUCGUGUUGAGUAGCCCUGAUUCGGAGACUUAGAGUGAGCUCCUGACAUUUGGAGUAUUGCUUAUCUCUUUCCUAUGUAUUAGACUAGCCUCUAAGUUGUAUUCUGAAGUAAGUUGAAUCAGUGUAUUUCUCCUUGAUGUAUCACUUUUGUACUCUUAUUAUAUUUAGUAGCUCUUGUACUGAUACCACUAGGUUUUGGGUUUUGCCUAUGUAUUGAUCUUUAUCUCAUAUAUUCCGUAUUUUUUUCUUAUGUUAUUAAGUAGUCCGUUACUAGCUGUUUUGAUCUAUAGGUUGUCUUGCCGGUUGGUGGGUUACGGUAGUCUCCAUCAUAACCUGAAAAGUUAGGUCAUGACAAAUUGGUAUUAGAGCCAGGUUUCUUCGGUGUAUUAGUACAUGAGCUAAGUGUUUGUAGAGUCUUGCGGAUCGGUGCGGAGAUGUCCGUAACCUAUCUUAUGGAGGCUACAGUAAUAUUUUAGGAAAUUCACUUUAUGACUCUUUAUCGUGUGUCCGCAUUCCUAUGAACCUUGAACAUAUUCUUUGAAUUUAUGUUAUCCAUGAAGGAUGAUGCGAUAUUGUUAACAUAUGCGGAUAAGACUUCAGUACGGGUUUCCAGAAUUUCAGCAUGGUAUGGUUCUUUGGGCCAUGGUGACCAUUCUGAAUUAUGAGGGGUAGUAUCUUGAAGUAUUCUAGAUUCUUGGUUUGGUUGUGUUGUGAUGAGACACUUGUUCUAAGAAUGCCCUUGGUAUGAGAUAAGUGAUCAAAUAGAGUUAGCAAUUAUUCCCCGCCAGCCUAGAGUUCCUAAAAUAGGCUGUGAUAUAGAAAGUUUGGACAUAAAUUUGCGGAUUUCUCCCAGCGUCAGUUGACCAUCCAUUUGGGCUUAGUUUGUGUUCUCUCAAUAUUAAUGCUUCAGGAAAUGCUAUGACUAUAGAGAGACCAACUACUAGUCUAGGGAGUAUCCCUAACAUGAAUAACAAUUAUUCAGCUCAUUUAGAUCAGCUCGUGAUGUUGUGGCAUCUUCAGUUAUAGAUGGUGUGUUUGGCGCCUCAGUUGUUGAUUCAGUCAGUCGAUCCGAUUUAGACCCGUUCAAAUUUAUUUUUCCUAUGCCCGUUAGUCACGUGACUGCAAAUGUUACCAAGAUUGGUGUGUUUUUACUUCUCACAUUUAUCUCUUAUUAUGUGUAUUUAGGUUUUCAUAUCCAUUGAUAAUCAUAUGUAUUGAUGAAUUUAUAUCGGUCAUUAUGUGCCUUAUUGUUGAAUUCAUGAUUAUAUUACUACUCCAUGGUUUAUUUCUUUUAGUAGUGGAUGGAGUAGAUCUAUAUUGAUGUUUUUUCCUUAUGGGUGUGGUUUUGGGUUUGAGUCCCAUUUAUCUUGACAUAUUAGCCCUGUUGUGGCCCUUGAGUAGUACAUGAUAUUGAUGUUCAUUUUGGUAUCGCCUAUUCAGAAUGUUGAUCUUGAUAUUGUUAUUGCUAUUGCUACCACUGUGUGAAAUUAUUGAUAUUACUUGAUAUUAUUACUUGAUGUUGUUACAUGAUGAAUUUGAUUCUCGCUGGUUAGCUGUAUAGACUAAUGUUAUCUAGUUAGAGUUUUAUUUUCUUGUGAUACUAAUUGGUGGCUAGAGUAGAUAUAGCCUGAUUUGGUAUUUUCUUUCCCCUAGCCUGGUGAGGUUGACUGUGUUCCCUCUUGGUUAGCUAUAUUAGAUUUGUUUGGGAACAUGUUGUGGUAUCAAAGGUAAGUUGACCUUCCAUGAUUUUUGUGGAUUUGAAUCGGCAAUUUAGUUAUGUUGCCCGUUUUUGAAUUUGAGAUUCUUAGACUUGUCUCCUGAUUUGUGAAGGAUUUUGUUUUGGCUAUCCCUUCCAAUAUAGCCCGUGUGAGAUGGACCAGUUUAAGAUCCAAUCUUUAUUUGUGGCUAUUUCUUCGCCCGAUAGUGGUUUUGACAUCGAUAUUGAGGUGUCAUGGAUUCGUCUCUUAGAUUUGACGGGUUCGUUCCUUUGUGAUGGAUUGCCUUGUUGUUAGUGUAAAGAUUGGAUACUCUUUUGUCGUUGCGAUAUGGUUUUGUCUAGAGGAGUUGGAAGAUAGAGACAGGUGGCCUUUCCUGUGACCACUUCUAAAGUUGGAAAAUUAGAAAUUCUUUAGCUUGAGUUGUUGGUACUCUGGUAGUUGUCUCGACUUUGACCUUGGCCUUGAGAUUGGUAUUUCUUCUUUGAUGAUGUGGUUCUUGGGUGGAUUCAGGAAAUCCCUAUUUCAACAUCUAGUGAGGCUUGGUGGAGUAAUUCUGCUCGAUGAUAUAUGUUUAUGGCUAUUUCUUUGCCUAGAUGGGGUAUUGUAUUGGUUAGUUUUUGUCUUAAAUUGCAUUUCUUCGACUUGCUAAUGUGUUUGCCUUCACUGGUGUGGUUUUAGGUCUUGAGAAGUUUGAGUAUGUUUUGAUAGCUCAUGCCCUCUAGCAAAUAUGGGGUGUGUUAUUUGCAUUUUCAGUCGACGAUUUACCCUUUAACAUGAUUUCUAAAUUGUGGCUAGGUAUGAUUUAUCUCGGAUAUGUUAGACUUAGAUACUAAAGUCGAUUUGAAUGGUUGGUAAUGAUAUAGGUUUAUUGGUUCAGUUUUGACUUGACGCUUUGGAAUGACGAUUGAGAAGUAUGAUAAAUUUGGAUCAUUAGUGCCUACCCAUUCUUAGUUUUUGUUUAAGAUAUUUGAGACCGAGCAAUUCAGCCUUGGUAUUGAGAUUUCAGCAAGGUGUUGUAGAGCUUGCGUGCAACUUUUGUUUUUGACUUGUCUUCAUUCAAAUUUCAUUUAUAAGAUGGUUGAACCUACUCUGUGGUUCUCUAUUCAGUCUUCUUGACGUCAGUUGGAUUAUAGUUGAUAAGUGUUCAGAUGAUAACCCAUGGGCCCCGUAUUGAUUAUUUCAGUUUUGACAUCGAGUUUCAGUUUUCUUUGGGAAUUUUGGAUAAUUUACUCAGUGAGAGUAAUAUACUCGAGUUAGAUUUAGGAUGCCUUAUUCUCAAUUGAUGGGACAUCCCGAGUGAAGUAUUCAGUCAUAAGUAGUUAUACCUUGGAUUUUGAAUUUCAGUUUGAUUUUCAUUCAGACUGGUUGUAGCAUUGACACGGAUUGCAUUUCUUGAUUAUCUCCAUUUGCAUGCCCAGAUAAUGCCUUAUGAGCUUAUUUCCAUGUUUGCCUUAUGGACUUUCAGCGGAUCAACUUUAGUUCUUUGAUUUCUCCAUGAUGAGAUGGAGUCGAUGAGACUUAGGUGAUUUUCCUCCUGGUUUGGAGUUAAGAGCAUGUAUGUGUAAAAGUGUUAACUAUGACUUAUGUCUUGGUUUGCUUUUGGUUUGGAUGAGCCUUUGUUGAUUUAUAUGAAUAUAGAGAUGGUAUCAGCAUGAUGUCAUUCAGAUGUGCGUGCACCGGCCUUUCAAGUUCAGUUGGAGGCCAGUUAGCGGUUAAGUUGAGUUGGCUAUUUUGGAAGUAGAAUGAGAGUGCUUGUUGAAAAAGGGAUACUUGUGUCAAAAUCUCUUAGAAGUGUUUUCUCUCUUGAGGUUACCUGAGAAGUCAUGCUUGGAGCAUGUGGGCCUAAUACCUUAUCCGUUCGAGCUUUUGAGAUUCUUUCUAUCCGUUGACUUUAGGGGACAAAGUCCUUUUAGUAAUGGAUGUUGUAAUGACCCUUAAGGUCAUUUUCCAUAUUUAUGCUUAUCUUCACUGUUUGAGCUUCUCCAUAGCUGCCCCAAGUCAUUUAUGACUUGCUGGGACCUAAGGUUCGGUUACCGAGCAGUUCGUUUGGUUUUUAGAAAUAAUUCCUGUUUAGAAGUCUUCACUAGUUUCAAAUGACCACCGAGUGAAAUCUUCAGCAAAAUGAUCUCGGAUGCAAAUUUUGACUACGCCAGCAGAUUCGGAAUAUCGAUUUAAGUUUCGGUAGACCUUUUAUUUGGGUUUCAAUGCACCCGAGCUCAUUUUGAGCUAUUGAGCGGAAUUUAUGAAAAACGAAACUAUAGGUGUGGGCUCCACUUUUUUCCAAAACGAUCUCGGAUUAAAGUUUUGAUGAUUCCAAUUUAUUUGAAAUGUGGUUUACACUCAAAUUUCACUAUUGGAUCAUAUAUUUUGGUUUCUGAAUGAGUUUCGAGGGUCAAAAAUAAGUUUUUGAUUUUGCUGGUGGCCCAGACAACGACUGCGGAUCUCCAAAGCUGGUAGGGGUAUUUAAGCACCCUAUAGGCCGCGUUUUUCACCAUUUUUCACUCAUUUUUGAGAGCCUAAAAUCCUAAAUGGGUGUGAUAACUCAAAAUUGAAUCUUGUGGGUGUCUAGGAAGCUUGGUAAACAUCUUUUAACAUGAUUAUCAUCCGGAUUAAGGUAAAUUUUAUCACUUUAUAUGUGAAUUUCUUAGUUCUUGACGCAAAACCCUAAUUUAGCUUAGGACUUGAUUUAGCCCUACAUUUGAUUUGUUUUCACCAAUUCAUUGAGGGUUAUGAUUUUUUGGUGAUGUAUGAACAUUGGGUUGACCUCGAAAAUGCGAUUUCCGUACGUGAGACCCACUUGGGGUUUUUGGUGUCAUUUUUGGAUCCGAAGCAUAAUAGUGCAAUAUGGGUAUCGUUAGACUCGUAUUGAUGAGUAGAUUAUAUUUUUGAUAGUGUGAUGACAUUUUAGGGAUUGUGAAGUGAAGACGAGCAUGUGGUGCUUGAAGUGUGAUUUUACGGUUUAGCCUCGAGGUAGGCUUCUGUCUAUUCUUCUUCAUGGAUGAUUUAUGAUAUAUAUUGUGUGUCAAUGUGAAUGUAAAGAUUGAUAUUGGAUAGAAUGACUUAGUAUUUAUUAUACAUAUAAGUUUGGGAAUUAGAUGGGGGUUUUGACCCGUAGGUUGAAAUACUUAAUAUCCUUGUAGAAUCCUAUUGCCUUCUCCUUAGUUUGGGUAAAUUUGUAGCGUGGAUAUAAUAUAAUGCUAUGCUUGGAAUAUCGUUUUAGCAUUUGAAGCAUGAUUUGUAUAUUUAGCAUUAUUAGGCUAGUGUGAUAGUUUUGAAACUGUAAGUUUGGUAGAGUUGACUUGAGUACCCUUGUUUCUAGUCGAAGUUACUAUCUUAGGCUUUAAUAUGGCUUGCUUGAUAUCUAAAAGAUGAACUAGAUACCUUAGCCUAGUUUGGGGCAUAGUAUGCUUAAUUAUGAAAAUUAUGGAUUAAAGUGGGAUCAUUCGACCCUCUUAGGCCUAAGCUUAUGUUAAGUCUUGUGGACUUAGUUACGGAUGUUAGACCUAUACGAGCUAGUAAACCUUAGAAUAAGGUUACUUCAUAACUGGGUGACUUGUAUUGAUGUUUCAGGAUUGUGGCUAUUUAGUUAUGGUUAUGAUACUACUUGUGGAAGUGAUAUUGGGCAUUUAGAGAUAUUCCUCCUAGAUACAUUAUGUGGCCUAUAGAGAUGCUAUUUCCUCUUAGACAUGAUGAUUGGACUAUAGAGAUGCUAUUUCUUCUUAGACUUGAUGAUUGGCCUAUAGAGAUGCUAUUUCCUCUUAGACAUGAUGAUUGGCUUAUAGAGAUGUUAUCUCCUCUUAGACUUGAUAUUUGGCCUAUAAAGUUUCUACUUUCUUUAGUCAUGAAUGUUGGACCUAUAGAGAUGAUAGUCCUUUUGGAUAUGUAAAUUGUCCUAGAGAAGCAAUAUUUCUCGUCUUCUUGACGUAUGACCUAUUGAUAUAUGAUAUCCUAUAGACAAUUACACGUCUAUCCAUAUUAUGCCUCCUAGAUGUGAGAUGUCUCUAGUGUUAGAGAUGAUAACAUAUUUAUUUAUGAUGCCUCCUAUAUGUGAGAUGCCUUCUAUAUGUGAGAUGAUUAGAGGUAUGCUAUGACUUAUGCAUAUGAUUAUUGAUAUGAGUUCUAAAAAUAUAUAUGGGCCUAAGGCCAUGAUUAUGAUGUUGUGAUUAUUCCAAACAAAUUAAUGGGCCAAGGGCCGUGUUACAGUACAUAUUAAAUAUCCAAGAAGUGUUUAUAGUUGUGAAUGAUGUGAUUGGGAUUUAUGAAUAUGAAUAUGUAUAUGUUUGUAUACACAUCUCUCCGGUAUGGGAAGGACGAAGAUGCAUAGGUUUGGUACGUUCAUGAUUAUUUAUCAUUAUAAAUAAAUGAUGUGAUUAUAGUUGAAAUGUGAUCAUAUGGUUGUUCUUCUUGUUAGACGGUUAAGCUAUGUGGUAACUAGUUGUCUAUUAGCUGAAUAUUACACUUGAUGGCUAGGAAGCUAAUGUAUUAGUUAAUGAAUCUUGCUUAGUUGGAACAUGGUAGCUAAUGAUGGUCAGUUAAUGAAUGAUGUCAUUUAAUAAAAGAUGGCUAGGCGACAAGUAGUAUGUGUUGUCUAGUAAUGAUUAACAAAAAUAGGAUGAAUAGUUGAUAAUAAUGAAUAGUGGAUAAAUGACGGUUUUGGUCUAAUGAUGAACCUAGACUAGAUGUUAGAUAUUGACUAUUAAAUGAAUAGUGGUUAGUUGUUAUCCCGUGAACAAGGAUUAUGUGAAGGAUAAUGUUUAGGCUAAUAACUAGAGGUUAUGUGAUGACUAGUGAACUAGCAGUUUAAUAAUAUUAAGUGUUGGUUAGCUAAUAACGAGUAGUUGGGAUAUAUUGAUAAGAUAGACAUCUUUACGGUUAUGAGUACAUCAGCUUGUGUCUAUGCACCUAUUAUAUGCCUAUAUUUAUGUGUCGAGAGUUCUGAUGAUACAUUGGUACCCGGCAAGGCCGGAGGAUAUUGCAAUGACAUACUGAUAUCCGACAAGGCCGGAGGAUAUUAUGAUGAUAUUGAUACCCGGUUCGAGUCCGAAGGAUACUAUUGAGAUAAUAUUGAUUUCUGACAAGGCCGGAGGAUAUUAUGAUGAUAUUGAUACCCGGUUCAAGUUCGGAGGAUACUAUGGAGAUGAUAUUGAUUCCCGAUAAGGUCGGAGGAUACUAUGAUGAUAUGGAUACCCGGUUCGAGUUCGGAGGAUACUAUUGAGAUGAUAUUGAUUCCCAGCAAGGACGGAGGUUGAUUACGAUUAUGAUGGUCCUGAUGAGGACAGUUAUUAUGAGUUGUGAUAUUAAUGGUAUACUUUGCAUUUAUUUCUGCAUCUGCAUCGCCUAUCACAGUAUGCACCUAUGUCUAUCAGCCGGUAUGGGGCGGUUGCAUAGAUAUGGGUGAAGAAUAUGCCUUGUGUUUUUAUAUGUUGAUUGAACCUUUCGAGUCUAAGGCGGUGGGGGUACGCAUAGGCUCAGCUAGAUAUUUGGUUGUCCAGAGUAGACGAUUAUUUACGAUGUUAUUGAUAUUGUUAUUAUCAUUGUUAUGAUCAUAAUUAUGGCUAGCCUAUGACAGAUUGGUCAUGGAUCCAGAAUUGGGAUUGAGGUAUGUCUUCGGCCUUUGGUAUCUUAUGAUUACAUUACUAUACACGAUUAUUCUAUGUCUAGCCAUACGGAUUAGAAAUCCUGAGUAUGUUGGUAUUUAAUCCUGAUAGUAUUAUAAUGAGGUCUUAAAAUGAGAACAUGUCGAUCUAGGUUAUGUUUGAGAUGACCUCCUGUUUAUAUGUAUUAUAUAUAUAUAUAUAUAUAUAGCUAUAUGAAGUCAUGGUACUAUUGGAUAUUCCUUUCUUCGUUGUUCAUAUUGUAUAGUUGUUCCUUUACCUUGUAUAUUACAAUAUAUCUUUCUUUCACUCUUUAUUUGUAUAUUGACCUGGGAUAUACGGUAUAGCUUUGGCAUAUAUUGAAUGUAGCUAGAAUAGGAUAGUUCACCUUGAUACUUCCUUAGUCUAAUUAUGUUAGACUCUUGGACAUGAAUAGGAUAGUUGUCCCUAGUUAUUCUCAUUGACUUAUUACAUGAUUUAUGGACUCUUGGUUGUAGUUUUCAUUCUGUUUAUAUGUUGUAUAUAUCUACUUUAUCUUUGGAGCUCAGUUGGCAGUUUCCUACUGAGUACCAUUCGUUUAGUACUCAUACUGCACCUCUUCAGCCUGCAGAUCAUAGUACGAAUUAUCGCCGUUGAUGUGUGCAUCGUGUGGGGUAGCCCUGAUUCAGAGACUUAGAGUGAGCUCCUAACAUUCGGACUAUUACUUAUCUCUUUCCUAUGUAUUAGAAUAGCCUCUAAGUUGUAUUCAGAGGUAAGUUGAAUAAGUGUAUUUCUCCUUGAUAUAUCACUUUUGUACUCUUAUUAUGUUUAGAAGCUCUUGUACUAAUACCACCAAGUUUUGGGUUUCGUCUAUGUAUUGAUCUUUAUCUCAUAUAUUCCGUAUUCUUUUUCUUAUGUUAUUGAGUAGUCCGUUACUAGCCAUUCCGAACUACAGGUUGGCUUGCCUACUGGUGGGUUAUGGUAGACGCCAUCAUGACCUGGAAAGUUGGGUCGUGACAUGUUACCUGGGCCUUCGUGCGUUGCUAAGUGUUGCACUACUGCUUUGGUCUGGCGCGCCCCACCAAAUCUAGUUUAAUCAUUUAGCAGUUUAUGAUAGGUGGUGCCGUGCAUCUCAACAAUUUCAUCGAAUCAUCACACACACCUACCACCUCUUAUGUAUUGAGUAACUGUGUCCACCAAGACUUAACAAUGCACAACUAAUCAAAUCAUCAGACACUUACCACCUCAUACAUAAAUAACUGUGUCCAAGACUUUGGACAAAUGGAGAGAAACUGUUGAUCCCUUUUGUUUCUACAGGAUUUCGAACCUCAGUCUCACAUAAUUUUCACCCAUUUCAUCGAUCGCUAGGCAAAUCUUGAUGUUAACUGGAAGACUACCUAAGAUUGUGCACCUUAGCCCAGAACGUGUGAUUGCAUAAUAAAGGUCUCAAAUGUUUUUCUGAUAGAAACUUCUUCAGGUUGUUUUCAGUAUCUAUCUGCUUGAGCUGUGUUUCUCAAGUGGUGAAAGUUAGUUCAGUUGUAAUUGAAAGGCGAUCAUACCAACCAACUCGCUAAUCCUCUUAUAUAAACUUUUGGCUCCGACACUGAUUAUCUUCUGUUAGUUUGUUCCUAACUUUAUGUUGGGAGAACUAUGUUUUUGCCUUUGCUCCUUUUGUUAUGUUCACCAGUUCCACAUCAGAGGAAGAUUGGAAAUAGACAAUAGAGAGUUGAUAUAAAAGCAAAGGCCCAUUGCAUUUCAAAAGCAUACCUUUCUCGGCCUUUUGGCUAAGAUCAAGUGUAGUAUCUGUUCUUAUCAGUUUAAUAUCUGAUAUGUGGGCCAUAGGUCCAUACGAUAUUAACUCUAUUUUUUGAGGUGGAAGGCUCAUCAAGGUAGCUUGCUGCCUGGGCCUUCAAGCGUCGCCUAAGCGUUGCACUACAGCUUUGUCCUGGCGCACCCACCAAUACUAUUCAACGUUUUUGUAGUCUGUUGUCUCAGCCCAAGUUACUGUAAUAAUAAAGUUUUAUAGUACUUUAAUGUCAUGCAGCGGGAGUUGUUGGAGAAUGACUCAACUUAUAAGGUCCUUGUUGAGUAAACUCUACUUUUCGUACUCUUUCGCAAUCUUAAUUAUGCAGUUUUUGUUGUGCUAUGGAUCAGAUGAUAUCUUCCUUAGACAUGUAACAUGAUCUCUUCUGUAGCCUGUAUUACUUUCUGUAGUUUGCAUAGUGUAUAUUGUUGUUGUAGUUAGUAUCUCUUCUUGAUGCCUUUUUUGUUACAACCACUCACGUCAACUUAAAAAGAAAAUCUUUCCUAGAUUAUGUAAAAGUAGGUAUUUGUUGAGUGCACUUUGUUCGAACUUAGCAUGAGAAUGUAUGCCUUAGCUUAGACCGUGUGAUUGUUUAAUAAAGGUCUCACAUGGUGUGGUGAAAGACAGUAUCUAUCUGCUUGUAUGAUCUUCUUGAGUGAUGAAAGAUAGUUCAUCUGAAGGCAAGACUGAUUCAAUCACAUCAACCAUCUUUGUCUUAUCUUCAUAGCCUGUGCUUGAAAUAGUCUUCUAUAGAGGGUGGAAAGAAGGGUUAUUUGUUAGUUUAUGAUACUCUUUCCUUUCUUCCUGUCUUAUUCACUGAAUUGUUAGUAUCGAGGCAAGUUCGAAAUGUUGGCUGCGCGUAGACUAGUUUGUUCAGUCAGUCACAGGCUUGCUAAAGCUAAAAACGGAACUUAGCUUCUCACUAACUAUACUAGAAGCAAAGACUUCAACAAAUAAUACAAAAGAAUAGGGUUUGAAUGCGCUUCUGUCCUUAAAGGGAGUUCGUUGAUGUUAAGAAUGAGAAUCAAAUCGAUUGAAUCACAAAGUUCCAUUCAGUUAUAUAGAUAGAAGAAGAUUCGAAAAAAGAAGGGGAUAUUUCAUAUACUUAUGAAGUGCUAAGAAAGUCAUACAGACCAGUAGUUUCUAAUGGCAAUCAAGCUGUUUAGAUUUGCAGGCACAAGAGGAAAGCAAAAUCAAUAGACUUUAACCUUUUCUAGAGUAUCAAAAAGCAAAAUAAAUAUAGAAAAAUGAAUUGCUGUACAAAAUAUUUAUUGAAUUAAAGACUAUUUGGUAGGACUAUAUUUUUGCCUUUGCUUCUUUUGUUAUGUUUACGAGUCCCACAUCAAAGGAAGAUUUGAAGUAGACAAUAGAGAGUUGAUAUAAAAACGAAGGCCCCAUUGCCAAGCAAAAGCAUACCUUUCUCGGCCUUUUGGCUAAGAUCAAGUGUAGUAUCUGUUCUUAUCAGUUUAAUAUCUGAUAUGUGGGCCACUGGUCCACACGAUAUUAACUCUAUUUUUUGAGGGUGAAGACUCAUCAAGGUAGCUUGCUGCCUGGGACUUCAAGUGUCGCCCAAGUGUUGCACUAUUGCUUUGGCCUGGCGCACCCCACCAAUACUAGUUCAAUGUUUGAGCAGUAUGUUGUCUUAGUCAGUCUAGUAAUCGGCGGAAAUUUCUCACUGUACUUAUUUUAUUUCUGGCUUCCUCUCUGUUUGUUUUUGAUUUUAGAGAUCAGGUUCAAACUACUAAAGCUCGUAGGGAAGAGUCAAAGCGAAUUGUACUUUCCCAUAUUCGUAGAGGUAGCUCAGCUCCCGGCCUCUUUCCUGUCUAUUUGCGUCACUAAGCUGACACAGGUCUUUGUUUAGUACCCAUUUUCAGGAGCGGGAAUCUUUAAUUGAAAACCCACAGGUUUUUGUUUAAUACCCAUUUUCAGGAGCGGGAAUCUUUAAUUGAAAACCCUUUCUUCUGCCCUCGCCACUUCUUUCGCUGACCCGAUCCACCUCCUUUGUGGAAUACCAGAAAAAGAGAUGAAUUAGCGGAUCAUAGGGGCUAAGUCGAAGCACGCCUGAACCUUCUUCGGCGGAGAUGGAGUUAAUAUACAAUCCCACUUUGGAGACUAGGGAGUUGUUAGAGAAUGUACUUGGCCUAGUGGUCAAUGAAGUUGGUUGAGCAUCAUGACGUCUAGGUUUAAUUUUCAACUAGACAAAAACAGAAAAUAUGCAUAAUCAUGCUUAACUGAAUUUUGCUUGAGUUCAUAGCAAAGAGUUCUGAUGUCCUAUCUGGUAGAGGAAGUUGUAUCAUCGGUUUUGCAGAGUUAAUUAUGCAGUUUUUGUUGUGCUAUGGAUAAGAGGGCAUCUUCCCUAGACAUGUAAUACGAUCUCUUUUAUAGCUAUUACUUUCAUUUACAUCUUCUUGAUACUUACAACUACAUCUAUGAGAGGAAAAAUCAUUCCUAAACAUGUAAAAGUAGGUAGUUGUUGAAUACACUUAGUUCGAACUUAGUAUGAGAAUUUUUCAGGGCAACUCUCUCCCUACACUUGUGUGUUUAUUUAGGAUCACCACUGAUUUUUUCUGGGCGGCUCUCUUCAUUCCCUUGUAUUUUUCCAAGAGUAAGCAAAAGUUUAGACAAAUUUUGGCAUCAAUUAUUAUCUUUCACUGUUGUAAUCACUGUUUGUUGUGUCAGCCACAAUCUAUAGAGCAGGGAAAGACAAGUUGGGGGCUGAUUCUCUUUCAAGGAGGCCAUUGAAUGCUGAAUUUUUGGCUCUUGUUAUUCCUGUACCAUUGGAUUUUUCCAACUGGCAAGAUUCUCUCCAAGAAGAUACAUAUACCCGUGAGAUUAUUCAAGCAAUCUACCAAGACCCUUUCUUGCAGCCAGAUUUUCACCUGGUGGAUCAGAAACUUUAUUUCAAGGAAAGAUCGGUUAUUCCAGAUCAUUCUUCUAUCCGACAAAAGCUUAUCUCAGAAUCACAUGAUACACCUUUCGCUGGACAUGGAGGACAUUUUAAAACCUUGAAACGCCUUUUCUCUAACUUUUUCUGGCCAAGGAUGAAGCAGGAUGUUAAACUCUUUGUGUAGAACUGUAUGGUUUGUCAACAGGCGAAAUACCAAGCUUUGGCCCCUGCUGGACUUCUGCAACCAUUGCCUAUACCUGAUAGAAUAUGGGAUGAUAUCUCACUUGAUUUUAUUAAAGGACUUCCCAAAUCUGGUGGUUAUGACACAAUUUUGGUUGUCGUAGAUUGUCUCAGCAAGUAUUCUCAUUUCAUCCCACUUUCUCACCCAUAUAUUGCUAAGACUAUUGCUAAUAUUUUUUGCAAGGAAAUUAUACGUCUCCACAGCAUUCCUCGGUCCAUCUUAUCUAAUCGAGAUGCUAUCUUUCUCAGUGCUUUCUGUCAAGAGCUUUUUUGACUUAGCCAAACAAGAUUAAGAAUGGGUACGCCUUAACAUCCACAAUAUGAUGGACAUAACGAGGUGGUUAAUAGAUGCUUGGAAUCUUAUUUGCGAUGCUUUGUUAUGGAGCAACCUCGUACAUGGAGUCAGUACUUACCAUGGGCAGAAUUUUCUGUCAACACAGGUUACCACUCAUCCAUAGAGACUAUUCCAUUCAAGAUUGUUUAUGGUAGAGAUCCUCCUUUUAUUUCUCCUUUUGUUCAUGGAGAAACACGCAUUCCUGAACUUGAAAAACACCUUUGAAUCAUGAUGCCAUGUUGAAAAUUAUUAAGGAUAGCCUUUUAAAGGCUCAAACUCGAAUGAAACAACAAGCUAAUUCUCAUAGGCGAGAUGUUGCCUUUCAAGUUGGAGAUUCUGUCUUUCUAUGUGUUUAGCCUUACUGACAAUGAUUUUUGGCUAAUCGCAGGUAUGAAAAAUUGUCACCUUGGUUUUUUGGACCAUAUAAAAUCAAACGUUGUGUUGGACCUGUAGCAUAUGAACUGGAGCUACUGUCUUCUUCCAAAGUCCAUCCAAUUUUCCAUGUAUCCUUGCUCCAUCCAGCUCAUGGUCAGCAAGUUGUUAUGCUGCCAGCCCCUCUUCCUCUUAUCGAAGACUGGGAACUCGACAUAUCUCCUGCCAAAAUACUUGCAAAUCGAUGGAUCAAAGAAGCUGGUGCAUUUUCUUUGGAAUUGCUAGUUCAAUGGGUUGACCGUCUCCUUGAAGAAGCUAGUUAGGAGAUCUAUGAUCUCAAUGCAAAUCAAUUCCCUUAUUUUUGCCUUGAGGACAAGGAUACUUUUCAUGGGGGAUGCACUGAUAUGACUGCUCCUUUACAACUUAUUCUAGAAGAAAAUCCAGACAAACAAGUGGAGAUAAUCUUAGUUAGUUUCAGAUAAAAUAAGUUAUAUAAGUAGUUAUUUAUAGAAGUUAUCAGUUAAGUACAGCAGCAACUGUCUGCCUAUGUCCUAUCUUUAUGUCUUAGUCAGCAACAUCUGUCUAUAUACAUCCUAUCUUUAUGUUUUAGUAUAAAUAUUGUAUCUGGAGAAUUCUAAAACAGAUCAGCAGUAUUAUUGUAUUUCUAUCUAGAGUUUUGUCCAUUCCACACGGACUUAGUUAUUGGUUAAUGUAGUGUUGAAGAUUCUUGCACUUUAUUUAACCAGCAACAUUUUCAUUUCAUUCUCUUCUUCAACUUAGUUUCUAUCAGCCUGGCGCACCCCACCAAUUCUAGUUCAAUGUUUGAGCAGUUUGUAACUUAGGUGCUUUACCAAUAAGUUUGAGUUACUUCAUACUAUUUACUGAUACUGAUUUAACAAACAGUGUAGCCAUUUUACUUGAACAGUAAAUGCAAAGAAAUUUUGCACACUAGAAUUAAAAAAAAAAAGUAAAUAUGGGUGCAAUGCCAAUCCUGAUAAUGCAAAUUCCAUACUGCUGAAGCUUUGACCAAAUUUAGUUCAAUGUUUCAGCAGUGUUUGGUUUUUCCUAGUACUAUAUGUGUUACCACUUGUAAUAUUCAUGCCUCCCUUCCUCCUCCGUGUGUGAGAGAUACCGGUGGUGUCUGUACACCUCAACUAUUAUAUCGAAUUAUUGGACACCUACCACAUUUCACGUACUGAAUAAUUGUCCACCAAGACUAUGGCACAUGGAAAGAAAUCACAGAACCCCAGUUUCACAUGAUUGUCACUCAUUUUAUUGAUUACUAGUCACCUCACGUACUAAAUACUUUUGUCUUCCAAGACUUCAGCACAUGGAAAGAAAUCACAGAACCUUGGUUUCACAUGAUUGUCACUCAUUUCAUUGAUCACUAGACACCUCACGUACUAAAUACUUGUGUCCACCAAUACUUUAGCACAUGGAAAGAAAUCACAAAACCCCGGGUUCACAUGAUUUUCACUUAUUCCAUUGAUCGCUAGACACUGCUGGAUGCUAGCUAGAAGACUAUUUUACAAUGUGCACCUUAGUUCAGCUGUGAUUGCAAGGCUCUAAUAUCAACCACAUCAACAAUUCGACCUAACACUUCAUUGUCCGUGCUUGGAAAAAUUGUCCAGUAAAGAGAGAGGUUGGGAAGAAGGGUUAUGUAUUGAGUUUAUAUUAUGUCUGGAUGGAGUUAGAUAUCCUCUUUGCUAGAAAUAUAUAUUGUGCAAAAUGAGCAAUUUUGGAUCCAUAACGUGAAAUAAGCAACUAUAUUAAAGACUUUUUGAAUAUUGAAUCUAACAUCUAGCAUUGGUCCCAGCGAAGACCUCUCUCUUUUAUUAGAGCAAAGGGUGCCUAACCUGAAAAAGGAAAUAGUAAUUUUCCUCCAUGAGAAAGAGUUAUAUCAGUAGUUUAUCUGGGAUGAAUUCCUAAUUACUAGUCUUAGUAAUGAUAACGAAUUCUGCCAAAGGAAGCUCGUGCCAACCAGUGUCUCAAGCUGUCGGAGAAAGGACCAGUCAAUCCAAUGUAGUGAAGCUGUAAAAGGGGUAUAAAAGUUGUUUAUAUAAAUGUAGAGAAUGAAGAUGAAGUUAUUUGAUUUCAUUGAUAUGUAUGUGUAUAUAUACAAGAGAACACAAACUAAUUAAGGAAAGAAUCAACUAAUAAAGAAGUGUGAUCUUCUCUCAAAUGGAAACUAAAUCACUAUGAGAUACUAAAUCAAUUAUGAGAUACUAAAUCAACUAUGAGAUAUCUUAACAUGUGGUACAUGCUCUAUUAUGCCCCCCUAUAGUUAGGUAUGACGAGACAACACCUAACUCGGGUAGCAUCUGCUGGAAGGCUGGCUUAGACAAUGGUUUGGUGAGUGGAUCUGCAACUUGAUCAGUGGAGUGGAUGUGUGAUACUUGGACUAGGCCAUUGCGAACUUGAUUGCGAACAAAGUGAAGAUCGACCUUGAGGUGCUUUAUUUUUGUAUGAUGUACCGGGUUUUCCGCAAUGUAAGUGACCCUAAGGUUAUCACAAAGUAAUGUAGGUGCAAUAGAGAGUAGCACAUGAAUAACCCUGAGCAAGUGAGUGAUCCAGUUUGUUUCAGAAAAGGCAGAGGCAAUUGCCCUAUACUCAGCCUCACUGCCUCACUGGAGGAAUGGGAGACAGUGGGUUGCUUGCUAGAACACCAGGAAAUAGGAGUCCUUCCUAGAAAAAUAAUGUAGCCAGAGAUUGAGCGACAAUUAUAAAUAUCACCAGCCGAAUCAAUGUCAGCAUAGGCAUAAAGAUCAGUGGACUGGUGUGGAGAAAUAUGAAUAACAUUUUGAGAGUUUUCUGUGAGGUACCGAAGGAUGCGUUUAAUAGCCUUCCAAUGAACCACUGAGGGAGAGUUGUUAAACUGAGUAAGCUUGUUUACCGAAUAUGUGAUAUCCAGUCUAGUAAAAGAAAGGUACUAAAGUUUACCAAGUACACUCCUAUACUCUUUACCAUCAGUUUUAGGGGUCCGUCAUCUACCUGUAGUGCCUCAAAUGUACUCAUUGGGGACUGAACGCCUUUGCAGUCUUGGAGCUGAGUGUCAUGCAACACCUCCUGAAUAUACUUAGAUUGACUAAGAAACAGACCGUUGGCAUCCCUAUGUACCUCAAUGCCCAAGAAAUAGUGCAGUAAUCCAAGAUACUUAAGAGAAUCUUUUGGAAAGAGAAGUAAUGACUUCUUGAAGAAGUGUUUCAUUACGGCCCGUGAGUAUGAUGUCGUCCACAUAAAUUAGUAUAUAAAUAGUUACACCUAAGUUAUGCAGAACAAACAAAGAAUUAUCAGAUUCAGAUAUACGAAAUCCCAUUCUGAUUAGAGAAUCAGUGAGUGCAUCAUACCAGGCUUUAGGAGUUUGUCGCAGUCUGUAGAUAUCCUUUUUGAGAUGACAGACAUAGUCAGGAUGUGCUGAACUUUCAUACCCGGGUGGUUGGGUCAUAUAGACAUCUUUACGAAGCUUCCCUUAAAGAAAAGCAUUAUUGAUAUCUAUUUGAUGUAAGGGCCAACUAUUUUGUACAGCAACGGUGAGGACAGUCCAAAUUGUGGUUGGUUUAACCACUGGACUAUAUGUUUUAUAAAAAUCAACCCCAAGCAUUUGUGUUAGCCCUUUUGCAACCAAACAAGCUUUGCACCUAUCAAUGGAUCCAUCAGGCUUGGUUUUAAUUCAAAACAACCAUUUACAAGGAACAAUAUUUCCGGUGUAAGGAAGAAUUACAAUAAGUAAACUUAUAUUUUGAAGAAUAUGAAUGACGGGAACUAUUUAAAAUGGAAAGCAAAACUCGAGUGUGGUCUUCGAUGCCAUAGAUGUAAGGAAGGUUCAGCAAAGGCAAUGUUGAUGUUUGGUCGAGUCAGGGAUGGCCAUUCAUAGAGACCUGCUUUAUUCGGGCCGCGCAGAAAAGGUGCUCCCAUAGUCAGAUCUUUCACAAGAAAAGUAGAAGGAAAAAAUUCUAUGAAGGUUAGAUUUUCUUUGUAAAAUAGAUGAACUGAAAUGAUUUUGCGUUUGAUAGCUGGAGCGCACAAAAUACUAGAGUUUGAAGGCAGUAUUUGAUGCAGUUAAGUGAGUAUUACCAGUUUGAGUAAUCGAAAUCACAUUACCACUGCCCAUUAUCACUGCGUCCAGACCUUUGAAUUCUUGAACAUUGUGGAGUGAGUUGGUAUCCAAGAUGAUGUGGUGAGAUGCACCCAAAUCAAGAAUCCAGGAGUUACUCAAUGUUGUGUGCACAACAAAAUUUGCUUUUGCUUCAAGGUGGUUAUGCGACCGAGAGAGGCAAACAUUUAUUGUAUGCCCAAAUUUGUCAUAAAGUUGACAACGUACUCAUGAUGAUUGGUGUGGGUAGUUACGCCAAUGAGAAUUAUCCAUUGGAUUGCACCACUGGGAAUUAUCCAUUGGAUACUGAGAAUGAGUGCUUUGAUUAGGAUGCCUGUAUUGUGGACGUCAUUUAUUGUUGUUGGAUGGGCGUCUAUUGUUGUGUGGGGCUGAUGAAGCUGAUGGAGGAUUUGGCACUCGUUGAGGAACAGCUGUUGUGAUCUGGGCUGAAGUUUUCUUAAGGUCCUCAUGUUUGAGGAAAAGUUCAUGAUCAAGAAGCUUGUCAAAAAGUUCUUUAUCACUAAUAGGAGGGUCCCUUGCCCGUAUAGCUGUAGAGAUCUCACGGAAUUCUGACUCGAGUCCAAUAUGAGUUCAUCAGAAAGAGAGAGAAUCUCCCGCAUAUAUUCAGAAAUAGAUUUGUUGUCCUUACUGAGUCGUUUGAGAUGGUGACAAAAGCUGAAGACGCGGGUUUGUGAUUUGUUUGAAAAUAAAGUGUGAAGUUGAUCCCAUACAGCUUUGGAGUUAAUAGCAGAAGCUACCAUGGAUGCAAUUGUGGCAUCUACAGAGGCCAUGAGAGCAUUUUGAAUCAAUUUAUCCUGGCGAAACCAAUCCUUGUACGCAGGGUUGGCUGUCUCAAGGCCGUUAGUUAUGAUUGUUUCAGCAGGGGACAAUAUGGUGCCAUCAAGAUGACCAUAAAGGUCAUUCCAUGCAGUAACAUGGCAAUGUGGGCUUUCCAGAUGGUGAAAUUAGUGUUACCAGUUAGUUUAAUGGGUAGAUGGGAUGAUGGAUUGAAUUGAAUCAAGUGUUUGAGGAUAGGGUCCGUGUCAACAUUAACGACGGGGAAGAAGUGGCCAUCACUCUAAAGAGAAGAAGAAGAAAAAAUGGAUCUUGGACUCUGUUGAGAGUAUUUUGGAAUUGAUACCAUAUAAAUGUAGAGAAUGAAGAUGAAGUUGUUUGAUUUCAUUGAUAUGUAUGUGUAUAUAUACAAGAGAACACAAACUAAAUAAGGAAAGAAUCAACUAAUAAAGAAUUGUGAUCUUCUCCUAAAUGGAAACUAAAUGACUAUGAGAUACUAAUUCAAUCAUGAGAUAUCUUAACAUGUGGUACAUGCUCUAUUAGUUUCAAGUCACAAACUCAAAUUUUAACCGUGAAAUUUUAGUAUUUUCAUGAAUCCUCUUAUAUAAAUUUUUGGCUCCAACACUGAUUAUUCCUAUUGUUUUGUUACAAACUGUAUUCAAAAUGAACCACUUUACAAAAUAUUUAUUGAAUUAAAGACUAUUUGGGAGGACUAUAUUUUUGCCUUUGCUCCUUUUGUUAUGUUCACCAAUUCCACAUCAGAGGAAGAUUGGAAGUAGACAAUAGAAAGUUUCUCCUUUUCUCAACCUUUUGGCUAAAGAUCAAGUGUAGUAUCUGUUCUUAUCAGUUUAAUAUAUGAUAUGUGGACCAUUGGUCCGCACUAUAUUAACUCUAUUUUUUGAGGGGAAGGUCCAUUAAGGUAGCUUGCUAUGUAAUGACCCUUCAGGUCAUUUUUCAUAUUUAUGUUUAUCUUCACCGUUUGAGAUUCUCCAUAGCUACCCCAAGUCAUUUAUGACUUGCCGGGACUGACGGUUCGGUUACCGGGCAGUUCGUUUGGAUUUUAGAAGUAAUUCCCUGUUUAGAAGUCUUCACUGGUUCCAAAUGGCCACAACUUCAGCGAAACGAUCUCGGAUACAAAUUCUAAAUAUGCCAGCAGAUCCAAAAUAUCAAUGUAAGUUUGGGUAGACCUUUGGUUUGGGUUACAAUGCACCCAAGCUCAUUUCGAGCUAUUGAGCGGAAUUUAUGAAAAAUGAAACUAUAGGUAUGGACCCCACUUUUUGCCAAAACGAUCUCGAAUGAAAGUUUUGAUGAUUCCAAUGAAUUUAAAAUGUGGUUUACACUUAAAUUUCAUUAUUGAAUCAUAUAUUUUGGUUUUCGAAUGAGUUUCGAGGGUCAAAAAUAAGUUUUUGACUUUGCUGGUGGCCCAGACAGCGACUGCGGAUCUCCAAAGCUGGUAGGGGUAUUUAAGCAACCUAUAGGCCGCGUUUUUCACCAUUUUUCACUUAUUUUUGAGAGCCUAAAAUCCUAUAUAGGUAUGAUAACUCAAAAUUGAGUCUUGUGGGUGUCUAGGGAGCUUGGUAAACAUCUUUUAUCAUGAUUAUCAUCCGGAUUAAGGUAAGAUUUUAUCACUUUAUUGGUGAAUUUCUUAGUUCUUGACCCAAAACUCCAAUUUAGCUUAGGGAUUGAUUAAGCCCUAAAUUUGGUUUGCUUUCACCAAUUCAUUGAGCGUUAUGAUUCCUUGGUGAUGUAUGAGCAUUGGGUUGACCUCAAAAAUGCGAUUUCCGUACGUGGGACCCACUUGGGGUUUUUGGUGUCAUUUUCGGAUUCGAAGCAUAAUAGUGCAAUAUGGGUAUUGUUAGACUAGUAUUGAUGAGUAGAUUAUAUUAUUGAUAGUGUGAUGGCAUUUUAGGGAUUGUGAAGUGAAGACAAGCAUGUGGAGUUUGAAGUGUGAUUUUGUGGUUUAGCCUCGAGGUAGGCUUCUGUCUAUUCUUCUUCAUGGAUGAUGUAUGAUAUAUAUUGCGUGUGAAUGUGAAUGUUAAGAUUAAUAUUGGAUAGAAUGACUUAGUAUUGAUUAUACUUAUAAGUUGGGGAUUAGAUGGGGGUUUUGACCCGUAAGUUGAAUUACUUAAUACCUUUGUAGAAUCCUAUUGCCUUCUCCCUAGUUUGAGUAAAUUUGUAGCAUGGAUAUGAUAUAAUGCUAUGCUUGGAAUAUGGUUUUAGNNNNNNNNNNNNNNNNNNNNNNNNNNNNNNNNNNNNNNNNNNNNNNNNNNNNNNNNNNNNNNNNNNNNNNNNNNNNNNNNNNNNNNNNNNNNNNNNNNNNNNNNNNNNNNNNNNNNNNNNNNNNNNNNNUUCCUGUAUCUAGAAAAAGAACUAAAUACCUUAGCCUAGUUUGGGUAGUAUCCGUAGUUAUGGAAAUUAUGGAUUAAAAGUGGGAUCAUUCAGCCCACUUAGGCGUAAGCUUAUGUUAAGUCUUGUGGACUUAGUUGCGGAUGUUAGACCUAUAUGAGCUAGUAAACAUUAGAAUAGGGUUACUUCAUAACUGGGUGACUUGUAUUGAUAUUUCAAGAUUGUGCCUAUUUAGUUAUGGUUAUGAUAUUACUUGUUGAAGUGGUAUUGGGCAUUUAGAGAUAUUCCUCCUAGAUACAUUAUGUGGCCUAUAGAGAUGCUAUUUCCUCUUAGACUAGAUGAUUGGCCUAUAGAGAUGCUAUUAUCUCUUAGACUUGAUGAUUGCCUAUAGAGAUAUUAUUUCCUCUUAGACUUGAUGAUUGGCCUAUAGAGAUGUUAUCUCCUCUUAGACUUGAUAUUUGGUCUAUAAAGUUGCUAUUUCCUUUAGUUAUGAUUGUUGGACCUAUAGAGAUGAUGGUCCUCCUAGAUGUGAGAUAUCUCUAGUGUAAGAGAUGAUAACAUAUUUAUUUACUAUCCCUCCUAUAUGUGAGAUGCCUUCUAUAUGUGAGAUGCCUUCUAUAUGUGAGAUGAUUAGAGUUAUGCUACAUCUUAUACAUAUGAUUAUUGAUAUGAGUUCUGGAUAUGUAUAUGGGCCUAAGGCAAUAAUUAUGAUGUUGUGAUUAUUCCGAACAAAAUAAUGGGCCAAUGGCCAUGUUAUAGUACUGAUUAAAUAUCCAAGAAGUGUUUAUAGUUAUGAAUGAUGUGAUUGGGAUUUAUGAAUAUGAAUAUGUAUAUGUUUGUAUACACAUCUCUCCGAUAUGGGACAGAGGAAGAUGCAUUAUGAUGCUUACUAUUCCACUAACUGAAUACUGGUGAUUGUAUGCAUAGGUUUGGUAUGUUAAUGAUUAUUUAUCAUUAUAAAUGAUGUGAUUAUAGCUGAAAUGUGAUCUUAUGGUUGUUCUUCUAGUUAGACGGUUAAGCUAUGUGGUAACUAGUUGUCUAUUAGCUGAAUAUUACACUUGAUGGCUAGGAAGCUAAUCUAUUAGUUAAUGAAUCUUGCUUAGUUGGAACAUGGUAGAUAAUGUUGGUUAGUUAAUGAAUGAUGUCAUUUAAUAAAAGAUGGUUAGGCGACAAGUAGUUUGUGUUAUCUAGUAAUGAUUAACAAAAAUAGGAUGAAUAGUUAAUAAUAAUGAAUGGUGGAUACAUGACGGUGUUGGUAUAAUGAUGAACCUAGACUAGAUGUUAGAUGUUGACUAUUAAAUGAAUAGUGGUUAGUUGUUAUCCCAUGAACAAGUAUUACGUGAAGGAUUAUGUUUAGGCUAAUAACUAGAGGUUAUGUGAUGACUAGCGAACAAGCGGUUUAAUAAUAUUAAGUGUUGGUUAGCUAAUAAUAAGUAGUUGGGAUGUAUUGAUAAUUUAGACAUCUUUACGAUUAUGAGUACAUGGGCUUGUGUCUGUGCACCUAUUAUAUGCCUAUAUUUAUGUGUCAAGAGUUAUGAUGAUACAUUGGUACCCGACAAAGCCAGAGGAUAUUGUGAUGACAUACUGAUACUUGGAAAGGCUAGAGGAUAUUAUGAUGAUAUUAAUACCCGAUUUGAGUCUGGAGGAUAGUAUUGAGAUGAUAUUGAUUCCCGAUAAAGCCAGAGGAUAUUAUGAUGAUAUUGAUACUCAGUUCGAGUUCGAAGGGUACUAUUGAGAUGAUAUUGAUCCCGGCAAGGCCAGAGAAUAUUAUGAUGAUAUGGAUACCCGAUUUGAGUUUGGAGGAUACUAUUGAGAUGAUAUUGAAUCUCGGCACGGCCGAAGGUUUAUUAUGAUGAUGAUGGUCCUGAUGAGGACAAUUAUUAUGAGUUGUGAUAUUGAUGGUAUACUUUUCAUUCAUUCCUAUAUGUGCAUCACCUAUCACCAUUAUGCACCUAUGUCUAUCAGCCGGUAUGGGACGGUUUCAUAGAUAUGGGUGAAGAAUAUGCCUUGUGUUGUUAUAUGUUAAUUGAACCUUUCGAGUCUGGGGUGGUGGGGGUACGCGUAGGCUCCGCUAGGUAUUUGGUUGUCCGGAGUAGCCGAUUAUUUACAAUGUUAUUGAUAUUGUUAUUAUCAUUAUUAUGAUCUUUAUUAUGGCUAGCCUAUGACAUAUUGGUCAUGGAUCCGGCAUUGGGAUUGAUUUAUGUCUUCGGCCUUUGCUAUCUUAUGAUUACAUUACUCUGCACGAUUAUUCUAUGUCUAGCCAUAUGUAUUAGAAAUCCUGAGUAUGUUGGUAUUAAAUCUUGAUAGUAUUAUAAUGAGGUCUUAAAAUGAGAACAUGAUGAUCUAGGUUAUGUUUGAGAUGACCUCCUAUUUAUAUGUAUUAUAUAUAUAUAUAUAUNNNNNNNNNNNNNNNNNNNNNNNNNNNNNNNNNNNNNNNNNNNNNNNNNNNNNNNNNNNNNNNNNNNNNNNNNNNNNNNNNNNNNNNNNNNNNNNNNNNNNNNNNNNNNNNNNNNNNNNNNNNNNNNNNNNNNNNNNNNNNNNNNNNNNNNNNNNNNNNNNNNNNNNNNNNNNNNNNNNNNNNNCUUAGUCUUAUUAUGUUAGACUCUUGGACAUGAACAGGAUAGUUGUCCCAUGUUAUUCUCAUUGACUUAUUACAUGAUUUAUGGACUCUUGGUUGUAGUUUCUAUUCUAUUUAUAUAUUGUAUAUAUCUACUUUAUCUUUGGAGCUCAGUUGGCAGUUGCCUACUGAGUACCAUUCAUUUGGAACCCAUACUGCACCUCUGCAACCUGCAGAUCAUAGUACGAGUUAUCGCCAUUGAUGUGUGUAUCGUAUGGAGUAGCCCUGAUUCGGAGACAUAGAGUGAGCUCCUGACAUUCAGAGUAUUACUUAUCUCUUUCCUAUGUAUUAGACUAGCCUCUAAGUUGUAUUCAGAGGUAAGUUGAAUCAGUGUAUUUCUCCUUGAUAUAUCACUUUUGUACUCUUAUUAUAUUUAGAAGCUCUUGUACUGAUACCACCAGGCUUUGGGUUUCGUCUAUGUAUUGAUCUUUAUCUCAUAUAUUCUGUAUUCUUUUUAUUAUGUUAUUGAGUAGUCCGUUACUAUCCAUUUCGAACUAUAGGUUGGCUUGUCUAUUUGUGGGUUGUGGUAGUCGCCAUCAUAACUUGAAAAGUUAGGUCGUGACAAAUUGGUAUCAGAGCCAGGUUUCUUCGGUGUAUUAGUACAUAAGCUAAGUGUUUGUAGAGUCUUGCGGAUUGGUGCGGAGAUGUCCGUAACCUAUCUUAUGGAGGCUACAGUGACAUUUUAGGAAAUUCACUUCAUGACUCUUUAUCGUGUGUCCGCAUUCUUAUGAACCUUGAACAUAUUCUUUGACUUUAUGUUAUCCAUGAAGGACGAUGCGAUAUUGUCAAUAGAUGCGGAUAAGACUUCAAUACGGGUUUCUAGAAUUUUAGCGCAGCAUCGGACUAGAGAGUCAGAGAUGGAUAUUGAAGAUCUUCUGCAGUAGUUAAAAAGUAUUUGGGCCGAGUCCCCAUUAGACUUGCGGAGUGUGGUAUGGUUCUUCAGGCCAUGAUGACCAUUCUGAAUUAUGAGGGGUAGUAUCUUGAAGUAUUUUUGAUUCUUGGUUUGGUUGUGUUGUGAUGAGACACUUAUUCUAAGAAUGCCCCUGGUAUGAGAUAAGUGAUCAAAUAGAGUUAGCAAUUAUUCCCCGCCAGCCUAGAGUUCCUAAAAUAGGCUGUGAUAUAGAAAGUUUGGACAUAAAUUUGCGGAUUUCUCCCAGCGUCAGUUGACCAUCCAUUUGGGCUUAGUUUGUGUUCUCUCAAUAUUAAUGCUUCAGGAAAUGCUAUGACUAUAGAGAGACCAACUACUAGUCUAGGGAGUAUCCCUAACAUGAAUAACAAUUAUUCAGCUCAUUUAGAUCAGCUCGUGAUGUUGUGGCAUCUUCAGUUAUAGAUGGUGCGUUUGGUGCGUCAGUUGAUGAUUCAGUUAGUCGAUCCGAUUUAGACCCGUUCAAAUUUAUUUUUCCUAUGCCCAUUAGUCACGUGACUGUAAAUGUUUCCAAGAUUGGUGUGUUUUUACUUCUCACAUUUAUCUCUUAUUAUGUGUAUUUAGGUUUUCAUAUCCAUUGAUAAUCAUAUGUCUUGAUGAAUUUAUAUCGGUCAUUAUGUGCCUUAUUGUUAAAUUCAUGAUUAUAUUACUACUCCAUAGUUUAUUUCUUUUAGUAGUGGGUAGAGUAGAUCAAUAUUGAUGUUUUCCCCCUAUGGGUGUGGUUUUGGGUUUGAGUCCUAUUUAUCUUGACACAUUAGCCCUGUUGUGGCCCUUGAGUAGUACAUGAUAUUGAUGUUCAUUUUGGUAUCGCCUAUUCAGAAUGUUGAUCUUGAUAUUGCUAUUGCUACCACUAUGUGAAAUUAUUGAUAUUACUUGAUAUUAUUACUUGAUGUUGUUACAUGAUGAAUUUGAUUCUCGCUGGUUAGCUGUGUAGACUAAUGUUAUCUAGUUAGAGUUUCAUUUUCUUGUGAUACUAAUUGGUGGCUAGAGUAGAUAUAGCCUGAUUUGGUAUUUUCUUUCCCCUAGCCUGGUGAGGUUGACUGUGUUUCCUCUUGGUUAGCUAUAUUAAUUUGUUCGGGAACAUGUUGUGGUAUUAAAGGUAAGUUGACCUUCCAUGAUUUUUGUGGAUUUGAGUCGGCAAUUUAGUUAUGUUGCCCGUUUUUGAAUUUGAGAUUCUUAGACUUGUCUCCUGGUUUGUGAAGGAUUUUGUUUUGGCUAUCCCUUCCAAUAUAGCCCGUUUGUGAGAUGGACCAGUUUAAGAUCCAAUCUUUAUUUGUGGCUAUUUCUUCGCCCCAUAGUGGUUUUGACAUCGAUAUUGAGGUGUCAUGGAUUCGUCUCUUAGAUUUGAUGGAGGAUUCCAUAUAGCAUAUGUAAUUUCAGAAUUUUAGGGUAUACCACCUAGUGCAGAAGUAAAACGAAGAGUGUCACAGAGUUCAGAUGAUUUUACAAAGUCUUUUGAAAAUGCCCAUGAGAUUUCUUACUAUAUGAUAUGUUUAUGAACUGUUUUAAAUUGAUCUUAUAUGUGUUGUAUAUUUACUAUUAUUUUGGAUCUGCUCUGCGUACCAGUACAUCUAUAUUGACCCCUUACCUCCCAGGUUUGGAGGCUUAGUCCAAGAGUUCGAUUAAUAAAUAGAGUAUUCUAGAGAGAAGUGAUCCGUGCAAUGGUGAGCCUACUUUGUUCCAAAAGGCCUAUUAUUUUAGAUUAUGUUAUUCCAUUGUUUUGGUCUACUGUGGACCUUGUCCCAGUUUUCAGAACAGUUUUGAGAUGUAGUAGAGAUUUUGCAAACAGAUUUAGAUCUUAUUCAGAUGUUUUAAAUUGUAACUUUUAUUCUCAUGUCUUGAAACUCAGAGUUAAUGACCAUGUUUCCGUAUCAGAUUGUAUUUCUGGAUCUUCUCUUAUUAUAUAAAUGUUGUGCAUGACUACUGGAUAGAUUAGGACGUUCGGUUCUUCAUGGUUCAGGAUGUCUGUCAUGGUCAGUCCCUAGUUCAGGUCGUGACAAACUUGGUAUCAGAACAUGGUUCAUGGUCCUAGGGUGUCUGUGAAAUCGCGUAGGGUAGAAUCUUAUUUAUGAGUAUGUAGUGUGCCACACUUAAAAGCAGGAGGCUACAAGGCAUUUAGUAAUGUUUUUUUUUCUUUGUGGUUUAGUUCUUGUUUCAAAGUCUAAGUUGUCCCCUAGUCAGUGGUCUCUUGUGUUUUAGAAAAACAAUCAUGCCUCCCCAUCGUACUAUCGAUCAAAAUGCACAGACAGAUGAGGUCCGUCCUACUCAUGGGAUGAGGACCCGAAAUAGAUCUCAGACUCUAGAGAUUGAUGCUACUCUGGGAGUCUGACCUAUUCAGACUAGCCCACCUAGGGCACCCAAAGCUCCCCAUACAGGGACUAACCGCACCCAGCCUCGCGAGAGAGGUAUCUAAUACAGAAUUCAGGCAGUCUAUUCACAUGCUUGCAUAAUUGGUAGCCAUAUAGACUCAACAGUCGGAAGAUAUUAGGUCUGCAUUUAUUACGUCUGAGGCUACAAGAGUGGGCCAGUUUAUGAGAAUAAACCUGCCCAAGUUUACUGGUACCAAGGUAGAAGAGGAUCCACAGGAGUUUGUGGACGAGAUAGAGAAGAUCUUUAAGGUGAUGUAUGUAGAUAAGGUAGAGAGGGUUGAGUUAGCAGCUUACUAGCUUAAGGAUGUAGCGAACCAAUGGUAUAACGAGUGGGAAGAUUCAAAGGGUGAGAGUGCUGAGCCCACAGUUUGGGCCAAGUUCGUGGAAGCCUUCCUCGAUUGGUUCUUUCCUCUCGAGCUGAGAGAGGCCAGAGCUUAAGAGUUUAUGAAUCUAAAGCAGGGAAAGAUGAGUGUCUAGGAGUACACUCUGAGGUUCAACCAACUAGCCCGUUAUGCUCCAGAGAUAACUAGUAACAUUAGAACCCGAAUGAGGAAAUUUGCAUCCGUCCUUUCGUAUGACUUAGUGCUUGAAUGUCAGGUAGCAAUAUUGAACCGGGACAUGGAUUUUGCCAAACUAUCAGUCCACAUGCAGCAAGUUGAGGAAAAGAAAAAGAAAAUCGCUGAAUCUAGAGAGAAGGACAGGCAGGCAAAGAGAGCCCAGUAUUCCAGAUCCACAGUCAGCAGCAGAGUGGAAAUUGGGGUAACAAAUGGCAGAAGAAGAAGUUUUGGGGUAAUGCACAGUCUGCAGCCAGUGCUUCGGUGUCCACAACUCCAGCCGAACAAUGCCCUAAGAUUUUCAGUCUAGGCAGGGUCCGAGAAUGUAGGGUUUGCAAUCUCAAGGAAGUGUAGCUCAGACCUCUUAGACAUACCCGCGCUGUGAGAGAUGUUGGAGGAAUCAUCCAGGGAGAUGUCAGUUUGGCGCUAUGGUAUGUUAUUCGUGCAGCUAGCCAGGACAUAUCCAGAGAGACUGUCUGGCAGCAAAGGGUAAUGUUUUUGGAGCCAAGUCACAUGCUAAUUCUUCUUCACCACCACCGCCUCAGAUGGGUACCACUUCAGCCUCCAAAAAUGGACACAAACAGUUGUACGCCUUGACCAACCGCCAGGAGGUAGAGGCCUCACCAAAUGUAGUUACUGGUACGUCACAAAUCUUUUCUCAUGAUGUAUAUGUUUUACUUGGUCUCGGGUCUACCCUGUCUUACGUGACACUUUUUAUGGCUGUUAGUUUUGGGUUUGAGCCCGAUGUGAUUGGCGAACCUUUUUCUAUUUCUACUCCGAUGGGAGAUUUUGUUGUGGCUAGAAGGGUGUAUAGAAAUUAUGUGGUGACUGUUUGUGGGUGGGGUACUGUGGAAGACCUUGUAGAUUUAGACAUAGUUGAUUUCGAUGCUAUCCUAGGGAUGGACUGGAUUCAUUUGUGCUAUGCCAUACUAAAUUGUAGAACUCGAAAGAUUACUUUUUCCUUCUCGAAUGAACAAGUAAUAGAAUGGGAGGGACAUUCCUUAGCACCUAGAGGGCACUUUAUAUCUUACCUCAGAGCCCGUAAACUCAUUUCUAAGGGUUGCUUGUAUCAUCUUAUCGGGUUAAAGAUUCGAAUACCAAAAGCCUUUCUCUUCAGUUUAUCCCUGUGGUAUUCACCCUAGUGUUUCUCCCAAGGGUGCACCUGUACUCUUUAUGCGAAAGAAAGAUGGUUCCCUCCGUAUGUGUAUAGAUUCGCCAGUUGAACAAGGUCAUUGUUAAAAAUAAAUAUUUUCUUCCUACAAUUGAUGAUCUUUUUUACCAGCUUCAAGGUGCUAGAUCUUUUCAAAGAUAGACCUUCAUUUAGGAUACCAUCAGUUGAAAGUUAGAGAGCCAGACAUUCCCAAAAUAGCCUUUCAAACCAGAUAGUCUUUAUGAAUUCUUAGUCAUGUCCUUCGAGUUGACUAACGUCCUUGCAGCCUUCAUGGACUUUAUGAACAGGGUGUUUCGUCAGUUUCUGGAUUUGUUUGUCAUAGUUUUUAUUGAUGAUAUCUUGAUUUAAUCUAAGAGUGAGGAGGAUCAUGCCAAUCACCUCCGAAUCAUCCUUCAAACUCUCAAAGAUCAUAGGUUGUAUGCAAUGUUUUCUAAGUGUGAAUUCUAGCUUAAUGCUAUUGCUUUCUUGGGGCAUAUAAUGUCUAGUGAUGGGAUUAAGGUUGAUCCCCAAAAGGUUGAGGCAGUGAGAAAAUGGCCCAGAACCACGACUCCAACCGACAUUCGAAUCUUCUAGGGUUUGGCAGGGUAUUACAGAAGGUUUGUAGAGAGUUUUUCUUCCAUAGCUACACCACUCACUAAGUUGAUGCAUAAAAAGGUAAAGUUUGUAUGGUCUGACUCCUGUGAGAAUAGUUUUGAGAAAUUAAAAGACAAGUUGACCACUACACCUAUUUUGACUCUUUCGGAAGGUACAAAGGGUUUUGUUGUGUACUAUGCUACAUCCCGUGUGGGACUUAGGUGUGUACUUAUGCAGCAUGAUAAAGUGGUGGCUUAUGCAUCUAGGCAGUUAAAAGUGCAUGAGCGAAAUUACCCCACCCAUGACUUAGAGUUAGCGGCUGUGGUGUUUGUGAUUAAAAUCUGGUGGCAUUAUCUUUAUGGGGUACAUGUUGAUAUAUUUACUAACCAUAAGAGUUUGCAGUAUGUUUUCUUGCAGAAACAAUAGAUUUUAAAGGAUUAUGACAUGAGCCUGCACUACUAUCCGGGCAAGGCAAAUGUGGUAGUCGACUCCUUAGAAAAUUAUCUAUGGGUAGCCUUUCGUAUGUUGAAAAGGGGAAAAGGGAGAUGGUAAAGGAUAUUCAUCGACUUGAAAAUCUAGGAGUGCGACUCUUGGAUUCUGAAGAUGGGGGAGUGGUUGUUCAAGAGGUAGCUAAAUAUUCCCUUUGUGCUAAAGCUAAAGAGAAGCAGAUUGAAGAUCCCAUCUUGAUGUAGAUCAAGAAGGAUUUGGGUCAACAGAAGGUGAUGUCUUUUGAAAUUGGUGGUGAUGGGAUUUUAAGAUAUCAAGGUAGACUAUGUGUGCCAGAUAUAGAUGGGUUAUGAAAGAAGAUCCUUGAUGAAGCUCACACUUCGAGGUAUAUUGUUCACCUAGGCUCUACUAAGAUGUAUCAUGAUCUGAAAACCAUAUACUGGUGGAAUAAUAUGAAGCGUGAUGUGGCUAACUUUGUUACCAAGUGUUUAAAUUGUCAACAAGUAAAAGUAGAGCAUAUCAGGCCAGGUGGUACCUCUCAAGAGAUAGCUUUUCCCUUGUGGAAAUGGGAGAUGGUUAAUAUGGACUUUAUCAGGGGACUUCCGAGGUCCCAAAACCAGUAUGAUUCUAUUUAGGUAAUUGUAGACUGGCUGACCAAGUCAACCCACUUUCUACCAGUGAGACCCAACUAUUCGGGAGAUAACUAUGCCAAGUUAUACAUCAAUGAGAUAGUCCGUUUGCAUAGAGCACCUUAUCCAUCAUAUCUGACCGAGGUAUUCAAUUCUCUUCAUAGUUCUGGAGAUCUUUUCAAAAGGGUUUGGUACCCAAGUGAACCUGAGUACAGCUUUUCACCCUUAGACAGAUGGGCAAGCCGAACGUACUAUUCAGACCCUUGAAGAUAUGUUGAGAGCUUGUGUGAUUGACUUCAAAGGUAGUUGGGUAGAUCACUUGCCAUUGAUAGAGUUCGCUUAUAAUAACAGCUACCAUGCCAAUAUUAAGAUGGCUCCAUUUAAAGUUUUGUAUGGGAGAACAUAUAGAUCACCGAUAGGGUGGUAUGAAGUGGAUCAGACUUAGUUGUUUGGGCUUGAACUUGUUCAUCAGGCGAUGGAGGAUGUGAAAAUUAUUAGAGAAUUACUUAAAACAGCCCAGAGUAGACAGAAAUCCUAUACGGAUGUUUGGAGAAUGGAGCUAGAAUUUGAAGUUGGUGAUUAGGUAUUUCUCAACGUCUUCCCUAUGAAGAGAGUUAUGCAAUUCAGGAAGAAAGGUAAGCUGAGUCCUCGCUAUAUAAGGCUAUACAAGGUUUUGAGAAGGAUAGGUGGGGUUGCAUAUGAGUUAGAGUUGCCUGCAAGUUUAGGUUCUGUUUAUCCCAUAUUUCACAUAUCAAUGUUGAAGAAAUGUAUUCGAGACCAUUCAUUAGUGUUGCCUGUAGAGGAGGUCAAAGUGACAGACUUCUUAUCCUAUGAAGAGGAACCUAUUGCAAUAUUAUAUCGUCAAGUUAGAAAGUUGAGGAGCAAGGAGAUAACUUCGAUUAAAGUGUUGUGGAAAAAUUAGAAAGUUGAGGAAGCAACUUGGGAAUCAGAAGAUGUCAUGAGAGAUAGAUACCCAGAAUUAUUUGAUCCGGUGAAUGACAAAAUAAAAGGUACAAUCCUUGUAUUAUUCUUUUAUGGCCUUAGUAUGUUUGAAAUCGUGCUUGUCUGUGUUCUGCGUCAUCAUUCGGAGAUGAAUGAUCCUAAGGGGGGAUAAUGUAACACCCCGCAUCUUCCAUGAGUUAGCUUGUGGUAAUAUUCUCUUAGAGUUAAAGACUAGAAAAUUAAUUUUUCCUAAUUUUGACUUUUCAUCAUAUGGGAAAUUUGAUAAGUUUUCCGCCGAUUUAAGAUUCGCCAAAAUCCGAUACCCGGGCAAGAAAUUAUGGCUAAUUUAAGUCCUAGUUGAAAACACCGUCAUUUUUGUGCUUGGCACAUCGUGGAGGAGGUCUAUUUAACAAUUGUCAAAUUUCAGUAGCCUAGCGCGAUUGUGGCGCAUCGCACUGAAAUUCCAGUAAGCCACCGCGAUUGUGGCGCAUUAUGGUGGCCCAUAAAAUUGGGCUCCAAAUUAUAUUUUAUUCUAUCUCAUUAAGGGUAUAUUAGGUAUUUUCCACCCCCUUAUCAGCUUAAACACGGGAUUAUACUCCCAACUGACCACAUUAUUCAUAUUCUCUUCAAAAAUUCACAAGAACACUCUCUAGGGUUUCAAAUUAAAAACCCAAUUACAUCAAGAUUCAACCAUGGGUUUUCGAAACUGAGUGAAGAUUUGAAAUUCCCAAACUUUAGGCUUCAAAAAUCAUCCAUCAAAUUUCUAAAUUGAGGUAUGUGGGAUUUAUCCUAAAACUACAUGGGCUUGUUGAAAACACCCAAUUAUGAUUUAAAAAUCAUCAAGCAUGAAUUUGUUAAAGGGGUUUUGAGAUCCAUGAUUUUAUUAUGCUUUAUGCAUGUUUAAUGAUAUUGUUGUUUUGGCCUUUAGGCCUUCCCCCCUUAAAUUGAUUUAAACCUAUAUGAAUAUGUAUGAUGUUGAAGAUUUGAUAGAGAACAUUAUUAUUGAAAUCCCUCUCUUUGAUGAUUUAGAGUUGAUGAACUUGUUGGGAAUGAUUUAAGAUGCUUGUUUAAUGAUUUGAAGGGGAUCUUUUCAAUGUUUAAGUAUUUAACAUGAUUUUGUUGAUGAUGAGAGGGAGUUUCUUGGUACGAUUUUGUUCUUAUCUUAAAAAGAAAGAAUUUCAUGUGAUUGACAUUUUUGACAUGACCACCUUGUGUAUUUGAAUGUUGAAAAAGAGAGGUUCUUGCAUAUGUUUACAUGAGCUUUAAGAAAGAGUUUCUUGAAAUGACUUAUUGAUAUGGUGGUCCCAGAUUUACGUUUUGAAAUAGAGAUUAUUAUAUGCUAAUAAUGGCUCAUAGAUGUGACUUUCAAGUUAAUGGUAUGACAAUACUAUAUAAAUUUAUGCCAUAACAGAGUUAGAAUUUUCAGAGUAUGUUUUCAGAGAAUUCAUGUCUUAAAGAGUUAAAAAUAGGCAUAAAGAGAGUUAGGUGGUUGCCUGAAGAGGGCUAGAGUUCAAGUAACUCUUAGCCUAAAAUCGUGAUUUGCCGAUUCGUGUAUAUUAUUUUUAUGCUGGCGAUGGCCGUGUGGCGUAGCAGAGUUAAAGACUCCAACCCUUGCGGUACACUUGGGUUGGAGGAUUUCCCACUGAGUCAAUGGCGGAUUCCAUAUAGCCCAUGGAAUUUCGGAGUUGUAGGGUAUACCACUUAGCGCAAAAGUAAAACGAAGAGUGUCACAGAGUUCAAAUGAUUUUACAGAGUCUUUCAAAAAUAACCAUGAGAUUUAUUACUAUAUGAUAUGUUUAUGAUCUAUUUUAAAUUGCUCUUAUAUAUGUUAUAUGUUUACUAUUAUUUUGGAUCUUCUCUGCGUACCAGUACAUCUGUAUUGACCCCUUACCUCCCAGGUUUGGAGUCUCAGUCCAAGGCUCUGGCAAAUCAAUAGAGUAUUCCAGAGAGAAGUGAUCCGUGCAGUGGUGAGCCUUCUUUGUUCCAGAAGGCCUGUUAUUUCAGAUUAUAUUAUUCCAUUGUUUUGGUCUACUGGGGGCUUUGUCUCAGUUUUCAGAACAGUUUUGAGAUGUAGUAGAGAUUUCUCAAACUGAGUCAGAUCUUAUUCAGAUGUUUUAAUUGGUAACUCAUGUCUUGAAACUCAGAGUUAAUGACCAUGUUUUCGUAUAAGAUUGUAUUUCCGCAUAUUCUCUUAUGAUAUGAAUGUUGUGCAUGACUACUAGAUAGAGUAGGACGUUUGUUGCUUCAUGGUUUGGAAUGUCCGUCAUGGCCAGGCCCUAGUUCGGGUUGUGACAGCUAGACACUGUUGGAUGCUAGCUAGAAGACUACUUUAGAAUGUGCACUUUAUUUUAGCUCUAAUUGUAAGGCUCUGAUAUGAACCACAUCAACAAUUCUGCCCAACACUUCAUUGUCUGUGCUAGAAAAAAUUGUCCUGUGAAGAGAGAGGUUGGGAAGAAGGGUUAUGUAUUGAGUUUAUAUUAUGUCCGGAUGUAGCUAGAUAUCCUCUUUGAUAGAAUUAUAUAUUAUGCAAAAUGAGCAACUUUGGAUCCCUAACGUGAAACAAGAAAAUAUAUUAAAGACUUUUUGAAUAUUGAAUCUAAUAUCUAGCAUGGGUCCCGACGAAGACCUCUCACUUUUGUUAGAGCGAAGGGUGCCUAACCUGGAAGUGGAAAUAGGAAUUUUCCUCGAUGCGAUAGAACUAUAACAGUAGUUUAUCUGGGAUGAAUUCCUACUUACUUGUCUUAGUAAUGAUAACGAAGUAUGCCAAGGGAAGCUCGUGCCAACCUGCCGGAGAACAGACUAGUCAAUCCAUUGUAGUGAAGCCAUAAAAGUGGUAUAAAAGUUGUUUCAAGUCAAAACUCAAAUCUUAACUGUGAAAGUUCAGUCUUUUCAUGAAUCCUCUUAUACAAAUUUUUGGCUCCGACAGUGAUUAUUUCUAUUGGUUUGUUCCGAUCUGUAUUUAAAAUGAAUGGCUUUACAAAAUAUUUAUUGAAUUAUAGACUAUUUGGGAGGACCAUAUUUUGGCCUUUGCCCCUUUUGUUAUGUUCUCCAGAGUUCCACAUCAGAGGAAGAUUGGAAGCAGACAGUAGAGAGUUGAUAUAAAAACAAAGGACCAUUGCCUUUCAAAUACAUACCUUUCUCUGCCUUUUUGCUAAGAUCAAGUGUAGUAUCUGUUUUUAUCAGUUUAAUAUCUGAUAUGUGGGCCAUUGGCCCACACGAUAUUAAUUCUAUUUUUUGAGGGGAAAGGCUCAUCAAGGUAGCUUGCUGCCUAGGCCUUCAAGCGACGCCUGAGCAUUGCACUACUGCUUAGGUCUGGCACGGCCCGCCAAUACUAUGUUCAAUGUUUUGGUAGUCUGUUGUCAUGGCCCAAGUUAGUCUAGUAAUCAACAACUUGAGUUAGUCUUAUGGAAGUCCAUGACUGCAGUAGAGUUAAUAAGAAGUAAAUGAUAAGGGACAUGAUAAUAAACACAAACCAGCAAAGAACAACAAAGUAAAUGAUAAGGGACAACACAAACCAGCCAAGAAUAACAAGAGAAAACCAAGAACAAGAUACAAAACAAGCACGGGAGCAACACAAAGAAUCUGAGAAUAAGAAGAUAAGACACAAACACAUAAAUGCAAUAAGAUAAAUGAUAGAUAAGAUGACACAAGAAGUUAGAGAGAAUGGUCAAAUACCCCUCCAACCUUUACCCCAAAUUCCAACUACACAACUAUACUUUAAAGAGGCCCUAUGACCCCCCCCCGAACUAUUUAAAAAUGGAAUAUAUACCCCCAAAACGCUGACGUGACAAGAAUGUGCGUUUCACUUUCUUUAAAGAGAGUGAAAACCGAUUUUUUUAUUAAAAAUUUAAUUUUAAUAUUUCUUUAAAUAAAUAUAUAUAAUUUUAAUUAUUAUUUUUCUUUAUUUAUUUUCUUUCUCUUCUUCUUCAAUUCAUUUUCUUUCUUAUUCCUCAAUUCUUCUUCUUCUUUAAAUAAAUAUAUAUAAUUUUAAUUAUUAUUCUUCACAAACAAUGACAUCAAUGACAUCCAAGAACUUAUCAAUGGCAUUUUUCUUUCUUCUUCUCUUUAAUUCUUCUUCUUCACAAACAAUGGCACCAAGAACUCAUCAAUGAAAUUUCUUCUUCUUCUUCUUCAUUUUAUUUCUUCUCUUCAACAAAACACAAAACACCAUGGCUGCUCCCCACACACACACCGAAUUCUGAAAUUCCAUAAAAAAUAAAUAACUAAUUCCAUUCCAUUUCAAGAACACACACCCCAAAUGGGUCUAUCUUCAAUUCCAUCAAAAUUACAAAAUUAACAAUAAUUUCAAAAAUUGGUGCAAUAGAUAAAAUAAAAUUUGGUGGUGGUGUUACGUCGAUUGGUGGUGGAAAGUGGCGGCGCCGCCUUCACCGGAGUUCGUCAGUGGUGGGGCUAUUCUCAAAUAUGAUUUCAUGGCGAUUGGAGUAUCAGUUUUGGAUGAUUUUUAUUGAGGUGUGCUCGCAUUAAGGUGGCGCACCUGUUGGGAGUGGUCCGCGAUGCCAAAAGUCACCGAAGCUCCAGCGAUGACAGCAGGUAGUGGUGUAUUCGCGAUUUGACGGCGGCGACGAUGCCAACUUAGUUGAUUCAAGCUGAGUUGCUCACAUGAAUUUUUGGAAAUCUGAACAUAUUCAUGAAUCAAAAUCUGGUCCUUUUCCUCAAUUAAUUCGGAUUCCUGUGCUUCCAAAAAUACUUCCAAAAGGAAAGAAAAAUGGGAAAUAGAAAGGGAAAUUCAAAGAAGAGAAUAUAUAUNNNNNNNNNNNNNNNNNNNNNNNNNNNNNNNNNNNNNNNNNNNNNNNNNNNNNNNNAUAUAUAUAUAUAUAUAUAUAUAUAAAAGAAUAAUAAUUAAUUUUUAUAUAAAAAAUAAUAUUAUGUGGAAAUUAGGUGGCAUUACAUGGCAGGUGUGUAUUGCUCACUUUCCAUUACGUAUCUGGGCGUCAGUGUUUGGUGGUAUAUAUUCCAUUUUUAAAUAGUUCAGAGGGGUCAUAGGACCUCUUCAAAUUAUAGUUGUGUAGUUGGGAUUUGGGAUAAAGGUUGGAGGGGUAUUUGACCAUUUUCUCUAAGAAGUUACAAAGAAAGAAGAACCAAACCAUGUAUUAAAUGAUAAAACCCUUAAACUCGCAACAACAAACACCAAUCUUCUUACGGUGACCGCUAAGGAAAUCAACUCCACCUUACAACAACCAUUUCUAAGCAAAGAUCAAUAAUGGCUUUCCCAAGCCCUACACUAAUAGAUUUUCCAAGCCCUACACUAAGGGUGUUAUACUCUAAAAUAGAGAAAAGUAUUUCACAUAUUCAGCAUUCAAAAAACUAAAGAGAAAAGACCUAAAAGAGACUAUAUAUAGCCUUAUUACAUAAUGGGGGACAAAAUGACUCCAAUACCCCUAAUGAGGUGGGGUGGCCAUGGAGUGUUACUUGGAUAAGGCUAAGUGACCAAAAUGACCUUAAUGAAUUGGUCAAAACCGUGAGUCCUCAAUCUUCAAUGCUCCAAGCAAUCUUCCACAUGCGGGAUUGCUAUUUGGUGUACUCAAAUCUACCCCUCCAUGUAGGAUCACAUGUCCUCAAUGCGACCAAAGCUUGAUGCCCCACGUAUUGACUUCGAAUAAUUUCAUCGAAAGCUGAGGCGGCCAUUUAACCCGUAUCAUCCUCCCCUUCUUGAAAAGUAUUUGACCUCAAAUCCAAACCUUGAAAAGUAGAAGAAAGGACAAACGAAUAUAAACUCCUCAUGGAAUGAGGGUUCGGAUUAGCACGAUAAAUCAUCUCAACAUGCCAAGGUUGCACAUAUUUAAAAUAUAAUGAAGGAUCCUUUGAACUAAAUAUUAAAUACUCAAUGAAAAAUGUACAAAGGAUUUGGUUACGGGAAUCACCAAGAGAUAAGAAAGCUACAAGGGUCUUAAUCGAAUCACUCGGUCCAAAAGGUAGAAUUAGGAUCUUAUGAGCCGCAAGACACAAUUGACUUUUUAUCUCAUCAAGAGACCACACCAAGGGUGGUGAUUCAAUUGGUUCUAAAGUCCACGAGAUCCAUAUAACACUAUUACUCACACAAGUGGACUUACCAACAAAUUUCCUACCUCUACAUAAAACAAAUCCAAAACUAGUAUGGAUGUCAUCAUAGGCAAAGAGGUAGUAUAGAAAGGAAUCAAGUAUAGAGAUAUACAUGGAUGAAGACAAUCCAAUUAAGCACAUACACUUUCCUUCUUGCAAAUAAAUAAUAACUCGGCAUCCAUUGAUAUUCAUGUAACUCAAACACAAGUGUAUCAAGCAAAGAUGCGCAUUUAGAAACAUUACCCCAAGGAGUCAAUGGCACCUUUGCCCUUGGGUUUUCAAGAAGGACUACACAUUCCUUACCCUUAAGAGUACUCUUAUCUUUCAAAAAGAAAUUUUCAUCUUUAGGAGGAAUGUUGUCAUACCAUAGUGGAUUAGCAUAUCGGCUAAAGCCAAUCUAUACCAUUAUUUCUCCACUAGGUUCCCUAGGAGUAUGUAUAUCAUCUUCAAACAAGACAUUAUACCUAAAGAGAGCAUGAUCUAUCUCACGAGUAGAUUUUGAAUAAGAAAGUUCUUCACUCUUUAACAGAUCAAUAUCAAGUUUCAAAGAGGUUUUAAGUACAAGAUUAUCCCAAGAAUAGCUCUCGGGUUCACUCCUAUUUUGUUGACCAACAUUUUCAAGUAUUUCACUCACUUGAGUUCUAUUAAUCAAAUCACACACAUAUUCAAGUGGUGGACUAUUUUCACAAAUAAGUUGAUCAACACCAAUUACACAAGAUGAUGUACUUCUAUUAAACAUAUAGGCUUCAACACUAGGUGGACAUAAAUUGAUCUUAUAAGUAAAGGCUCUCAAAACAACCCCAAGUAGUCAACCAUGGAUGGAAGGAUAUAGUUUCUAUAGUACCUAUCAUUUAACACAAUGAGGUAGCUCGGUAUCCCACAAAUGGUCAACUUUCCAGCACUCUUUCUCGGAUAAACAUUGUAAGGCACAUGAUUACCCGUUGGUUUUGGUGAUGCAUAUCCUCUUCUUCUCGUGGGACAACCUCUACUAUAGCUAGGAUAACCAUUCACACCAUUUCGAUUUUGAUAAAAAGUACUACUAGGUAAAGAAAAUGAAUUUUCACACUCCACAUAUACUCUCAUCAAAGCUCUCAUAAGCUUUGCGAAUGAAAGGGUUAUAACUAACAUCAAAUUUAGGUUCGGUGUGGGAAGUGUAAGAAUCCUCAUAUACCUCAAUUUCAUCACAAGAACCAUCACAAGGUCUUACAUCAUCCCUAUAUUCCCCACAAGCGCUAGGCACUUCAUUCUCCUUAUUUUUUCCCUAAUACCGUGACCCUCAAAUCUGCCCAGGUUUUGAUCAUGGCUAUUUUCAUAGCCCCGACAAUCUCCCUCAACUUCGUAUCUAUAAAAUCCUUCACUACAAUCAUAGUCUCCCAUGUUGUAGUCACAAUAAUCCUCGGCUAUCGAAGACAUGUUUCCCUUAUAUCACCUUUAAAACCUACAAAAAAAAAAAAUUAGUAGUUAAAGCUCCUCUCCAACACUCGUAUACACUCACCUUUGUGAUUCUCACAAUCGGAGCGGUGAAUAUUGAAAGUUGCUUAUACUCUGGUAGUCAAUAAGGUGUCAAUCACUACUUAGAGGUAGGAAUAUAUUCUUGUUCGAUCGACUCAAGACACAAAAUAAAAAAUUCUACUUACGAACUUGAAACAAAGAAGUUCAACGAAUCAAAACGAGAAAAGCACACAAAGAACAAAAGUACGAAAAAAAAAAAGCAGACUCAAACAACUAAUUCACAAUCUAGUAGGUGAUUAAUAGUUGCUAAUUAGUAUUAGAAUCAAGAAAUGAAACUAAGGAUACAAAAAAAAAAAGAAACUUAGAAAUCUGAAAUUUUGAGCCUAAGUUUGUUUUUAGGGGGUGAUGAUGUGGCACUUUGGUGACGUGGUCGUUUGCAAUUUGGAUUGGUCAAAUUUUAAUUUGAAAUGGUGAAAAUCAGCUUUGGGAGAGAAACAACAAGACUUGGAUCUUUUUUUUUUUUUUUUAAUUUCAAAAAGGGUUGACUUUCUUGCACCCUUUUGGAAAGACACCUUUUUGAAAGGUUGUUGGCUCUUUCCUCUUUUGUUAGUCUUGGAAUAAGCUUUUACUCCCUUUUGGUAAACAAGACUUUUGAAAGCCCUUUUGUCCCCUUUUCUUUUUGGAUGUCUUGGAAUUGUGUCUUUCAAGACAAACACAAAACCACACUCCAUUCUUUACCCUUUUAGAUCAAACCACUUCCUUUUGAAUGUUCUUGGUCAGCAAUACAUGAAGAACAACAAGAACAUUCAAGAAUGGAAACCAACCCAAAUGAGCUCCAAAUUGAAUGAUUUUUGUUUCUUUUGGCUCACGUUGAACUCUACAACAACAAAAACACGUUUCAAGCCCACAUCCUCAACAACAAACAUCAACAACACACUUUUAAGCCAUCAAUCCUCAAAAAGCAGCAACCAUCAAAGUUUAAGAACAACUCGAAAAUGACUCAAAAUUCGGAUCUUGACUCUUUAGUGUUAGUAAAGAAGGGGCUAAUACUAGAAAAAAACAAAACAUAAAAAUCUCCUAAAUAUAAGAUACAAAUUUCGGCCUAGACACCAAAAAUGGAACAGAAUGUUUUUUUUGGAUUUUCGGUUUUUCAACAUUUUUUUGUGAUUUUCUAGUUAACAAGUCCAAGAUUGAUUCCGUAGGAACCAAAUCAAUCCUUUCUCUGAUACCAAAUGAUAAGGGACACGAUAAUAAAAACAAACCAGCCAAGAACAACAUGAGAAAACUAAGGACAAGAUAUAAAACAAGCAUGGGCAGCAACACAAAGAAUCUGAGAAUAAGAAGAUAAGACACAAACACACAAAUGCAAUAAGAUAAAGGGAUAGAUAAGAUGACAUAAGAAAUUAUGAAGAAAGAAGAACCAAACCGUGUAUUAAAAGAUAAGACCCUUAAACUCGCAACAACAAACACCAAUCUUCUUACGAUGACCGCUAAGAGAAUCAACUCCACCUUACAACCACUGUUUCUAAGCAAAGAUCAAUAAUGGCUUUUCCAAGACAUUCACUAAUGGCUUUUCCAAGCCCUACACUAAAGGUGUUAUACUCUCAAAGAGAGAAGAAGUCUUUCACAUAUUCAUCAUUCAAAAAAUUAAAUAGAAAAGACCUAAAAGAGACUAUAUAUAGCCUUAUUACAUAAUGGGAGACAAAAUGACUCCAAUACCCUUAAUGAGGUGAGGCGGCCAUGGAGUAUUACUUGAACAAGGCUAAAUGAACAAAAUGCCCUUAAUGAAGGGCCCGAAACCAUGAGUCUUCAAUCUUCAAUGCUCCAAGCAAUCUUCCACAGGCGGAAUUGCUCUUUGGUGUACUCAAAUCGGCCCCUCCAUAUAGGAUUCCUUGUCCUCAAUGCAACCAAAGUUUGAUGCCCCAUGUACUUACUUCGAAUGAUGUCAUCGAAAUCUAAGGUGACCAUUUGACCCGUAUCAGUAAAAAAAUACAAAAGUUCACUAUUUGCUUAGGUGUUGUAACUAAAUAUCAUGUAUACUCAGAGAUUAGUAUGUCCUAUUUUUUGUUCAGUUCCCUGAGUUACAGAUAAAACUAUCAUAUGAAAGGAAAGGUUUAUAUUACUUUUAUAUUUGUUGAGUACACUCUACUUUUAGUACUUUUUUAUUUUGUGCAUCCAAGGGUGUGGCCUAGUGGUCAAUGCAUUAGGUUGAGCACCAUGAUUAAUUUUUAGCAAGACAAAAACAGAUAUGCAUAGUCAUGCUUAACUGAAUUUUUCUUUACUUCAUAAUGAAAGAGUUUUGAUGUCUAGACACCAUUGGAUGCUAGAUAAAAGACUACCUUAGUAUGUGUACCUUAGCUCAGAACAUGUAAUUCCUUAAUAAAGGUCUUACUUGUGAAAGUAUAACCUCACACAGUGUGGUGAUAGAAACUUCUUCAUAUUUUUUUUAGUAUCUACCUGCUUGUUUGGUGUCAUCAUGUGGUGAAAGUUCAGUUGUAAUUGCAAGGCAAUCAUAUCAACCAUCUUACCUAAUCCUUCAUAGUCUGUACUUAGGACAUAGUCCACUAUAGAGGAAGGUUAGGAACUAUUGGUCAAUUCUGACCUUUAUUCAAUAUAAGUUGCUUUGCAAAUAUUUAUUGAAUUGUAUACUAUUUGGGAGGGCUAUAUCUUGCCUGGGCCUUUGUAACACCCCGUAUUUCGGGCUAGAACAAAAAUCGUCACUUCUAUGCGUAGAUGAUCCAAAAGCCUUAAAUCUUAUGUAAAUUUGGUAUGUUAAUCAAUUAUGGAGUGUGGGAACCUAUUUGAGCAUGAAUUGAGAUCGUAGAGGUCCCCUAACUCAAGGACGAGUUGAAAGCUUUCCUAUCGUUCGAGUUGAGUAGCGUCGAAACUUGGGUCAACUUCAAUCAACCAUAACUCUUUGUAUAUAAUGAAUUAAAGAACCUACUAUAUAUCAAAUGAAAUAUCUUCUAAUUAUCUUUACAAAAAUACCAACUUUUCCAAAAUACGAUACCUGAAUGAAAAGUUACAGCCAUUUUCAUGAGAGGCAGUAAGCUGGGGCGAUAAUCGAGGCGGCGCCCUGCCUAUUCCUGCCAGUGUAAUUUCCUGCAGUCAAGCUUCGUGUCCAAUAGGGAUAUUUGGGUCAUUUACCACCCUUAAAUAGCCCCAAUAACAUGAGAUUCAGCCUCUAAUAACCAAAUUAUACCCUCAUUCUCUCAAAUUCUCUCAAGAAUACUUCUUACGGUUUCAACCCAAAGAUCAAAAUAUCUUAAGAUUUCACCAUGGGUUUUUAAUAAUUCUUUGAGAUUCGGAAUCCCCAUUGUGAGGGCUACAAGAAGCACCCAUCAAUUGUUUGAAUAGCAUCCCUAAAGCACGAGUUCAUUCAAGAGUCAUAAAUUAAGGUACGUGGGGUUUUCCUAAAAAUCUCAUGGGCAUAGAAAUCAUGAUUUUAACGAAAAGGGUUUUAGAUUUAUGAUUUAUAGUCAUGUUUUAGAAGUCUCGAUGGCAUUGUUUUGGUCUUUAGGCCUUUCCCCAAAUUGAUUUAAAAUUCUACAUCUAUGUAUACAUAUUUUUAAGGUUGAAUAUUCAAUUGAGAGCAUGAAUUGUAAUGAAUCCCUCUCUUGUUAUGGUUUUUCCAUCUUUCAUAUGAUAUGAAUUGUUUUGAAAUGCAUCUUGAAAAGCAUGGUAUGAAAUGUCUUGAUUAUUGCUAUGACUUGAAUAUGAUUUUUGAAUUCAAAAGAGAGGGUUGUUUGUAUUGAUAAAUAUUGAAUAUGAAUAUCUAAGGGAAAGAGUUGCAUGGUACAAAGAUUUCAGAAUCACCACAUCGUUAUUGAAAGAAUGAUAACCUUUGAAUAGUUUUGACUUGUGCUUUCGAAACAUGAAAUCUCUUAUACUAUUUGCAUGUUUGGGUGGUCUGAAUUGAGUUUUGAUGAAAGAAUCAUGCAUGAUGAAUUAUGGCUCAGAAAUAGGACUUGCAAGUCUUGGUGUGACGAUACCAACUUAGAUAAUGUCAUGUUAAUUCAUAACAUAAUAGAAUGUAUGUUUGAAAUCAAAUUUUUAGAUUUUGAAACUAGAAUGAUGCAUGUUUCAGAAAAGACUAAAAUUGGACAUAAAAAGAGCUUAGGUGGUUCACCAAAGAACGCACGAUUUCAGACAACUCAUUUCCCAAAACCGUGAUUUGCCGAUCCGAGUAUAUUAUUAUACGCUGGCCUAGUGCCUUAUGGCAUAUCAGACUCAGACACUCCAACCCUUGCAGCACACUUGGGUUGGGGGCUUCCCCGCCGAGCCAAUGGCGGAUUCCAUAUAGCCUGUGGAAUAUCAAACUUGUAGAGGAGUGCCACCUAACUAGAAGUAAUACAAAGAUCAUGAAUUGCAGUGAUAGAAAGUUUUUUUAUGAUUUUAUCAAUAAUGCCCAUGUGUUUCGAACUUAUAUCUUAUAAGAUUUUUUAUGAAUAGCUCUCAAUUAUUUUAUUUAUAUAAAAGCUUUAUUUUAGAUUGCUCUGCGUACCAGUACAUCUGUAUUGACCCCCUACCUUCCAAGUUCCGAGGCACAAUCUAGGGGCAUUGAUAAGCAGUAGAUUUCUUCAGACAGAAUUGCAGAGUCCAGUUGGUGAGCCUUCUAUAUUUCAGAAGCCCUAUUUAUUUUCACAUAUUUAUCAUUAGUCAGGGUUUUGGCCUACUGGGGGCCUUGUCCCAGUCUUUAGACAGUUGCUAUUAGUUAUGUAGUAGAGAUUUCGCAAACAAUUUUCAGAUGUUAUUAGAUGGUUUUGGAUUUUAUUUUCCAUUUUUGAAUUUAUGUCAGACUUAUGACCAUGAUUUUGUUUUGUUAUAUAUUUCCUGAUACAAGAACGAACACACAACACAGAUUCAAGAGAUCUACAAGAUAAAAAACAAUAGAGAAUCAAAGGCCCCACUCAACUUCUCUAUGUUUUCAAGACAACAACAACAAUAUUCAACAAAGUAGAUGGAGAAUACAAGAUUACAAGGACUAUAGUGAAUCGAAGAGUCCCCACAAGGCUUCACUAUGUCAAAACAUAAACAACAAGAUUACAAUAACAAGAAGGCUACAUGUACAUUAACAACAACAAGGAACCACGGAUUCAACAAGAUACAAGAUAAAUAGUUAGACCAAAAGAAGGGACAAUCUUAAGAACCCAAGAAUUGUUACACUCUUAGACCCUUAAACACUAUCCGAGACACAAACCUAACUCUACGUUGACACAAGAGGGACUUUACCUCCUCUAAACACCAACUUUUCAAGCCAAUAUGCAAACACAAGUGAAUCUUCACUUGUCUAGCCCUAGUUUCGAUUGGAGCUCUUAAGAGAGAACUAAAGUGUUGCAAAUGUUACAAGUAUCAAAAUAUGAUCAACUAAGUGAAUAAAACCCUAAGUGGUUCUAUUUAUAUUACAUUCCCCAAAAGACUUAAAAUAACAAAGGUGCCCUUUUAAUGAAUAAGGCUUCAAGGCCACCCCUUUAGUGCACACACAAGAUUGGUUUUUGUCUUCUCCCACACUUAAGCUCGGGCCUUCUCUCAGUUUCCUUUGACAUACACAAAAAGGGUCCAUCUACGAGAUCACACUUGUAUCAUUCUCUCCAUCUUGAGAGGAUUUUGACCUCAAACUCAAGCAAUCUUCACCCGCAAGCUAUCCUCUUCAAAUAAUCUUUUCUCGGCUCCUCCCAAGGUUAGGAUAUUCAACCAAGGGUGUCAUGAGAUCAUCAAGCUUGCUCCUUGGGCUUGGAUGUCCUUCAACCUGUACAUAAGAAGAAUGGAUGCUAGGCAAAGUGCUAGCAUCUCGGUUAGUAAGCAUCAAAGUGUCUUUGUGGGUAAAUCCCACUUCUUGAAAUCUCGGCUCCUCCUCUUCUUCAUCAUCCUCACCCUCGAUUUCCUCUUCUAAAACAUCACUAAGCAUGAUUCUCCUUGCCAUAAACAAGGGUACUACACACUCUCCAUCAACCGGCCAAAUAUCUUCCACACCUUCAUCUAUUUCUACCUCGGCUUCUUGCUCUCCAUCUUGAGCGUUUUCAUCAAACUCAUUCAUUGCAAACCCCACCUCCUCACCAAGGUAAUACAAUUUUCCUUCCCUAAGGAUUAUAUUUCUCUAGUUUGGGCACUCAUUAGCUUUGUUCCUCCACCCUUGACAUUUAAAAUAUUGAAAUCCUUUAGGACAAGAAGUAGAAUUUGGUUUACCAUCAUUUGUCGAAAGAUACCUUUGGGAAACCUUGGUCUCAUCUUGGAUCAGCUUGGCCUCAGGUUUCUCCUCAUUGGAUGAGUCAAUCUUGUCCUUGUGCCAAUCCGAGGGUGAUUUCCCCUUGAACUUACUGCCCACCCUUCUCCGUAUCUCUCUCUCAAUCUCUAAGGUGGCUUGGAAAAUAGCAUCAAUUGUGUUAAACUUGUGUAAGGUAAAUUGUGAAAUAAUAUCUCUAUUCAACCCCACCUUGAAUCGUAUGAUGUCAUGACUCACUUGUUCCCAUCUAUGAUCAAGUUUCAAGAUGAGUUGUUGGAAUUCAUCGUAGUAAGCCAUGAAGUUUUUGUUUCCUAGCUGGAAGACUACCUAAGAUUGUGCACCUUAGCUCAGAACGUGUGAUUGCUUAAUAAAGGUAUCACAUGUUGUGUUGGUAGAAACUUCUUCAGGUUGUUUUCAGUAUCUAUCUGCUUGAGCAGUGUUUCUCAAGUAGUGAAAGUUAGUUCAGUUGUCAUUGAAAGGCGAUCAUACCAACCAUCUCGCCUAAUGUAAGGGCUAACUUUUUUGUACAACGACGGUGAGGAUGGUCCGAAUUGUGGUUGGUUUAACCACUGGACUGUAUGUUUUAUGAAAAUCAAUCCCAGGUAUUUGGGUGAACCCUUUUGCAACCAAAUGUGCUUUGUACCUAUCAAUGGAGCCAUCAACCUUUGUUUUGAUUUGAAACAACCAUUUGCAUGGAACAAUAUUUCUGGUGUGGUCCAGUGGAACCAACUCCCAAGUAUGGUUUUCUAUUAGUGCAUCAUACUCAGCGUACAUAGCAUCUCUCCGAUAUGAUAAUUUUUGUGCUUAUUUGUGGGUUACAGGUAAAAUGGUAGGUACAGACUGGGUUAUUUGGCCAAUGUAGUCAAAAAAUUUUGCCGCUUGACAAUGUUAUUUUGUGACCUUGUUACUACACAAUUUUGCUCUAUUUGUGGAACUUGAACUAUGGGUUCAGUGGGUGGAGGCAAGUUAAGAGAGCAACUGCUCACACCUCUAUUAGCAUGGAGGGAUAGUGAUAGCUUUGGGCGACGCUGAUAAACAUGAGUAACUGGUGGUUGGCGAUGUAGAGAGCAAGGAUACACAGAGAAGGUAGGGGGUGGGCUUUGAAAUAUGAAGUGGGAUGGUUGGGUAUCAAUAACAGGGGAUAGGGAAGUAGUUUGAGGAUUACCUCAUCCCGGAGUGGUGACCCUGGGUUAUUUCCCUGUGCGGUGCGAACUGAGCAGGUAUCUUGGUGUGCAACUGGCCUGUUCGGAAUAGUGGGACAAAGCAAGGUGAGACAGGAUUAAUAGCGGUGGAACCAAUUUCCACAUCUGGAUUUUGAUGUUUUAAAGUGUUUUCCCAAUUUAAAUAUGAAAAGCUUUGUUUCACCUGAGAAAAAAUAUUAUCAAAUGGGAAAAUUUCUUCUAAAAAUUUUACAUCCCGUGAGAGAAAAAGUUUAGAGCUGGUGGGGUCAAAACACUGAUGGCAAUGAUGAGUGACGGAGAAACCGAGAUAAACACAAGGUUUGGAAUAUGGUUCUAAUUUAUUUUGGGUAUAUGGUCAUAACCAUGGGUAGCAUAGACAUCCAAAUGUACAGAGAGAUUCAUAAGCAGGUGUUUUGUUGAAAAGAACUUCAAAUGGGGACUUGUUAUUAAGAGUGGCAGUAGGCAGGCGAUUAAUGAGAAAGGCAGCAUGAUGGCAGGAAAAUGUCCAAAAAUUGAAGGGCAAACUUGCUUGAUGAAGCAACAUUUUAACAGUCCCAAUAAGGUAUCGAUGACGUCUUUCAGCCAAGGCAACCCAUUGAGGAGUAUGGGGAGGGGGAGAGACAAGGUGUUGUAUGCCAUUAGAACUAAUGUAUGGUUCCAUGACUUUAUAUUCUCUGCUUCCAUCAGUGUAAAGUAAGAGGAUUUUGUGACCAAAAUAUUUUCAAGCAUAGGAUGUAAGCUUUGAAAGUGUUUUUGCACUUCAUGUUUGUUUUUCAUUGUGUACAACCAAAUGUAUUUGGUGUACUGAUCAACAAAUAGACAAUAGUAGCAAUUUUUAUCAAUAGAGAGAACAGGGGAUGGACCUCAUAAAUCACUGUAAAUUAUUUCUAAUGGAUGUUUGCUAGACAAAGUGUUUGACUAAAAGGGAAAUCUAUGAGCUUUAUUGCAGUAACAAGAAUUACAAUAAGUAAACUUGUCUUUUGAAGAAUAUGAAAGACGGGAGCUGUUUAAAAUGGAAAGUAACCCUCGAGAGUGGGGAUGGCCCAAUCUUCGAUGCCAGAGAUGUAAGGAAGGUCCAUCAAUGGCAAUGUUGAUGUUUGGUCGAGUCAGGGAUGGCCAUUCAUAGAGACCUGCUUUAUUCGGGCCAUGCAGAAGAGGUGCUCCCAUAGUCAGAUCCUUCAUAAGAAAAGUAAAAGAAAAAAAUUCUAUGGAGGUUAGAUUUUCUUUGCAAAAUUGAUGAACUGAAAUGAGUUAGCGUUUGAUAGCUGGAGCACACAAAAUACUAGAAAGUUUGAAGGCAAUAUUUGAUGCAGUUAAGUGAGUAUUACCAUUUUGAGUAAUCGGAAUCACAUUACCAUUUCCCAUUGUCACUGCAUCCAUACCUUUGAAUUCUUGGACAUUAUGGAGUGAGUUGGUAUCCGAGGUGAUGUGGUGAAAAGCACCUGAGUCAAUAAUCCAAGGGUUACUCGGCGUUGAGUGCGCGGCAAAAUUUGCUUUUGCUUCAAAGUGGUUAUGGGAUCGAAAGCGGCAAACAUUUGUUGUAUGUCCAAAUUUGUCACAAAGUUGACAAUGUACUCGUGAUGAAUGGUGUGGGAAGUUACGCCACUAAGAAUUAUCCAUCGGAUUACACCACUGGGAAUUAUCCGUUGGAUACUGAGAAUGAGUGCUUUGAUUAGGCUGCCUGUCUUGGGGACGCCAGUUACUAUUGUUGGAUGGGCGUCUAUUGUUGCGUGGGCUGAUGGAGCUGAGGAAAAGUUCAUGAUCAAGAAUCUUGUCAAAAAGUUCUUCAUAGCUAAUAGGAGAGUCCCUUGCCCGUAUGGCUGCAGAGAUUUCGCGAAAUUCUGACCCGAGUCCACUUAGUAUUUUCACCACUAGUUCUUCAUUAUUGACGGGUGAACCUGCUAUGGUGAGUUCAUCAGAGAGAGCGAAUCUCUCGCAUAUAUUCGGCAAUGGAUUUAUUGUCCUUAUUGACUCGAUUGAGAUGGUGACAAAGGCUGAAGACAUGGGUUUGCGAUUUCUUUGCAAAGGAAGUGUGAAGUUGAUCCCACGCAGCUUUGGAGUUGAUAGCAGAAGGUACCGUGGGUGCGAUUAUGGCAUCUACAGAUGCCAUGAGAGCAUUUUGGAGCAAUUUAUCCUGAAGAAACCAAUCCUUCUACGCCGUGUUGGCUGUCUCAAGGCCGUUAGUUGUUAUUGUUUGAGCAGGGGACAAUAUGGUGCCAUCAAGAUGACCAUAGAGGUCAUGGCCAUGAAGCAACAUGGCAAUCUGGGCUUUCCAUAUGGUAAAAUUAGUGUUGCCAGUUAGUUUAAUGGGCAGCUGGGAUGAUGGAUUAAAUUGAAUCAAGUGUUUGAGGACAGGGGCAACGUCAGCAUUAAUGACGGGGUUAGAAGAGGCCAUUGCUGCAAAGAGAAGAAGAAGAAGAAGAAAAAAUGGAUCUUGGACUCUGUUAAGAGUAUUUUGGCUUUGAUACCAUAUAAAUGUAGAGAAUGAAGAUGAAGUUGUUUUGAUUUCAUUGAUAUGUAUGUGUAUAUAUACAAGAUAACACAAAACAAAUAAGGAAAGAAUCAACUAAUAAAGAAUUGUGAUCUUCUCCUAAACAGAAACUAAAUCACUAAACUGAUCUUCCAUAUCUCAGUUAUCAAUCAGGAAUACAUACUCCAUUAGAUAGCAAGAACACUUGUGAACUCGGAUAACCUUAUGGCAUGCUGCCAAAUCUACUCUACUCUACACUAUCAUCUUUCUUCUUUUUGAUUAAAACAUGACAAAUAUUUAUUCAACUGCGGCUACACUUACACCAAGAACUCCUAUUGCUUCAAGUGCUGAUUCAAUUGCAACAUUUACUGUGACAAGACGAGCGUUGAAAUAAAGGAAGAUUACACUGAAGCCGCAAAAGAGGUUUAUAAGUUGUUUCAAAUCACAGAGUUUAAAUCUUAACUGGGACAUUUUAGUAUUUUCUUAAAUCCUCUUAUAUAAAUCUUUUGGCUCCGACCCUGUUAUCUUCUAUUAGUUCAUUCCUAACUUUAUGCAGAAUGAUUUUUACAAAAUAUUUAUUGAAUUAUAGACACUAUUUAGGAGGACUAUAUUUUUUCCUUUGCUCCUUUUGUUAUGUUCUUUAGUUUUAUGGUGUUCACUUUUCCCACACCAGAAGAAACAAGUUGCUACAAAAACAAAGGCCCAUUUACAUGAAAACUCUUAACUUUCUCGGCCUUUUGGCUAAGAUCAAGUGUAGUAUCUGUUCUUAUCAGUUUAAUAUCUGAUAAUGUGGAUCAUUGGUUCAGACGAUAUUAACUCUAUUUUAUGAUGUGGAAGGUUCAUAAAGGUAGCUUGCUGCCUGGGCCUUCAUGUGUCGCCUAAACGUUGCACUACUGCUUUGGCCUGGUGCACCCCACCAAAUCUAGUUCAAUGUUUCUGCAAUAUGUUGUUUUUGAGUCCUUUAUACUUGUUUUUUAUUGGAAUUAUUAAUUGUGGUGUCUGUGCACCUCAACUAUUUCAUUGAAUCAUCGGAUGCCUACCACCUCUAAAGUACUCACCCGUUUCAUUGAUCUCUAGAGGCCUUUGGAUGCUAGCUAGAAUACUACUUUAGAAUGUCGGAGCCAAAAAUUUAUAGACUGAUUCUCUCACCCACAAAACUGCUGCUCUCGAUCCCACCCAUUCUUAAGUUGGCUGAUGCACUUAAUCAGAAAGUGAAGUCUGUGAGGUACACUCGUGGUAGUUUCAUCUUUCUUGGGGCUCAACCAUAUCCACAUCACCAUCUCUCUGAAGAUGUGGGCAUGCUUGACAGCUAUUUCGGUAAAGUUUGGUGCAGGCAGCAAUGCAUAUUUGAUGGAUAGUGCUGUUACACAACAGAACUGGCAUGUGUAUUCUUCUUCAGCUGAAUCUGCCGAUGCCAAUUAUGUGAAUCCAGUUUAUACACUGGAAAUGUUAGUACUCAAUCUAGCACUGCUGCUGAGAUGACUGAAGUUUCAGGCAUUUGUAGGAUUCUUCCAGAACCUAAUAUAUGUUAUUUCGACUUUGACAGCAAUCUCCACAAUUAACAUAACACCCGUGGAUGGAUUCAGCUAUGCAAGUUUUGAAGCAGUGUUAUGAUUUCAGAGAGGUCAACUUGACUGCAAUGAUUGAGAGGGUGUUGUCCGAUGAUUACGCUGUGACACUCCUGAGAAGCAACUUUAUACUGAGUCUGGCCUGGACAUUAUCGGAUCUGGAGAAAAGACUACUGAAGUACUUGGUAAGGGAGGAUCAGUUACAUACCUCACAUUUAGUAGCGGUGACAGCUGCGGAUCCCCCAGAUCAAUCCUUAAUAUCUAGGCGUGCAAAUAAUGUUUCUUUGUGGAUUCAUGAGGUCUAGUAGUAGCAUUAGUGUUUGGUAUUUAAAUUCUGUGGUAAGUCCGGGAUGAAAUGAACUGUCUCUACUAAGUUAAUGAACCUCGUUGUUAGAGUGCGUACCCUACUGAUUUUAGUGUUUUACUCUAAUAGUUGUCUAUCAGUGGAACAAGUGAGCUAACGUGGUUCACGUAAGUAAAGUAUGAAGACAAUAUUUUUACGUGGAAAACACCCGGCUCAAGAAAUGUAAAAACCCACGGGCCUGUACCUCUACAGGAUUUAACCCCAACUUCACUAAAACUUUGAGCCUCAAAAAUCUACAAAUUACAAGACUUCUUGUAAACUAGGAAUUAAACUUCUAACUCCUAUUUCUACAAUAACACAAAUCUUUCCAAGAUAAGUGUUCUCAAGUCUUUGAGUUCCCUAACUUGAAGACACAGCUCCUAACUCAGUUUAUAUUUCACUGAGACUAGAACUAAGACUCAGUACAACUCAAAGAACCAACCUAUUACACAAAGUCUACGACUUGCUAAGUAAAGGACCAGGUUCUUCUUUAAGCUAGUGAACUGAUUUGCUGAUUGAUGCUUUUCUUAUCAGUGCAUGAGUGAAGCACUUGAAUGUUGUUUCUUGUAUUUAAGCCAACUCCUGAUUUAAGUCGUUUAGAUGAUGUGCUUUUCUUUCUUUAAUAGGACUCUAAUAGGACUCUAUUAGGUAGUUUCACUCCUUGUUCCAUUAUAUCUCGUUGAUCCUUGAUCGAGUAGGACUCUGAUAUUUGCUCAAUCUUCAAGUGUUUGUGUUUAUCCACCUUUCAACUUCUUUGCUGCAUGUGAUAAGCGUUGAGAGCAUAUCUGAAUUUCCUUGCUUAUCCACUCCUGUCUUUACGCAUUGUCAGCCUUGCAUCUAUUUCGAUGUGCUUCACAUGUGAGGAGCAGUAUGACUAACAUGUUUCACACACAUAUGUCAAUCAUCAAAACUCCUUUGCUCUAACACUUGUAGCAUUAUACUAACGUUUUUGUGGGAGACUAUAUAAAAUAUCAUCAUUUGUGAAUAUGUUUGUACUCCAUGUUCUUCUGAAUGUGUUUUACGCUUUGAACAUUCACCUGUUUUAAAAAAUAUUAUUGAAUUGCAGACUAUUUGGGAGGACUAUAUAUUUCUUUUGCUCAACAAAUCUUAUAUUGCUUUUGCUCAACAAAUCUUAGUUUUUGUUGUUCAAUAUUUCCCACAUCAGAAAAAAGUAAGAAAGAGACACCAGAAAGUUGCUAUAGAAACAAAGGCCCAUUGACUUGAAAACUAAUACCUUUCUCGGCCUUUUGGCUAAGAGCAAGUGUAGUAUCUGUUCUUAUCAGUUUGAUAUCUGAUAUGUGGGCCAUUGGUCCACAUGAUAUUAACUCUAUUUUUUUAGGGGGAAGGCUCAUCAAGGUAGCUUGCUGCCUGGGCUUUCUCACGUUGCCUAAGUGUUGCACUGUUGCUUGGCCUGGCGCACCCCACCAAAUCUAGUUUAAUUGUUUAGCAGUUUAUUUGCCCUUGUCUUUAUUGGUUACUUCUUUUUAUAUUUGCAAGGAGGUGAUUCAGUUUUGAUUGAACAUUUUAUACUUAAUUGAUUUAUUAAACUGUGUUGGUGUUGUUACAUAAACAUUAGGUUAUUCAAAUGCAAUAGGCCUUUCAGAUUUUUCUUUUGAUGAUCGGUCAGUGAAGAAACCUUCAGCAGUUAGGUCCCGAAGCGGUGAACCUUCUAUCAAUCCGACAAUUUUUGGCAUCAGUUAUUUCAUCUUUCACUGUUCCAUUGCUGUGUCAACAACAUUGGCCCGUAAAUGAGCUUAAUCUCCCAAUUGGGAAAGUAAAGUGGCUUGGUGACUUGGAGUCAAAGUUGAGUAGACAGUAACAUUCUCUCUGCCCUCUCUCCUGCGUGUGUGUGAGAGAGAGAUAACGGUGGUGGCCGUGCAUCUCAACUAUUAUUUUUUGAGAAGGUAACAUUUUUUGUAUAACUAUUUGUUGCAUAAAAAAUACAGUCAUUCAUACUUACAAGGAAGAUGCACUAAGCUAUAACCUACUUACAGAGAUCCUAUAACAUCAACAAAAGAUUCUACAUCUUCCAUAUAUUCAUGUUUACACCAAAAAUAGAAAAGGGUGCAUCUCAACUAUUUCAUCGAAUCAUCAGACACCUACCACCUCUCUUGUAUUGAGUAACUGUGUCCACCAAGACUUGGACAAUGCACGACUAUUUCAUCAAAUCAUCAGACACCUACCACCUCAUACAUGAAAAACUGUGUCCAAGACUCUGGACAAAUGGAAAGAAACUGUUAUAAAAGACGAAUUUAGCAGCAUAACAACAACAGAAGAAGAACAAAAUUAAGAGAAAGAUACAAAUAGGAAUUUAAUGUUAAAAUUAGCAAUAUGUAAUAUGUGUUAUAUAGAUGAAUAUACUUGCGCAUUUAAAGAAUAUUAUUAUAAAGGAACAUAUAAUACAGAAGAAAGUAAGAAAUUAAGAAAAUUAUAUUUUAGUAAAUUACCUGAACCAUUUAGUUCAAAAAUAAUAAAAAGUUGGGAUGAAGCAAAAAUAGUAGAUACUUUAGGAGCAAGAAUAAAAAUUUUACAACAAUGGUAUAGAAACCUAUGUGAAAAAUAUAGAGAAGAAAUAAAAAUGGAAAAAACAUUAAUAAGAAAUUUAGCAUGUUGCAAAGACAAAAUAACACCUCAAUUUGGAUGCAAAGAAAGAUAUUAUAAGAAAAGAAAAAGACAUAAGAAAUANNNNNNNNNNNNNNNNNNNNNNNNNNNNNNNNNUAGGACAUUUAGCUAGAGAUUGUAAAUUACCUAAAAACCCAAAAAAUAAACAAAUAUCAGAAAUAAAAAUAGAAAAUACAGAAUAUAUGUAGAUAGAUUAUAUAGAUUAAGAAUUAAAAAGUGAAGAUAGUAUAUAUGAAAUUUCAGAGAAUGAAACAGACAAUGAAAUAGCUAGUGAAUUAGAUGAAUUAAAUGACUGAAGAAGAUAUAACAAUAAACCAUAUAACUGAAGAAGAUAUAAAAAUAAUAACAAAGGAAGAAUAUUUAAAUGAAGAAGGAACAGAUCAAAAAUUAAUAUUUGAUAAUCAUAUAUUUGAUGAAACAAAAGGAAAAGAAUUAGAUUUAAGUGUAGAAAAAUAUUUAAAAUUCCAACAAUAAAAAAUAUAUUUAGUAGAAGAAAAGAAUAAUACUAUGUAGUAAGUCAAAAAGAACAUGUAAUAGAUUGUAGAUAUGUAAAAGGAAGANNNNNNNNNNNNNNNNNNNNNNNNNNNNNNNNNNNNNNNNNNNNNNNNNNNNNNNNNNNNNNNNNNNNNNNNNNNNNNNNNNNNNNNNNNNNNNNNNNNNNNAUGUUUUAGAGAAGGAAUAGAUACACUAAUAGAAUUAUACCUAGCAGAUGAUAGAAUUAUAAAACCUAUAGAAAAAAGUAUAAUAACUGCCAUAAAAGGAAAUUUAAUAUACGAAAAAUUUAAAUUUAUAAUAAUUGCGAAUUAUUGAAUAGCAAUAACAGAUAAAAAUAUAAAUAAAUCAUUAGUAUUAUAUUGGAAAAUAUCAGGAAUAGAACUAACCCAGGAAGUAAAAUAUUUACAGCAAGAUGUAAAAAUCUAUUUGUAUUAACAAUAAAACUUAAAAUAACGGGAAAAAAUAAAAUAACAAAAUACAAAUAGAAAGGCCUUUUGAACAAUUUGUAAAAACAACUGAUAAUAAUGAUUACAGUUAUAGAGACAUAGAUAUAGAAGAAAAUUUAGAAAUAAUAAAUNNNNNNNNNNNNNNNNNNNNNNNNNNNNNNNNNNNNNNNNNNNNNNNNNNNNNNNNNNNNNNNNNNNNNNNNNNNNNNNNNNNNNNNNNNNNNNAAUAUUUAAUACUCUUAAAUACAGGACAAGAAGAAAAUUAUUUAGCAAGAUAUCUAGUAAAAAAUGAGGAAAUAAAAUCUGACAAUAAUAUAUGUCGAGAUCUACCAAGAAGUUUAAUAAACACUAAAAAUAUAGUAGAAAAAGAAAUAAAAAUAGGAGUUAGAAAAAUAAAAAUAGAAUUUGAAAUAAAGGAAGAAAUGCAAAAAGCUGACAUAACAUUAGGAAUAAAAUGGUUAGAACAAGUAAAAUCACAUAAUAUAGAGCAUACACAAUUAUCUAUAACAUAUAACAGAGAGAAAUUAUUCUUAAAAAGAGCUUUAACAUGAUAUGAAAAUAUAUAUAUUAAUGAAGAUAGUAGUAGAACGGUAUUACAGUAGAUAUUAUACGCCUAUGAUAGAUACAGGAGCAAAAGCUAAUUUAUGUAGAUUUAAUUGUAUACCAGAAAGUAAAUGGGAUAAAUUAAAAACACCAAUAAUAGUUAAGAACUAGUCGUAUUUUCAAUAAAUAAAAAGGAAAUAACUAUAUUUUCAAUAAAUAAGAUAGAAAUAAUUAAGAAAAAAUUAGAACAAUUAUAUAGUGAAGAUCCAUUAAAAGGAUGGAAAAAACAUAAAACUACUAUAAAAAUUGAAUUAAUAGAUAAAAAUAGCAUAAUAACCCANNNNNNNNNNNNNNNNNNNNNNNNNNNNNNNNNNNNNNNNNNNNNNNNNNNNNNNNNNNNNNNNNNNNNNNNNNNNNNNNNNNNNNNNNNNNNNNNNNNNNNNNNNNNNNNNNNNNNNNNNNNNNNNNNNNNNNNNNNNNNNNNNNNNNNNNNNNNNNNNNNNNNNNNNNNNNNNNNNNNNNNNNNNNNNNNNNNNNNNNNNNNNNNNNNNNNNNNNNNNNNNNNNNNNNNNNNNNNNNNNNNNNNNNNNNNNNNNNNNNNNNNNNNNNNNNNNNNNNNNNNNNNNNNNNNNNNNNNNNNNNNNNNNNNNNNNNNNNNNNNNNNNNNNNNNNNNNNNNNNNNNNNNNNNNNNNNNNNNNNNNNNNNNNNNNNNNNNNNNNNNNNNNNNNNNNNNNNNNNNNNNNNNNNNNNNNNNNNNNNNNNNNNNNNNNNNNNNNNNNNNNNNNNNNNNNNNNNNNNNNNNNNNNNNNNNNNNNNNNNNNNNNNNNNNNNNNNNNNNNNNNNNNNNNNNNNNNNNNNNNNNNNNNNNNNNNNNNNNNNNNNNNNNNNNNNNNNNNNNNNNNNNNNNNNNNNNNNNNNNNNNNNNNNNNNNNNNNNNNNNNNNNNNNNNNNNNNNNNNNNNNNNNNNNNNNNNNNNNNNNNNNNNNNNNNNNNNNNNNNNNNNNNNNNNNNNNNNNNNNNNNNNNNNNNNNNNNNNNNNNNNNNNNNNNNNNNNNNNNNNNNNNNNNNNNNNNNNNNNNNNNNNNNNNNNNNNNNNNNNNNNNNNNNNNNNNNNNNNNNNNNNNNNNNNNNNNNNNNNNNNNNNNNNNNNNNNNNNNNNNNNNNNNNNNNNNNNNNNNNNNNNNNNNNNNNNNNNNNNNNNNNNNNNNNNNNNNNNNNNNNNNNNNNNNNNNNNNNNNNNNNNNNNNNNNNNNNNNNNNNNNNNNNNNNNNNNNNNNNNNNNNNNNNNNNNNNNNNNNNNNNNNNNNNNNNNNNNNNNNNNNNNNNNNNNNNNNNNNNNNNNNNNNNNNNNNNNNNNNNNNNNNNNNNNNNNNNNNNNNNNNNNNNNNNNNNNNNNNNNNNNNNNNNNNNNNNNNNNNNNNNNNNNNNNNNNNNNNNNNNNNNNNNNNNNNNNNNNNNNNNNNNNNNNNNNNNNNNNNNNNNNNNNNNNNNNNNNNNNNNNNNNNNNNNNNNNNNNNNNNNNNNNNNNNNNNNNNNNNNNNNNNNNNNNNNNNNNNNNNNNNNNNNNNNNNNNNNNNNNNNNNNNNNNNNNNNNNNNNNNNNNNNNNNNNNNNNNNNNNNNNNNNNNNNNNNNNNNNNNNNNNNNNNNNNNNNNNNNNNNNNNNNNNNNNNNNNNNNNNNNNNNNNNNNNNNNNNNNNNNNNNNNNNNNNNNNNNNNNNNNNNNNNNNNNNNNNNNNNNNNNNNNNNNNNNNNNNNNNNNNNNNNNNNNNNNNNNNNNNNNNNNNNNNNNNNNNNNNNNNNNNNNNNNNNNNNNNNNNNNNNNNNNNNNNNNNNNNNNNNNNNNNNNNNNNNNNNNNNNNNNNNNNNNNNNNNNNNNNNNNNNNNNNNNNNNNNNNNNNNNNNNNNNNNNNNNNNNNNNNNNNNNNNNNNNNNNNNNNNNNNNNNNNNNNNNNNNNNNNNNNNNNNNNNNNNNNNNNNNNNNNNNNNNNNNNNAUUUGAAAAACCAUUUACACCAAAAAUACAAAAAGAUCUCUUGAACAUACCCCCACAAAUUACCACAUAUCGAGAUUGUCUGAACCAAGAUAAAAAAGUUUAUAACUACACAGUCCAAAAAUACAUAGAAAAUAUCUAUUGAGUACAAACUUUCUAAACCUUAACCCCAGAGCUACAGAUAUCAAAGAACCCAACACAAAUUAUAUAACUCAAAGAUUACAAGGUCACAACAAGCUAAUUGAACUACCUAAAACCAACCCAAGCUUAAUAAAAACUUGUUUUGAUUAUGGAUUAUUAAAUACCAUAUACACCCAAGAUGGAGACGAACUAUCAGCUAUGGAAGAAUUACAAAAAAUAUUCAACACCUAUAAAAGAGUAACCAAAGGAAAUAUAUUUUAUAUAAAGUGUUAUACUGCACCAGCACGAUGAAAUAAAAUCAGUUAUACAAGUUGUAAAAAUAGGAUUAACCAGAGAUAUGAUUAUACCAGAAGAUAUUGUGCAGCAGCCAAAGAUACCCAAAAUCCAGAUACCUAAUUUUUAUGCAAACAAACAACUUAUUGGACUAGCUACAGUUAUUCAAGAACUAGCAAACAAUUAUACCUAUGGAAACCGAAUAUGAAGCUAUUAUUCAAAAGACCAUCAGAUGAUUUAUUCAAAUUCAAAAGAACUACGACAAGUAGAUAUGGAAGAUGUUAGACAAUGGAUAAUGACAUUACUUAAUCCAGAAAAAUAAUCUACUGCAAAAGCAAUUAGGAGAGGAUUUAUUUCAGACGGAUUAUUGACAAGAUAUUGCAAGAUAAUUGGACACAAAUAUCCAGAUCAUCAAUGUUUGAGAUGUAAUGGAGAAGAUAAUAUUGUCCCAGAUGUACAGCUAGAAUGAAGAUAAGCAUGCCAGCUGAAAAGAAGAUAAAAAAACAGCAGAUACAAUAGAGAAAAGAAGACAAAAGUUAUCAAAGUCAUAAAAGAUAUGAAAAUGACAUAUGACUUAUAGUUUUCAAGAUGUGAAUUAUUAUAGCUUUUGAUUUCUUUUACGUAAAAGACAUUGUAUAGUUAGUCUUUACUAGGUUAGGUAGAUACCAUUAUUAGCCUACUAUAGACUUUUUGACUUUUUUAAGUUUAUAAGACUUUAUGUAAAAGAUUAGUCUUUUCUAGGAAUAUAGUAUGUAGAUACGUGUAAAGUUUUUAGGAACGUGUAAAACAUUAGUACGUAAAACUAUGUAAAGCAUCCAUUAUAAAUGAAGGCAUCGAAGGCAGAAAGAAGCAAGCCUUCAUGCGUUGAAGCAAAAAAAUCUCUCUUGUCUACAACAAAUAAUUUGAUUAUUAAAAAACAGGUAUAUUUCAAUGGAAAAAUCUAUGGAGGAACAAACCUUAGAAUUAUUAAACCUACCAGAACAGGUAUAUUCAUUUACUAUUAUGAAUAGCUAAAUUCAUAAGUUCCUAACAAUCAUAAUAUGAUAAAAUAAGUUCNNNNNNNNNNNNNNNNNNNNNNNNNNNNNNNNNNNNNNNNNNNNNNNNNNNNNNNNNNNNNNNNNNNNNNNNNNNNNNNNNNNNNNNNNNNNNNNNNNNNNNNNNNNNNNNNNNNNNNNNNNNNNNNNNNNNNNNNNNNNNNNNNNNNNNNNNNNNNNNNNNNNNNNNNNNNNNNNNNNNNNNNNNNNNNNNNNNNNNNNNNNNNNNNNNNNNNNNNNNNNNNNNNNNNNNNNNNNNNNNNNNNNNNNNNNNNNNNNNNNNNNNNNNNNNNNNNNNNNNNNNNNNNNNNNNNNNNNNNNNNNNNNNNNNNNNNNNNNNNNNNNNNNNNNNNNNNNNNNNNNNNNNNNNNNNNNNNNNNNNNNNNNNNNNNNNNNNNNNNNNNNNNNNNNNNNNNNNNNNNNNNNNNNNNNNNNNNNNNNNNNNNNNNNNNNNNNNNNNNNNNNNNNNNNNNNNNNNNNNNNNNNNNNNNNNNNNNNNNNNNNNNNNNNNNNNNNNNNNNNNNNNNNNNNNNNNNNNNNNNNNNNNNNNNNNNNNNNNNNNNNNNNNNNNNNNNNNNNNNNNNNNNNNNNNNNNNNNNNNNNNNNNNNNNNNNNNNNNNNNNNNNNNNNNNNNNNNNNNNNNNNNNNNNNNNNNNNNNNNNNNNNNNNNNNNNNNNNNNNNNNNNNNNNNNNNNNNNNNNNNNNNNNNNNNNNNNNNNNNNNNNNNNNNNNNNNNNNNNNNNNNNNNNNNNNNNNNNNNNNNNNNNNNNNNNNNNNNNNNNNNNNNNNNNNNNNNNNNNNNNNNNNNNNNNNNNNNNNNNNNNNNNNNNNNNNNNNNNNNNNNNNNNNNNNNNNNNNNNNNNNNNNNNNNNNNNNNNNNNNNNNNNNNNNNNNNNNNNNNNNNNNNNNNNNNNNNNNNNNNNNNNNNNNNNNNNNNNNNNNNNNNNNNNNNNNNNNNNNNNNNNNNNNNNNNNNNNNNNNNNNNNNNNNNNNNNNNNNNNNNNNNNNNNNNNNNNNNNNNNNNNNNNNNNNNNNNNNNNNNNNNNNNNNNNNNNNNNNNNNNNNNNNNNNNNNNNNNNNNNNNNNNNNNNNNNNNNNNNAGAAAAAAAAUAAAGAAUACUAUAGUAAAACAUUUAAUCAAUUACUAUAUAAUCACCCCCCAAGAUAUGAAUAUCGAUAAAACUAACAUAAAUAAACUCAAAAUAAAAAUAAAAAUAUUUAGAAAAGUUAAGAAAUAUCCACGCACAAAUAAAAAUAGAUCCAUUGAAGUUAUAAUAGAUCUAUUUUAUCAUACAAGUUAUCCGCACCCCCCUACAAUUGCCCCUACAAUUGGAAAGUGACUAUAUAUAGCCUUAUUACAUAAUGGGAGACAAAACGACUCCAAUACCCUUAAUGAGGUGAGGCGGCCAUGGAGUGUUACUUGAACAAGGCUAAGUGACCAAAAUGCCCUUAAUGAAGGGCCCAAAACCUUGAGUCCUCAAUCUUCAAUGCUCCAAGCAAUCUUCCACAUGCGGGAUUGCUCUUUGGUGUACUCAAAUCGGCCCCUCCAUGUAGGAUCCCGUGUCUUCAAUGCGACCAAAGUUUAAUGCCCGACGUACUAACUUCAAAUGAUGUCAUUGAAAGUUAAGGCGACCAUUUGACUCGUAUCAGUAAAAAAAAUGCAAAAAUUCACUAUUUGCUUAGGUGCUGUAACAGUUUUAAGUCGAGGGUCUAUCGAAAACAACCUCUCUACUUCACCUGAGGUAGUGGUAUGGUCUGCGUACACUCAACCCUCCCCAGACCCCACUAGAUGGGAAUACACUGGGUAUGUUGUUGUUGUUGCUUAGGUGCUGUAACUAAAUAUCUUGUAUUCUCAGAGGUUAGUAUGUCUUAUUUUUGGUUCAUUUCCCUGAGUUACAGAUAAAACUAUCAUAUGAAAGGAAAAGGAUUAUAGUGAUUUUAUAUUUGUUGAGUAAACUCUACUUUUAGUACUUUUUUCUUUUGUGCAUCCAAGGGUGUGGCCUAGUGGUCAAUCAGUAGGUUGAGCACCAUGAUUAAUUUUCAGCGAGACAAAAAGAGACAUGCAUGGUCACGCUUAACUGAAUUUUGCUCUACUUCAUAAUGUAAGAGUUGUGAUGUCUAUACACCAUUGGAUGCUAGCUAAAAUACUACCUUAGUAUGUACACCUCAGCUUAGAACAUGUAAUUCCUUAAUAAAGGUCUUACUUGUGUAAGUAUAACCUCACACAAUGUGGUGAUAGAAACUUCUUCAGAUUGUUUUUAGUAUCUAUCUGCUUGUUUGGUGUCGUCAAGUGGUGAAAGUUCAGCUAUAAUUUCAAGGCAAUCACAUCAACCAUCUUACCUAAUCCUUCAUAGUCUGUACUUAGGACAUAGUCCACUGUAAAGGAAGGUUAGGAAGAAGGCUCUGACACUGAUUAUCUCUAUUGGCUCAUUCUGAACUUUAUUCAAUAUGAGUUGCUUUACAAAUAUUUAUUGAAUUGUAUACUAUUUGGGAGGACUAUUUUUUGCCUGGUCCUUCACGCGUCGUCUAAGUGUUGCACUACUGAUGUGGCCUGACGCACCCACCAAAACAACAAUGUAUCAUUUUUUAUCAAUACAUUGUGAGGGAUAAGAGAUAACUAAUCUAUGAAAAACUUUUAAAAAAAGGUUUUUAACUAAAAUUUUGUGAAUAUGGAAGUGCCACAAACUUUUCAGAUUUUUUUAUGAUAUUAGUGUUAGAAUAUGAGACUCUUCUUGAUGGUCUUUUGUUUAAUAGUUUCUUUUAAAUAUUAUGUUUAGUUUUAUUUUAAAAGAUAAAUGGUAGUCUUUAUUUUGGAGAAGUGUGUCUUGUAAGAUAGUGUGUCUUGUAAGACUUAUGAAGUGUGUCUUGUAAGACUCAUGUAGCUUAUAAGUAUAGUCUUUGUAAAAUGCUGACUAUGAAUGAAUGUUGAAUGUAUGAAUGAAAACUCAUGCUGAACCUUUUUUCUUCUCUUAAGCUCUAAAUUGUAACAGUGGUAUCAAGAGCCAACCUUCUUGAGGGAUCUGUGAAGGCCUAAAGAUAAGUUUUUUUCAGAUCUUCUAAAAAAAGAAACCUGAAAAGUAGUAACAUGGCAUCCAAUAGCUUCUUGGGUGCAAGUCCUCCUAUGUUUACAGGAGAAAAUUAUCACAUAUGGGUGAUAAAGGUGAAGUCUUAUCUCAAAGAUCUUAGUCUAUGGGAAACAGUUGAAAGUGAAAAUGAUCCCCCUCCAUUGGGACCAAAUCCAACUGUUGCACAAAUGAAGAAUUAUGAAGAUGCAAAGUCCAAUAAACCAAAGGCACUCGCGUGUCUUCAUUCAGCACUUUCAGAUGUGAUUUUCACAAGAAUAAUGGCUUGUGAAACACCUAAAGAAGUAUGGGAGAAGCUAAAAGAGGAGUUUGAUGGAAGUGACAAAGUGAAAACUGUCAAACUCUUAACUCUCAAAAGAGAAUUUGAGAUGUUAAGGAUAAAAGAAGGAGAUACAGUGAAGGAGUACUUUGCCAAACUUCUGAAAAUUGUAAACAAAAUAAGAUUAUUUUGGUGAAAUUUUUACAGAUUCAAAGGUGGUGGAAAAGAUGAUGAUAAGCUUACCAGUAAGGUUCGAGUCCAAGAUUUCAGCAAUCGAGGAAUCUUGUGAUUUGAAGACUUUGUCCGUUGCAGAGCUGAUUAGCAAGUUGCAAGCCCAAGAACAAAGAACAAGUAUAAGAGAUGAAGAAGUAGAAGAAGUGGAAAACUAACCAAGGUACAAAGCUUAUACAUGAUGUGUUGUAUGUUCCUUCUUUAGCAUGUAACCUGUUGAGUGUUAGUCAAAUGAUGUCUAAAGGUUACUCCUUACUUUCUAAGGGAAAGCAUUGUUUGAUUUUUUAUGCUGAUGAUACUUUGAUUGACAAAGUAGAAAUGGUGGAUAAGAUCUUUCCAGUAGAUGGAAAGUUUGAUAGUGCCAAUUAGGGGUGUACAAACCGAACAAUUAAGUCAAACCGAACCGAUGAAUCAAACCAAACCGAGGAAAAAAAUUGACUUAUGGUUUGGUUUGAUUGGUUUGGUGUUAAAAAAAAAACCAAUCAUUCUUGGUUUCGUUUGGUAUUAGCAAAAAUAAAAUCAAACCGAACCUAAACUGAACCACAUAAUACAUAUAUAAUUUAAUUUUUUAUACGUAAAAAAAUAUUACUUAUAAUCUACUUUUUAAUUACUUUUAUAACUUUUUUAUAUUCAGAAAAUAGAUAUAUAUUCUUGGGCAUUUAGUUAUAAUAUUUAGGAAAAAGAACAUGAACUGACCAUUUCAAAAAAGAAAUGACCCACACUAUGAAAAUAUGGACAAUUGGAGCCAGUUGGCCUAAUUUAUUUCCUUUUUUUAGCCACUUAUCCCAAAACCACUCUCCUUACACAAUUAAGGAAAUUAAAUGCUCUUUAUAGUUGUUACUCUUAAAUCACUUUUCUUUUCUAAAUAUACUUUCUCAAAUCUUCUUUUUUUCUCCUCUAUUAUGCAUCGAUCAAUCUACUGUAUUUUAUGAUCAAUAUCAAAAAUUGAUUUNNNNNNNNNNNNNNNNNNNNNNNNNNNNNNNNNNNNNNNNNNNNNNNNNNNNNNNNNNNNNNNNNNNNNNNNNNNNNNNNNNNNNNNNNNNNNNNNNNNNNNNNNNNNNNNNNNNNNNNNNNNNNNNNNNNNNNNNNNNNNNNNNNNNNNNNNNNNNNNNNNNNNNNNNNNNNNNNNNNNNNNNNNNAAGAAGAAAAAAAUAAAAUAAUGAGGUCUCAAGGUAAGAGAAAAGCCAUGUCUUGGUCCAUGUUCUUCUCAGAGGCUGAUUCAAUUACGGUGAGUCGGAGAUGUUCUUCUUAGAGGCCGACUCAAUCACGGUGAGUCGGAGAUGUUUUGAUGCAUGUAAAGUAAAAAAAAAGAAUAUGCCAAUAGAUACUCUUUUAUACCAGAUUGAUAUACAUUUUUUAAAAGAGAGAAGGGGAACCUUUGCAUGCACAUACAGUCUCUAUACCCAAUUUAUACUCUUUUAUACCAGUUUGAUACACUUUUAUACCACAUUGAUACAUUUUUUUUUUUUUAAAAAAAGGGGAGCCUAUGGAUGCAUAUACAGUCUUUAUACCCAUUUAAUACAUUUUUNNNNNNNNNNNNNNNNNNNNNNNNNNNNNNNNNNNNNNNNNNNNNNNNNNNNNNNNNNNNNNNNNNNNNNNNNNNNNNNNNNNNNNNNNNNNNNNNNNNNNNNNNNNNNNNNNNNNNNNNNNNNNNNNNNNNNNNNNNNNNNNNNNNNNNNNNNNNNNNNNNNNNNNNNNNNNNNNNNNNNNNNNNNNNNNNNNNNNNNNNNNNNNNNNNNNNNNNNNNNNNNNNNNNNNNNNNNNNNNNNNNNNNNNNNNNNNNNNNNNNNNNNNNNNNNNNNNNNNNNNNNNNNNNNNNNNNNNNNNNNNNNNNNNNNNNNNNNNNNNNNNNNNNNNNNNNNNNNNNNNNNNNNNNNNNNNNNNNNNNNNNNNNNNNNNNNNNNNNNNNNNNNNNNNNNNNNNNNNNNNNNNNNNNNNNNNNNNNNNNNNNNNNNNNNNNNNNNNNNNNNNNNNNNNNNNNNNNNNNNNNNNNNNNNNNNNNNNNNNNNNNNNNNNNNNNNNNNNNNNNNNNNNNNNNNNNNNNNAUUUUGAGUGCUAUUUUUAUGAUAUUAUUUUAGUUUUAGGUGCUAUUGCUGUCCUUUUCCCUAAUAUUUAUCCAUUAGUAACAGAUUAAUACAAAACUCAAUAUUAAUAUAAAAACCUAUAACUUUUCAAUUGCUUCACUUUACAUUUUACUUUCCAAGUUUUCAGAGAGUUCUCAUUAUUUCCUCAUCUUACUUUCAUCUUACUUUUCUCAUUCUCCUCAUUCGUCAAGUUUUGAUUUAGGUUUGUUUCUCUUCUUUCUCUUUUUUCUUGUGGAAUUAUGUUAUAGUUAAUUAUUUUAUGGAGUUAAAUUUUUAAUAAGUUGUCUCCAAUUCUUCAUUCUUCUUUAUGCUCACAUUUUAUGUGAAGGAAACUUUCAGACAAGUUAUUGUGACUAGUGACUUACAAAUUGAACCACUGAAUAUCUACAUAAUAUUACUUUGAGAGAUAGUAGUUUAAACGUCUUAGUAAUUUGCCAACUUAGUUUUAAUUGGAACUACUCUAUGACCAUUGUUUUUUUUUUUAAUCUUUUUAGUUAAAAUAUUUAAUUUUUUCUUCAAUCACAUUAUAAUUNNNNNNNNNNNNNNNNNNNNNNNNNNNNNNNNNNNNNNNNNNNNNNNNNNNNNNNNNNNNNNNNNNNNNNNNNNNNNNNNNNNNNNNNNNNNNNNNNNNNNNNNNNNNNNNNNNNNNNNNNNNNNNNNNNNNNNNNNNNNNNNNNNNNNNNNNNNNNNNNNNNNNNNNNNNNNNNNNNNNNNNNNNNNNNNNNNNNNNNNNNNNNNNNNNNNNNNNNNNNNNNNNNNNNNNNNNNNNNNNNNNNNNNNNNNNNNNNNNNNNNNNNNNNNNNNNNNNNNNNNNNNNNNNNNNNNNNAAGGUUUUGAUACCAAACUCCCUAAGAACACAACAACACAAACACCAAAAUCAGUCCACUAGUUUAAGAACUAUGGACCCUUUUGAUGACCUCUCUCGGAUUCGCAAGAAGAACAAGAAGGGAAGUGAUAUCAAGAGUCAAACACACUAAAACAGCAACAACACUUGAUGAACAAGAUGGAAUAAUAAAAACACACGGUUACAAGACAAGAACAUAAAUGGAUUACACUAGAUAUAGAUAAAAGAUUACAAGAAAGUAAAGAUACAUAGAUAGACAAAGGGAUAGUAUAAUAUUAACAACCCAAAAUCUUAUUCCACUUUUGGACCUUUAAUAUCACACACAACCUAAACUUAUCUCUUAUGUGCUCUGAAGGGAACCAUAAUUCCCAAGCAAUCUCCGUUUCUAAGCAAAUGAUCAACACAAGGAUUCCACCUUGCUAAAGACUCUCAAAGAGGCUAAAAAAUAUAUUCUCCAAAAAUCCCCCAAAAAUUACCUAAUGAGGUUCUAUUUAUACCUGGGUUAACUUAUUACAAAUGACUAAAAAACCCUUGCAAAGGGCGGAUGAACAGUGAACGCGGAUGAACAGAGAACAGUUUUGGAGCUUGUGGAACUUGUUCUCUACACUUCAAAACUUGUUCCUUGGAUGGGCAAACCCCCGAGCUCGAUUCUUAACACAUUGGACCCCGAUCAUGAUCGUACCCAUAUCAGGUUUACAGGAAACCAUUUCCUACAAGUGCUUCAUGGAGGGCAAUUGAAAAGCUUGAACUUGUUCACACUGAUGUAUGUAGACCUAUGAAAACAUCAUCCUUGGGUCAAAAUAAAUAUUUUUGUUGUUCAUUGAUGAUUUUACAAGGAUGACUUAGGUGUAUUUUUUGAGUAAAAAGUCUCAAGUAUUUUCAGUUUUAUGAAGUUUAAAGCUUUCGCUGAAAGACAGAGUGGCUGUAAGCUGAAGUCUUUGAGGUCAGACAAUGGAGGUGAAUAUACUUCAAAUGAGUUCAACAAGUAUUGUGAAGAUGCAGGGAUUGAUCACAAGCUGGCAGUAAGUUAUUCACCAGAACAAAAUGGAGUCUCAGAGAGAAAAAAUAGGACGGUAGUUGAAAUGUCUAGAUGUUUGUUGCUUGAAAAGAAACUACCGCAAAGUUUUUGGGCAGAAGCUAUUUCUACUUCAGCUUAUUUAUUGAAUAGGCUGCCAACCAAAGCUAUAGAUGGUAAAACUCCUAUUGAGGCAUGGAGUGGAAAAAGGCCAUCUGCCAAGUACUUAAAAAUCUUUGGUUCAAUAUGCUAUUCUCAUGUUCCUUUAGUGAGAAGUAGCAAGCUAGAACCGAAAGGUGAAUUGGGGAUCUUUAUUGGUUAUUCAUUGUAGGCCAAAGGUUAUAGAGUUUUUAACUUGCAAACAAAAGGUAUUUCCAUCAGAAGAGAUGCAGUAGUGGAUGAGCAUGCUUAUUGGAAUUGGGAUAAGGAGAAAGUUGAGAAAGAAAAUACAGGUUAUUUGAACUUGAAUCCGCUGUCUGAAACACAACUAUUUGGCUCUGAAAAUCUGGAAGAAGCUAAAGAAUCAGAUGGUGAAUCCUCACUUGAUUUGCCAAUUUUGAAGACAAGAUCCCUUUCAGAUAUAUAUAUAUAUAUAUGAAAGAUACAAUGUUUCUAUCUUGGAACCCACUACCUAUCAAGAAGCAUCAAAACAUGAUAUUUGGAUUGAAGCCAUGAAAGAGGAGAUUGGUAUGAUAGAAAAGAAUGACACUUGGAAGCUGGUUGAUAAACCCAAAGACAGAAAUGUAAUAGGGGUAAAAUGGGUUUAUAGAACCAAACUUAAUCCAGAUGGUUCAUUUAAUAAACACAAGGCAAUGCUUGUUGUGAAAGGUUAUGUCCAAGUUGCAGGUAUGGAUUAUGGAGACACAUUUGCACCUAUUGCAAGACAUGAUACAAUAUGACUUCUAUUUUCUUUGGCAGCUCAAUCAAAUUGGAAGUUGUAUCAUCUGGAUGUGAAGUCGGCAUUCUUAAAUGGACCAUUACAGGAACAAAUUUAUGUUGACCAACCAGAAGGAUUUCAAGUUGAAGGAAUGGAUGAUAAAGUUUACAGAUUGCAUAAAGCAUUGUAUGGAUUAAAACAGGCUCCUCGAGCAUGGUACAGUAAGAUUGAUGAUCAUCUCAUUCAUUGCGGCUUCAAAAGAAGUGAAAAUGAAGCCAUUUUAUAUGUGAAGAAGGCUAAAGGUGGAGAUGUGCUAGUGGUAUCACUCUAUGUUGAUGAUCUUCUGGUAACCGAAAACAAUGAAGCUAUGGUGAAUCAAUUCAAGCAAGAAAUAGAGACCAAGUUUGAGAUGUCAGACUUGGGUGAAAUGAACUACUUUCUGGGAAUGGAGAUUCAUCAAACUACUGAUGGAAUCUUUAUUUGCCAGAGAAAAUGAUAGUGGAACCAACCCCCAAUACAGAAAUAAGACACAAACACAAGAGAAACUAAGAGCUCAACAAGACCACUCUCUCGGCAGUAGCUAAAACAUAAGAGAACCGAGAAUACCAAGGGGAUCACAAGGUGUAUUUAUACACCAAAACAGUAGCGAUAACACGUGAUGAACACAAUAUAACAAGAACAGCAACAAGAGAUAACAACAACCCACGGUUUUCACUAGAACAAUAACAAACAAUUACAAGAAUGAAAGGGAUAGGUAGUGAGACAUUAAACCUUACAAGAACUAAGAACCUAGGUAUUUCUUAAACACUAAGACCCUUAACUAUUGUAAAAUCAACACCAACACUCUUACCAUGAUAGAAGAGGGCGUGGACCACUCAAGCAACAAGGUUUCUAACAAUGUUUUGCAAUACUAAUAAUUCCACACUAGCAUCACCCUCAUUUAAGUUUGGUGGCUAUUCCAAGCCCUAAAACUAAGGUAUUACACUCCUCAUGCUAGAGAGAGUUGUUCAAGUGUCACAACUUUCAAUAUCAAUAAACAACUAAAGAACUAAAGACCUAAAACUAGUCUAUUUAUAGACUUAUUACAAACAUAAGUGAAAUGUCUCAAAUUCCCUUCAUGAAAGGAAGAAAAAAGGUGCCUAUGGAGUGUAGUGUAUUACCCUUUCUUGGUGUGUGAUAUGGUGUUCCUUUGCACUUCAUUUGCACACUUCGAGUCUCGGGUUUGAUGCACACUCUCAUAAGUUCAUCUCCGUGAUUAUUCUUGUAUCAUCCUCUCCAUCUUAAGAGGAAUUUGCCCACAAAUUCACAGCUUCACCUUGUUCAAUUGGCCACUUAAAGGAAGCCACUCAAAAUAGUCCACAACACAUCUCGGCCGACAUCUUCAUUUUGAAUCUUGGCUUCCUCUCCAUCUUGAGCUUUACCUUCAAUCUCAUCCGAUUCAAGUCUCCUACCAUCAUACAAACAUUGUCAUAGACCCUAUAUCCUUUAUGUUCCUUUCUACCAUUCUCCUCUACAUGGACGUAGUGGUUUUGGUAACGUGGAGCUUUGGUCAAGAGGGUUGGUUUAGUGAAGCGGAGCUUCGGUUGUGGAGCUUGGACGGAAGGAAUUUGAAUUGGUAAAAGUUGACGCCUUUGGUUAAGUGGAUCUUGGAUGGGAGGGUUCAGUUUUAGUGUAGGCAUUUGGCGUGCAAGUCCUUGUUGGACUUGAUCAAAUUGUGGGAAAAUGGGCCCAGUUAUGUCUCGGUUUUUAGGGCUAUUUGGAGCUUAGCUUACGACAUUAGGUGAUGGUCUUGGAGGUCUGUUCAUUGGAAGUAAAGUGUCGGGAGUAAAAGCACGAGAGUUCCUUCGACUCUCCAUUCGAUUCCAACUCUCACUCAUAGUUACCACAUACGAGCCAAUUUUUUCAAGACCCGCAUUCACCCUAGCAAGGUCACGGGACAUAGUAUCAAGGAGGGCCAAAAUGGUACUUGUAGCAUUAUGGUCCACCGUGGGUUGAGGGGAUAAGGUCUCAGGUUUUAUUGCUCCAAAACAGUCCACAAUGUCACAAAAACAGCCAACAAAAGACACAAAAAUAGUCCCAAAAUGUCACACACAACAACACCAGCAAACGUUCAAGUCUUGAACCGCAAACAACAAUACCACACAAAGUAAACUCGUAUUGUUGUUAUAGUUGAAGUAUGAUGUUUUUCAAACUUGAGUUGUUCAAUCUCUCUCCUUGAUGAUGAAUUUCGGUUGUAGUGUAGGUGGACAAGGUUUGGAUUCUCUUUUCAAGAGUCAAAGGCUUCCAUUAACUUUUCACCAACUUGCACUAAUUUGGUAAAACACCUUUUUGUAGUAGCGUUGUCUCUUUCCUCUUUUGGCUCUUCUUGAAAAGUGUUUGUCACCCUUUUAGUAACUAAGCUUUUUGGAUGCCCUUUGUUUCUUUACCACUUUGGUGUUGUCUUUAAAGUAUUCCAAGACAAACACAAAGCCUUGUAUCUCUCUUAUCUUUUAAAAAUCAAACAAAUCCUUUUGUUGAACACCACUUCAAGAACAAUAUGAACAACAACAAGAACAAUAUGAACAACAACAACCUCUUAGCCGUCCACCCUUCAACAACACUUUGACAAGAGCUCAAAUCUUAGACUUUAGACUCAAAGGGUGUUAGUGAACAACAAGUUAACAAAAUAAACUACUAAUACAACAAAAACACACCGAAAUCUAGACACAAAUUUCAUCCCAAAACAACAACAAGACACAAUUUUGGCCAAGACAAUAAGAAUGGACAGAUUUGCUUCUUUUUGGAAUUUUCAAUUUUUCAACAUUUAUUUUUUUCUUUUUCGACUUAGAGAGCCCAAGAUUGGUAGUGUAGGAACACAAACAGCCUUAUCUCUGAUACCAAAUGAUAGCAGAGCCAACCCCCAAUACAGAAAUAAGACACAAACACAAGACAAACCGAGAGUUCAACAAGAACACUUUCUCGGCAGUAGCUAAAAAACAAGAGAACCGAGAACACCAAGGGGAUCACAAGGUGUAUUUAUACACCAAAACAGUAGCGAUAACAUGUGAUGAACACAAUAUAACAAGAACAACAACAAGAGGUAACAACAACCCACGAUUUUCACUAGAACAACAACAAACAAUUAUAAGAAUGAAAGGGAUAGGUAGUGAGACAUUAACCCUUACAAGAACUAAGAACCUACCUGUAUCUUAAAUACUAAGACCCUUAACUAUUGUAAAAGCAACACCAACACUCUUACCAUGACACACAAGGGCGUGGGCCACUCAAGCAACAAGGUUUCUAACAAUGUUUUGUAAUACUAGUGAUUCCACACUAGCAUCACCCUCAUUUCAUUUUGGUGGCUAUUCCAAGCCCUACAACUAAGGUAUUAUACUCCUCAUGCUAGAGAGACUUUGGUUCAAGUGUCACAACUUUCAAUAUCAAUAAACAACUGAAGAACUAAAGACCUAAAACUAGUCUAUUUAUACACUUAUUACAAACAUAAGUGAUAUGUCUCAAAUGCCCUUAAUGAAGGAAAGACAAAAGGUGCCUAUGGAGUGUAGUGUAUUGCCCAUUCUUGGUUUGUGAUAUGGUGUUCCUUUGCACUUCACUUGCACACUUCGAAUCUCGGGUUUGAUGCGUACUCUCAUAAGUUCAUCUCUGUGAUUAUUCUUGUAUCAGAAAAUAUGCAUAGGAUGUUCUUAAAAAAAUUCAAGAUGGAGAAGUGUAAGCCUGUAUUAACUCCUCUAGUUCACAAUGAAAAGAUCUCGAAGUCUGAAGGACGUGAUAGGGCUGAUCCAACAGUUUACCGAAGUCUAAUUGGUAGUUUGUUAUAUUUGACAGCAACAAGACCUGAUCUCAUGUUUACGAUAAGUUUUUGUCAAGGUUUAUGCAUUCUCCACUCAAGUUCACCUUCGUAUUGCUAAACGAACAUUGAGGUAUAUCAAGGGAACUGUUGAUCAUGAUAUUUGGUUUAAAAGGGAAGAGCGAGGGUAAUUGAUGGGUUAUUCAGACAGUGAUUGGGCAGGAAGUGUUGAUGAUAUGAAAAGCACUUCCGGAUAUGCUUUUACACUUGGUUCCGGCAUGUUCUCAUGGAAUUCAAGGAAGAAAGAUGUGGUAGCUCAAUCAUCUGCAGAAGCAGAAUAUAUCGCUGCUACUGGUGCAACUAAUCAGGCUCUAUGGUUACAAAAAAUUCUGCGUGAUCUAGAGCAAAAUCAAAUUGAAACUACUGUCCUUAAGGUUGACAACAAGUCAGCAAUUUCUAUGGCCAAAAAUCCAGUGCAACAUGGUCAUAGUAAGCAUAUAAAUGUGAAGUUUCACGCUAUCAGGCAGGCAGAGAAAGAUGGUGAAGUUAAUCUAGUUCACUGCAGCUCCGAUCAGCAGAUUGCAGACAUUUUGACCAAGGCUCUUCCUAAGGAAAAAUUUGAAGUUCUAAGGGCUACGCUGGGAGUAUCCAAGAAAAGUCUCAAGGAGGAGUGUUAGAAUAUGAGACUCUUCUUGAUGGUCUUUUGUUUAAUAGUUUCUUUUAAAUAUUAUGUUUAGUUUUAUUUUAAAAGAUAAAUGGUAGUCUUUAUUUUUGAGAGGUGUGUCUUGUAAGAUAGUGUGUCCUGUAAGACUUAUGAAGUGUGUCUUGUAAGACUCAUGUAGCUUAUACGUAUAGUCUUUUAUAAAAUGUUUACUAUGAAUGAAUGUUGAAUGUAUAAUGAAAACUCCUGCCGAACCUUUUUUCUUCUCUUAAGCUCCAAAUUGUAACAGUGGUAUCAAGAGCCAACCUUCUUGAGGGAUCUGUGAAGGCCUAAAGAUAAGUUUUUUUCAGAUCUUCUAAAAAAAGAAACCUGAACUGCAGUAACAUGGCAUCCAACAGCUUCUUGGGUGCAGUUAUUUAACAGUUUAUUUCAUUGAUCUUGUAUUUUCCAAGAGGAAUCAAAAUUCUUGGACAAUUUUUGGCAUCAUUUGUUCAUCUUUCAUUGUUGUUAUCUCUGUUCCAUUGUUGUGUCAACAACAUUGGCCCAUAAUUGAGAUUAUCUCCGAUAGAGUAAGGAAAGUGGCUUGGAGCCCCGGAAUCAAAGUAGACAUUCUCACUGCCCCCUCUCCUCUGUGUGUGCUUGUGUGUAAAAGAGAGAGUGAGAUAACGGUGGUGUACGUGAACCUCAACUAUUUCAUCGAAUCAUCAAACACCUACCACCUCUCAUGUAUUGAAUAAUUGUGUCCACCAUGACUUGGACAAAUUUAAAGAAACUACUGAUCUCUUUUGUUUCUACGAGAUUUCAAGCCUUAGUCUCUCAUGAUUUUCACCCAUUUCAUUGAUCGCUAGACACAUCUUGAUGCUAGCUAGAAGACUACCUUAAAAUGUGCACCUUAGUGAUGUGAUUGCUUAAGAAAGGUCUCACAUGUUGUGUUGAUAGAAACUUCUUCAGGUUGUUUCCAGUAGCUAUCUGCUUGUUUGGUGUUUCCAAGUGUUGAAAGUUAGUUCAUCUGUAAUUGCAAGGCAAUAACAUCAACCAUAUUCCCUGAUCCUUCAUAGUCUGUGCUUGGAAAGUUGUCCACUGUAGAGAAAGUUUGGGAAGAAGAGUUAUGUUUUGAGUUUAUAUUAUGUAUGUAUGGAGCUAGAUAUCCUCUUUGCAAGAAAUUGAUAUUGUGCUAAAUGGGCAAAAGUGAUUUUCUUUUCCAGUUAUAUAUAAACUGUUGAAUCAUAACGUAAAAUAAGAGAAUCUAUUAGACUUUUUGAAUAUCUAAUCUAACAACUAGCAUCAGUCCCGACAAAGACCCCUCUUUUGUGUUUACCAGUCCCACAUAAGAGGAAGAUUGGAAGUAGACAGCAGAAAGUUGCUACAAAAACAAAGGUAGCUUUGGGCCAUUGGUACACACGAUAUUAACUCUAUUUUUUGAGGGGGAAAGCUCAUCAAGGUAGCUUGCAGCCUGGGCCUUUGUGCGUCGCCUAAGCGUUGCACAACUGCUUUGGCUUGGCGCCCACCAAUCCUAGUUCAAUUUUUGAGCGAUCUUUGACUUAGGCCUAGUGCUUUGCAAAUAAGUUUGAGUUUUCAUAUUAUUUACAGAUACUGAUUAACAAACAUUGUAGCCAUUUUAGUUGAACAAAUGCAAAGAGAUAUUUGCACACUAAAAUAAAAAAAAAAAGUAAAUGUUGGUGUAAAGUCAAUCCUGAAAAUGCAAACUCCAUGUUGCUGAAGCUUUGACCAAAUGUUUCAGCAGUGUGUUGGUUUUGCCCAGUACCCUAUGUGUUGCCACUUGUUAUAUUCAUACCCCCCUUCCUCCUCUGUGUGUGAGAGAUACCGGUGGUGUCUGUGCACCUCAACUAUUUCAUCGACUUAUCGGACACCUACCACCCCUCACAUACUGAAUAAUUGUGUCCACCAAGACUUCCACGCAUGGAAAGAAAUCACAAAACCUAGCACCUCUCACAUACUGAAUAAUUGUGUCCACCAAGACUUCCACACAUGGAAAGAAAUCACAAAACCCCGGUUUCACAUGAUUGUCACCCAUUUUAUUGAUAGCUAGACACUGCUGGAUGAUAGCAAGAAGACUACUUUAGAAUGUGCACCUUAGUUCGGCUUUAACUGCAAGGCUCUGAUAUCAACCAAAUCAAAAUUCUGCCUGACCCUUCAUAGUUUGUGGUCGGAAAACUCUCCACUAUAGAGGGAGGUUGGUAAGAAGGGUUAUGUAUUGAGUUUAUAUUAUGCCUGGAUGGAGCUAGAUAUCCUCUUUGCUAGAAAUUUAUAUUGUGCAAAAGGAGCAAAAAUGAUUUAUUUUCCCCAAUUAUAUAAACUGUUGGAUCGCUAACGUGAAAUAAGCAAAUAUAUUGAAGACUUUUUGAAUAUUAAAUCUAACAACUAGCAUUUGUCCCGACGAAGACCUCUCUCUUUUGUUCGAGCAAAGGGCGCCUAACCUGAAAGAGGAAAUGGGGAUUUUACUCGAUGCGAAGGAGCUGUAUCAGUAGUUUAUCUGGGGUGAAUUCCUAAGUACUUUUCUUAUUAAUGAUAAUGAAGAUAUGCCAAGGGAAGCUCAGGCCAACCUAUGUCGCAGAGCUGCCCGAGAAAGGACCAGUCAAUCCAUUGUAGUGGCCUGGCGCACCCCCCCAAAUCUAGUUUAAUCAUUUAGCAGUUUAUUUUCCCUGAUCUUUAUGGGUUACUACUUUUUAUAUUUGCAAGCUUGCAAUAAACCUUUCCUUAAACAAACUACAUUAAGUUAUGAAAAUGCAAUGAACCUUUCCUAAAACAAACCUUUCAGAUUUUUCUUUUGAGGAUAGGUCACUGAUGAAACCUUCACCAGUUAGUCCCGAAGCAGUGAACCUUCUACCAAUCUGACAAUUUUUGGCAUCAGUUAUUUCAUCUUUCACUGUUCCAUUGCUGUGUCAACAACAUUGUCCCAUAAAUGAGUUUAAUCUCCCAAUAGAGUAAGUAAAGUGGCUUGGAGCCUUGGAAUCAGAGUAGAGUAUACAGUAACAUUCUCUCUGCCCCCUCUUCUGUAAGUGUGUGUGAGAGAGAGAUAACGGUGGUGGCUGUGCAUCUCAACUAUUUCAUCAAUCAUCAGACACCUACCACCUGUCCACUCUCACGUAUAUGAGUAACUGUGUCCACCAAGACUUGUACAAUGCACAAUUAUUUCAUCAAAUCAUCAGACACCUACCACCUCAUACAUGAAUAACUAUGUCCAAGACUGUCGACAAAUGGAAAGAAACUGUUGAUCUCUUUUGUUUCUACAGGAUUUCGAACCUCAUUCUCAUAUAAUUUUCCCCGAUUGCCAGACACAUUUUGAUGUUAGCUAGAUAUUGCUCCAAAAAAAUGCAGUACUUUUGGAGGAUCCGAAAUGCACGUGCCAUCAUUGUUGCAGGCUUGUAGAUAUUGGUUUCUUGAAAUACAUAUGAAGAACUGUUCUCUAACAGCUUGUUUGAUAAGGAGACAAAUACUAUUUCUGAGUUCUUGUAUAUUCAAAUAGAAUCAAAUAUACAUUACACUGAUUUUUUUUCCCAUCUCCAAACAGAAAGCUACGGAGAGUAAUGAGUGAUUAUCCCACAUUGACAACUAAUAGAGAAGCGGAGCGAAAGCUGUAGUAUUUGUAACGGGCUGAGCUAACUGGAUAACAUACUUACCUAGGGAUCAAUGGGCGAUCAGUAAGACCCAUGGCCUAGGCUUGUGGCCUCCACUCCACUGCACUUUGGAGGGGUGCCUGCCUAAGGUUGGCUCAAGUGGUUGAGCCUAUGUCAUAAGGGCAGGGGCAUAGCCAGUCUUCUAUUUGGGAGUUUGGUCGAACUCUCAUUGACAGAAAAAUAUAUUAUUUAUACAUGAUUAAAAUUAAUUUUUUUAUGGUUAUAGUAGCUGUUGAGCUUCUUCGAUUAACUUUUCUUAGAAUAUGGAACCCCUUAGUUAAAAUUUUAAAUUUUCUUUGAAUAUGGAAUCCUAUUGUUGAAAUCUUAGCUCCGCCGUUUGCCCGGCCCUUGCCCAAUUCAAAGCAAAAUUUUAUAGCCAUGUGAGUUCAAGUGUACUUGGCCCAAUUGAAUCAAAUAUGGUCUUUUUUUUAUAUAUUGAUAUUUUGUGUCAUAAAUAGUCUCUUUGUAUAGGAAACACCAAUUUGAACCUAUGUAAGUGAAUUUGAAAAAGAAAAUCAAACACAAAUUUAAUAAAGAGAAAAGUUAUGUUAUAAGUAUUAAGUAUCUAAUUCCAUAUAUAUGAUGGAGAAAAAUUAAAGAAUGUUUCAUAAAAUAUAAAUAAAUGUUAAAGAUAAAAAAUGUAUCAUCAUUAACAAUUAAGUCACUAAUCUUGAAAGAUCGUUUUAAUCUUCUAUUUUGCUUUCACCGAAAAAAGUCGCUCUGCUGCCUCCACAUUCCCUCACUUCCACUACCGAUGAAAACUUUAAUAUAGAUUUUUUUUUUUUACUAAAUAGCCUUAUUAAUAAUAGUUUGAACUCUGAAUUUGACUAUUAAGUUAUCCCUAUUCAAUAUUAAGAGAAGAAAGAGAAAAAUAUACAAUAAAAUUCUCUUGAUUUCAUAAAUUGAACAAGUAAACUGAAAUAACUAUUUUUAGUAUAAGUGCCAAGUAAAUAAAACGGAUGGAGUAUAUUUAUAUAUUUGUAUUGAAUGAUAAUUAAUUUUAAACAACUAUGUUUAGUAUAAGUGUCGAAUAAAAUAAGACGGAGAGAGUAUAUAUAUAUAUAUUUUGUACUGAAUGAAAAUUAACUUUAAAUAAUAUCGAUCUAUUCGUCAUGAAAUGCAAUAAAUAGGAGAAGGUUGAAAAAGACAUUUUGAAGAGUUACAAUUUUCCAUUUUCCAUUUUAGUGAGUAAUUGAAUCUCAUAAUUAAGAGACGUAAAUGGGAAUGACUUUAAUUUUUUAAGCUUCUUGAAAUGAGAUUUCCAUUAAUGAACUACUUCAUUUUAAUAUAUUUUUAUUUUUAAUUAAAAAUGAAAGGAUGAAUUAGUAAAUAUUUAGAUUUUAUAAUAAAAAAUAGAAAUAAGUGAAAUGGUAAAUUUGAGACAUUUAAAUUCUUACAUAAAGAACAAAAAUGAAUGAAGUGAGCAGUAAUUGACACAUCUACUUUUAUAUAAUAAUAAAUAAAAUAAAAUAUUAAGAAAAUUGUCAUAAAAAUGAGCGAAAAGAACCCGGUAUCAUGAAUUAGUACCUUACGAGGGUGUGUUUGUCAAAAAAUCAUGUGUGCAUAUAUGCACACCAAUCAUGAGUGUGUUUAGUAUUUCAAUUAAGAAAUCUUGAGUUUUCAAUAAACCCAGAGUAUCCAUCCAUCAUGGCUGGGCGAAGUGUUUUUUUUUUUUUUUUUUUUUUUUUUAAAAAAAAAAAAAAAAAANNNNNNNNNNNNNNNNNGCCACAUCACUUCUCUAAUUUUAUACUAUAUAGAAUGUAGUUUUACAUUCUAUAGUUAUAACCUAACUUAUUAUUAGUUAUCACAAAUUACAACGGUUAUAAUUGUAAACAUAAAUUUUCAUUGACUGAAUUAUCAUAAGUCACAACGGUCACAAAAUCUUUGACUUAUUUGCAAGUGCUAAAUUGGUAUAAUUUAAUUAGUUAGUAGAUAAUGAUGUUACAUAUUAUUUAGUGAAAUGAAGGAAAACAUUCAAAAAAUAAAUAAAAUGAUCUUUUAGAACAUAAAGAGGUGUACGUCACCUUAUAUAUAGGUGUUUUUAUAGAUGUUCAUAGGUAUUUAACUUUAUGUUUUAGUACUUUCAUAACUUUCAUUAACCUGCUUUAAAAUCUUUAAAGAAAAGGUUUUAAAAAAACAAAAAAAAUUAAAAAAAUAUAAAAUUGUACUCGUUUGCGCAAAUUCAUAAAAUCAAAUGGAAUGAACUUUUUCUUCUUUUAUCUUAAAUACAUGACGAUAGAAAAUUAUUAUUGAGGGGAUUAUUAUAAUAUGAGAGGAUUAUUACAAUGACCAUAAAAAAUUAUUAUUAAGAAGAUUAAUAAAGAGAAAAGAAAAGAAUUGAGUGUAAUUAAGAGGAUUAACAAAGUGGUCCUUAGAAUUUAUGGCAUAACACAAAAUAAAUAGAAUAAAAUUUCACAAGACCAAAAUUUUUAAAAGUAAUAAAAGAGGAAAAAGGCGAAAAAUAUAAAAUUUUGAUCAAUUAACUGCACAUUGCCCUCUAAUAGAUCAUAAUUAUAUUCAAAUAGAGAUAGCAUAUUUAAAAGGUAAAUGCUAAUAUAAUAUAAUAUAGUAUAGUGUAGUAUAAUGUUCUCCUAAAACCUUAACAUAAAGACUCAAAUAAUUAUUUUGGGCAAUAAGGUUAUUUAUUUCAGAAACAGUAAUUUUUCCAACAUCUUCACUGACAAAUUUUUGAAAAGCAGAAAAAAUCAUUCCUGUAUUAUUGGGUAAUUUAAAGGAAGACUGGGGAGGAUAAAGUGCCUGAGUAAUUGUACCAUCAGAAUUUUGAUAAGAUCUUUCAAUUAUUUUGAUAUAUGACGGCAAAUAUGCAAACAUGAACCAUGAUACAAAAAAAUGAUUUUAUUAUGUAAGACACAUAUUUCAUAGAAUUCUUCGAAAAUAUUUCGUAAUUAAUCAGGAUUAUAAGUUUCAAAAAACCAUGUCCUAAAGGUUUUCCAUGUUUCAGAAAAAAAUUCUUUCAAAAUAUAUUUUCUUGCCUGAGAACCAGGACUAAAAUCAAUAAGUUGUGUCAUCAUAGUUAAAUAGAAUUGAUAUCAAAAUCCAUCUCAGAUGGGGUAGGAUUUUCAUUAUCAAAAUCUUGAACUAUAUUAGUUUUNNNNNNNNNNNNNNNNNNNNNNNNNNNNNNNNNNNNNNNNNNNNNNNNNNNNNNNNNNNNNNNNNNNNNNNNNNNNNNNNNNNNNNNNNNNNNNNNNNNNNNNNNNNNNNNNNNNNNNNNNNNNNNNNNNNNNNNNNNNNNNNNNNNNNNNNNNNNNNNNNNNNNNNNNNNNNNNNNNNNNNNNNNNNNNNNNNNNNNNNNNNNNNNNNNNNNNNNNNNNNNNNNNNNNNNNNNNNNNNNNNNNNNNNNNNNNNNNNNNNNNNNNNNNNNNNNNNNNNNNNNNNNNNNNNNNNNNNNNNNNNNNNNNNNNNNNNNNNNNNNNNNNNNNNNNNNNNNNNNNNNNNNNNNNNNNNNNNNNNNNNNNNNNNNNNNNNNNNNNNNNNNNNNNNNNNNNNNNNNNNNNNNNNNNNNNNNNNNNNNNNNNNNNNNNNNNNNNNNNNNNNNNNNNNNNNNNNNNNNNNNNNNNNNNNNNNNNNNNNNNNNNNNNNNNNNNNNNNNNNNNNNNNNNNNNNNNNNNNNNNNNNNNNNNNNNNNNNNNNNNNNNNNNNNNNNNNNNNNNNNNNNNNNNNNNNNNNNNAUUCAAUAGAUCCCAUUAAGGAUUUUCUAAAAUUUAAAUUUCUAGCAUCACGCAAAGCAGCUAAAAAUGUUUCAGGGAGACCCUUUAGUGUUAAAGGUCGAAAGGCAAUUUGUACUAGGCCAAUAUGUAUAUAAUUAUAAUUACGCUUAAAAAUAUCAAUAUCAUGCUUAUUUAGAAGUUGAACAGUCUGUUCAUCAGCAUUUAAAGCAAGGGAUUGUUCAGUUGUUUUAAUAAUUCGUUUAUGUUUUAUUUUUAUCAAAAAAUCCGUAUUCAUAUAUGGUUUUUAAUUUAACUUUUGGAAUAGUCCAUUUAUUCAGUAAAUCCAUAUCUUGAGGUAAAUCUACCUCUUCGAGUUUUGUACUUUUAGUACUAACUUCUCCCAUAUCCAUAAUUAUAAAAGCCUUAUAUCUAUGCUAAAAAUCGUCACCCCACUUAACAUGUUUACUAUGAAAAUUCACAGGCUCUGAUACCAUUAACAGGAUCUCUUAGGCUGGGGUAUGCCACUCAGCCUACCAGACCAUAUAAUAAUAUCGGAUUAAGCCAAAGUCGAAAGACCGAACCAAAGCACCAACUGAAAUAGAAAAGAAUCUUAAGUAGUUUUAUGCUGCUGGAGUUCCUUUUCAGCAGCAUUAUUAAUAUAAAAAGCAGUACAAGACCAAGGGGAUUUUGAAGGUUUUAUAAGACCCUUUUGCAGAAGACUAUCAAUUUCUGUCUUACAGAAUUCUACUAACUCUGUAUUCAUUUGACAGGGUCGAGAUUUUGUUGGAAUUUUUUCUUCACUGAAUUCAUUUUCAUAAGGAAGANNNNNNNNNNNNNNNNNNNNNNNNNNNNNNNNNNNNNNNNNNNNNNNNNNNNNNNNNNNNNNNNNNNNNNNNNNNNNNNNNNNNNNNNNNNNNNNNNNNNNNNNNNNNNNNNNNNNNNNNNNNNNNNNNNNNNNNNNNNNNNNNNNNNNNNNNNNNNNNNNNNNNNNNNNNNNNNNNNNNNNNNNNNNNNNNNNNNNNNNNNNNNNNNNNNNNNNNNNNNNNNNNNNNNNNNNNNNNNNNNNNNNNNNNNNNNNNNNNNNNNNNNNNNNNNNNNNNNNNNNNNNNNNNNNNNNNNNNNNNNNNNNNNNNNNNNNNNNNNNNNNNNNNNNNNNNNNNNNNNNNNNNNNNNNNNNNNNNNNNNNNNNNNNNNNNNNNNNNNNNNNNNNNNNNNNNNNNNNNNNNNNNNNNNNNNNNNNNNNNNNNNNNNNNNNNNNNNNNNNNNNNNNNNNNNNNNNNNNNNNNNNNNNNNNNNNNNNNNNNNNNNNNNNNNNNNNNNNNNNNNNNNNNNNNNNNNNNNNNNNNNNNNNNNNNNNNNNNNNNNNNNNNNNNNNNNNNNNNNNNNNNNNNNNNNNNNNNNNNNNNNNNNNNNNNNNNNNNNNNNNNNNNNNNNNNNNNNNNNNNNNNNNNNNNNNNNNNNNNNNNNNNNNNNNNNNNNNNNNNNNNNNNNNNNNNNNNNNNNNNNNNNNNNNNNNNNNNNNNNNNNNNNNNNNNNNNNNNNNNNNNNNNNNNNNNNNNNNNNNNNNNNNNNNNNNNNNNNNNNNNNNNNNNNNNNNNNNNNNNNNNNNNNNNNNNNNNNNNNNNNNNNNNNNNNNNNNNNNNNNNNNNNNNNNNNNNNNNNNNNNNNNNNNNNNNNNNNNNNNNNNNNNNNNNNNNNNNNNNNNNNNNNNNNNNNNNNNNNNNNNNNNNNNNNNNNNNNNNNNNNNNNNNNNNNNNNNNNNNNNNNNNNNNNNNNNNNNNNNNNNNNNNNNNNNNNNNNNNNNNNNNNNNNNNNNNNNNNNNNNNNNNNNNNNNNNNNNNNNNNNNNNNNNNNNNNNNNNNNNNNNNNNNNNNNNNNNNNNNNNNNNNNNNNNNNNNNNNNNNNNNNNNNNNNNNNNNNNNNNNNNNNNNNNNNNNNNNNNNNNNNNNNNNNNNNNNNNNNNNNNNNNNNNNNNNNNNNNNNNNNNNNNNNNNNNNNNNNNNNNNNNNNNNNNNNNNNNNNNNNNNNNNNNNNNNNNNNNNNNNNNNNNNNNNNNNNNNNNNNNNNNNNNNNNNNNNNNNNNNNNUUUGGAGCUAUAUGACCAUACUGGUUGCACUUAUAGCACUUAAUUUUGGCCAACACUCUUUUUGAUCUAUUUUUCGUGAAUCUAGUAGACUUACGGAAGGAUUUUCUAGUUUCACGUUCUUCUUUGGUCCUAUGCCUAGAACGUUUAUUUCUAUAGGAUUUAUUAGGCUUGGAAUAUGUUUGGGUUUUUCGUGCUAAAGGUUUAUCCAUACCAAAAUGUUCACAAAAGUCUCCUAAUUGGGAUUUUUCUCUGAGUUUGUCGAGCUUCAUUUGUCUGGCUAAUUUUAACUCGUUGCAAAGGGCUAAGCCUUCUUGAGUACAAGCUACAAUAAGCUGACCAUAAGUUUUUUCUAAAUACUGGACUUCGCCAUAAGAUCCUCUAAGUGAUUUUCUAACUCUUCCAGCAAAUAAAGGUGGAAGACUAUCAAUGAAUUUAUCUUUUCAAUGGUCAUACUUACUUUCAGGUAAAUCCAUAACCCUACUAAAAAAGGUGUCUUUAUACCAUCUAAAUUCUCCUAAGUGUUUGCAUUUUAAACCAUUAAGAAGAGUUCUAAUGUUUUCAUACUGAUUGGUAAAUCUUCCUCCAAAAUGUUCAAUAAUUGUAAGCAUAAGGGUAUAGACAACAUCUGAUCGUCCUGCCCGAAGUGGUCGACCUAAAUUAUCUUUUCCAGGUUUAUCAUUGGUAUCAUUAAAAAUAGCCUCGCAUUUAUCGUCGUCUAGAAAAUUAUCCCACCAGCCUCGAAGUUGGCCAGUAAAUCCCGCAACAAUCAUUUUAUAAAUUUUUGGGUCAGUACGAUUGGCUUGAUUCUUUGGCGAAUCAGUGGCUGUGGCAAUAGUAGCAUACAUGGACACCCGAUGGAUAAGAAUAGAGAUUUGUCAAUCAGAUAAUCCGUCAAUAUUCCAUUCAUAAAUAGCUUCUCCACUAUAAGAAGUAUUUGUUUGAUUCCAAUCUCUUUCCUCUAUUAGAACAUCUUAAGGAGUUGGACGUGGAUAAUAAGCAGUAGACAUACNNNNNNNNNNNNNNNNNNNNNNNNNNNNNNNNNNNNNNNNNNNNNNNNNNNUAUUUAGCUCGGAAGAGAUUACAUCUCCAGUAUUUUGAGUAGAUUCGAUAUUAUCAGCAAAAUUAGACUCGAGAUUUUGUACAAAAUCAUCAGAAAUAUUAAGAUUUCAUAUUUCUACCCGGAGUUUGACUCAACGCAAGACGUCGAUUAACUUCGACUAAGGAAUAAGACAUGUUAUAAUUAUCAUAAGAGUUAUCUUUAGAAAUACUAGUAUUAGCAGAAGUUUUUUGAGUAGCAAAAUUGAUGAUCUUUUCAUGAAGUUUUUCAUCAUUAACUUCUUUUAGUAAUUCAAGGACAUUAUCAACAGUAAGAGUUUGAACAUUUAAAUUAAGAUCUUCAAAUUGCGCUUGAAGUUUAUACAUUAUUUCAUCAUAAUUACAAAUAUCAUUAUCACAAUCAUUACAUUUAUCAACCUGAUUGAGUUCACUAUCAGAAUUAGGUAAUUCAAAAUCAUUUUCAGAUGUAGAAUCAGAUUCGGAAUCAAAGGUAUAUAACAAAUUAUAAACUUGGUCAUGAACUUCUUCAGAAAAUCCUAAGGACUUGAGUUUUUGUAAUUUGCAGUUUGGAGCUAUAUGACCAUACUGGUUGCACUUAUAGCACUUAAUUUUGGCCAACUCUCUUUUUGAUCUAUUUUUCGUGAAUCUAGUAGACUUACGGAAGGAUUUUCUAGUUUCACGUUCUUCUUUGGUUUUAUGCCUAGAACGUUUAUUUCUAUAGGAUUUAUUAGGCUUGGAAUAUCUUUGGUUUUUUCAUGCUAAAGGUUUUUUUACUAAAAACCCCCAUUAGGAUUAUUAGGUAAAUUAUUCCAUAGACUUAAAUAGGAAUAAGUUUUUUAAUUAAUAGAUGAUAAUUCUGAUUGCACUAUGCUUAUUGAAACUAAUUUUAUAAAAUCCAGGGUUACUACCCGAAGACCUAUUCGAUGGGAUGAAAUUGACUUUCCCAAAACAUGGAUUUUAAACUCAGUCACUUCUCCAAAACAAUUGGCGGAGGACGUGACUAAUUCAGAGUUAACUCAAGUAACUCAAAAUUCAGAUGGACGAAUCUGUCUACAAUUCGAUAAUAAUCCCCCAGUCUAUAGAAAUUCUUUUUCAUUACCAAGAAGACUUCCUUUAAUACAUCAUAUUUCUCCUAUCGAACCUACUGAACCUGAUUAUGGUCCAGCUAGGAAUCGAGCAGCAUCCUUGUAUACUAUUAAUUCUGCAGAUUCGCAUGUUACACCUAAAGGUGUAGAAAAGAUAAAAAUCAACUCAAAAACUAAUAUAGUUUAAGAUUUUGAUAAUGAAAAUCCUACCUCAUCUGAGAUGGAUUUUGAUAUCAAUCCUGUUUAACUAUGAUGACACAACUUAUUGAUUUUAGUCCUGGUUCUCAGGCAAGAACCAAACUAUGCAGAUCCACUAACCAAACCAUUGUCUAAGCCAGCCUUCUAGCGGAUGCUACCCAAGUUAGGUGUUGUCUCAUCAUACCUAACUUGAGGGGGGGCAUAAUAGAGCAUGUACCACAUGUUAAGAUAUCUUAUAAUUGAUUUAGUAUCUCAUUGUAAUUUAGUUUCCAUUUAGGAGAAGAUCACAAUUCUUUAUUAGUUGAUUCUUUCCUUAUUUAGUUUGUGUUCUUUUGUAUAUAUACACAUACAUAUCAAUGAAAUCAAACAACUUCAUCUUAAUUGUCUACAUUUAUAGAAACAACUUUUAUACCCCUUUUACAACUUCACUACAUUGGUUAACUGGUCCUUUCUCCGGCAGCUUAAGACACUGGUUGGCAUGAGCUUCCCUUGGUAUAAUUCGUUAUUAUUACUAAGACAAGUAAGUAGUAAUUCAUCCCAGAUAAAAUACUGAUAUAGCUCUUUAUCAUCGAGGAAAUUACUAUUUCCUCUUUCAGGUUAGGCACCCUUUGCUCUUAUGAAAGAGAGAGGUCUUCGCCGGGACCAAUGCUCGAUGUUAGAUUCAAUAUUCCAAAAGUCUUCAAUAUAUUUUCUUAUUUCACGGUAGGGAUCAAAAGUUUCUCAUUUUGCAUAAUAUAUAUUUCUAGCAAAGAGGAUAUCUAACUCCAUCCAGACAUAAUAUAAACUCAAUACAUAACCCUUCUUCCUAACCUCUCUCUUUAAUGGAUAAUUUUUCCAAGCACCGACAGUGAAGUGUUAGGCAAAAUUGUUGAUGUGGUUGAUAUCAGAGCCUUGCAAUUACAGUUGAACUAAGGUGCACAUUCUAAAGUAGUCUUCUAGCUAGCAUCCAGCAGUGUCUAGGGAUCAAUGGAAUGAGUGAAAAUCAAGUGAAAUUGGGGUUUUGUGAUUUCUUUUAAUGUGCUGAAGUCUUGGUGGACACAAGUAUUUAGUACGUGAGGUGUCUAGGGAUCAAUGAAAUGAGUGACAAUCAUGUGAAACCAGGGUUCUGUGAUUUCUUUCCAUGUGUUGAAGUCUUGGUGGACACAAGUAUUCAGUACUUGAGGUGACUAGUGAUCAAUGAAAUGAGUGAUAAUCAUGUGAAACCGGGGUUCUGUGAUUUCUUUCCAUGUGCCAAAGUCUUGGUGGACACUUAUUCAGUACGUGAAAAGUGGUAGGUGUCCAAUAAUUCGAUAAAAUAGUUUAGGUGUACGGACACCACCGGUAUCUCUCACACACGGAUGAGGAAGGGAGGUAUGAAUAUUACAAGUGGUAAAACAUAUAGUACUAGGCAAAACCAACACACUGCUGAAACAUUGAACUAAAUUUGGUCAAAGCUUCAGCAGUAUGGAGUUUGCAUUAUCCAGAUUGACAUUGCAUCCAUAUUUAAUUUUUUUAAUUCUAGUGUUCAAAAUUUCUUUGCAUUUACUGUUCAAGUAAAAUGGCUACACUGUUUGUUAAAUCAGCAUCAGUAAAUAGUAUAAAGUAACUCAAACUUAUUGGUAAAGCACUGGGCCUAAUUUACAGCUCAAACAUUGAACUAGAAUUGGUGGGGUGCGCCAGGCUGAUAGAAACUAAGUUGAAGAAGAGAGUGACAUGAAAAUGUUGAUAGUUAAAUAAAGUUCAAGAAUCUUAAACACUACAUUUAUCAAUAACUAAGUCUGUAUGGAGUGGACGAAACUCUAGAUACAAAUACAAUAAUACUGCUUCUCUGUUUUAGAAUUCUCCAGAUACAAUAUUUAUACUAAAACAUAAAGAUAGGAUGUAUGUAGACAGUUGCUGUUGACUAAGACAUAAUGAUAGGACAUAGGCAGACUGUUGUUGCUGUACAUAACUAUUGAUAAUUUCUAUAAAUAACUGCUUAUAUAACUUAUCUUAUCUGAAACUAACUAAGACAAAUUAUCUCCACUUGCUUGUUUGGAUUUUCUUCUAGAAUAAGUCCUUAAAGGAGUAGUCAUAUCACUGCAUCCCCCAUGAAAAGUCAUCUUGUCCUCAAGGCAAAAAUAAGGGAAUUGAUUUUCAAUGAGAUCAUAGAUCUCCAAACUAGCUUCUUCAAGGGAACGGUCAACCAUUGAACUAGCAAUUCCAAAGAAAAUGCACCAGCUUCUUUGAUCUAUCGAUGUGCAAGUAUUUUGGCAGGAGAUAAGUCGAGUUCCCAAUCUUUGGUAAGAGAAAGAGGGGCUGGCGGCAUAACAGCUUGCUGACCAUGAGAUGGACUGAGCAAGGAUACAUGGAAAAUUGGAUGGACUUUGGAAGAAGCCAGUAGCUCCAGUUCAUAUGCUACAGGUCCAACACAAUGUUUGAUUUUAUAUGGUCCGAAAAAUCAAGGUGACAAUUUUUCAUACCUGUGAUUAGCCAAAAAUCAUUGCCGACAAAGCUGAACAUGUAGAAAGACUGAAUCUCCAACUUAAAAGGAAACAUCACGCCUAUGAGAAUCAGAUUAUUGUUUCAUUCGAGUUUUAGCCUUUAAAAGGUUAUCCUUAAUAAUUUUCAACAUGGCAUCACGAUUUAAAAGGUGUUCCUCAAGUUCAGCAAUGCGUGUUUCUCCAUGAGCAAAAGGAGAAAUAAAAGGAAGAUCUCUACCAUAAACAAUCUUGAAUGGAGUAGUCUAUGUGGAUGAGUGGUAACUUAUGUUGAAAGAAAAUUCUGCCCAUGGUAAGUACUGACUCCAUGUACGAGGUUUCUCUAUAACAAAGCAUCACAAAUAAGAUUCCAAGCAUCUAUUAACCACCUCAGUUUGUCCAUCAUAUUGUGGAUGUUAAGACGUAUCCAUUCUUAAUCUUGUUUGGCUAAGUCAAAAAAUCUCUUGCCAGAAAGCACUGAGAAAGAUAGCAUCUCGAUCAGAUAAGAUAGAGAGAGGAAUGCCGUGGAGAUGUACAAUUUCUUUGCAAAAAAUAUUAGCAACAGUCUUAGCAGUAUAUGGGUGAGAAAGUGGGAUGAAAUGAGAGUAUUUGAUGAGACGAUCUACGACAACCAAAAUUGUGUCAUAUCCACCAGAUUUGGGAAGUCCUAUAAUAAAAUCAAGUGAGAUAUCAUCCCAUAUUCUAUCAGGUAUAGGCAAUGGUUGCAGAAGUCCAGCAGGGGCCAAAGCUUGGUAUUUGGCCUGUUGACAAACCAUACAGUUCUGCACAAAGAUUUUAACAUUUUGCUUCAUCCUUGCCCAAAAAAGGUUAGAGGAAAGGUACUUCAAGGUUUUAAAAUAUCCUUCAUGUCCGGCGGAAGGUGUAUCAUGAGAUUCUGAGAUAAGCUUUUUUCUAAGAGAAGAAUGAUCUAGAAUGACCAAUCUUUCCUUGAAAUAAAGUUUCUGAUCCACCAGGUGAAAAUCUAGUUGUAAGGAAGGGUCUUGGCAGAUUGCUUGAAUAAUCUCACAAGUAUAUGUAUCUGCUUGGAGAGAAUCUUGCCAGUUGGAAAAAUCCAAUGGUACAGGAAUAGCAAGAGCCAAAAAUUCAGCAGUCAAUGGCCUCCUUGAAAGAGAAUCAGCCCCCAAAUUGUCUUUCCCUGCUCUGUAGAUAAUUGUGAAGUCGAAGGGAAGCAAUUUCAUCAAUAAUCUUUGUUGAUCAUUAGUUGUAAUACGCUGCGAAAGGAGAUACUUGAGGCUAUAAUGAUCUGUGUCAUACCCAAUUUUUACGUAAGGUCAAAACGAGCACAACAUAAGGGACUCUAAAAGAAUAAAUUUUUUACAGAGUUGCCACCUAAUUUAAGGAAAAAUAGGAAAUCUAUUUAUUUAUCUAACAAGUAUGAAUUUAUUCUAAUCUACGAAACCAAGUUAAAUUUUAGGUAAGGGCUCAAAUUAUUUUGAAGGGAAUGGGUUGGGCAUCCUUCAGAAUCCACAACUGUAGUUCGCGACCAGACUUAGGUUUAUUAUUAAAAAAUAAAAAUAAAAAUCAAUAUUUACAAAUACAAAAAUAAUAUAAUACAUAUGUUAUUGCAAAAUAUAUAUAUAAACUCACGUAAAUAUGUAUAAACAAACAUGUAUAAGGAUAUUUAAAAAAGAAAGGCAAAGAUUGAAUAUAAAAAGAUAUUAUUUUUAAAGAAAAAAUUACACAAUAGUUUUUAGUGUAAAAAGUGUGAAUUAUUUAAUCAAAUAUCUAAAUUAAUUUUAAUAUAAAUAUUAACGGCCUAAAUUUGCCUAACACGUGGUAAGGAUUGUAUAAAUAAAAAAAAACCCCGCCCAGUGCCCCAAAAAUAAAGAUUUUACUAUAAUUAAUAUUUGUACAAUGAUAAGAACAAAAGAGAAUACAAAUACGAAAAAAAAAUUCAAGCUCUUCUGUAAAUAUCAUUCCCGACGAGUAUUCCCGAGAACCUGUACAAACACUUGUAAUAAAAAUAUUAGUAACAAAUAAAUAAUUAUCAAAAUAAAUUUAAAAGGUAAGUGUGCAUAUAUGUAUUUAAAAAUAUAAUUUUUGCUAAAAGAUGGGCUCGGACUAAAUUUUAGAUACACCAUGGCUACGAAGUGGUUACUCAAUUUGUUGGCCGUCCUAAAUCGCCUUGCCAAGAUACGAGACAAAAAUCUUUUGCGUUGUAAUAUAAACUUCAUCAUUGUCCAAAUUUAUUUAUUUUAUUAUGUAUUUAUAUACGUAAUAUCCAUCUUUUUAUUUGUGAAGGCCUCAAAAAUCGAUGAAAAAUUUCUUCAUCGACCAACUGUCGGCUCUUAAUAUAAAAUAAUGAAUUUGAGUACAUAAAGUCCGUCUUUUGUAAUGGGGUGGCCUCAAAUAUCCAGACGGAGAGAUAAUUUCAUUGGCCAAGUGUUGGCCUUUCUUUUUCGUUAUUAGUGUAGUAUCAAACGGCAAAAUGUUAGUCACCAAAAAAAUGCAGAAUCAAUAAAAAAUCAGAGAGCCAAACCACAACAACAACCAACAAACUUACAAUAAUGGUACGACAACAAUGUCAAAGGUUCACCGGAAUUCACGAAGCUAACCAAAAUGUCAACAACAAUUCAAAAAAAAAAAUAGUACAACAAAAUCCAUGAACAUAUAACUGAGCAAUGCUCAGAGAAAUAACAGUUAACCACCAUAAUAAUCAAAGAUUAAAGAAAGAAAAUUUUGAACGGCGAUAAUGUCGGCGUUGCUUCAAUGGGCUUCACCGGAGCAACGCCGGAGAAGCACGAACUUGGCCAGAUCUAGCGAUUUCUCUAACGAGGCAGUGUCCUCCAUUAAUGGAGGAAAAAGGGAAAGAGGAAGAGGAGGCAAGGAGCAGUAGCGAUUUUUGGUCGCUGGUCGUCGGCAGUGAGGCGUCGGAGAGAGGAAAAUUAGGGGGGGAAAAGGAAGGGGAUGGCGGCUGGACUGGGGACGGCGGAGAUGUGAGGGCUAUGGGAAGUAAGGGAUGGAGAAAGCUUCACGGUGGUCCACCGGAGGUGGUUCGCCGGUGGUAAUGAGGCUAUGGUUUUAUAGAGAGAAGAAGAAAGAGUGGGAGUAGAGAGAGAGAGGAGCAUGAGAUUGAGAGAGAGAGGGAGAUCAAAUUUUUUGGGUGUAGAUUAUGCGUGUGUUUGUGUGUGUAAUUGUGUGGUGUGUAUAUUUAAAGAAAAAGGUGUCAAUAUAUCUUGUGGCUACCCUUAUUUUGUGUUGUUUGUCUCUCCUCCUUUUUAUUUUGUAUUAUAUUAUAUAAAAAUAAUUAAUCUGAUUCAGUGUUUCUGAAUUGUAAAAAUACAAAAAAAAAAUUUGUAAUUAUGAAAAAAUAUAAAGAAUGUUGCAAAUAUUGAAAAAAAUGUAAUUAAUUAAAAACGUUAUAAAAAAAUAUGAAUUUAUGUCGUGUAUGUACGUAUUUUGUGUAUUUAUUGUGUUCUGUAUUUAAAAAAAAUAAAAAAAACUUAUCAAUUAUAUUUUUUUCUUCCAACAUAUCCCUUAAAUUAGGGAAAGAAGAUGUGGGAAAGUCAAAAAAGUGGAGAAAAUAGGAAAAUAAAAUUACAUUAAUAUUAUUUGUAUUAAUGUGAUAAAGACACUGAAUUAUUAUGGUACUGUGUAUUGAAAUAAUUAAUUUGACUCAGCUUUUACAGGUCGUAUUAAAUAACAUAUAAAAUAAUAAAUGUUGACAUAUAAAUACAAAAAAAGUAUAAAUAAAAAAUAAAAAAUAUAAUUAUCUUGAAAAAAUAUACUAUGCUAUAAAAUAAUUAAAAUUAUACUAUACGAUAACGAAUUGCAAUCCUAUGUUGUGUGCGUAUGCAGAUGACUGUGCAAAAAUAUUAGAAUGAUAAUAAACUGAUAAAAUCCUAAAAUUUACGAAAUUAAAGAUAAUUAUGAUAAAUUAUGUAAAAUAAAAAUAUGACAAAAUUUGAUGAAAAAAUUAUAAAAUAAUGAGAUUAUCAAUAAUUUGUUUUAAAAAAUCUAAAAUAUGUAAAAAAAAAAUUAUAUUUUGUGCCCUUUAACGAUCAAAAAGCCUAAAAACGUUAAUUUUAGUCACGGAGAACCAAAAUUGAGUGUCAACAGCUUACCUCUUUUUGUUUGAAGAUGAUGUAGAAGUCUUCAAACGAAAACAUUGACGUAUAUCCAAUUUUACUUGAUAAAAAAAAUCAUUUUUGCUAAAAAAUUUGAUCGAACUCUAGUUUAGAGUUGCCUACACACCUCGAGUUGUAUGAGGAUCAGGUCGGGUGUAGUUCAAAAGAUUAGGCAAAUCGCCCUGUUAUUAAGAGUGAGAGACUGUGUGAAGAUGAUUAUAAAAAGAAGGACUAUUUGGGAACAUGAGUGUUCAUCUAUUCCCAAUGCUCCUUUCAAAAUUGCUCUAGUAUCGAGCUGUGAGAUGUUGGGGAUGCAAGAUUGUGUACUUGCUGGGGAGAAAGAAUGAUUAUGGUUGUGACGAUCAAAUUCUGCACAGAGCUUUCUACAUAUCUCGAGUGUCAUGAGAAUUAGGUCAAUGUAGUUCAAAAUGAGAAAAUAGAAUAAAUUUUGAGACAACUCUCAAAAUUUGCCCCAGUGUAUGAUUCAUGGAUGAUAUUGUCUUCUGAGAAAGAAAAAAAAAUAUCUUGUUAUUGUGGAUUGUAUUUUUACUGAAAAGAUGUAUGACGUCUUCGAUUCUCUACGGGGACUUGAAGAUGAAUGAUGUCUCCAAUUGUCUACGGGGACUUAUGAAUGAAAGAUGUCUCUGAUUAGCUACGGACUAUGUGAUGAAUAAAAAUUAUCUUCAAUUGUCUACAAAGACUAUGUAAUGAAUAAAAAAUGUCUCUGAUUAUAUAUGAAGACUUGAUGAUAUCUCCAAUUGUCUAUGGAGACGGAUAUUGAUUAUCGUCUUCGAUUAUCUACGAAGACUGGUGUUGAAUGAUAAUAUCUUCGAUUAUAUAUGAAGACUUGAUGACAUCUCCAAUUGUCUAUGGGGAUGGAUGUAUGAUAUCCCCAAUUUUCUAUAGAGACUGAUGUUAAUUGUCAUCUUCAAUUGUCUAUGAAAACUGAUGGAUGAUUUUCACCUCCGAUUGUCUACAAAGACUAUGUAUGAUACCUUAGAUUUUUUAUAAAGACUGGAUAAUAAAUAACGCCUCCAAUUUUUUACAGAGACUAUGUCAUGAACGAUGUCUUCGAUUAUCUAUAGAUACUGAUACUGAUUGACGUCUUUGAUUGUCUACGAAGACUAAUGUUGUUGAGUGGUGUCUGCGAUUAUCUACGAAGACUGAUGUUGAUUGUCGUCUCCGAUUGUCUAUGAAGACUGACGGAUGACAUCUCCAAUUAUCUAUGGAGACUGAUGUUGAUUUUUAUCUCUGAUCGUCUAUGAAGACUUAUGCAGAUUGUUGUCUUCAAUUGUCUAUGAAGACUGAAGGAUGAUAUCUCUAAUUGUCAAUGGAGACUGAUGUUGAAUAAUGAUAUCUUCGAUUGUAUAUGAAGACUUAAUGACAUCUCCAAUUAUCUAUAGAGGCUGAUAUUGAUUUUUGUCUUUGAUUGUGUACGAAGACUAACGGAUGACAGCUCCAUUUGUCUAUGGAGACUGAUGGAUGACAUCUCCAAUUGUCUAUGGAGAUCGAUGUUGAUUUGUCCUCUCCAAUUAUUUACAAAGACUGACGAUGAUUGUCGUCUUCAAUUAUCUAUAAAGACUGAUGUAUGAUAUCUCCAAUUGUCUAUGGAGACUGAUGUUGAAUGAUGCCUCCGAUUGUCUACAAAGACUAUUCCAUGAAUAAAGUCUUUGAUUGUCUACGAAGACUAUGUCAUGAAUGUUGUCUUCGAUUGUAUACGAAGACUAUGUAUCUUAUCUCUGAUUGUCUUCGGAGACUUGAUGAUAAAAUAACGUCUCUGAUUGUUUACAGAGACUAUGUAAUGAAUGUUGUCUUUGAUUGUCUACGAAUACUAUGUUGAUAUCUCCAAUUUUCUAUGGAGAGUGAUGAUAAAAUAACUUCUCUGGUUGUCUAUAGAGACUAUGUAAUGAAUAAUGUCUUUGAUUGUCUACGGAGACUAUAUUGAUAUCUCUAAUUGUUUAUGGAGAGUGGUGAUAAAAUGAUGUCUCUGAUUGUCUACAGAGACUAUGUAAUGAAUGAUGUCUCCAAUUGUCUACGAAGACUAUGUCAUGAAUGCUGUCUUUGAUUGUAUACGAAGACUAUGUAUGAUAUCUCCGAUUGUCUACGGAGACUUGAUAAUAAAAUGAUGUCUCUGAUUGUCCACAGAGACUAUGUUAUGAAUGUUGUCUUUGAUUGUCUAUGAAGACUAUGUUGAUUGUCGUCUCUGAUUAUUUAGGAAGACUGAGGCCAUCAACUAGUGAGGUGACUGGAAUCUAAUAGCCCUCUCAACUAGUGAGGCUAUUGAUGUGUAAAAAAUUCUCGACUUGGGAGAAAAAAUAUGAUAGCCUCUCGACUGGCGGAGCUAUAAAAAAUAUAAAAUACUAACAGAUGAGCGCUUGACUGAAAAAUAAAAUAUUGGUAUUUAAAGGUAUGUGCUUGAAAGAAAAAGGCAAAACAUUCCUAUUUGAAAAUUAAAAUACUUAAAUAAAAAGUAACAAAAGUGCUGAAAGUGGGUUCCUUAAAAUAAAGGUAAAAAAUGUCGGCAUGGAUGUUUUGAAAAAAAGAAAGAAUUUUUUAAUAUAUAUAUUUUCUUGAUAAAAAGCGCUGAGAGAUGAAGAAUACACGAUUUUUUCUUGACUUCGGUUGAUACCAAUAAUUAGUAGUGUGUAUAAGAAUUCCCCAUUUAUUUCCCGACUAAUCGAGAUCGACUUCAGGGUAACUCCUAUAGUUUCAAGUGGUACCUCAGACAUACCUAAGUACCAACAAGAUUUGUUCAUCUUGCUUCAAACAAAGAUUUUGAGUUAUGCUUAUUAUCAUGUUUCAAGUGCCCUCUCCAGAAAGAAAGUCCCAUUUCACACAUAUUUGAGCAAUUUCUUUUUGAAUUUGGGGACGUCUAGAGAAAUACAUUCACACUCAGAAAGAAAUUCAAUGCAUGCUAUUGUGAUACCAUAGGCUUGGUGUUCGUGUAAGUAUCCACUAAUACGAGGACACUUGGAAUAGGAUCCUGUAGGACUUGUUAUUGGCUUGUAAUGUAGGCUUGGGGAUAGGUAGGAUAAUAUUUGGUAUUGAAGUGACUAAUUCCUCAAUGAGCGUUACACUGUAUUUGUCCUUUCAACAUUUGUUGUGCUUUGACGUGUGAUCUUCUUUGUUGUGCUUCGUUGUCCCUUGUUUUUGUAUUUGCUUUGACUUUUUUUGAAUCUUGUGUUGGAGUUUUCUCCUUUUUUCCAAGAAACUAUAUAUUUUUUAUUUAUUUUUUCCUUUUCUUUUCUUUUUGUGGGGCUUUGCUCCUUUUGAAGUCGUUUUUUUAAUUUUUGUUCAUCUAGGACAAUAUAUCUUUUGCAUUUUGCGUCUUUGAUCUUGAAUCUUUGUCCACAAAUUGCACGUAUUUAGUGCACUCAAGGAGGUAGGGCCAAGAGAGGGAUAGUGCAUGUAAGCACUCAAAAAGGUAUAGGUUCAUAUGCAGUUAUCCGAAGAAAAGGUUUUAAGCUCAUAAGGGAGUGCUAGGGAUAAAUAUCAUUUGGUGGACUGUGAAAUACUCAAUCGGGUCAAAGAAAGCCUACGAUCCUUUCCUAAACCAAGUUUAACUCAGAAUUUUGCCUCAACGAACAUUUAGGCCAAGUUCUAGAUCAAUAAUGCAAUGCAACGAAUUAAACUAAAGCUCACCACACAAUGCGCAUGAAACGAUGAGGUUGAUUUCAUUCUUGUCUUAGAUUUAUGCAAGACAAUUUUGUAAGUGUUACUCAGGUGUGAUAAAAGGUACCAAAAGAAUCUAUGGUUUACCAUGAAGUCAGUCCUUUUCAUCAUACCAAUUUGUUCUUUCUCAUGCACACUCCUAACUGUAUUGAUACCAACCAAGUUAAUUUUUUUUUAUUUAAAAAAAUAUGGGACCGAACCUAAAUGAAGGUUGCCUAUGUAUCUUGUGAAAAUAAGAAUUAGGUCUGCGUAGUCCAGGCAAAUUUGCAAAUAUGUAUGUGCAAAAAAAAAAUUGAUGGUCAUUCAUAAAAAUAAUGUGAAAGACGAUCAAGAAAGAACUGCUUUUAGUAUCAAAAUUGUUCUGAUGAAAUGAUCGAAAAAAUGGAUGCAAAGCAUGGGGAGAUCUGUGACACAACUUCAGUAUGCUGGCAAGAUUAAAAAAAGUCAAACAUUGAAGAAAUUAUGACAUUGUUUCACCGCAGUUGGAAGAAUUAUUAUAACUGAAAAAAAUAUUGAACCUUUGCUUUUGAAAGUGAGGAUUGAUACGCCAUAAAUUUAAUGAGUCAAGGCAUUCAAAAGAAAAGGCUAGGUAUUCUCGCACAAAAAUCAGGUGAGUAUCUGAAAGUAGGCCGGCUAGGCACUAAUGUAAUUAAGGUUUGGAUUUGGGAGUUAUUGGUUGUGCUCUUGAAGAAUCUGGAGAGCAUUUUAAACUAUUUUAGAAUAUUGCCCCAGUUUUGAAUACCGGAGAAAUUAUUCUAAAACAGUGAAGAGACCGAACACAAAUGCAGGGUUGCCUACGUAUCUUGUCAGGACAAGAAUCAGUUCAAAACAUAGUUCAAACAUACACAGCUAGUGGAGAUGUUGCUAAGGUGCAUCUUUUAAAUGAUCCGUAUAGCAAAUUUAGAGCAAAUAAAUAUGUACAGACACAAUAAUCUUUCAAAUAUGUACAAAAAUAAUAAUAAUAUGUCACUUGGGUUGGGAACCCUUCGGACAUAGAGCUGUCUAAUGAUGCAUGCACCUAAAAUAUGGUAUUUUAGCUAUAACCUAUAUUGACUAAAAGUGGGUAGGCACGGACUUGAAUUUUCUAUAUAAGAAGGCACAUAGUCCCAUGGCAGUAAACUCCCGCUCACCCUACGCAUGCGCCGACUCUCUAAAAUAAGGUGAUUUGAAAAAAUUUUGGGAAAGUACAAUGUACAAUCCGCAUGUACAAUGUGUGUGCGUGUCAGUAUUCCAAAAUGGAGGGAAUAUGAACAGAAUGUCAAUUUAUAUAAAGCGAUAAACAAAUAAAUAAUCUAUACAAAAUAAUAAUAAAAAAUAAACAAUUUAUGCCAUGCAAACAAGAUAAAUCAAAACAAUUAGGAAAAAAUAAAUAACAGUGUAUAAAAAACAUAAAUGGUUACCUAAGAUUGUAAUGGUUAGAACCUUGAAUCCCCAACAGAGUCGCCAAACUUUCAUACCCAAUUUUUACCUAGGGUCAAAACGAGCAUGAUAUAAUGGACUCUAAAAGAAUAAAUUUUGUACAGAGUUGCCACCUAAUUUAAAGGAAAAAUAGGAAACCUAAUUAUUUAUCAAACAAGUAUAACUUUAUUCUAAUCUAUGAAACUAAUUUAAAUUCUUGGUAAGGGUUCAAAUUAUUCCGAAGGUAUUGAGUUAGGCAUCCUUCAGAAUCCACAACUGUGGUUUCCGACCAGACUUAGGUUUAUUAUUAAAAAAUAAAAAGAAAAAUCAAUGUUUACAAAUACAAAAAUAAUAUAAUGCAUAUGUUAUUGCAAAAUAUAUAUAUGAUCGCAUGUAAAGAUGUAUAAAAAAACGUAUGUAAGGAUAUAUAAAAAAGGAAGGCAGAGAUUGAAUAAAAAAAGAUAUUAUUUUUAAAGAAAAAAUUACAUAAUGUUUUUUAGUGUAGAAAGUGUGAAUUAUUUAAUCAAAUAUCUAAAUUAAUUUUAAUAUAAAUAUUAAUAGCCUAAAUUUGCCAAACGCAUGGUAAGGAUUGUAUAAAUAAAGAAUAUCCCCGCCCAGCGUCCCAAAAAUAAAGAUUUCACUAUAAUUAACAUUUGUACAAUGAUAAGAAUAAAAUAGAAUACAAAUACGAAAAAAAAAAUUCAAGCUCUUCUCGGAAUAUCAUUCCCGACAAGCAUUCCCGAGAACCUGUACAAACACUUGUAAUAAAAAAAUUAGCAACAAAUAAAUAAUUAUCAAAAUAAAUUUAAAAGGUAAGAGUGCAUAUAGGUAUUUAAAAAUAUAUUUGCUAAAAGAUGGGCUCAGAUUACAUUUUAGAUACUCCAUGGCUACGAAGUGGUUGCUCAAUUUGUUAGCCGUCCUAAAUCGCCUUGCCAAGAUAUGAGAUAAAAAUCUAUUGCGUUGUAAUAAAAAUUUCAUCAUCGUUCAAAUUUAUUUAUUUUAGUACGUAUUUAUAUACGUAAUAUCCGUCUUUUUAUUUGUGAAGUCCUCGAAAAUCGACAAAAAAUAUCUUCAUCGGCCAAGUGUUGGCCUUAAUAUAAAAUAAUAAAUUUGAGAAAAUAAAGUCCACCUUUUGUAAUGGGGUGGCCUCAAAUAUCCAUAUGGAGAGAUAAUUUCAUUGGCCAAGUGUUGGUGUUUCUUGUUCGUUAUCAAUGUAGUAUCAAAAGAAAAAAUAUUAGUCACCGAAAAACUGCAGAAUCAGUAAAAAAUCAGAGAGCUCUCCACAACAACAACUACAACAAACUUACAAUAACGGUACGACAACAAUGUCAAAGGUUCAUCGGAAUUCACAGAGCUAACCAAAAUGUCAACAACAAUUCAAAAAAAAAAAAAGUACAACAAAAUCCAUGAACAUAUAAUGAAGCAAUGCUUAGAAAAAUAACAAUUAACCAACAUAAUAAUCGAAGAUUAAAGAAAUAAAAAUUUUGAAUGGCGAUAAUGCCAGUGUUGCUUCAAUGGGCUUCACUAGAGCAACACUGGAGAAGCACGAACCCGACAGUGACCUCCGGGGGGGGAAGAAAGGGAAUGGUGGUUGGACAGGUAGCUGGUAGCUUGAGGCGUUGGAGUUUUGCCGGCUGGGGUGAGGGCGGCAGAGAUGUGAGGGGCAUGGGAAGUAAGGGAAGGAGAAAGCUUCACGGUGGUCCACCGGCGACGGUUCACCGGUGGUGAUGAGGUUGUGGUUUUUUAGAAAGAAGAAGAGAAAGAGGGGCAUGACAUUGAGAGAGAGAGGGAGAUCAAAUUUUUUUGGGUGUGGAUUAUAUGUGUGUUUGUAUGUGUAUAGUGUGUGUAAUUAUGUGGUGUGUAUAUUUAAAGAAAAAAGUGUCAAUAUAUCUUUUAGCUACCCUUAUUUUGCGUUGUUUCUCUCCCUUUUGUUUAUUUUAUAUUAUAUUGUGUCAAAAAAAUUAAUUCGAUUCAGUGUUUGUGAAUCGCAAAAAUACAAAAAAAUAAUUUGUAAUUAUUAAAAAAUAUAAACAAUAUUGAAAAUAUUGAAAAAAUAUAAUUAAUUAAAAACGUUAUAAAAAAUGAUGUUAUGUCCUGUAUGUGCGUAUUUUGUGUAUUUAUUGUGUUGUGUAUUUAAAUAAAUAAAUAAAUAAUUUAUGAAAUAUUUUUUUCUUCUAACAUAUCCCUUANNNNNNNNNNNNNNNNNNNNNNNNNNNNNNNNNNNNNNNNNNNNNNNNNNNNNNNNNNNNNNNNNNNNNNNNNNNNNNNNNNNNNNNNNNNNNNNNNNNNNNNNNNNNNNNNNNAUAAUAAAUAAAAAAUAUAAUUAUCUUGAAAAAAAUAUAUUAUGCUAUAAAAUAAUUAAAAUUAUACUGUACGAUAACGAAUUACAGUGCUAUGUUGUGUGCAUAUGCAGAUGACUGCGCAAAAAUAUUAAAAUGGUAAUAAACUGAUAAAAAUCCUAAAAUUUAUGAAAUUAAAGAUAAUUAUUAAUAAAUUAUGUAAAAUAAAAAUAUGACAAAAUUUGAUGAAAAAAUUAUAAAAUAAUGACGAUUAUCAAUAAUUUAUUAAAAAAUCUAAAAAUAUGUUAAAAAAUUAUAUUUUGUGCCCUUUAACAAUCAGAAAGCCUUAAAGCGUUAAUUUUAGACACGAAGAGCCAAAAUUGGGCGUCAACAAUCUGUUCUGACAUAAAAAUGAUGGCCCAAGAGGUAAUGUUUCCAUUUUUGCAAAGCUAAAACAGAGCAAGCAAUUCUCGGUCAUAGGUAGACUUUAAACGACUAGAAAAAAGAAAGUCCCUUACUAAAAUACGCAAUCGGAUGGUCAUCCUGAAGAAGAAUAGCUCCUAUUCCUUCUGAUGAAGCAUCACAUUCCCCCACAAAUGGUUGAGUGAAAUCUGGAAGUCGUAGUACCAGAAUAGUUCUUAAAGCUUGCUUGAGAAGUUGGAAAGCAUAUUUAGCGAAGAUCGACCAUUGAAAAGCAUUUUUCUUGGUAAGUUCAGUGAGUGGUCGAGCCAUCAUCCCAUAACCCUUCACAAAUCUGUGAUAAUAACCUGUUAACCCAAGAAAUCCACGUAAUUCCUUCACAUUAGUUGGCACUGGCCACUACAUAACUGCUUGAAUUUUAUCGUGAUCAACACUAACCCCAUUUUCUGAAAUCACAUGACCCAAAAAAAAUGUGAAGCUGUCCAAAUAAGUAUUUAGAAGUUUUGGCAUAAAAAUAAUUGUCCCUCAGCAGUUGGAGAGAGAGUUGCAAGUGAUUGAUAUGUUGCUCAAAGGUCUGACUGUAGAUCAAGAUGUCAUCAAAGAAUACGAGAAUAAAUUUGCACAAAUAUGGUUUGAAUAGAUCAUUCAUAGCGCACUUGAAUGUAGAAGGGGCAUUAGUGAGACCAAAGGGUAUAACGGUGAAUUUGUAAUGGCCAGAGUGCAUACGAAAAGCAGUUUUAUAAAUAUCUGCAGGAUUGACACGUAUUUGGUGGUAACCAGAAUGCAAAUCAAUCUUUGAGAAAAUAGUUUCUCCAUGUAAUUCAUCAAGAAGCUCAUCAAUAUUAAGGAUUGGAUACUUAUUUGGAAUUUUGAUUUGAUUGAGACCUCUAUAAUCAAUACACAUACGCCAUGUAUUGUCCUUUUUCUUGAUGAGAAGGAUGGGGCUAGUAAAUGGAUUGGUACUUGGCCUUAUAAAUCUUUUUUGGAGUAAUUCAAACACUUGUUUUUCAAUUUUUGAUUUUUAAAAGUAAGGAUAGAGGUAAGGGCGGAUGUUGGGAGGUUUUGAGUUAGGAAUCAAAGGGAUAGAGUGGCUGUGCUGGCGAAAAGGUGGUAGAUCAUUGGGUUUUUCAUAACUUGAUUCAAACAUGUGAAGCAAUCUUUGAAUAUCGUUGGGUAGAGACUUACCUGUAGUAUCAUCCUCUUUGGAUAAAAGCUGGAAAGCAACUGGUGCAUUUGAUUCAGGUGGAACUCCCUGAAGCUUAUAUCGCUUCCCAUUUAAAUUAAAAAUAAAAAAAAUUCAUUCCGAUUAGCAUGGACUGUAUUUAAAGACACAAGCCCCUUAAUUCUGUUGGUAUUUGUCCUGACUUUCUUACAUAAUUGGGUUUUCCUUUAGGUACCAUAAUUGAGUUUCUCUUUAGGAAACGAAAAACUUAAAUUCUUCGUAUUUGGCUAAUCCUUAUUCUUAUAGGAAAAGGUUAUAGACUCUAUAAAUAGAGGCUUCUUUCUUUUAGUUUAUUAACAUCCACAAUGUAGUCCUAGGUGAGGUUUGAGAGUUUUUUUUGGGGGGAGACUUUGUGAGUCACAAGUGUUGCAGUAUCUCAUGUGUGAACCUCUUUUUAUUCUAAGUGAAUUGUGUGAGGUUGUCUCUCUUGACAGUUUGUACUCUCUUUUAUAUAGUGGAUUGCUCAUCUCCCUUUGUGGAUACAGGUCGAUUGACUGAACCACGUUAAAUUAUUGUGUCUCUUUUGUUGUAUUUCUCGUUUAUCUUCUUACGUGGCAUCUUUCAAGGUUUUCUUUUCUAGCUUCCGCAUGACACCUAAUUAUUUCGAUCCUAACAAGUGGUAUCAAAGCAAGGUUAAAUCGGGUGUUCAUCUUGGCGGAUUCAAUUUUAGUCGCAACCUAUUUGAUGAUAAUGAAGAUUUUGGUUUGAGUGUUACUCUGUCUAGAGACCAAAAUUUAAUGGAGGAGAUUUUGGAGAUGGAGAUUGAAUUUGAUGAAGACUACGUGAAAAAGGUGGAGCAAAUUUAUUUUAUCAUAAAUUUAGGCAAAGGGAGAGAAUUGUUGGUGUUUGUCCUGACUUUCUUACCAUAAUUGGGUUUUCCUUUAGGUACCAUAAUUGAGUUUUCCUUUAGAAAAAGGAAAACCUAAAUUCCCCAUAUUUGGCUAAUCCUUAUUCUUAUAGGAAAAGGUUAUAGACUCUAUAAAUAAAGGCUCUUUUCUUCUAGUUUAUUGGCAUCCACAAUGUAGUCUAGUUUCAUUUGGGGGGAGAUUUUGUGAGACAGGUGUUGCAGUAUCAUUUGUGUAAACCUCUUUUUAUUCUAAGUGAAUUGUGUAAGGUUGUCUCUCUUGAUAGUUUGUACUCUCUUUUAUGUAGUGGAUUACUCAUCUUCUUUUGUGGAUGUAGGUCGAUUGACCGAACCACGUUAAAUUAUUGUGUCUCUUUUGGUGUAUUUCUCAUUUAUCUUCUUACAUGGCGUCUUUCAAGAUUUGCUUUGCUAGCUUCCACAUGACACCUAAUUAUUUCGGUCCUAACAAAUUCCAAGCACCAAAUUAACCUCUCCAACAAAGAAAGGAUAGAAAUGUUGGUCAAUAGUUAAUCCAGGGAAUUUCACAACCAAAUUUUGGCAUAGGCGGUUGCAACGUAUGAUUUCUCCAUUGCCGAUCUGGACUCCAAAAUAAGGCACAAUGUGAACCAGCAACUGUAAUUCUUGAACAAUUUUAUCAGAGAUAAAAUUGUGGGAUGAUCCACUAUUAGCCAAAGGUAUCACUUCGCAUCCAUUUAAAGUCCCUUGAGGUUUCAUUGUUGUGCCUUUCAUGUCACCUAGAAAGGCAUGGAAUGAAAUUUCAGCAAGGUCAUUUGUACUUGCAUCCCUAUCAAUAAUGUCACUUGGCAUUUGUUCCACUAAUUCACCCCCUUCAAUGUUGUCGUUUGUCUCCAUAAGAGUGAGAGAUGUUGUCUUGCAACGGUUGCCUGGUAAAAAUUUCUCAUUACAUAUAAAACAAAGUCCUUUGGCUAUACAAUUCUGUUUCUCUAUAUCCCAAGCACGAUUUUGAGAAGGACAAGAAGAUAUUUGUACAGAAUUUGGAUUUGUUCGUGACACAAGUUGGUUGCCUACUGAUUGGUCGAGAGCGUCACGCGCAGAACCUAUUUUGCUUGUAUUGGAUCGUGACAUAUUUGGCCAUUGCGAACCUUUAUUCCCACAAUUAGAACCCAUUUUUUGCUCAAAAUCCACUGCAAGGCUCAUAGCUUUAUACACUGUUCUGGGCUUGUGAAUUCUCACAUCUACUUUGAGUUCUUCUUUAAGUCCCGUAAGAAAUACUCCCAAAAGACAAUGUUCUGGCUAAUUCUUGACUCGGGCAGAUCGUUUAGCAAAUUCCUAGCGAUAUUCCUAGACUGUGCCCAAAUGUCGAAUGCUACAUAAAUGUUCAUCUGGAUGCUGAAAUUCUGCAGGACCAUAGUUCUCUUAUAAAGCUUUAACAAGGUCCUCCCAAUACAAUAGUGUACGCUCACUAUUAAUCCACGCAAAGAGAUCAAGCGGAUCACCGUCCAAAUACAUGGAUGCAAUAUCCACCUUUAAAUCAUCAUGUGUUUGAUAGUACAGAAAAUAUUUUUCAGCCUUCAAAAUCCAACCACGAGGAUCUCCUCCUUUAAAUCUUGGAAAUUCCAUUUUUGUGUGUGGCCCGUGGGAUGGAUUAUUUAACCACCAAGGCGUAUCCACAUCAAUAUCAACAUCCUCAUCCCUCGAAGAUUUUCUAGGGUUACGAGGAGCUCUAUUAUAUUUUGGACCCUUUCCUUUAAAGGAUGUAACAAGAUUAACAUCAGUUUGAGUACCACUUGUUUGACCCUUCACUGCUGCAUCUAAUGCUUCCAAACGUGAUGUUAUAAAUGUUAAUUGCUGAACAAUUUUACUAUUAGAAGGUUCACUUGGAUAGUUUGUGACUGGUUGUGAUGAUGGUUCGUUAGAAGAUCCGGUGGAUACCAUUCUGGAUCUUGCUUCUCUGAUACCAAAAUGAUAGAAACUAAGUUGAAGAAGAGAAUGAAAUGAAAAUGUUGUUGGUUAAUACAGUGCAAGAAUCUUAAACACUACAUUAACCAAUAACUAAGUUCGUAUGGAAUGGACAAAACUCCAGAUACAAAUACAAUAAUAUUGCUUCUCUAUUUUAGAAUUCUCCAGAUACAAUAUUUAUAUUAAAACAUAAAGAUAGGAUGACAUAAAGACAGGACAUAGGCAGACAGUUGCUGUUGUACAUAACUGAUGAUAACUUCUAUAAAUAACUGCUUAUAUAACUUAUAAGAUAGAUUAUAUCCACUUGCCUGUCUAGAUUUCCUUCUAGAAUAAGUUCGUAAAGGAGCAGUCAUAUCACAGGCCCAAGCAGUAAUGCGACGCUUAGGAUGCGAAACCAAAAGGCCGAGUCAAGUCAUGGGCCUUUGUUUCUAUAGCAACCUUCUGGUGUUUCUUUAUUUAUUGCAUACUACUCAAAUGUAAUUAUUUACUACUUCCCAAAAUUAAAACUUCUUCCUCCAUAAUUUUCAUUCAAAUUGUUGUUACUACAAAGAAUCUAUAUAUACUAUAAAGGAAGGUCAUAGAGAAGGUGAUGUGGCACUUCUCUAUGGCCUCCAUUCCUAUUUAUCUUUUUUCUCAUUUUUUUCUUCACUUUUUGUAUUAAUUAAUUUAUUUAAUGAUUAAAAAAUUCUAUCAUAUUUAUUACAUAUAAUUGUAAUUAAUAGGUUACAAAAAAAAACCUCCAUCUAUUUGUAUUCUUACUUAAUAGCAUGUCUUCUCAACUCCCUUUUAUCUAUUCUUAUGACUUAACAAAUCUAUAUAUAACAUUCAUCUAUAGAGUUCUGGAUGCUCAUUUCCAUUUCUUCUUCUUUUUUAUUGGUAUAUCUUUUUUUUUUUUUUUCAUUUUCUAUCUACUUUCUAUGUCAUUUGAUUUUACUCCAACAACUAAUAUGUCAUCAAAAAACUCAAGAACUAAAUCAGGUUGCUCACUUUGUAAGUAACCAAAAAUCAUGGGGGCUUCAAGAGAAAGCAUCGCUUACAAAUAUUUGAUCAAAUAAUUUUCUAGCCAAACACAAGUUUCCUUCCAUCGAGUCCUAGGGGUACUUGUACCCGAAACAUUAGUUGUGUACCUAGAGCCAUGUCAUGUUUUUAUGAUACUCCCAGACAAGCUAUAAAUCCUUAGACUUCAGAUAGUCUUGUGACUCAAGAAAAAACUCCAUGAUCUCAUGAAACAGUUAGUUGUCAGAAAUUAGUAUUCCAUCAGUCAACAAAACUUAGUAACUUAGCUCAUGUUCAGUUCAGUAAAUCAUGUUCAGUAUCCAUUUAGAUAGGAGUAGGAAUUUGCACCGAGUGAACCCAAGGAUGGGGACACACUAUCAGAUGAGGGUGUGAUCCUUAGAAGUCAUCCUUUCAUUCCAGAACUAUGUAGCCAACAUGGGUUGAGACAUCAACUUUGUCCGAUGAUGGUUGAUGAGAUAGAUAAGCACUAUCAGAUAAGGGCCCCACCAUUAUCUUUUAGGGACACUAUCAGAUAAGGGUCACCCAUAACUUGUCCUUACCAGUGGUGUGGUAUUGAUACCCUUCUAAUAAGGGUUACAGAUUGGACCCCAACUCAGCCAUAAUGGCAUAUCAGGGGUAUGUCGAUUAAAUACUACCUCCCACAGUUUUAGUACUAGUCUUAGUAAAAGAACUCAGAUAAUUCUUUAGAUUUAGGACUGUCAGAUACAGUCAACUCAAAUACGAUAUGAAACUCAGAUAGUUCCAUCAGAUUUAGGAUUGUCAAAUAUAGUCACCCAUGUUAUCAAUUACUUUUAGAUAAAGCUAUUUAUGCUAUCAGUUAAUCAGUUAUUAGUAUGUCAUGUCAUCAGUAUUCAGAUUCAUUAAUCAAAAGAUCACAGAGUCAGUUACAGUUACGUAUUUAUGUAUGCAUUUUCGCAUUCAUGUUAGACAGUCAGCUAGCAUUAUUCAUGCAUGUUAACACUUACAUUAGCCUACCUCACAUGUAUACUUAGUACAUUCCAUUGUACUGAUGCAUUUGCGCUAUGGUGCUUUCUUUUUAUGUUACACCAUAGGUUCAGAGACACGAGUUCCAGAUCAGCAGUAGAUUCCAGUCUCAGCAAUCAGAAUAAAAGUGAUUGCUCAUCCUUAGAGGAUAUGAUUAUUUCUCUACUAUUUCAUUGAUUAGUUUUAGUUAGAGUUAGUUGGGGACAUGUCCCAUCAACUUUUUAUUCAAAUUAUUCAGAUAGUAGAGGCUUUCAGACUAGAUGCAGACUAUUAUGUUUCAGACUUCAGUGUUUAUAGUUUUGUUUUGGGUAUUGUAUUACCCCAAAAAUGUUAUCUCAUCCAUGUUAUGUUCAAUAUUGAACCUUAUGACCUUUCAGUGAAUAUUUCCAUAUUAUUCAGUAUUUUAUGCAGUAUAUAGGUACAAAUAUCAGUCAUGGGUUAGCUUGUGGUCCUUCAGGGUCAUGAUCACCAUAUAGCAUUUUGGUUCAGCAAAUCGGGGUGUUACAAACUUGGUAUCAGAGCCUAAGGUUCAAUAGAGUCCUAGGACGUCUGAAAGCCGCAUCUAGUACAGUCUUGUACAUAGGUGUGUUGCGCGCCACAUUUAUGUGCAAGAGCCUAUGAGAUGUUUAAGAAACAGUUUCCCUUCUGUAAGUAUUCAUGUCAUACCAGUGAUCAUAAUUACAAGUCAAUCUCUCAGUCUAAUCUACUUCUUCUCUUUAUUUUAGAAUAUGCCUCCUAAGAGAAGAAAUCAGUCAGCCCCUCAGCUCGAAGAAUCUUUGGGCAAUAAUGUUUCUCAUGGGAGUUCAGGACCGCAUUUACCACUCUUGCUUAGUUAGUAGCUGCCCAUAAUGAGUGACCAACUGUCGUUUCGACUAACCUAGUGGCUAAUUCAGCUGCAUCCAAGAUUCAAGAUUUUACCCGAAUGAAUCCUCCAUCCUUUCUCAAGUCUAAGAUAGAUAAAGACCCUCAGGAAUUCCUUGAUCAGGUGCAGAAGGUGACAGACAUCAUGCGGAUGACUACUGUUGAGAGUGCUGAGCUAGCUACAUAUCAGUUGCAGGAUGUUGAUCACACUUGGUUCAAGCAGUGAAGUUCAGAGAGGGCAGAUGAUGUAGGGCCAGUUGAGUGAGAGGAGUUUAUGUCUGCUUUCCUUGAUAAAUUCUUUUCUCUAGAUCUUAAGGAAGCUAAGGUGUUAGAAUUCAUCAACCUCAGGCAGGGCAAUAUGACGGUGAAAGAGUAUUCUCUAAAGUUUACUCAAUUAGCCAGAUAUACCCCUCAUGUGGUUGCAGAUGGCAGAUCUAAGAUGAGUAAUUUCGCUUUAGGGGUAAAUGAUAGCGUAGUUAAUGAGUGCAGAUCUGCCAUGCUAUAUAGUGACAUAACUUUAGUCAGAAUUAUGAUCCAUGCUCAGCAAAUAGAGGAGCAAAAGAUUAAGUAGAGGGAAAAGUAGAAUAAGAAAGCUAGGAUAGGUAGCUUCAAUUUUAGUCAGCCUAAAUCAGAUGUAGGAAACCGUUCUUAGUUUCAUCCUAAGUCAUCAGUUCCAGCUCCUUCUUUAGCCAGUCCUCUAUCUCCUAAGUUCAGAUAUAGAGUACCAGGCUCUAAGUCUCAGGGCAGUGUCAGCAAUGCUCGAAUUAAUCCCCUUUGUUAGACUUGUGGUAAGAAUCACAAGGGUCCUUGCAGAGCUGGCAGGGAUGUCUAUUUCGGUUGUGGCAAGCCAGACCAUAGAGUUAGAGACUUCCCUCAGUCAGUUUAUCAGAGUUAUAUCUACUCCUCAGCUCAGUCCUAUCGCCCAAAUAAGUAGGAUGCCACCACUAGUGCUACUAGCGGGCAAUGCCCAAAUAGACUAUAUACUCUUCAGACCCGACAAGAUUAGGAAAAUUCUCCUGAUAUAGUUAUUGGUAUGUUACAGAUCUUUCGUGUGCAUAUUUACGCUUUGCUAGAUCCAGGAGCUUCUUUGUCUUUUGUUACUCCCUAUCUAACAGUUGAUUUUGGAAUUAGUCCCAAAAUUCUAGCAGAGCCCAUCUCAGUCUCUACCCAGUAGGUAAAACCAUCAUAGCCUGGUGGGUAUACAGGAACUGCCCGGUUAUGAUAUUUCAGAAAGUCACUUCUGCAGACUUAGUCGAAUUAGAGAUGACUAAUUUUGAUGUCAUUCUCGGCAUGGAUUGGCUUUAUUCCUGCUAUUCCACAGUUGACUGCAGAAAUAUCCAGUUUUAGUUUCUAAAUGAACCCGUCCUUUAGAAAAAGGGUAGCGUAUCCGCUUUCAGGGGUUAGCUUGUUUCCUACCUUCGAGAAAGGAAAAUGAUAUCUAAAGGAUGUGCCUAUCAUUUUGUUCAAGUUAAGGAUAUUAGUUCCUGAACUCCCAUCCUUGAAUCAGUCCUAGUAGUGAAUGAAUAUUCAGAUGUCUUUCCCAAAGAUCUUCCAGGAAUUUCUCCUGAACGAGAAAUAGACUUCGGCAUUGAUCUUCUUCUAAAUACUCAGCCUAUCUCUCGCCAUACAAAAUGGCUCCAGCAAAACUCAGAGAAUUGAAAGAACAGUUGAAGGAUCUCUUAGAUAAGGGAUUCAUCAGACCCAAUAUUUCCCCGUGGGGCGCACCAGUCUUAUUCAUGUGUAAAAAAAAAGACGGUUCUCUUAGAAUGUGCAUUGAUUACCAUCAACUCAAUAAGGUCACGGUCAAGAACAAGUAUCCUCUUCUUAGAAUUGAUGACUUGUUUGACCAAAUUUAGGGUGCCAGCUAUUUCUAUAAGAUAGACCUCAGAUCCGGCUAUCAUCAGCUCAGAUUUAUAAAAAGUGACAUUUCAAAAAUAGCGUUCCAUACUUGGUAUGGUCACUUUGAUUUUUUAGUCAUGUCAUUUGGUCUUACCAAUGCCCCAGCAGCUUUUAUGGACUUGAUAAACUACGUGUUCAAGCAGUACUUGGACAUGUUCAUCAUAGUCUUUAUAGAUGAUAUUCUGGUAUAUUCUCGAACUGAACACGAUCAUGAAGACUAUCUUAGAAUAGUACUUCAGACUCUUAAAGAUCAUUAGCUAUUCGCCAAAUUCAGUAAGUGCGAAUUUUGGCUAAGGUCAGUAGUAUUCCUUGGUUACAUUAUUUUCAGUGAUGGAAUUAUAGUUGAUCCUCAAAAGACCGAAGCAUUAAGAAACAAGCCAAGACCUGUCUCUCUAUUAGAUAUCAUGAGUUUCUUGGGUUUGGCUGGCUAUUAAAGGCGGUUUAUAGAAGGAUUUUUAUCUAUUGCAUCCCCUAUGUCCAGAUUGACUCAGAAGAAGGUCAAGUUUUAGUGGUCAGACCCUUGCAAGAAGAGUUUUUAGGAGUUGAAGACUCGACUUACCUCAGCCCCAGUCUUAGCUCGUCUAGAUGGUUCAGAUGGGUUCGUGGUAUAUUCUGAUGCAUCCAGAGUAGGUUUGGGAUAUGUCCUCAUGCAACAUGAUAAGGUCAUAGCCUACGCCUCCAGACAGCUUAAGCCCCAUGAGAGGAAUUAGACUACUCAUGAUCUUGAGUUAGCAGCCGUAGUCUUUGCCUUGAAGAUUUGGAGGCAUUAUCGCUGUGGAGUUCAUGUAGAUGUCUUCAUAGAUCACAAGAGUCUUCAGUAUGUCUUUUUUCAAAAAGAUCUUAAUUUUCAUCAAAGAAGUUGGUUAUAGCUCUAGAAAGAUUACAACAUGAGUGUCCUCUAUGAUUAUCCGAGCAAGGCCAACGUAGUGGCCGAUGCUCUCAGUAGGCUAUCUAUGGAUAGUGUUUCUCAUGUGAAGGAUAGUAAGAAUAAGUUAGCUCAAUGUCCAUCAGCUUACCAUACUAGGCAUUCACUUAGUUGAUUCUUUAGAGGGUGGUGUAUGUGUUUAGAGUAGUUCAGAAACAUCUCUAGUUUCCGAGGUAAAAAAAUAGCAAGAUAGAUGUAACGCCCCGCAUUUUGGGCUACAAUAAAGAUCAUGAUUUUGAUGCGUUGAUAAUCCCGAAGCCAUAAAAUCCUAUGCCAAUAUGGCAUGUUAAUUAUUUGUGUAGAAUAUGAAUCCAUGCAAGCUUGAAUUUAGACCAUAGAGGUCCUUCAACUCAUGGACGAUUUGAAACAAUUUCGAUCGACUAAGUUUUAAUGAAUGUUGUAAAGUAUGUCAGCUUCCAUCGACCAUACCUCUCUAUAUAUGUUGAAUUAGGAAGCCUACUAUGUGUCAAAUGAUAGGUAUUUGAGUUACCUUUCCAACGAUACCAAUUUGGCUAAAAUCCGACACCCAAGCAAGAAGUUAUGGCCUUUCAAAGUGAUAUGUGUCGCCUAACCAAUCGCCCAUGGCCACUGGAAAACAUGGCAAUAGCCUAGGCGGCGCCUAUGUGAACAUAGGCAAUGGGAUGGGCGGCGCCUAUAUAAAGAAUUGUAGUGACUUAAACACUUUAAACACUCCAUGUUGGGGACAAAGUGGUCCUUUUCCACCCUUACUUAGCCCUAAAACACGAAAUUCAGUUCCAAGGACCCCAAAAUACACCUUCAUUCGUCAAAAGUGCUCAAAGAUUAUCCUAACGGUUUCAAAAUAAAAACCCAAAUAGUUCAAGAUUCGACCGUAGUUUUUCAAAAAUAAUUACAUAUUUGGAAUCACCAAUCUGCAAGCUUCAAGAAACAUCUAUCAUCCUUGGAAAUAGAGGUACGUGGGGUUAUCCUAAAAUCUCAUAGGUGUAGUUUUUAUGAACAUUCAUGCUUUUAAAUGGAGGUUUUCAAUCAAAUGCUAAUAACUUGCUUUCAAUAUNNNNNNNNNNNNNNNNNNNNNNNNNNNNNNNNNNNUUUCAAAUUCCCAUGAUAAUGUCUUGAUACCCCAUAUCAUAUUGUGACCAACAAAAGAGAGCAUGAAUUUGAAAUAAAUAUUGUUCACCACUUAUAAAUGAUGAAGCACCUUGGUUUUUACAUGAUAAUGCAUAUGUGGAAGUGAUAUUGAUGACUUAAAAGUUGGGUAGGACGAUACCCUACAGAACAUGAUAUGUGAUUGAAUCAGAUGAAAUUUGAAUGCAUUGAUUUUACAUGAGAAAGGUGGAUGCUCGAAGAAGGCAUUUGAGAGUAAGGGCUCAUUACUGGAAAACAUAUUUGCCGACAUGGAAAUUUUGGUACCAGUCUAAGUGAUCUUAUUUACUUGACUUUAUGUCAUUCCCAAAUUGGGACUAUAGGUAGGAGCCUGGGCUAAGUGAUCUUGGGCACUACCAUUGGGUCAAGACACCAUGCUAUGUGAUCUUGUGUGUCUCUUCCUCACUUAUACUCUAAUCUCGGUGGCAACCGAGGUUAGAAAGUUGGUGUAAAUUAUGUAGGGUAUUCCACCUAGCUCAGUUGAAUUUAAUUGUUGUUGAGAAACUAUUGCAUUAUGCCCAUGUGUUUUCAAAUGAUUUGAUAUGAAAUUGCUUUAUAAUGGCUCUCAACUAUAUUUUGUAAAAAUAUUAUGUUUUGUUUUGAUAUCUCUACGUGCCAAUACUUUUGUGCUGACCCCCUCCCCUCUCCAACCUCUCAGGUUUAGAGGCCCAGUCUAUGGGUCAAGAGAAUCAGUAGAUUAUUCAGACAGAGUUGCAGAGACAAGUGGUGAGCCUUCUAUGUUUUGGAAGGCCUUAUGUCCUGUAGUCCUUUAGCUUAUAUUUAGUGUUGGGGUCCAUUGGGGGCCUUGUCCCAGUUUAUAUAUAGUUACUUGACUCAGUCACUUGCUAGAGAUUUUUGCAGACAGUUGUUUAGAGUUUGAUUGAUGUUGGGGGAACCUUAUUUCUCCGUUAUUGUUUAUUUUCAUAUUUAUGACCAUGUUUCCGAAUUAUUGUGUUUCUUCCGCAUUACUUUUAUCAUAUGAAUUAAGUGCAUGAUUACCAGAUAGAUAGAGGUGUUUCGGGCCUCCUUGGAUUGAAAUGCUCAUCACGGCCAGGCCCUGGUUUGGGUCAUGACAAACUUGGUAUCAAAUCAUAGUUCAUGGUCCCAGGGUGUCUGCAAAAUCGCGUCGGGUAGAGUCCUAUUUAUGGGUGUGUAGCGCGCCACACUUAUAAGUAGGGGGCUACUAGGCGUUUAUGAAUGUUUCUCUUCUUUGUGAUUUAGUUCGUACUUCAGAGUCUGAACUGUCCCCUAAUCAAUGAUCACUUGUGUUUCAGAAAACACAGUUAUGCCUUUACAUCGUAUCAUCAAUCAGAAUGCUCAAGAAGAUGAGGUCUGUCCCAUCCAUGGGAUACGGACCCAUAAUAGGGCUCACACUCCAGAAUUUAUCCCUACUUUGGGAGUCCCACCAAUCCCGACCAGUCCACCUUGGGCUCCGUGAACUAAUGCCAACCAUCGCCUAACUGCUCAGGGAGAUAUUUCAAAUACAGAAUUCAGACGGUCCAUUCAUAUGCUGACAUAGUCAGUAGCUAACUAGGCUCAAUGAUCAGAAGAUAUUGGGUCUGCAUCUGUUACGUAUGAGGCUACUAGAGUCAGACAUUUCAUGAAGAUGAACCCACCUAAAUUCAUUAGCACCAAGGUAGAGGAAGAUCCACAGGUGUCCGUGGAUGAGUUGGAAAAGAUCUUUUAGGUGAUGUGUAUGGAUGAGGUAGAAGGGGUGGAGCUAGAAACCUAUCAGCUCAAGGAUAUUGUGAAUCAGUGGUAUGCAGACUGGGAAGAUGCAAAAGGUGAAAAUGCUGAGCCCACAAUUUUGGGCAAAUUUGUGGAAGCUUUCCUUGAUCGAUUCUUUCCUCUAGAGUUGAGGGAGACCAAAGUGGAAGAGUUAAUAAAUCUGAAGUAGGGCAGUAUGAGUGUCUAGGAGUACACUUUGAAGUUUAAUAAUCUAGCCUGCUAUGCACCAGAGUUGACUAGUAAUAUGAGAUCCUGGAUGAGGAAAUUUGCAUUUGGCCUUGCUAAUAACCUGGUACUUGAGUGCCAAGGGGCUAUGUUGAAUAAGGAGUAAGACUUUGCUCGAUUGACCGCUCAUAUGCAGCAGGUGGAAGAGAAGAAGAAAAAGAUUGCUAAAUCUAGAGAGAAAGACAGACAGGCAAGAGAGCUCGAUCUGCGGACCAGCACCAGAGUCAUUCGUAGAGUGGUAACUGGGGUAAUAAGUGGUCGAAGAAGAAAAAGUUUUGAAAUAAUGCACAGUCAUGAGCCAGCGCCCCAGCACCUAGACCACCGACAGACAGACAAACUCAGAGAUUCCAGACUCUUCAUGGGUCCAAAGCUCCAGGUACACAGUCUCAGGGCAGUGUGGCCUAGCAGAAUCAUACUUAUCCGUGGUGCAAGGUUUGCGGAAGGAAUCAUCUAGGGAAGUGCUGGUUUAAGGGGAGAAACUGCUAUACUUGUGGAAAAGUGAGUCACCUUCAGAAAGAUUGUCCUUCUGCUAGAGUAAAUGUAGGGGGGAUGGGGUAAGGGGGGCUAAGUCCCAAGCUGCCUUCACAACUCCUUUUCCUAAGGGUGCCCCUUCAGCUGCCGAGAGCGAUCGCAAUCAGUUAUAUUCUUUGACUAACCUCCAGGAGGUGGAAGCUUCACCAGAUGUUCUCACCGGUAUGUUACGAAUAUUUUCUCAUGAUGUUUAUGUAUUACUUGAUCCCGGGUCUACUUUAUCUUUUGUGACCCCUUAUGUGGCUGUUGGUUUUGGGUUUGAGCUCAAAGUUAUUAUAGAACCCUUCUCUGUUUCUACUCCUGUAGGUGAUUUUGUUGUUGCUAGAAGGGUGCAUAGAAAUUGUGUCGUGUCUAUUCAUAGUAGGGAAACUGUGGCAGACCUUAUAAAACUGAAUAUGAUAGAUUUUGAUGCCAUCCUUGGGAUGGACUGGCUCCAAUCGUGUUAUGCCACCCUUGAUUGCAGAACCCUAAAGGUCACUUUUUCUUUCCCGAAUGAGACACCAAUUGUAUGGGCAGGGAGUUUUGUGGAGCCUAGAGGUCACAUUAUCUCUUAUCUUAGAGCCCGAAAUCUUAUCUCCAAAGGUUGUAUGUAUAAUCUAAUCCGAGUAAAAGAUUCAAAAGUUGAAAACCUUCCUCUGCAGUCAGUCCCUAUAGUGAAUGAAUUCCUAGAAGUCUUUCCCGAAAAUCUCCCAGGGAUGCCCCCUGAUAGGGAGAUAGAUUUUGGCAUUGAUGUGUUGUUAGACACUCUUCCUAUUUCUAUUAUUCCAUAUAGAAUGGCUCCCACAGAACUAAAAGAGUUAAAGGAACAGUUUGCAUACCUCCUAGGCAAAGGUUUUAUUCGUCCUAGUGUUUCCCCAUGGGUUGCACCUGUGCUCUUUGUGCGAAAGAAGGAUGGGUCCCUUCGGAUGUGCAUAGACUACCGUCAGUUGAAUAAUGUCACAAUCAAAAAUAAAUAUCCUCUUCCUAGGAUUGACGACCUUUUUGACCAGCUUCAGGGCGCCAAGUGUUUUUCAAAAAUAGACCUUCAUUCGGGUUAUCAUUAGUUGAAAGUUAGGGAGUUAGACAUACCCAAGACAACCUUCCAAACUCGAUUAGUCACUACGAAUUUCUAGUUAUGUCCUUCGGGUUGACUAACGCCCCUGCAGCCUUCAUGGAUCUUAUCAAUAGAGUGUUUUCUCAGUUUCUUGACCUAUUCGUCAUUGUUUUUAUUGAUGAUAUUCUGAUCUAUUCCAAGAGUAAAGAGGAUCAUGCCAAUCACCUUCAAAUUAUUCUUUAGACCCUUAAGGAUCAUCAGUUGUAUAUCAAAUUUUCUAAGUGUGAAUUCUGUUUAGAUGCUAUUUCCAUCCUGGGGCAUAUUAUGUCCAGUGACGGGAUAAGAGUGGAUCCCCAAAAAGUUGAAGCAGUGAGAAAAUGGUCCAGACCUACGACUCCAAUUGAUAUUCAGAGCUUCUUGGUUUGGCGGGGUAUUACAGAAGGUUCGUAGAGAGUUUUUCUUCCAUAGCUGCUCCACUUACUAAACUGACUUAGAAAAGGAUGAAGUUUGUGUGGUCUGACUUAUGUGAAAACAAUUUUGAGAAGUUGAAGGACAAGCUGACUACUACUCCUGUUUUGACCCUUCCCGAGGGUGUAGAUGAUUUUUUGGUUUAUUGUGAUGCGUCCUAUGUGGGACUUGGUUGUGUAUUGAUGCAGUGUGGUAAGGUGAUAGCUUAUGCAUCUAGGCAGUUAAAGGUGCAUGAGCGUAAUUACACCAUUCAUGACUUGGAGUUAGUAGCCGUGGUGUUUGUACUUAGAAUCUAGAGGCACUAUCUCUAUGGAGUGCAUGUUGAUAUUUAUACUGACCAUAAGAGUUUGCAGUAUGUUUUCUCACAGAAAGAAUUGAACCUCAGGUAGAGGCAUUGGAUGGAGCUUUUGAAAGACUAUGAUAUGAGUCUGCAUUACCAUCUGGGCAAGGAAAAUAUUGUAGUCGAUGCCCUCAGCAGGUUGUCUAUGGGCAGCCUUUCUCAUGUCGAAGAAGGAAAGAAAGAGAUGGUGAAGGAUAUUCACCACCUUGCAAAUCUGGGAGUGCGACUCUUAGAUUCCAAGAUGGAGGGGUGAUUGUUCAUGAGUUAGAUAAGUCAUCCCUUUGUGUUGAAGUUAAGGAGAAGCAGGUUGAAGAUCCCAUCUUGAUACAAAUCAAGAAAGAUAUGGGUCAACAAAAGGUUAUGUCGUUUGAAAUUGGUGAGGAUGGUAUUCUGAGAUUUUAGGGGAGGUUGUGUGUUCCGAAUGUUGACGGACUGCGGGAAAGAAUCCUUGAUGAGGCGCACACUUCGAGGUAUGUUGUUCACCCAGGCUCUACUAAGAUAUACCAUGAUCUGAAAACCUUGUAUUGGUGGAAUAACAUGAAACGUGAUGUAGCUGAUUUUGUGUCCAAGUGUUUGAACUGUCAACAAGUGAAGGUAGAACACAUGAGGCCAGGUGGUACUUCCCAAGAGAUAGCCCUACCUUUAUGGAAGUGGGAAAUGAUAAACAUAGACUUCAUUACAGGACUUUAGAGAUCCCGAAACAAGUAUGAUUCUAUAUGGGUGAUUGUAGAUCGGUUGACAAAGUUAGCCCACUUUUUGCCUGUGAGGACUAAUUAUUCGGGAGAGGUUUAUGCUAAGAUUUGGAUUGAGGAGAUAGUUCGAUUGCAUAGGGCACCAGUGUCCAUUAUAUCCGAUAGAGGUACGCAGUUUUCAUCUCAGUUUUGGAGAUCCUUUCAGAAGGGUUUAGGUACACAAGUGAAUUUGAGCACAGUUUUCCACCCUCAGAUGGAUGGGCAAGCUGAGCGUACCAUUCAGACCCUCAAAGAUAUGUUGAGGGCAUGUGUCAUUGAUUUCAAAGGUAGUUGGGUAGAUCACCUGCCACUGGUUGAAUUCGCUUAUAAUAAUAGUUACCAUGCAAGCAUCAAGAUGGCUCCUUUUGAGGCUUUGUAUGGGCGGAGAUAUAGGUCUCCGAUAGGAUGGUAUGAAGUGGGUGAGACUCAGUUGUAUGGGCCUGAUCUUGUUCAUCAGGCGAUGGAAAAAGUGAAGAUCAUUAGAGAACGACUUAAGACUGCUCAGAGUCGUCAGAAGUCCUAUGCCGAUGUUCGGAGAAGAGAACUAGAGUUUGAAAUUAGUGAUUGGGUGGUUCUCAAGGUUUCUGCUAUAAAAGGGUGUUUCUCAAGGUUUCUCCUAUGAAAGGAGUUAUGCGGUUUAGAAAAAGGGGUAAAUUGAGUCCUCGCUAUAUAGGGCCAUAUCAGAUUCUAAGAAAGAUUGGGACAGUUGCUUAUGAGCUAGAAUUGCCUGUAAGUUUGGGUUCCGUUCAUCCAGUAUUCCAUGUAUCCAUGUUGAAUAAAUGCAUUGGAGAUCAUUCUAUGGUAUUGCCAGUAGAGGGUAUCAAGGUGACAGACUCCUCGUCUUACGAAGAAGAGCCCAUUGAAAUUUUAGAUGGCCAAGUUUGAAAGCUAAGGAGCAAAGAGAUAGCCUCAGUAAAGGUAUUGUGGGGGAAUCAGAAAGCCGAAGAAGCCACUUGGGAGUCAGAAGAUGACAUGAGAAUUAGAUAUCCCAAUUUGUUUGCUUUGAUAGAGGAUGAGAUAGAAGGUACUAUUCCUAUCUUAUCUUUCCUAGUCCUUUAUUAUGCUUGAAAUCGUGCCCGUCUGUGUCCCGCAUCAUCAAUCGGGGAUGAAUGAUCCUAAGGGGGGAUAAUGUAAUGCCCCGCAUUUCGGGCUACAAUAAAGAUUAUGAUUUCGAUGCGUUGAUAAUCCCGAAGCCAUAAAAUCCUAUACCAAUACAGGAUGUUAAUUAUUUGUGUAGCAUGUGAAUCCAUUCAAGCUUGAAUUUAUACCAUAGAGGUCCUUCAACUCAUGGACGAGUUGAAACUAUUUCGAUCGACUAAGUUUUAGUGGAUGUUGUAAAGUGUGUCAGAUUCCAUCGACCAUAACUCUCUGUAUAUGUCGAAUUAGGAAGCCUACUAUGUGUCAAUUGAUAGGUAUUCGAGUUAGCUUUCCAACGAUACCAAUUUGGCUAAAAUUCGACACCCGAGUAAGAAGUUAUGGCCUUUCAUAUUGAUAUGCGUCGCCUAACCAAUCGCCCAUGGCCACUGGAAAGCAUAGGCAAUAGUUUAGGCGGUGCCUAUGUAAACAUAGGUGAUAGCCUAGGCGGCGCCUACAUAAACAUAGGCAAUGGGAUGGGUGGCGCCUAUGUAAAGAUGUAAAGAAUUCUAGUGACUCCGUUUUGGGGACAAAGUGGUCCUUUUCCACCCUUACUUAUCCCUAAAACACGAAAUUCAGUUCCAAGGACCCCAAAAUACACCUUCAUUCGUCAAAACUGUUCAAAGAUUUUCUUUAGGGUUUCAAAAUAAAAACCCAAAUACUUCAAGAUUCGACCGUAGGUUUUCAAAAAUAAUUACAUAUUUGGAAUCACCAAUCUGCAAGCUUCAAGAAACAUCUAUUAUCCUUGGAAAUAGAGGUACGUGGGGUUAUCUUAAAAUCUCAUGGGUGUAGUUUUUAUGAACAUGCAUGCUUUUAAAUGGGGGUUUUCAAUCAAAUUCUAAUAACUUGCUUUUAAUAUGAUUUCUAAGUCAUCUUUCUUUAUGUCAUCGGAAUUGUUUGCCUAUAUACUUCAAUGGUUGAAACCAUUCAUAUGUGAUUUGAGAUUUUGCAUGAAAGUUUGAUAAAUAUGAAUGAUAAAUUGCUUUCAAAUUCCCAUGAUGAUGUCUUGAUACCCCAUAUCAUAUUGUGACCAACAAAAGAGAGCAUGAAUUUGAAAUAAAUAUUGUUCACCACUUGUAAAUGAUUAAGCACCUUGGUUUUUACAUGAUAAUGCAUCUGUGGAAGUGAUAUUAAUGACUUGCAAGUCGGGUAUGACGAUACCCUACAGAACAUGAUAUGUGAUUGUAUCAUAUGAAAUUUGAAUGCAUUGAUUUUACAUGAGAAAGGUGGAUGAUCGAAGAAGGAGUUUAAGAGUAAGGGCUCAUCGCUUGAAAACGUGUUUGCCGACACGAAAAUUUUGGUACUAGGCUAAGUGAUCUUGUGUACUUGACUUCAUGUCAUUCCCAAAUUGGGACUGUAGGUAGGAGCCCGGGCUAAGUGAUCUUGGGCACUACCAUUAGGUUGAGACACCAUGCNNNNNNNNNNNNNNNNNNNNNNNNNNNNNNNNNNNNNNNNNNNNNNNNNNNNNNNNNNNNNNNNNNNNNNNNNNNNNNNNNNNNNNNNNNNNNNNNNNNNNNNNNNNNNNNNNNNNNNNNNNNNNNNNNNNNNNNNNNNNNNNNNNNNNNNNNNNNNNNNNNNNNNNNNNNNNNNNNNNNNNNNNNNNNNNNNNNNNNNNNNNNNNNNNNNNNNNNNNNNNNNNNNNNNNNNNNNNNNNNNNNNNNNNNNNNNNNNNNNNNNNNNNNNNNNNNNNNNNNNNNNNNNNNNNNNNNNNNNNNNNNNNNNNNNNNNNNNNNNNNNNNNNNNNNNNNNNNNNNNNNNNNNNNNNNNNNNNNNNNNNNNNNNNNNNNNNNNNNNNNNNNNNNNNNNNNNNNNNNNNNNNNNNNNNNNNNNNUGUAUUUAUAGUUACUUUACUCGUUCAUUUUUUAGAGAUUUUGGCAGAUAGUUGUUUAGAGGUUGAUUGAUGUUGGGGGAACCUUAUUUCCCCGUUAUCAUUUCUUUUCAUAUUUAUGACCAUGUUUCUAAAUUAUUGUGUUUCUUUCGCAUUACUUUGAUCAUAUGAAUUAGGUGCAUGAUUACCAGACAGAUAGGGGUGUUUCGGGCCUCCAUGGUUCGAAAUGCUCAUCACGGCCAGGCCCUGGUUCGGGUCAUGAAAAUAGAGAUCCCAGCCUUGUCAAGUUGAAAAAGUCAGUUCAGGAUCAGAAAGUAGAGGUUUUCUCCCAAGGAGGAGAUGGUGUUUUGUGUUGUCAGGGUCAUCUCUGUUUUCCAGGUGUCGACGACUUAAGGCAACAAAUUCUUGCAGAAGCUCAUGGUGUAUCCUACUCUAUUCAUCCAGGGCCCAUAAAGCUGUAUCACUACUUACGAUAAAUCUAUUGGUGGAGUGGGAUGAAUUGAGACAUUACAGAGUUUGUGGCUAAGUGCUCUAUAUGUCAGCAAGUUAAGAUAGAGCAUCAAAAGCCUAGUGGGUCCAUGCAGGAGUUCAGUAUUCCUACUUGGAAGUGGGAAGUUGUGAACAUGAACUUCGUGAUGGGUACCUCGAACUCGUCAUCAGCAUGAUUCAAUCUGGGUCAUUAUAGACAGAAUGAACAAUCAGCUCAUUUCCUUCUAGUUCAUACCUCUUAUUCAACCGAGGAUUAUGCUAAACUCUAUAUCAAUUAGUUGGUCAGAUUGCACGGUGUUCCAUUGUCCAUUAUCUCAGACUGAGGUACCCAGUUCACCUCUCAUUUUUGGAAAGCAUUCCAAAAGGGUCUCGGUACCCAAGUUCAUCUCAGUACAACCUUUCAUCCUUAGACAGAUGGUCAAGCAGAAAGGACCAUUCAGACUUUAGAAGAUAUGCUAAGGGCAUGUGCAAUUGAUUUCAAGGAAAGUUGGGAUGACCACUUGCCUUUGAUUGAGUUUGCAUACAACAACAGCUAUCAUUCUAGUAUUCAGAUGGCUCCAUUCGAAGCUCUCUAUAGUAUGAGAUAUAGAUAUCCAAUUGGUUGGUUCGAAGUUAGUGAGGCCUUAGUCAUAGGUCCUGACUUAGUAUUCGACGCCUUAGAAAAAGUCUGGUUAAUCAGAGAAAGACUCAGAGCUGCUCAGAGCUGACAGAAGUCUUAUGCAGAUGUUUGUAGAAAAGAUCUUAAGUUUGAGGUUGGUGAUCAUGUCUAUCUAGAGAUCUCUCCCAUGAAGGGAGUGAAUAGAUUUGGCAAGAAGGGAAAGCUCAGUCCACGAUAUGUCGGUCCCUUCAAGAUUCUCAGUCGUUUUGGCAAGGUAGCUUAUGAGCUCUAAUUGCCUUUAGAUCUAGCCUCAGUUCAUCCAGUAUUCCAUGUCUCUUUGCUCAAGACAUGUGUAGGUGACCCACCAGUCGUAGUCCCUAUUCAGAGCAUUGAUGUUCAGAACAGUCUCUUAUGAAGAGAUUCUAGUCGAAAUCUUAGACUAUCAGACUCGUAGAUUGAGGAACAAAGAAGUCCCUCUAGUUAAAGUUCUUUGACGAAAUUAGUCCAUCGAGGGAGAUACUUAGGAAGCAGAAGCAGACAUGCGUACCAAGUAUCCUCACCUCUUCUCCGCCAACUCAGAUCAAGCUCAAGGUAACAGUUCUUCUUAAGCUUACUCAGUUUCAUGAUCAGUGUUCAUCACGAACUAGGUAUUCAAUUUCAUGUUCAUGUUACCAGUAUAAACUUGGUAUCAAGUACCAUUGCAUAUUCAGUCAUGUAUUUAUGUAUUAGCUCAGUCAUAUAAUUAUGCAUCAUAAAUUCAUUCUCAUUGUGAAAAACUUAGUUCCUCAGAACAUUCUGUCAUGCAUUCACGAAUCAGUUACACAUACAUCAGAUAUGCAUUUUCAGUAUGUUAUGUUCAGCUUGUCAGUCAUGAGAUCAUGUUCCAGUUAUUUAUGUUUAGUUCAAGUUCAACUUAUUGUUUUCCCUCUCAGUCAGUCUCAUUUGAGGAUGAAUGUCCUCAAGGGGGAGAUAUUGUAAUACCCCAAAAAUUUCUAGCAAAUUUCAUCCUAAAAAUGCCUAGUAUUAUCUUCUAAAGUGAAGGAUAAUUAUUCCAUGAGGAAUAAUCAAGAUUUUCACUUUUUCUCAUGUGGAAAAUUCAAUAAGCUUUCCAUCGAUAUAUGAUUAGGUUAAAUUCGAUAACCGGGUAAGAAGUUAUGACUAUUUCAAGUUACCGUUAUAAAACAAUGACAUAUUAGUCAGUGGCGUACCGUGCCACAAGAGGAAAUGGCAUUUGGCAAUUUUCAGUAGGUGUCCGCGAUUAUGGCACGUUGUAUCAGCACUCAAAUUUAGAAUUGUCCUUUUUCCAGUGUCUCAACGCGAUUUCCCCCGCAUCGCGCCAAAGUUCCAGGUCAUGAAGGAAGGGGUAACGCAAUGGCUCGCCGUCGCUCCAUUCCUCAAUUUCCCAAUUGUCAAUUUCAGUGACAUGACGCGAUAACGCUGCGUCGCACCAGGGGCUCAGUUCAGGAAAAUUUUAUUGAAAUUAAAUGACGCGUCCAGGGUUAAAAAGGUCAAUUUCCUACCCCUAUUUAAAUCUAAUAACACGUCAUUUAGCUAUUCUUCACCCAAAAUAUACUAUUUUCUCUCAAGUUUCUCUCAAGAACAAGCUAGGGUUUCUAUUGGAGAUUUAAAUUCAAGAAGGUUUCACCAUCAAUCUUCACGAAAUCACGAACUAAGGUAUGCAUAGUGUUCAUUCAUGGACUCCUUUCGUCCAUGAAGCCCAAGAAUCCCUUUUCUAAAUUCAAGUUAUGGAUUUUCUUAUGAAGUUCAUGAUUGAGCUACUUUUGUUCAUGUUGAUAAUGAGUAAUUGAAUUGUAUUCCAUGAAUGAGUGUUAAAUUUCAUAUGGGUUGAUUUGUAGCAGUAUAGAUUCAUGAAACCCUAGGACUAAACCCUUGAAUGAUUAAAUUGGAAUUGAAUCAUGACAAUUAAUUGUUGUAUGAUGUUGUUUACAUAUUCGAUGCCUACUAUGUGUUUGGUUGAAUGCCUAGAUGAAGAGAAAGUGUCUAAUUAGCAUGAUAUCAUGAAAUCCCUAUGUACGUACAAGCUUAUGCCUAUCACAUGUUUGAAGAAAUACUUCAGUAAAUGUAUUAUGAUGAUUAUUAUGUAUUCAAGUAAGUCAUGCUUUGUCAGUUUCCUUUUAGUAUUGAACCUUAUGGCCUUUCAGUGCAUGUUUCCACAUUAUUCAGUAUUUUAUGUAGUAUACAGGUACAAAUAUUAAUCAUGGGUUACCUUGUAGUCCUUUGAGGUCAUGAGCACCGUAUAGCAUUCCGAUUCAGCAAAUCGGGGUGUUACAUCUUUGUGAAGAUUCCCUUGAAGAAAAGCAUUAUUGACAUCUAUUUGAUGUAAGGGCCAACUUUUUUGUACAGCGACAGUAAGGACGGUUCGAAUUGUGGUAGGUUUAACCACUGGACUGUAUGUUUUCUGAAAAUCAACCCUAAGCAUUUGUAUGAACCUUUUUGCAACCAAACACGCUUUGCACCUAUCAAUGGAGCCAUCAGGCUUGGUUUUUAUUCGAAACAACCAUUUACAAGGAGCAACAUUUCUGGUAUGGUCCGGUGGAACGAACUCCCAAAUCUGAUUUUUUAUUAGUAAAUCAUACUCAACUUUUAUAGAAUCUCUCCAAUAUGACAAUUUUUGUGCUUGUUUGUGGGUUACAGUUAAAUGGGUACAGGCUGGGUUAUUUGGGCAGUGUAGUCAACAAUUUUCCGUCGCUUGACAAUAAUAUUUUGUAACCUUAUCACUACACGAUUUUGCUCUAUUUGUGGAACUUGAACUAUGGGUGCAGUGGGUGGAGGCAAGUCAAGAGAGAAACUUCUUGCACCUCUGUUAGCAUGGAAGGAUCGUGAUGACUUUGGGCGACGUGAUAAAAAUGAGUAACUGGUGGUCGACGAUGUAGAGAGCUAGGAUGCACAAAGAGGGCUAGAGGUUAGCUUUGAAAUGGGAAGUAGUUUGAGGAUUACCUGAUUCCGGAGUGGUGAAAUGAUCUGACUCUGGGUUAUUUCCCUGCGCAACACAAAUUAAGCAGGUAUCUUGGCGUGCACCUGGCUUGAACGGAAUGGUGGGAGGAAGCAAGGUGAGAUCUGGAUUAAUAAUGGUGGAACUAAUUUCCAUAUCUGGAUUUUGAUGUUGUAAAGUGUUUUCCCAAUUUAAAUAUGAAAAGUUUUGUUUUAAGUGAGAAAAAUAUUAUCAAAUGGGAAAAUUUCUUCUAAAAAUUUUACAUCCCGUGAGAGAAAAAAUUUAGAGCUGGUGGGGUCAAAACACUCAUGGCAAUGAUGAGUGAUGGAGAAACUGAUAUAAACACAAGGUUUGGAAUAUGGUUUUAAUUUAUUUUGGGUGUAUGGUCAUAACCAUGGGUAUCAUAGACAUCCAAAUGUAUGGAGAGAUUCAUAAGCAGGUGUUUCAUUGAAAAGAACUUCAAAUGAGGACUUGUUAUCAAGAGUAGGAGUGGGCAGACGAUUAAUCAGAAAGAUAGCAUGAUGGCAGGAAAAUGUCCAAAAAUUGGAGGGAAAACAUUCUUGAUAAAGCAAUGUUUUGACGGUCUCAAUAAGGUGUCAAUGUCGUCUUUCACCCAGUGCAACCCUUUGACGAGUAUGGGGGAAGAGACAAGGUGUUAUAUGCCAUUAGAAUUAAGGUAUGGUUUCGUGACUUUAUAUUCUCCGCCCCCAUCAGUGUAAAGUGUGAGCAUUUUGUGACCAAAAUGUUUUUCAAGCACAAGAUGUAAGCUUUGAAAGUGUUUUUGCACUUCAUGUUUGUUUUUCAUUGAGUAUAACCAAAUGUAUUUGGUAUACUGAUCAACAAAUAGACAAUAGUAGCGUAUUUUAUCAAUAAAGAGAAUAGGGGAUGGACCCCAUAAAUCAUUGUAAAUUAUUUCUAAUGGAUGUUUGCUGGACAAAGUGUUUGAAUAAAAGGAAAAUCUAUGAGAUUUACUGCAACAACAAGAAUUACAAUAAGUAAACUUGUCUUUUGAAGAAUAUGAAAGACGGAAACUGUUUAAAAUGGAAAGCAAAACUCGAGAGUGGUUUUCGAUGCCAUAGAUGUAAGGAAGGUCCAGCAAUGGCAAUGUUGAUGUUUGGUCGAGUCAGGGACAACCAUUCAUAGAGACCUACUUAAUUUGGGUCGCGCAGAAAAGGUUCUCCCAUAGUCAUAUCCUUCACAAGAAAAGUAAAAGGAAAAAAUUCUAUGGAGGUUAGAUUUUCUUUGCAAAAUUGAUGCACUGAAAUGCUUUUGCAUUUGAUAGCUGGAGCGCACAAAAUACUAGAAAGUUUGAAGGCAGUAUUUGAUGCAGUUAAGUGAGUAUUACCGGUUUGAGUAAUCGAUAUCACAUUACCAUUGCCCAUUGUCACUGCGUCCAGACCUUCAAAUUCUUGAUAAUUGUGGGGUGAGUUGGUACCCAAGGUGAUGUGGUGAGAUACACCUGAAUCAAGAAUCCAGGGGUCACUCGGUGUUGUGUGCGCCGCAAAAUUUGCUUUUGCUUCAAGGUGGUUAUCGAAUCGAGAGCGAAAAACAUUUGCUAUAUGCCCAAAUUUGUCACAAAGUUGACAGCGUACUCUUGAUGAUUGGUGUGGAAAGUUACGCCACUGAUAAUUAUCCAUUGAUUACGCCACUGGGAAUUAUCCAAUGGAUACUGAGAAUGAGUGCUUUGAUUAGGCUGCCUAUAUUGGGGAGGCCAGUUAUUGUUGUUGGAUGGGCGUCUAUUGUUGCUAGGGCUAAUGGAGCUGAUGGAAGAUUUGGCACUCGUUGAGCAACAGCUGAAGUCUUCUUGAGGUCCUCAGAGGAAAAGUUCAUGAUCAAGAAGCUUGUCAAAAUGUUCGUCAUAGCUAAUAGGAGGGUCCCUUGCCCGUAUGGCUGCAGAGAUCUCGCGGAAUUCUGACUCGAGUCCACUCAGUAUAUUCACCACUAGUUUUUCAUUAUUAAACAUUUAUUGAAUUAAAGACUAUUUGGGAGGACUAUAUUUUUGCCUUUGCUCCUUGUGUUAUGUUCACCAAUUCCACAUCAGAGGAAGAUUGGAAGUAGACAAUAGAGAGUUGCUCCUUUUCUCGGCCUUUUGGCUAAAGAUCAAGUUUAGUAUCGGUUCUUAUCAGUUUAAUAUCUGAUAUGUGGACCAUUGGUCUUCCCUAUAUUAACUCUAUUUUUUGAGGGGAAGGUCCAUUAAGGUAGCUUGCUACCUGGGCCUUCGUGCGUUGCUAAGUGUUGCACUACUGCUUUUCCCUGGCGUGCCCCACUAAAUCUAGUUUAAUCAUUGAGCAGUUUAUGAAAGGUGGUUCCGUGCAUCUCAACUAUUUCAUCGAAUCAUCACACACACCUACCACCUCUUAUGUAUUGAGUAACUAUGUCCACCAAGACUUGACAAUGCACAACUAAUCAAAUCAUCAGACACCUACAACCUCAUACAUAAAUAACUGUGUCCAAGACUUCGGACAAAUGGAAAGAAAUUGUUGAUGUCUUUUGUUUCUACAGGAAUUCGAACCUCAGUCUCACAUAAUUUUCACCCAUUUCAUUGAUAAAUAGAUAAAUCUUGAUGUUAGCCGGAAGACUACCUAAGAUUGUGCACCUUAGCUCAGAACGUGUGAUUGCUUAAUAAAGGUCUCACAUGUCGUAUUGAUAGAAACUUCGUCAGGUUGUUUUCAGUAUCUAUCUGCUUGAGCAGUGUUUCUAAAGUGGUGAAAGUUAGUUCAGUUGUAAUUGAAAGGCGAUCUUCCCGGUACUAUUGAUGAGUUGACUCUGAAAGCCGAGGAGAAAAAAGCCCCGCAGAGCAAACCUUCCUUCUGGGAUUCGGUCACUGAUUCAAAAGCAGGCGCUUUCAAAUUUUCUUUUGAUGAAAGACUAGUGAUGAAGUAUUCGCCAGUUAGUCCUGAGGCGAUGGACUUUUAGCAAUCUUCCUCAAACAGAUGAAGCUGCAAGCAUGAAAUUUUAUUUUUGUUUACAUGACGAGGGAUUAUUAAGGAAGUUGAUUGACAUUUUAUUCAUUGAUCUUGUAUUUUCCAAGAGGAAUAAGAAAAGGUCGUCCCCCCCCCCUACCACCUCUCACGUACUGAAUAAUUGUGUAGCCAAGACUUUGGCACAUGGAAAGAAAUCACAGAACCCCAGUGUCACAUGAUUUUCACCCAUUUCAUUGAUUGCUAGACACCUCUGGAUGCUAGUUAGAAGACUACCUUAGAAUGUGCACCUCAGCUCAGAACAUGUGAUUGCUUUAUAAAGGCCUCGCUUGUGGAAUUAUAACCUCACCAAGUGUGCUGAUAGAAACUUCUUCAGAUUGUCGUUUUCAGUAUCUAUCUGCUUGUGUGGUGUUCUCAAGUGGUGAAAGUUAGUUCAGCUGUAAUUGCAAGGCAAUCACAUCAACCAUCUUGUCUAAUCCUUCAUAGUCUGUGCUUGGAAAAUAGUCACUAUAGAGGAAGGUUAAGAAGGGUUGUGUAUUAAGUUCAUAUUAUGUCUUGAUGGAGCCAGAAAUCCCCUUCGAUAGAAAAUUUAUAUUCUGCUAAAUGAGCAAAAAAUGAAUUAUUUCCAUUAUCUAUAUAAACUGCUGAAUCUUUAGAACCAUCUCCAUCUUAAUAAAGAAAGGGAUAGCAAGAACAAUUGAGAACUCGGAUAACCUUGUGGCAUGCUGCCAAAUUUACUCUACUCUACACUAUCAUCUUUCUUCCUUGUGAUUCAACCACGACAGAUAUCUAUUCAACUGCGGCUACACUUAAACCAAGAACUUGUAUUGCUUCAAGACCUGAUUCUAUUGCAACAUUUACCGUAACAAGACGAGUGUCGAAAUAAAGGAAGAUUAUAUUGAAGCCGCAAAAGAGAUUUAAAAGGUUGUUACAGAUUACAAGGUCAAAUGUUAAUUGUGACAUUUUAGUAUUUUCUUGAAUCCACUUAUAUAAACUUUUGGCUCCGACACUGAUUAUCUUCUGUUAGUUUGUUCCUAACUUUAUGUUGGGAGGACUAUAUUUUUGCCUUUGCUCCUUUUGUUAUGUUCACCAGUCCCACAUCAGAGGAAGAUUGGAAAUAGACAAUAGAGAGUUGAUAUAAAAGCAAAGGCCUGUUGCAAUUCAAAAACAUACCUUUCUCGGCCUUUUGGCUAAGAUCAAGUGUAGUAUCUGUUCUUAUCAGUUUAAUAUCUGAUAUGUGGACUAUAGGUUCACACGAUAUUAACUCUAUUUUUUGAGGGGGAAGGCACAUCAAGGUAGCUUGCUGCCUGUUCCUUCAAGUGUAGCCUAAGCGUUGCACUACAGCUUUGUUCUGGCGCACCCCACCAAUACUAAUCCAAUGUUUUUGUAGUCUGUUGUCUCAGCCCAAGUUACUGUAAUAAUAAAGUUUUAUAAUGUACUUUAAUGUUAUGCAGCGGGAGUUGUUGGAGAAUGACCUAACUUAUAAGGUCCUUGUUGAGUGAACUCUACUUUUCAGUUUUGUUGUGCUAUGGAUCAGACGAUAUCUUCCUUAGACAUGUAACAUGAUCUCUUCUGUUGCCUAUAUUACUUUCUGUAGUUUGCAUAGUGUAUAUUGUUGUUGUAGUUACACUGGGUAUAUUGUUGUUCUUGUAGUUAGCAUCUCUUCUUGAUGCCUUUUUUGUUACAACCACUUACGUCAUCUUAAAAAGAAAAUCUUUCCUAGAUUAUGUAAAAGUAGGUAUUUGUUGAGUGUACUUAGUUCGAACUUAGCAUGUUUUUGUAAUUGUCUAGUAAUCGGCGGAAAUUUCUCACUGUACUUAUUUUAUUUCUGACUUCCUCUCUGUUUGUUUUUGUUUUUAGAGAUCAGGUUCAAACUACUAAAGCUAGUAGGAAGAGUCAAAGCGAAUUGGACUUUCCAAUAUUCGUAAGGUAGCACAGCUCCCGGUCUCUUUCCUGUCUAUUUGCGUUGCUAAGCUGACACAGGGCUUUGUUUAAUGCCCAUUUCAGGAGCGGGAAUAUUGAAUUGAAAGACCUUUCUUCUGCUCGCCACUUCUUUCGCUGACCCUAUUCACCUCCUUUGCGGAAUACCAGAAAAAGAGAUGAAUUAGCGGAUCAUAGGGGCUAAGUCGAAGCAUGCCUGAACCUUCUUUGGCAGAGAUGGAGUUAAUAUACAAUCCCACUUUGGAGACGAGGGAUUUGUUAGAGAAUGUACUUGGCCUGGUGGUCAAUGAAGUUGUUUGAGCAUCAUGACCUCUAGGUUUAAUUUUCAGCGAGACAAAACAGAUAAUAUGCAUAAUCAAUGCUUAACUGAAUUUUGCUUGAAUUCAUAGUCAAAGAGUUCUGAUGUUGAUGCCUAUCUGGUAGAGGAAGUUGUAUCAUCAGUUUUGCAGCGUUAAUUAUGCAGUUUUUGUUGUGCUAAGGAUGAGACGGCAUCUUCCCUAGACAUGUAAUACGAUCUCUUUUAUAGCUAUUACUUUCAUUUGCAUCUUCUUGAUACCUACAACUACAUCUAUGAGAAAGGAAAAGUCUUUCCUAGACAUGUAAAAGUAGGUAUUUGUUGAAUGCACUUGGUUUGAACUUGGCAUGAGAAUUUUUCAGGGCAACUCUCUCCCUACACUUGUGUGUCCAUUUAGGAUCACCACUGAUAUUUUUUGGACAGCUCUCUUCACGGAUCCUUGCUCGGGCCAAUAUCUAUUUUAUGGAGUAUCUUUCAACUGUCAUUUCGUCUUGCAGGAAGAAUUUACCGAAUGUUUUGGAGUUUCUAGGAAAGCCAAAUGCUUGCACUCUUAUUUCCGGAACAAGUGACAGUCAAUUUGCAUGAAAAAUUCAAGAAUGCCGUUGAAGCAAAUCUUCCUGGUACUAUUGAUGAGUUGACUCUAAAAGCUGAGAAGAAAAAGGCCCCGCAGAAUAAACCUUCCUUCUGGGAUUCGAUCGCUGAUUCAAAAGCAGGCGCUUUCAGAUUUUCUUUUCUGAUGAAAGGCCAGUGAUGGAAUCUUCAACUGUUAGUUCCCAGGCUGUGGACUUUUACCAAUAUUCUGCUCAAACAGAUGAAGCUGCAACAGUGAAAUUUAAUGUUUGUUUACUUGACAAGAGGGAUUAUCAAGGUAGUUAUUGACAUUUUAUUCAUCAUUGAACUUGUAUUUUUCCCAAGAGGAAACAAAAGUUUAGACAAAUUUUGGCAUCAAUUCUUAUCUUUCACUGUCAUAAUCACUGUUCCUUUGCUGUGUCAGCAACAUCCCCCCACCCCCGGCGUGUGUGUGAGAGAUGACGGUGCUAUUCAUGCACCUCAACUAUUUCACUGAAUCAUUGGACACCUACCACCUCUCUCGUACUGAAUAAUUGUGUCCACCAAAACUUUGACAAAUGGAAAGAAAUCACAAACCCCCGUCUCACAUGAUUUUCACCUAUUUCAUUCAUCGCUAGACAAUUGUGGAUGCUAGCUCGAAGACUACCUUAGAAUGUGCACCUUAGCUCAGAAUAUGUGAUUGCUUAAUACAGGUCUCACAUGGUGUGGUGAUAGAAACUUCUUCAGGUUUGUUUUCAGUAUCUAUCUGCUUGUGUGGUCUUCUCAGCGAUGAAAGUUUGUUCUGUUGUAAUUGCAAGGCAAUCACAUCAACCAUCUUGCCCGAUCCUUCAUAGUCCGUGCUUGAAAAUAUAGUCCACUAUAGAGUAAGGUUAGGAAGAAGGGUUAUGUAUUGAAUUCAUAUUAUGUCUUGAUGGAGCUAGACAUCCCUUUUGAUAGAAAAGUUAUAUUGUACAAAUGAGCAUACAGUGAAAAUUUUCAAUUAAAUAUGAACUGUUGAAUCCUUAGAGCCAACUUCAUCUCAACGAAGAUAGGGAUAGCAAGAACACUUGUGAACUUGGAUAACCUUGUGGCAUGCUGCCAAAUCUACUCUACUCUACACUAUCAUCUUUCUUCCUUGUGAUUCUGUUGUUCUACAGAACACGGAGAAGAAGAAAACGUUUGAGGAUAAAAAAUAUUCUUCAUAUUUAUUCAUCCACAUUUGAGAAUAUAAAUAAACAAAAAUACUCCUAUUCUAACUUCAACUAGGAUAGUAAUAAAUCCUAUUCUAUAUAAACUUAGAUAACUGAAGUUUAGAAAUAAAAUUACUAAACUAAAAAGAAAAUAACAGCAAAUAACUCAAAACUUCAACACUCCUCCUUGAGUUGUUUGCUGGUAACUCCAAGUUGUUCACGAAGAGUUUCUUUUGGAAGAGCUUUGGUAACUAUAUCAGUGAGUUGAUCCUCCUUGUUCUCAACAAUUUCAUUGAACAUCUCAAAAUAUUUUUUCACAAGGUUAUUCCUAAUCACCUUGAUAAUCUUGUUCUAUUGUAGCAUCUCACCAGAGAUGUUGAGAGACAAAUAAUCAGAAUCCACAACACCCUUCACAAAUCCAAGGUACUCGGGCAUAAACUCCUCACAGUUAUCCAUAAUGAACAUCUUCCAAACAUAUAACUUGAUGUUGUUCAUCUUUUUCCGAGCUUGAGAUUCUAACAUAGCAUCUUGCUUCAAGAAAACUGCAAGCUCCUCAUCUUCAGAAGCCUUGGCAAAAGUUGUACCAAAAUUAUUUGUACUGUGGAGGUAUUCAGCCCUUGAAUAUUUAGUCCAGAAUUCUUUUCUGGAACAAAAUUUAAAUAUGCUUUUCAGACAGCUGGUUUCUCAGAAAAAAUCUAAUGAAUAACCUCUGAAAAGUAUUCAAUCCCAUCAUCACCGUCAUUCUGAUCUUCAUGAAAUGUGAGGUCUGAAUUGGAACUAUUGUUACUGCCAGGAGGUCCGAAUGUGGUCCCACAAUAUGUGGAUUAUCCUUAGUUAUAGCCUCCUUAUUGUUUUGAAACUUUUGAGGAUUUUCUUGAGAAGUGAUUUGUUCUAUUUCAACAUCCAUUGUAGCGCAACAAUUUUCAUUUUUUCCAGAAUAAAAAAUAACAUCGUCAUCGUUGUGCUUGGUGGUCACAAUAACCUGUUCACAUUGACUACUUCAACAAAAUUGCUCAGAAUUUUGAGUUCCAAUUCAAUGGAAAACUUCAUUUUAUCAUUUCAACUGUAAUCACUUCUUGGUCGCUAGAAUCAGAAACAACACAUUUUUUAUCUUGGAACAGUAAUAUAUAAUAUCGUUCUAGCAUUUGACCAACACUCAAUAGAUUUUGGUCAAGAUCAGGUACCAAAAAAAUGUCUCGAAUAAAUUUAGUACCUUUGGGAGCUUUAAUUGUCACAGUUCCUUUACCAACAAUAUCGAACGUGGUUUUAUCGGCCAACUUGACACUACCUUCGGCAGAUUCCAAUUUCGUAAAAUAUUCUCGUUUUCUGGUCAUGUAUUGAGUGCAACCACUGUCCAGAAACCAUGUAUUUUUAUCAUUCAAUCUUGUUGCUGUCAUCGCUGUAAACACAAACUCCUCCUGUUCUUCAACGUCCAAAACGUUGGCUUUUUUAGUUUGUUGGUUGUUCUCCUUCUUCACUCUACAAAACCUUUCAAUAUGACCACGAUUAUUGCAAUAUCUAUACUGGAGAGGUGGUUUCUUCCCCCUUAAACCAACAAUCAUCCUCUUUAUGAUUGUUUUUUUCAAUACUUGCAUGGAGGGAAGUUUUCUUUCUUCUUGACUCCAUUGCGAGAAUCACAUUGAUUAUUUCUACUAGAAUUCGUCUAAGUUUCUGUGAUUUUACCUUCCUCUAUCAUCUGCAUCUUCCCUUUGAACUGUGUUUGAAGAGCAGUUUUAGUAGCUUCUCUAGCCUCAAGGAUCUUCUUUGCUCUUGAGCUUGAAGAGCAUGUAUAAGUUCUGAAGGUGACAGUUUUGUGAGAUCCUUCAAAUCUUCGAGUGAGGAGAUCUUUGAUUCAAAUCUUUCUGGCAAACUCACAAGAACCUUUUCCACGAUUCUUGAAUCUGUAAGCCCUUCUCCCAUAAGCCUGAUUUGGUUCACAACCUUCAUCAACUUGUUGGAGAAUUCUUCAAUAGUUUCUGAAUCCUUCAAAGAAUUUCAAACUCUCUUCUCAGAUUUAUCACUUUUAUUUGCCUAAUCUUGUCACUUCCAUAAAAUUCUUCUUUCAACUUGUCCCAAGCCUCCUUUACAAUCUCACUCGCCGAAACUCUAGCGAAAAUUACCUCCAAAAGUGUUGAUUGUAUGCAAGAGAGAGAUUUAAAGUUUUUUUCAACCUCUUCUAUGUGAUUCUUAAUUUGCGCCAUUUGGAUUAUCUGGGAAAGGAUUUAUCUCUCCUCCAAACUCUACCACUUGCCAUAGAUCAUAUACUCGCAAGUAUGUUCUCAUCUUAAUAGCCCAAAUUGGAUAAUUCUCUCUAGAAAAAAUUGGGGGCGAAGGAAUUGAAAAAUUGUUUGAAGCCAUAACAAUUAUGACUUUUACACAGAGUUAUUUUUGGGGUCUUCUCUCUCACAGAUCCCUCAAGAACUUGGAUCUUGAUACCAAUUGUUGUUCUACAGAACACAGAGAAGAAGAAAAUGUUUGAGGAUAAAAAAUAUUCUUCUUAUUUAUUCAUCCACAUCUGAGAAUAUAAAUAGACAAAAAUACUCCUAUUCUAUUUCUAACUAGGAAGGUAAUAAAAUCCUAUUCUAACUUCAACUAGGAUACUAAUAAAUCCUAUUCUAUAUCAACUUAGAUAACUGAAUUUCAGAAAUAAAAUUACUAAACUAAAAAGAAAAUAACAAUAAAUAACUCAAUACUUCAACAGAUUCAAUCACGACAGAUAUUUAUUCAACUGCAGCUACACUUACACCAAAGAACUCCUAUUGCUUCAAGAGCUAAUUCAAUUACAACAUUUACUGUGACAAGACGAGCGUUGAAAUAAAAGAAGAUUACAUUGAAGCUGCAAAAGAGGUUUAUAAGUUGUUUCAAAAUCACAAAGUUUAAAUCUUAACUGGGACAUCUUAGUAUUUUCUUGAAUCCUCUUAUAUAAAACUUUCGGCUCCGACCCUGUUAUCUUUUAUUAGUUCGUUCCUAACUUUAUGCAAACUGAUUUUUUACAAAAUAUUUAUUGAAUUAUAGACACUAUUUGGGAGGACUAUAUUUUUGCCUUUGCUCCUUUUAUUAUGUUCUUUAGUUUUAUGGCGUUCACUUCUCCCACACCAGAAAAAAGCAAGAAGCAGGCAGCAGAAAGUUGCUACAAAAAUGAAGGCCCAUACCUUUCUCGGCCUUUUGGCUAACAUCAAGUGUAGUAUCUGUUCUUAUUAGUUUAAUAUCUGAUAUGUGGGCCAUUGGUCCACAAGAUAUUAACUCUAUUUAUUUAGGUGGAAGGCUCAUCAAGGUAGCUUGCUACCUGGGCCUUUAAGGCUGGCGUGGCGCAGCCCACCAAAUCUAGGUAAAGAUUGUAGUAGUCUGUUGUUUUUGUAUCCUUUAUGCUUGUUUUAUUGAUUAUAUUAAACCUAUACUUCCACCACAUAGUUAAAAUAGCUUUUUAGCUAAAGCUGUGAAUAUUCAAAUGCAAUAAGCAUUUCUUUCAACAAAACUUCCUGUUUUCCUUUUUCAUCUUUGGCAUCAGUUAUUCAUCUUUCACUGUUGUAAUCUCUGUUCCAUUUGUUGUGCCAACAACAUUACCCUCCCCUUCCCCGGUAUGUGUGUGAGAUAACAGUGGUUUCUGUGCACCUCAACUAUUUCAUCGAAUCAUCGGACACCUACUAGCUCUAAAGUACUGAAUAACUAUGUCUACCAAGACUUUGGCACAUAGAAAGAAAUCACGAAACUCCGGUCUCACAUGAUUAUCACCCGUUACAUUAAUCUCUAGACACCUUUGGAUGCUAGCUAGAAGACUAGAAUGUCGGAGCCAAAAAGUUAUAGAUUGAUUCACUCACCCGCAAAACUGCUGCUCUAAUUCCUACCCAUUAUUAGGUUGGCUGAUGCACUGUUAAAGUGUGUGACCAUCUCAUCUAAACUACUAAGAUGUUAGAGAGAGCACAAUUUUAAUAUCUAAUUAUUCUCAACACGCCCCCUCACAUGCUGGGUCAAGCACGUGGAAUUUUUUUUUAAUAAUGGGUGGCGGUGAGAUUCGUUCCUAUGACCUCUGCCGGCUCUGAUAUCAUAUUGAGUGUGUGACCAUCUCAUCUAAAAUCUUAAGCUUGUUAGAGAGAGCACAAUUUUAUUAUUUAAUUAUAUUCUCAACAUGUACUUAACCUGGAAGUGAAGUCUGUAAGGUACACUCGUGGUAGUUUCAUAUUUCCCAGGGCUCAACCAUAUCUACAUUGCCACUUCUUUGAAGGCAUAUACUUGACAGCUAUUUUGGUAAUCUUGGGGCAGGCAGCAAUGCAUAUAUGAUGGGUAUUGCUGAUAAACAAUAGAACUGCAUGUCUGUUCUGCUUCAACUGAAUCUGCCGAUGCCAAUUAUGUGAAUCCAGUUUAUGUUGGAUUCAAUAUGUAUGGAAGAAGUGUGAAUGAAAAAUGGAGAGAAAAAUGGUGGAGGAAAGGAGACACUAAUUUAGAAAGUAUACUCCCAAAUUGGAAAGUUCACUAAAUCUCCUACAUUGGUGGGAGAAGAGAACUUUGGAGUGUUUUUAAUAAAGAUUACUUACUCCACACGGAUAGUGAGGCAAGAACAAGGUGGUGCUUCGCGUCGUCGUCGUUGUCUCUCUCGACUCCGAUCACUGAGAUCUAUCUUUUGGGACAAAAUUUAUUUGAUCAAAAUCUAAUCCAAAUAUACAAAAGGAAAAAUGACAGAAGCACAAGAAAUUUUUCUGUGUUUUAUCCUCCAUUUAUAUGCAUGUAUACAUCGAACUGUUGAAAUGUUACAAAGUGAACUGAUACACUGUUUCUAACUGAUGCAAUGUUAUGAACUGAUGCUUCAAAAAGAUACAACCAUUCAGUAAAAUGACACACUGAUUUAUGAAAUGGUAUGCCUGUUCAGAAAAGACACACUGUUUGGACGAAUAGACAUGAUUUUUCAGGAAAGGUUACACCUUUUUAAGAUAACCAUUGCCUCUUUUCAGAAGAGGCAUGUUAUGGCUAUAUAAACCUUCUUUCAUCCAUAGGUUUAGACAUGAAAAAUAAUUUCUGAAACACAAAUUCUUCUUGUCUUCAAAUAUUCUGUGUGAUCAAUCAAACUGUUGAGUGAGUUCGUAGAAUCUGACAAUUUGAGGUACUGCUAUUGUUUGGAUGGAAGGCCACUUUAUCCUGGGAGGAAGAUUCCAUAACCUCGGGUACAGUAAGGGAAAUUAUUCCUUAAGGACACUCCGUGAAGUCGAGUGAAUUGGUCUAAAUUUCUGUUUCAUCUUUUUCUGAAUAUUAACACACUUUUAAGAUAGAUUAUUCAUAAUCUAGUGUUGAAGGUGUUAAGAAACUUCAUAAGUUCUUGUCUUGAACUUGAACUUGCUUUGAAGUUUGUGUUGCUUAUAUACAGAUUCUUGUACCCGAACUACAUACAAAAUAACAAUCUUAAGGAAUAAUUUUUACUGUUUCAAAAUCUGUAUUACUUAUUUUUGGAGAUUAAAGCUAUAAGCUUUCUACUCCGUUUGAACUUAACUAGUGAUUUGAAGACAUAAAAUCUUCAUCACAAGUUCAAGAUCACUCGGUUGACAAUUGAAAGUAAUAAAAACUUCAUUAUUAACUAGAUGUCACGCCCCCUUUUUAACUCCGAAAAGAAUAUAUUUUAAGUUCGAAAGGGUUUUUAUUAUCAAAGUGCCAAAAUAUAAAAAAUUGUUUCAAAAGGACUAUUCACAUUCUUAUUCAGAGUCUCCAUUUGGCAUAAUCUGGUGUGUCAAGUCACCUUUUAAAAUCCUUUUCAAAACGAUUUGACUCUUUAAAACUGGUUUGCAAACAGAGACUCCGGCUAAGGAAUUCUGUUUACCGAGGGGAAGGUGUUAGGACCCCCUCAAUCCCGUGGUUCGACCACGGUCGCUUGAUGGAGCGUAUCGGCUAAUUUGACAUUACAAAUGUAUAAACCACACAAAAAACACAUAAACAAUCAAUCAAACAGAUGAAAAAAAUAAAUCCAAAAUAUAGUGUUCUGUCCAAUUAUACAGACCCAAAGAAUGAAAAAUACGGAAAUGUAAACCUACUCUAUUCUAAACUGAUCCUAAACUAAUCCAAAACCAAACUCCACCUGACGUUCCUGGCCUUGACCGUGCGCCAUCUUCAAGUACAAGAUACUUAAGGGCAUUCCUCAGAUAAAUCAAUAGAAAUCCCUUGAGGCAUUCCCCGGCCAAAUGAGAAUAAUUUUUAAUACGAGAAAAUCAAAGCAUUUAACCAAAUUUCAAACAUUCAACAAAACCAAAGAUUCUAAACUUUUCCUACCCAACCUACAUUUGCCUACCAAUUCUCAACUUAACAUCAUACGAUCGAGUUUAAUAUGUUCAAAUUAAUUAAGAUAAUAACAUAAAUAAACCAACAUAAAUUAGGAAUUUAACCAAUUUUAAUACCAACCCCCAAAUCCAAUCUCAACAAGAUUAAACCAAUUUAAUACGCAAUCCACCAAUCAAGUUUUCACAUCAAAAUCCAAUAAUAAAUAAACCACAACGAUGAAAAUUCAAGCAUUCCAAACCCAGAAAUCAUUCAUAACUAUGUGAAGAUUAAAAGGCGAAAGGAUAGAUUUGGACUUCAAGAGUUUUCGAUUGACUUAAAGGGAGAAGUAAGAGCCAUCUCGAGAGCCUCUAUGAGUACCAAAUCUUGACUAUGAUCCAAAUCCAACACGGAUAUUUCUGGAAUCCAAUUCGAACUCAAAAAUAGUGAACACCCAAAACAAAUACGAACAAAAUCGAGGCUGGUAGAUGAAAUUUAUCGGGACUAAACUAAAUCUCGCCAGAAUUAGAUACCUCACCGAAACUAGACCCAAAACUGGUCAAAUCGACUAAUUCGAUUUGGUUCAGGGUUGAAAUCCACAGUUACCGCCCCGUCAAAAUUUUGGUGAGCUCCAACGAUGACCGAAACAAGCAGAAAGAGAACACAAAAAUGUUUUUCCAAUGAAAAGAUACUAUUUUCUGGCCACGAACACCAGAACAGUUAACCCCAGUACCUUUUCUCUCCUUUCUUGCUUAAAUAUCUCUCCUAUUCUGUUCACUCUAUCUCCUUAUGAUCCUCAUUUCCACUUUAUUUUCUAUUUUCUCUCUCGAUUUCUUUUCUCUCCCUCACGCAGAUCUCUAUCUACCUUUCUCAGUUCUAUAUCAUGCCAUAUUUCCUCUCACUUUGAUGUCUCUGAAUCGUGUAUUAUGGUCAGUUUCUGAUAGUGUGUGUUGUGAGGAUGAGGGAUCGUAUACGGGUGAAGUAUGGUUAAUGGAAAAUUUUAGUGAAGGUGUCUAUGUGUAUCGCUGUUACUGUCUAUGUGGGAAUUGUAUAUGUGUAUGUGUUGUUGUGAUGUGAAUAUAUGGUCAGUCCUGAUGAAGAUGAUGAUGAUAAUGAAAAAUGGGUUCCUUUGUAAUGUAUUGAAAUACAUUCUCUUUUUUAUCUAUUAGUUCACGUGAGAAAGGUGAGGGUAGGGGGGGACACAUGGGUAGAGGGUAAGGGGGUGGUGAGGUGUCCACUUUUAAUUGGAGAGAUUGUUAGGAUAGGAUUAAAACAAGAUAAAAUUUGUUAAGGGUUAUUAUUUUUUAUAUUUUUGUGGGAUAUAAUCACAGGGGUGAGGGCGUGUGGUAAUGUGAGCUAAAAAUGAAUAAAAUUGGACUUGGGAGGGAAAAAAUUAGGUGUCUACAGCAUUCCCCCUUUGAAUGUAAACAUGAAGUGUUUUUAGACAAAGAAGUAGACAACGAGACAAAAUUUUAUCCCGACCAAUAUUAAAAAAAAUGAAACAAAAGGAAGGAGGGACACCAAGUCUUGACUUAGGACAUCCUACCUACCCAUGUUAUAAGGGAAUCAAGUGAAAGGUAUCUCAAAGGAUUGGAAGGAGAUGGACUAUACCGAGUUGGAGAGUCGAGUGAGGUCCCAUCGAGGUUUCGGUCGCGGCUCUAUCAUUACAUCAAAAAAUGAAAAAUUACAAGAGUUAAAAAGAUAAAUAAAAUUACAAAAGUCCUAUCUAUGCAACUUCUUUUGAACUCUUGACUUGAGUUUCAUCACCCUAUUCUUCAGGCGGGCUCCUGACUUGCAAUUUUUCAAUUUGUUGCUUGGCUUUCAAUUGUUUUACCUUGUUGCUUGACUUUCCAUUUAUUCUCCUUGAUCUUCGGGCGGGCUCCAAUGUUGCUUGAGUUAUCAAAACAAGGAAGUACAUCUCCUUACAAAUACCGCUUGAAUUACCCAAAUAAGGAAGUACAUCUUCUUACAGAUAUUGCUUGAAUUACCUAAACAAGGAAGUACGUCUCCUUACAGAUGUUGCUUGAAUUACCAAAAUAAGGAAGUGCAUCUCCUUACAAAUGCCGGUUGAAUUACCCAAACAAGGAAGUGCGUCUCCGUACAAAUGCCGCUUGAAUUACCCAAACAAAGAAAUGUGUCUCCUUACAAAUGUUUCUAGAAAUACCCAAAUAGGAAAGUGCGUCUCCUUACCAAUGCCUAUUGAAUUACCAAAACAAGGAAGUGAGUCUCCUUACCAAUGCGGCUUAAAUUACCAAAACAAGGAAGUAUGUCUCCUUACAAUGCUGCUUGAAUUACCCAAACAAGGAAGUGCGUCUCUUUACAAAUGUUGCUAGAAAUACCCAAAUAGUAAAGUGCAUCCCCUUACCAAUGUCUCUUAAAUUAAAAAAACAAGGAAGUGUGUCUCCUUACCAAUGCCGCUUAAAUUACCAAAACAAGGAAGUAUGUCUCCUAACCAAUGCUGCUUGAAUUACUCAAACAAGGAAGUGCGUCUCCUUACAAAUAUUUCUUGAAUUGUCCAAACAAGGAAGUGUGUCUCCUUACAAAUGUUGCUUGAAUUUCCCAAACAAGGAAGUGCAUCUCCUUACAAAUACUGCUUGAAUUACCAAACAAGGAAUUGUGUCUCCUUACAAAUACCGCUUGAAUUACCAAACAAGGAAGUGCAUUUCCUUACAAAUGUUGAUUGGAUUUCCCAAACAAGGAAUUGUGUCUCCUUACAAAUACCACUUGAAUUACCCAAAUAUGGAAGUGAGUCUCUCUACAAAUGCUACUUAAAUUACCCAAACAAGGAAGUGCCUCUCCUUACAAAUGUCACUUGAAUUUUACAAGGAAAUGCAUCUACUUGAAAAGGAAGUAUGUUUCCUAGAGAUCUUAAAUUAUGAGUUUUACCAUGGUUUUGAUUACCAAACUUUUUCAACAACAUUGCCUCUUGCAUUUGUAGAAGUGAGAAAUUAUGGUCUUUGAUGUUUAGGCUCCAAAAUCCUUGAUCUGAAUGUAACAUGUGUUCCUGUUUCAUACAAAGAAAACUUGUGAGUUUAAAAAUAUGGUGGCUGGUUUGUGGCUUUAGAUUUUGCAGCAAUUGCUCUUGCCUUCGUCACAUUUAACCUUGAUUCCGACCAUUAGCAUAUGUCACUGACUUGUUGUAUCAUUGACCCAAACUCAGAUUAUUAAGAGUGACUCUGAAACAAACACAAUAUCUCUGCUUUGCCGUGUUUCUCAGAUAAACCCUUUGAACCUUGGUAUUUCCAUGAGUUGCCAGACUUGUCAGUUGACAAAAAUUUUUGCAUGUCUUAUUUUGGCUCACAAUCAUGUCUCUUUCAUGUGUUGGCCUUUUGUCUUGCUUUGCGCAAUUGAAGAAGCUGGUAGCCAGUUUUGAAAUCUUUUCUCACUUGUUUUGAUAUGGACUUGACUCAAACACAAGAGAAAAAUGACGAUGACUUUUAUUUGGAUAACUGACUCAAGAAAACAAAAGAAGAAACAAAAGACAAUGAAUGUCCCCAUUUGAAACAAAAGAAAUGAAAAAUUUAUCUAGAAAUGACAGUCAACUCUAAUGAUUAUGUCAUGCAUUUUGGAUUAAGCUGCCUGAUCUUUCCAUCCAACCUUUCUACCAAUUGUUGUUGAGUUAAUGGACAUGAAACUGAGUUGUUUCUUUAGGUCAAUUGACACCUUGAAGGGUUUUUGCCAACAAGCCUCUCUCAUUCUUUUUUUCUCAGUUCAUCAUUGUCUUAUGGUGUCUGUGAGGGUUUUUUCACCAAUGAGACUCUUAUUUUCAUUUUUCUCAACUCACAAUCAUUUUACAGUGCCCGUGAGUGUUUUCACCGAUAAUACUCUCUCAUUUUUAUCUCUCUCGACUUACCAUCACCUUAUGGAGCCCGUGAGGUUUUUCACCAAUAAGACUCUCUCAUUUUUAUUUUUCUCCUAUUUUCUUAUGUUGAGGAAGACAAGUAGUUCACAAAAUACGUCAUCAUAUCCCUUGCAUGCUUAGCCUUAACAUUCUCAAAGAUUGAUCCAAAGGUCUUUCUUUGCUUGUACCUUGGCUUUUGGAUUGGGUUAGAAAGAAAGGAUGACAUGAGGCUCAAACAACACUUGAAGUGGUGUAGGACUUACAACUUUUGAAAUCGACUCAAACAAUGAGGAUUAACUCAUGCCCCAGUUUCUUUAACUUGGUAAUUCUAAAUUGUUUAUUUGGUUGGACCGAGCCCGAAGUAGGGCAGCCUAUGUAUCUCACCCUCGAGAGGGGAGAAUCAGGUCAUGCAUAGUUUUGGCAGCUUAUUCUUUUGAUUGAUUCUAAAUUUUGUUUCUUUUUUUUUUCUCUUUUUUACUUGGGAUUUUUUUCUGACCCUAUUUUCGACACUUUUCUCUUUUCUUUCCUUUUGGACACAUUUGUUUUCUCGACACUUUUCUUUUGAGUUUUACUGACUCUAUCUUGAUUCCAAAAGAGAGGUAUGAAAGAAAAUAGGACUAAAGCUGAAAUGGGGUUGCCAAAGGAUGACACAAUGUUUAGAUAUCAGAAUGAAAUGCCUUCUUCAUAUUAAUCCUUAAAAAUGCAAGUACAUAUCAUGAAAUAUGAAAGUGAAAGAUGAAGAUCAUUUGUGACAUCUUUUGCAGCAUUAACUUUGACUGAGUCUGUGCGUCACUAUUUCUUCUGCGCUUUUCUAGCAUACAACUCCACUUUUGUUGCAUAUUCUUCACAUUGAAUGACUCAUGAUUUUGUGAAGCUGAUUUUUGUUCUGUUCACGUAGCCACUAUUUGACCUAAUUGAGAUAUGUCUUUCAAUUGAUGACCAAGUGAUUCUUGUGAUUCUCAAAACAAUUGCCUUAAUUUUCGAAGAAGGCUUCAACUUGUCACCAAAUAUCUCAGAACUCUACAUACUUUCUCGGAUGCUUUUUCUAACUUUAGCCCUCUGAUUCAAAGUUCAUACUCAAAUUGGAUUUUAAGAUCUAGCUGAAAGUUCCGUUAGUAUGUCAUAUCACUAGAGCCAACAUAAAAAUGUACUAUGUAAAUAAAACUAACAAAUGACUUAAAAUGAGACAAAAUGACAAGGGACACCACAUUUUAUUGAAAGAAAAGAUAGAAGGGUUUAAACAAAGACGACAGAGAAACAAAACAAUAUAGAUCCCGAACUAUAACCUUGAAAUAAUUUGGAUAAUAGAAAAUAAAACAAAAUAAACUACCAGACCUCUUUCUAGUAGGGAGAGGGGUGUCUUCUCAAUUGCUCAUCCUGACAUCUUAGCCACUGGUUUUCAUAUCAGCAUGACUAAAGUUUUUCUCACUGUUAAUGGUUUGCACCAUAAUUGAUUUAUCUUGAAUUACAUUUUCUAUUUCUCUUUUCAAAGAACGACAAUCUUCAAUACUGUGACCCUAAACAUCAGAAUGAUAUGCAUAUCGUAAAUUAGCAUCAAAACUUCUUGAAUAUAGGUCAGGAGUAUAACCAUGGAGAGGAGUGAUCAUGCCCCGCUGUACCAAUCUCUGGAAUAAAUUGGUGUACGAUUCUCCAAUUGGUGUGAAGCUAUCUCUUGACUUCUGCCUCAUUUCAUUGUUUGGAUUGGAUAAAAAAUAAAACCUAGAAGGUUUUUGGUAUGUUUGUGGAGUUUGAGGAUGACUCUGAAGAGUUGGUGCACGCCAUUAUGGGUAAGAAGAGAACUGACCAUAGGGUUGUACAUUGUAUAUUGGAUUUGUAGGUAGGGGAAUACAAUAUAAUGGAUUUUGGGAAAGAUUCUGUGGAGCUUGGGCAUAAGCUUGGGUUUGAGCCUGUGGGUAAUGAUGGUGUCGUCCUUUUUCCCGUGCCUGUUGUCUAACUACAAUAGCAGAUGCAUAUUCCUCAUACUUCUUCUCUCCGGAACUUUCUGAACCCUUUUGAAUUUCUUGAGUUGUCGCUUUCAAUGUUGCAAAACUCACAAUGCAGCCGAUCUUAAUUCCAUCUUCUAUCAUCUCCCUCAUUUUGAGGACCUUAAUAAAUGGCUUUCCUAAUGCAGGUAACAAGAGUUGAUAAUAUGUUUCAUCCUAUGCUUGAAUAAAUUCCUCCACUAUCUUACUUUCUUUCAUUGACAGUUUCACCUUAGCAUCUUGUUAACGCCAUCUAAUUGCAUACUCUCUGAAAGUCUCAGUACUCUUUUUCUUCAUGUUAGUUAGAGAUUUUUUAUUAGGAAUCAAAUCUACAUUGUCUUGGAAUUGUUUCACAAAUUCAUCAGCUAGUUCAUCCCAACUAAUCCACUUGUCGAUGUCUUGGUCAACAAACCAUUCCGAAGCUAGGCCUAAAAUACUCUCACCGAAAUAUGCCAUAAGUAAUUUUUCCUUCCCCCCAGCACCCCUUAGUUGGUUGCAAUAACGUAUCAAAUGUGCAACAGGAUUUCUAUGUCCAUCAUACUUCUCAAACUUUGGCAUUUUAAAACCAAAAGGAAGAUGAACCCCUGGAAAUAUGCACAGAUCUUUAUAUGAGACACUUUUGUACCCCCUAAGUCCCUGGUGGCCUUUCAUAGCUAGUUCCAAACUUUUUAAUUUUCUGGUCAUUUUCUCUUGUUCUUCUAUUAUAACAGGCUUUUCUGUGUUCUUCUAAAUAGCAUGAUGUUGAUCAGCAAAAAUAUUCAAUACAGGCUCUCUCGCAGAGUGGGGAGGAACGACUUAUGGAUAAACCUCAAAAGUAGGAGCUUCGGGUAGGGGUGGUGCUGUAAAAACAUGAACAGUGGGUGGAGUCGAGCAUGUGGUAGCUUUGUGUUGAGGAGUGAGGAAAUGAAUAUUGGAAGUGUUUGGAUUAUGUUUCCCUGGAGCAGGUCCUGAUGCAUGUUGUGGUGUGUCAACAAAAAUAGGAAACUGUGUAUGUGACACUGGAGGGAAGAUAGAAAGAUAUUCCAGAUUAUCAGCGAAAAAUGGAGGAGGUUGCAACCCAUUAGCCCAAGCUCGAUGCAUUUUCAUUAUUUGCUGCCUUAAUUUCUGAAUCUCUUCAUUAGCUUCUAAAUUCUCAUUUCCCGAACUCCUUAUCUCAUUAGUGACCACAACUUUAGUAUUCCUAUUGGCCAUAAUUUUCUCUUCGACUUGGUGCAAUAUGGAGGACCAGCCAAAAUGCGACAAACCAACCACCUUAAACUAACUGGACAAGAGAUAACAAAUGCGUUAGAGUUCAACACUUUCUCAAAACCUUUUUCUUUUUCCUUUUCCUUUGAAAAUAUCACCGAACUCAAGAAGGGAGCCUACAUAUCUAACUCCCGAGAGAGGAGAAUCAGGUGUGCGUAGUUCGUAAAGUCUUGCCAAAAUGGCCAGUUAAUUUUUUUUCCUUUUUUUUCUUUUUCAGAAACUUCAAAAAUAAAAAAUUGUCAAAAGAAUUGACGAAAAUCUUUUUGCAUUUUUUAGGUUUAAACUCCCUAUACCAAACGAAACCUAUGAUUACCAAAGAAAAAUCUUUUUGGGUUUUCAAUUUUUGAAUUUCAUACGAAAAUGAGACUUGAAGCUAUUAACAAAAAAUCUUUUUGUGAUUUUCUUUUAAAGAUGUAUAGGAAACACCUACUUUAAAAGAAGAGUGAAGAAAAUCUUAUUUUUUUGAAUUUUGCAAAUAAGAUCCCCGAACCCACAAUAGGCUGCCUACGUAUCUCACUCCCGGGAGAGGAGAAUCAGGAGUGCGUAGUUCAUCUAGAUUGGACAAUUAAUGAUUAAAUAAUAGAUUGCACCCUAACUUGAGACACGACCAAAGACACACGAAGAACAACAUAACAAAAUCUUUUUUUGAGUUUUCAAUUUCACACUUCACAUAAAAAAUGACACCAACAGCUAUGAAAGAAAAUCUUUUUGGUAUUUUCGUUAUAUGAAAUGUACAAAACUUCUACCACCUUUCUUUUAAAUUUUUUUUUUAUAAAAAGCUCCUAAAAAUAUCUUUUUGGAGUUUUCGAAUUGUGAAUGCUUGCUAAAUGAAACAAAAGGAAAAUCUUUUUGAUGUUUUUUUGAUUUGUUUUUUUUUUUUUUGAAAAAUGAGUGCAAAAAGUAAAAAAAAAAUUCUCUUUUUUUUUGAAUUUUUGAAUUGUGGAAAACAAAAGUCAUAAAGAACCAAAAAACUACGAAACUAUUUUUUGAUUCACCUUUUCUCUUUUUUCCUUUUUUUCCAUGCCUAACACACCUUUCUUUAAUUCUAGCACAUGCUUUCCCCAAAUCAGUCCAUCAAAUGACCCUAUUACCCUAAAAAAUACAACAAUUAGCACGUAGGGAUGCUUUAGAUGAGAGUCUCCUACAAAGGACCAAGUGGACCCCUCUAGGUCUAAAUAUGAUGCACAUAAGCAUGAACUAAAGGCUGACCUACGUUGGGGUUUACUAACAAGGCCGUUCGGGGGAGCAUAUGGUCGAUAGUGGCUGCUUUGCUUUCCACCUACUCCAUACAUCCAACGGCUCCCCCUCCUAAAAUAAGGGUGACUCAACUAGAUUUUGUGCACACGACGUGCACUUCGGGACUUGUUGCAGAAAGAAUUGACUCGGGUUAUGCACAUAAUAUCAGAUAUAAAGUGGUAACACAUAUGAGAAAAACUGUAAACACGUAUCACUCAACAAUGAUAAAAUAAACAACAAACGAUAACACAAACAAUGUUUAUACACCCAUAAUGUCAAACUAAGCCGAUACAACUCCAAAAAUAAGCCCGAAUUCUGAAAAAUCCCUAGCGGAGUCGCCAGAGCUGUCACACCCCUUUUUAACUCCGAAAAGAAUAUAUGUUAAGUUCGAAUGAAUUUUUAUUAUCAAAGUGACAAAAUAUGAAAAUUUGUUUCAAAAGGACUAUUUGCAUUUUUAUUCAAAGUCGCCACUUGGCAUAAUCUGGUGUGCCAAGUCACCUUUGAAAAUCCUUUUCAAAAUGAUUUGACUCUUUAAAACUAGUUUGCGAACAGAUACUCUAGCUAAGGAAUUCUGUUGACCGAGGGAAGGUGUUAGGUACCCCUCAAUCCCUUGGUUCGACCACGGUCUCUUGAUAGAGCGUAUCGGCUAAUUUGACAUUACAAAUGUAUAAACCACACAAAAAACACAUAAAUAAUCAAUCAAACAAAUAAAACAAAAUAAAUCCAAAAUAUAGUGUUCAGUCCAAUUAUACAGACCCAAAAAAUGAAAAAUAUGGAAAUGUAAACCUACUCUAUUCUAAACUGAUCCUAAACUAAUCCUAAACCAAACUCCACCUGACAUUCCGGGCCUUGACCGUGCGCCAUCUUCAAGUACAAGAUACUUCGGAGCAUUCUCGGAUAAAUCAAUACAAAUACCUCGAGGAAUUUCCCAUCCAAAUGAGAAUAAUUUUUAAUACGAGAAAAUCAAAGCAUUUAACCAAAUUUUAAACAUUCAACAAAACCAAAGAUUCUAAACUUUGCCUACCCAACAUACGUUUGCCUACCAAUUCUCGACUUAACAUCAUACAAUUGAGUUUAAUAUGUUCAAAUUAAUGAAGAUAAUAACAUAAAUAAACCAACACAAAUUAGGAAUUUAACCAAUUUUAAUACCAACCCCCAAAUCCAAUCUCAACAUGAUUAAACCAAUUCAAUACGCAAUCCACCAAUCAAGUUUUCACAUCCAAAUCCAACAAUAAAUAAACUACAAUAAUGAAAAUUCAAGCAUUCCAAACCCAUAAAUCAUUCAUAACUAUGUCAAGAUUAAAAGGCAAAAGGAUAGAAUUGGACCUCAAGAGUUUUCGAUUGACUUAAAGGAAGAAGUAAGAGCCAUACCGAGAGCCUCUACGGGUACCAAAUCUUGACUAUGAUCCAACUCCAACACGGAUAUCUCCGGAAUUUAUUGGGACUAUAUUGAAUCUCGCCAGAAUCAAAUACCUCACCAGAAUUAGACCCAAAACCAGUCCACUCGACUGAUUCGAUUUGGUUCAAGGUUGAAAUCCACAGUUACCGCCUCAUCGAAACUCCGAUGAGCUCCAACGGUGACCGAAACAAGCAGAAAGAGAACACAAUAAUGUUUUUCUGAUGAAAAAAUACUAUUUUCCGGCCACGAACACUGGAACAGUUAACCCCAGUUGCUCUUUUCUUCUCUCUUUCUCAAAUAUCUCUCCUAUUCCAUUCAUUCUAUCUCUUUCUGAUCCUUAUCUCCCCUUCAUUUUCUAUUUUUUCUCUUGAUUUCUCUUCUCUCCCUUAUGCAGAUCUCUCUGUACCUCUCUUAGUUCUCUAUCACACCAUCUUUCCUCUUACUUUCAUUUCUGAUGGUGUGUUCUGUGAGGAUGAAGGAUCGUAUACGGGUGAAGUAUAGUGAAUGGAAAUUUUUAGUGAAGGUGUCUGUGUGUAUCGUUGUUACUGUCUAUGUGGGAAUUGUAUAUGGUAUGUGUUAUAGUGAUGUGAAUAUAUGGUCAGUCCUGAUGAAGAUGAUGAUGAUAAUAAAAAAUAGGUUCCUUUGCAUUAUAUUGAAUAUAUUCUCUUUUUUCGUCCAUUAGUUCACGUGAGAAAGGUAGGAGUAGGGGGACACGUGGGUAGAGGGUGAGGGGGUGGUGAGGUGUUCGCUUUUAAUUGGAGAGAUUGUUAGGAUAGGAUUAAAACAAGAUAAAAUUUGUUAAGGGUUAUUAUUUUUUGUAUUUUUGUGAGAUAUAAUCAUGUGGGUGAGGGUUUGUGGUAAUGUGAGCUAAAAAUGAAUAAAAUUGGACUUGGGAGGGACAAAAUUAGGUGUCUACACUAGAAACAAGAAGUGUUUAAAGUUGCUGCAAUUUUUGAAUAAGUAUUUAUAUAUAUUAAAUUUACUGUCUUUUGGUGACAGCAAAAUGUCAACUGAAUGUCAAAUGCAUGAUGAUGCUAUGACUGUGGCGGUGACUAUCAUUGCUACGACAAGCCGCGCAAAUGCUCCACAACAUAUGGCCCCUGCGGAAAAGCCCGAAAAUUUUGCGGAAAUUGACUUUAAGAGAUAGCAGCAAAAGAUGUUCUUUUACCUCAGCACUUUAUGUCUCCAAAAGUUCACUAGUGAGGAUGCUCUUGAGGUACGAGGGAACCUCAAACAAAGAUCAUUUCAUGAUUGUAAAAGCUUGGAAGCACUCAGACUUCCUUUGCAGGAAUUAUAUAUUGAGUGGUCUCCAAGACGACCUCUACAAUGUUUAUAGUGGAACUAAGAAAUCGAAGGAAUUGUGGGGGGCACUAGAACCAAAAUACAAGAUAGAGGAUGCGGGAAUUAAGAAAUUCCUUGUUGCAAGGUUCCUGAACUUUAAAUUGAUAGAUAGCAAAUCGGUUUUCUCUUAAGUGCAGAAAUUGCAAGUAAUCAUCCACGAUCUCCUAGCGGAAGACAUAUCUUUGAAAAAUGCCUUAGUUGAACAACUUGAAAAAGUUCUUAUUACUCAUAUAAGCUGUUUUGUAGGUUUGAUUGUGAAUGAUGCUUUCCAAGUAGUAGUGAUAAUUGAGAAGCUACCACCAAUGUGGAAAGACUUCAAAAACUACUUGAAGCAUAAACGCAAGAAGAUGACUGUCGAAGAUCUUAUUAUCUGAAUGCAUAUUGAAGAGGCUAAUAAAGCUGCCGAGAGAAGGUCAAAAAGAAAUUCUACAAUUAAUGGAGCACAUUGGAAGAUGACCUUAACAAUUCUAAGAAAAGGAAGAAAGUUGAACAAGGAAGCAAUCAACCCAAGAAGAAAUUCAAGGGAAAAUGCUUCAAUUAUGGAAAGAUUGGACACAAGUCCACGGAUUGUCGUGACCCAAAGAAAGGCAAGACAAAUGAUCAAGCAAAUAUGAUUGUAUCCAACAAAGAAUGUGAUGAUCUGUGUGCUAUGUUCUCAGAAUGCAACUUGGUGGGGAAUCCUCGCGAAUGGUGGAUGGAUUCUGGUUCCACCCUCCAUGUAUGUGCCAUCAAAGAGUUGUUUUCACCAUUCGCUCCAGCUCAAGUAGAAGAAAUGAUCUACAUGGCUAACUCCGCUACUGCUAAGGUAGAAGGAACAGGAAAAAUAUGCUUGAAAAUGACUUCAGGAAAGGUCUUGACACUUAACAAUGUCUUGUAUGUUCUGGAGUUAUGUAAGAAUUUAAUUUCUGUUUCACUUAUAGAAAAGAAUGGAUUUAAAUGUGUAACCAUUUUUGAAAAAAUUGUAAUUAGCAAAGGAGAAAUGUAUGUAGGAAAAGGCUAUCUCACCGAGGGUCUUUAUAUGAUGAAUGUAAUGAAUGUUGAAAUAAAUAAAAGUUUAAAUUCUUCUUAUUUGCUUGAGUCUUAUGAUUUAUGGAAUGAACGUUUAGGCCAUGUUAAUUACAAAAUACUAUAAAAACUGAUUAACUUAGAAGUUCUGCCAAACUUUGAGUGCAAUAAAUCAAAGUGUCAAACAUGUGAGGAAUCAAAUUAUGCAAAGUAUCCUUAUAAGUCUGUUGAAAGGAAUUCCAAUCCCUUAGACUUAGUACACACUGACAUUUGUGAUAUGACGUCAACACCAUCAUGUGGUGGGAAAAAGUAUUUCAUAACUUUUAUUGAUGAUUGCACUAGAUAUUGUUAUGUCUAUUUGCUAAAUAGUAAGGUUGAAAUAAUAGAUGUGUUUAGGCAAAAUAAAACUGAAGUUGAAGAUCAGUUAGAUAAAAAAAUAAAAAUGAUAAGAAGUGAUAGGGGCGGAAAAUAUGAAUCUCCCUUCGCCGAAAUAUGUGUAAAGAAUGGAAUUGUCCAUCAAACUACGACCCCAUAUUCACCUCAAUCUAAUGGAAUUGCAAAAAAGAAAAACCAAACUUUGAAGGAAAUAAUGAAUGUCUUACUUAUAAGUUCUGGUUUACCGCAAAACUUAUGGGGGGAGGCUAUCCUUACAGCCAAUCAUAUACUCAACAGAGUUCCCCAUAGUAAGACACAAUCAAUUCCUUAUGAAAAAUGGAAAGAAAGGAAACCUAACUUGAAAUAUUUCAAAGUGUGGGGGUGUCUAGCAAAGGUCCAAAUUCCUAUGCCUAAAGGGUUAAGAUAGGACCUAAGACGAUGGACUGUGUGUUCCUAGGAUAUGCUAAAAGUAGUAAACCAUGUCGAUUUUUGGUUCAUAAAUCCGAACAUCUGAAUAUUAAUGAAAAUAUGGUAAUUGAAUCAGAUAAUGUUAAAUUAUUUAAAAAUAUUUAUCCGUAUAAAACUAGACAUGAAUAGUCUAGUGGGGGGUUUAAACGACCUCGAAAUAAACCAAGUGAGAAUGUACACAAUGAAGAAAAUCCAAGACAUAGUACAUCUCAAAGAAUGUCUACUUCGUUUGGAUUGAAUUUUGUAACAUUUCUCUUAGAAAAUGAGCCUUAAAAAUUUAAGGAAGCGAUGGCAUCUUCGGACUCAUCCUUUUGGAAAGAGGCAAUCAAUAGUGAGGUUGAUUCAAUCUUAAGCAACCAUACAUGGAAAUUGGUUGAUUUUUCUCCCAGAAAUAAACCUUUAGGUUCUAAAUGGAUCUUCAAAAGAAAGAUGAAAACGGACGGUACUAUUGAUAAAUACAAGGCAAGACUUGUAGUAAAUGGCUUCAAACAAAAAAAAAGGCCUUGAUUACUUUGAUACAUACUCGCCAGUAACAAGGAUAACAUCGAUUCGAAUGUUAAUUGCCUUAGCUGCGGUAUAUGGCCUUGAAAUCCAUCAAAUGGAUGUGAAAACCACUUUCCUAAAUAAAGAAUUGGAGGAAGAAAUAUAUAUGGAACAACUUGAGGGUUUUGUGGUUCCAGGAAAGAAAAAUAAGGUGUGUAAACUUAUUAAGUCAUUGUAUGGACUAAAGAAAGCACCUAAACAAUGGCAUGCGAAGUUUGACCAAACCAUGUUGGCAAACGGGUUCAAGAUAAAUGAAUGUGAUAAAUGUGUUUAUAUUAAAGACACUCUAAAUCACCAAGUCAUUAUUUGUUUAUAUGUGGAUGAUAUGUUGAUCAUCAGUAGAGAUAUUUCAGACAUAAAUGCAACAAAACUAAUGCUAGAAAGCAAGUUCAAUAUGAAGACCUUGGAGUUGUGAAUGUGAUCUUAGGGAUAAGAAUUCAUAGAACUCCACAAGGGUUGGCAUUGUCACAGUCUCAUUACAUCGAAAAGGUACUUGACAAAUUUAGGUUUAUGGAAUUUGGUAUUGCCAAGACUCCAUUGGAUGUGAGCUUUGCACUUCGAAAGAAUGAAUGUGAAAGUGACUCACAAUUGGAGUACACAAGAGUAUUGGGAUGUUUAAUGUAUAUAAUGAAUUUUACACGACCAGACAUGGCAUGCGAUAUUAGUAAAUUGAGUCGGUACAUGAGUAAUCCCAACAAAACUCAUUGGAUGAUAAUGAAAAGAGUUUUGGGGUAUCUUAUAUACCCUCAAGACUAUGCCUUGCAUUAUAAUAAAUAUCCUGUGGUACUUGAAGGAUAUAGUGAAGAAAAUUGGAUCACUGGAUUGAACGAAGUAAAAUCCAAAAGUGGACAUAUAUUUACUAUCAAUGAAGGAGCAGUCUCUUGGAAGUCAUUCAAACAGACAUGUAUUUCACGCUCUACAAUGGAAUCUGAAUUUAUCGCAUUGGAUAAAGCCUGUGAAGAAGCAGAAUAGCUACAAAAUUUAUUGGAAGAUAUUCCUUAUUUUCCCAAGCUAGUGGCAACAGUAUGUAUACACUGUGAUAGCCAAGGGUAAAUCUCGUCAUAUACGACGGAGACAUAAUACUAUUAGGGAAAUUCUCUCUAGUAGAAUUAUUACUGUUGACUAUGUAAAGUCUAAAGAUAAUAUGUCGGAUCAACUUAAAAAAGGCCUAUCUAGAGAAGGAGUGGAAAAGAUAUCCAAGGGAAUGGGUUUAAGGCCUAGGACAAGUCAGCAUGGUGGUAACUCUAACUAGAAGAAUGGAGAUCCUAAGAGCUAGGUUCAAGGAGAUCAAACAAAGUUUUGUCUGACAAGUUCAACAUUGUCAAUUAUCCAACCCAUUCUCAUGAUGUAGACAAUGUAUUGUAAACUAGGAUAAGACUUAAGGUGAAAAGUCUUUUAAUGAUUAUCUAAAUUUGGCAGAUUUGACCAAGUAGUUUAAUCUAUAGGAUUAAACAUUUAGAAAUCACCUAUGUAAGGGCAAAGUGGAAGUCGCUUUAAGGAGAAUGUUAGUAAAGGUCUAUUCUCUAAGAUCUCAUGAAACCGGGACGUGUUCAUGGCUGAAAAGAACAAAACCGUGAGAACCAUAAUUGGUAAAAGGCUAGUUGUGUGACAUAUGUUGUCUAGGUGUACAUUAAAGCUCGAUGGUUCAAAGAUAUCAAAUCUACCAAUUGACCAAGUGCAUCCGAUACAUAUUCACUACGAAAAGUUCAAAGGGAAACCCACUUAUCCAGAUACAAUCAGUCUUUGCUUCAUGAUCACAUACUUGUCCGUAAAAAUUUUAUGAAAAAUAGCCAUUCUCCAUUCAUGUGGGGGAUUGCUGGGUUCAAUAUGUAUGGAAGAAGUGUGAAAGGAAAAUGAAGAGAAAAAUGGUGGAGGGAAGGAGACACUAAUUUAGAAAGUGUACUCCCAAAUUAGAAAGUUCAUUAAAUCUCCCACAUUGGUGGGAGAAAAGAACUUUGGAGUGUUUUUAAUAAAGAAUACUUACUCCAUAUGGAUAGUUAGGCAAGAAAAAGGUUGUUCCUCACGCCGUCGCCGUCACCGUCGUCGCUCACUCGGCUCAGCUUCAAAUUUGGAUUUGGAUUUGUCAAAUGAUCGAUCGAUGAUAUAUAUCUUUUUGAACAAAAUUUAUUUGAUCAAAAUCUGAUCCGAAUAUAUGAAAGGAAAAAUGAUAGAAAUGUAGGAAAUUUUUCUGUGUUUUAUCCUCUAUUUAUAUGCAUGUAUACAGUGAACUAUUGCACUGUUUCGAACUAAACUGAUGCAAUGUUAUGAACUGAUGCUUUGGAAAGAUGCAACCAUUUAGUAAAAUGACACACUGAUUCAUGAAAUGGCAUGCCUAUUCAGAAAAGACACACUGUUUGGACGAAUAGACAUGAUUUUUUAGGAAAGGUUACAUCUUUUUAAGAUAACCCUUGCCUCCUUUUAGAAGAGGCAUGUUAUGGCUAUAUAAACCUACUUUCAUCCACAGGUUUAGAAAUGAAAAAUAAUUUAUGAAACACAAACUCUUCUUGUCUUCAAAUAUUCUGUGUGAUCAAUCAAACUGUUGAGUGAGUUCGUAGAAUCUGACAAUUUGAGGUACCGCUAUUAUUUGAAUUGAAGGCCAUUUUAUCCUAGGAGGAAGAUUCCAUAACCUCGGGUACAGUGAGGGGAAUUAUUCCUUAAGGACACUCCGUAAAGUCGAAGGACUUGGUCUAAAUUUUUGUUUCACCUUUUUCUGAAUAUAACACACUUCUAAGAUAGAUUAUUCAUAAUGUAGUGUUGAAGGUGUUAAGAAACUUCAUAAGUUCUUGUCUUGAACUUGAACUUGCUUUGAAGUUUCUGUUGCUUAUAUAUAGAUUCUUGUACCCGAACUACAUACAAAAUAACAAUUUAUACACAGGAAAUGUGCAUGACUAACUUGGACAAGAAGAAGACAUCCGUAUUUUCAAGACUCAAUUUAGAAGACUAUAACUGCUGCUGAGAUGGCUGAAGUCUCAGGCAUUUGUAGGAUUCUUCCAGAACCUAAUAUAUGAGAUUUUGACUUUGACAGCAAUCUCCACAAUUCAUAUAACACCCAAGGAUGGAUUCAACUAUGCAAGUUUUGAAGCAGUGGAUUAUGAUUUCAGAGAGGUUAUUAUUAGUUGCUUUAGGACUGCAGUAUUUAUUUAUUUUAUUUCCUGUAUUUCUUUUUUAAGUUAUUAGGAGGUAGUUAGCAUGUUUAGCAUCAUGACUUUAAAGUAGGGUCAUUAUCUAUUUUAGUUUUUUUUAAAAAGAACACUUUAUGUAACUACUCUUUGACAGAAAGUAAAUCUCUUUGUACAAGUUUCUCUCUCUUAGUGAUCUUCUUCAUUCUCCUACUUCUUUUCUGUAGCAAUCUAGAUAUCGUUUGCAUAGUGUUAUGUGCGAUUUAUCUAUUUAAAACUAACAUUUGGUAUCAAAGCUUUCAUCUUAAGGGAUUGGAGAAGUCAUGGAUGCAGAAACCAGUUUCUGACCAAUCGCUCCACCGGUCUUUGAUGGAGAUAAUAUCAGGUUCGGGCAGUACGAAUGGAGACAUACUUGGAUGCUUUAGAUAUAUGGAAGCUGUGGAAGAGGAUUACGAUAUUCCAGCCCUACCGAAUAAUCCCACUAUGGCUCAGAUUAAAGCACACAAGGAAAAGAAGACAAGAAAAUCGAAGGCCAAGGCAUGUCUAUUUGUUGCUGUAUCGUCAAUAGUUUUCACACGAAUAAUGUCUCUAAAAACUGCUAAAGAAGUAUGGGAUUAUCUUAAGAAAGAGUAUGCUGGAGAAGAGAGAAUAAAAGGUAUGCAAGUUUUAAACUUAAUUAGGGAAUUUGAAUUGCAAAAAAUGAAGGAUUCUGAAACAGUGAAGGAGUAUUCAGAUAGACUUCUUAAUAUUGCAAAUUAAGUGAGGCUACUUGGCUCUACAUUUUUUGACUCAAGAAUUGUUGAGAAGAUUCUAGUAAUAGUUCCUAAAAGGUAUGAAGAAACAAUUAAGACCUUAGAAAAUACUAAGGAUUUGUCAAAAAUUAGUUUGACGGAGUUGCUCAAUUCCCUGAAAGCUCAAGAGCAAAGAAGACUCAUGAGAUAGGACGUUACAACUGAAGAAGCUCUUAUUAGUAAGCACCAGGUUGAUGAAUUUCCAAAGAAGAAAAAGAAUCAAGCGUUGAGUGAAGGAGAAACAUCAACCAACAACAAAGGUAAGGGGGAAGUGCGAAAAGCUUUCCCCUUUGCCAUCACUGUGGAAGAAAAGGCCAUCCACCAUUCAAGUGUUGGAGGAGACCAGAUGCUAAAUGUAAGAAAUGCAAUCAACUUGGACAUGAGGUGGUGAUUUAUAAAAGUAAAGCCCCACAACAGGAAGAAAAUGCUCAAGAGGAGGAUUUUUUUUUUGUUGCCACAUGCUUCUCAAGUAAGAUCUCAACAGAUUCUUAGUUAAUUAAUAGUGGGUGCACUAAUCACAUGACUCAUGAUAAGAGCCUAUUCAAGGAUUUGAAGCCCACUAAAAUUUUCAAGGUUAGGAUAGGAAAUGGUACCAUCUUCAUGUCAAAGGAAUUGGAAUCAUAGCUAUCAAGACUGACACAGGCAUAAAGAAAAUUGCUAAAGUUCUUUAUGGUCCUGAGAUUGAUCAAAACUUGCUAAGUGUAGGACAUCUGAUGGAAAAAGGAUUUAGACUUUUCUUUGAAAAUGAUCACUGCCAAAUCAGUGACACUGCUAGAAAUGAAAUUUUUAGGGUGAAGAUGAGAGAAAGGAGUUUUUCCUUUAGUCCAAUAGAGAAGGAACAACUUGCUUAUUCCAUGAAGGCAGAUGUAAUGGAAAUCUGGCACAAGAGACUUGGUCACUGUCAUCUACAAGCAUUAUUGUACUGAAGAAGGAGGAUAUGACAAGAGGACUACCAACUCUUGUUGAUCACUUACCAAGUUGUCAAGCUUGUCAAUUUGGUAAGAAGAAUAGGAAACCAUUUCCUAAAGCAUCAUGGCGCGCUUCUCAAAGGUUGCAAUUGAUUCAUACAGAUGUUGUAGGACCUCAAAGAACGCCGUCCUUAAUAGUAGUCUUUACUAUGUUAUAUUAAUUGAUGAUUAUACAAGAUUAUGCUAGAUUUUCUCAUGAAAUACAAAUCAGAGGUAGCUGGAAUAUUUUGGAAGUUCAAGAAGAUGGUGGAAAAUCAAAGUGGUUGCAGAAUCCAAUCCUUGCAUUCUGAUAAUGGAAAAGAGUACACUUUUGAAGAAUUUAAUAAAUUCUGUGAGGAAGAGGGUAUUUCUCAUCAGCUUACUACUCCGUACACUCCGCAACAAAAUAGAGUUAGUGAAAGGAUGAACAGGUAUAUAAUGGAGAUGACGCAGUGCAUGUUGCAUGAAAAAGAGUUGCCAAAAAGGUUUUGGACUUAGGCAGCUAAUACAACAGUAUUUCUCUAAAAUCGGCUUCCCAAUAAAGCGUUGGAGAGUAAAACUCCAUUUGAGGCUUGGAAUGGAUUCAAACCAUCUCUAACCUUCAUUAAAGUAUUUGGUUGUGUUGUCUCUUUCAUGUACCGCAGGUUAAAAGAGACAAACUUGAUAAAAGGGCCGUCCCGGGAAUCUUUGUGGGUUAUAGAUCAUCCUCCAAAGCCUACAAAAUUUAUGAUCCACAAACAGGGAAGAUGAUUAUUAGUCGAGAUAUGCACUUUAAUGAAGAAGAGAAAUGGGAUUGGAAAAACAAUCAACUUUCAGUUAAAGCUUUAGAGGAGCAGACAUCCGAUCAAUGGAAAAAUGAUUUAGUAGAUGAUCCUCUAGUUAGAGGUACAAGAUUAAUUUCUGACAUCUACCAACAAAGUAAUGUGGCAGUUUGUGAGCCUGCAGGGCACAAGGAAGCACUUCAAGAUGAAAAAUAAAGAAACGCAAUGGAGCAGGAGAUGCUAAUGAUCAAGAAAAACAACACUUAGGAGUUAGUUGACAGACCGAAAGAUAGAAAAGUCAUUGGAGUAAAAUGGGUAUUUAGAACCAAGCUUAAUUCUGACGGUUCUAUCAACAAAUACAAGGCUAGGCUUGUCGUCAAGGGAUAUACCCAAAUAUUCAGUGUUGAUUCUCGGAUACCUUUGCUCUAGUAGCCCGACUAGAUACCAUCAGAAUGUUGCUAGCAAUAGCAGUACAAAAGGGUUGGAAAGUGUUCCAACUAGAUGUCAAAUCUAUUUUUCUAAAUAGUGUAUUGCAGGAAGAAAUCUAUGUAGAGCAGCCCGAGGUUUUCAUUGAGCAAGGAAAAAAGGAAAAAGUUUGUCUACUUAGAAAGGCUCUUUAUGGAUUAAAACAAUCCCCAAGAGCUUGGUAUAGCAGGAUUGAUGAUCACUUGUUGAGUUUGGGGUUUGUCCGAAGUUUGUCUGAAGUUACUCUUUAUGUCAAACACAAGGGAACUGAUCUGCUUAUUGUUUCCCUUUAUGUUGAUGAUCUCUUGGUGACAGGAAACAAUGUGCCACUGGUUGAAAAGUUUAAGAAGAAAAUGAUGCAAGUCUUUGAGAUGACAGACCUAGGACUAAUGACAUACUUUCUAGGGAUGGAAAUCAAGCAAGGUUGCAAUGAAAUCUUUAUCUGCCAAAANNNNNNNNNNNNNNNNNNNNNNNNNNNNNNNNNNNNNNNNNNNNNNNNNNNNNNNNNNNNNNNNNNNNNNNNNNNNNNNNNNNNNNNNNNNNNNNNNNNNNNNNNNNNNNNNNNNNNNNNNNNNNNNNNNNNNNNNNNNNNNNNNNNNNNNNNNNNNNNNNNNNNNNNNNNNNNNNNNNNNNNNNNNNNNNNNNNNNNNNNNNNNNNNNNNNNNNNNNNNNNNNNNNNNNNNNNNNNNNUGUCGAGUAUGGGGUCAAAUUCAAAAAGUGUGAGAAUUUCAAGUUGUAUGGAUUCUCAGAUAGUGAUUUGGCCGGAUCCACUGAUGACAUAAAAAGUACAUCAGGAUAUUGCUUCAGUCUGGGAUUGGGCAUUUUCUCUUGGUGUUAUAAGAAGCAGGAAACUAUGGCACAGUCCACGACUGAGGCUGAAUUCAUUGCAGCAACAACAACAGUAAAUCAAACCUUAUGGCUGAGAAAAAUAUUUUCUGAUUUGCAUAUGGAACAAAAGGUUAAUACUGAGAUUCAUGUUGAUAAUCAAGCUGCAAUAGCUGUUUUACAUAAUUCAGUGUUUCACGGGAAGACUAAGAACUUCAACAUUAAGCUUUUUUUUCUUGAGGGAUGUGCAGAAAAAAGGAGAAGUGAUUCUUGUUCAUUGCAAAUCCAAAGAUCAGCUUGCAGAUGCAUUUACGAAAUCCCUUCCUGUCAGCAAGUUUAAGUUCCUAAGGCAGCAACUUGGAAUUUGCAACUCCUAAUGCAGGGAAGAGUAUUAUUAGUUGCUUUAGGACUGCAGUAUUUAUUUAUUUUAUUUCCUAUAUUUCUUUUUUAAGUUAUUAGGAGGUAGUUAGCAUGGUUAGCACCAUGACUUUGAAGUAGGGCCAUUAUCUAUUUCAGUUUUUUUAAAAAGAACACUUUAUGUAACUACUCUUUGGCCGAAAGUAAAUCUCUCUGUACAAGUUUCUCUCUCUCAAUGAUCUUCUUCAUUCUCCUGCUUCUUUUCUGUAGCAAUCUAGAUAUCGUUUGUAUAGUGUUAUGUGCGAUUUGUCUAUUUAAAACUAACAGAGGUCAGCUUGACUGCAAUGAUUCAGAAGGUGUUCUCCUGCAUUGGAAUAGCUGAUUACACUGUGAAACUCCUGAGAAGGAACAUUAUACAGAGUCUGGCCUGGACACUAUCGGAUCUGGAGAUAAGACUACUGAAGUGCUUGGUGAGGCAGGAUCAGUUACAUUAGGGCUGGGCAUAUUUUGGUCUAAACUGAAAAAACCAAAAAACCAAACCAAAAUUCAAUUUUGGUUUCCGUUUUUCGGAUCAGAUUCGAUUUGUAAUUUUUAAAAUUCAAUUUUUCGGUUCGGUUUUUGUUUUUUUUAAAAAAAAAUCGCUUAAAUCAAAAAACCAAAAUUUUAUACAUAAAUAAAUAAUAUAUAUUUUAUUAUNNNNNNNNNNNNNNNNNNNNNNNNNNNNNNNNNNNNNNNNNNNNNNNNNNNNNNNNNNNNNNNNNNNNNNNNNNNNNNNNNNNNNNNNNNNNNNNNNNNNNNNNNNNNNNNNNNNNNNNNNNNNNNNNNNNNNNNNNNNNNNNNNNNNNNNNNNNNNNNNNNNNNNNNNNNNNNNNNNNNNNNNNNNNNNNNNNNNNNNNNNNNNNNNNNNNNNNNNNNNNNNNNNNNNNNNNNNNNNNNNNNNNNNNNNNNNNNNNNNNNNNNNNNNNNNNNNNNNNNNNNNNNNNNNNNNNNNNNNNNNNNNNNNNNNNNNNNNNNNNNNNNNNNNNNNNNNNNNNNNNNNNNNNNNNNNNNNNNNNNNNNNNNNNNNNNNNNNNNNNNNNNNNNNNNNNNNNNNNNNNNNNNNNNNNNNNNNNNNNNNNNNNNNNNNNNNNNNNNNNNNNNNNNNNNNNNNNNNNNNNNNNNNNNNNNNNNNNNGCUUGAAACCCUCCAAGGCCAACCUCUCACAUCUACGGACUGGGGCAUCCGUGCCCCUUCUCAUCACGUGGCCAAACCAUCUCAACCUCACUUCCCGCAACUUAUCCUCCACCGAAACCACUCCCACCUUCUCCUGAAUAGUCUCAUUCCUGACCCUGUCCACCUUCGUAAAUCCACACAUCCAACGCAACAUUCUCAUUUCCGCAACCUUUAACUUUUGGAUGUGAGAAUUCUUAACAGGCCAACACUCCGCCCCAUAUAACAUGGCCGACCGGACCACAGCUUUAUAGAAUUUACCUUUAAUCUUAAGAGGCACCUUCUUAUCGCAUAAAAUUCCCGAGGCAAGCCUCUAUAAUAUUAAUUGGAGAGAUUGAUGAUGAGAUUGUUUGCAAAAAUUAUUUUUUAAAAAAAAAAUCAAUUUUAAAUGUCCAGACAUGACAAAAAAGAGGUCACUACUUUAAUUUUUAAAACCGAAAUAAAAAUCCGAAAUAACCGAACCGAAUUUGUAGAAAUCGAACCGAACUGAAUUUAUUUUGGUUUGGUUACGGUUGUCAUUUUUGUCAAUCCGAAAAUCAAAAAAUUGAACCUAUAUUAUACUAUCAAACCGAACAAACAAAAUGCCCACCCCUAGUUACAUACCUCACAUUCAGUAGCGGUCGCAGCAGCGGAUCCCCCAGAUCAACCCUUAAUAUCUAGGCAUGCAAAUAAUGUUUCUUUGUGGGUUCAUGAGGUUUAGUAGUAGUAUCAGGGUUUGGUAUUUAAAUUCUGUGGUAAGUCCGGGAUGAAAUGAACUGUCUCUACUGAGUUAAUGAACCUCGUAGCAUUAUACUAACCUUUUUAUGGGGGACUAUAUAAAAUAUCAUCAUUUAUGAAUAUGUUUGUACUCCAUGUUCUUCUGAAUGUGUUUUACGCUUUGAACAUUCACCUGUUUUACAAAAUAUUAUUGAAUUGCAAACUAUUUGGGAGGACUAUAUAUUUCUUUUGCUCAACAAAUCUUAGUUUUUGUUGUUCAAUAUUUCUCACAUUAGAAGAAAGUAAGAAAGAGACACCAGAAAGUUGCUAUAGAAACAAAGGCCCAUUGACUUGAAAACUCAUACCUUUCUCGGCCUUUUGGCUAAGAUCAAGUGUAGUAUCUGUUCUUAUUAGUUUAAUAUCUGAUAUAUGGGCCAUUGGUCCACACGAUAUUAACUCUAUUUUUUGAGGGGGAAGGCUCAUCAAGGUAGCUUUCUACCUGGGCCUUCGUGUGUCGCCUAAGCAUCACACUACUGCUAUGCAGUGGCGGACCCAGGAUUUAAAGAUUGUGAAAAUUAAAAAGCUGAAGAAAGUAAAAAAAUUUCUCAACGAGGUUCAAACCCGGGAUGCUUUUUCCAACGGAGAACCCUAAGAUCAAUCUAAAUGCCAAUGCACCCAACCAACUUUUAUUUUUGUGGGUGCUUUUAUAUCUUUUAUAUUUAUUUAUGUAUUUUAUAUGUAAUUAUACGUAUUCCGCGUUGAGUUUACUGGGUGCCGGAGCACCCCAAAAAACCAUAUAGGUUCGCCCCUGCUGCUAUGGCCUGGCACACCCUACCAAUCCUAGUUCAAUGUAUGAGCCGUCUUUGACUUAGGCCCAGUGCUUUGCAAAAAGUUUUGAGUUCUUCAUACUAUUUACUCCUACUGAUUUAACACACAGUGUAGCCAUUUUACUUGAACAGUAAAGGCAAAGAGAUAUUGCUGAAAAUGCAAACUCCAUAUUGAUAUUGCUGAAACUUUGACCAAAUUUAGUUCAAUGUUUCAGAAGUGUGUUGGUUUUGCCCAGUACCCUAUGUGUUGCCACUUGUAAUAUUCAUACCCUCUUCCUCCUCUGUGUGUGAGAGAUACCGGUGGUGUCCGUGCACCUCAACUAUUUCAUCGAUUUAUUGGACACCUACCACCUCUCACAUACUGAAUAAUUGUGACCACCAAGUCUUCCACCCAUGGAAAGAAAUCACAAAACCCCAGUUUCACAUUAUUUUCACCCAUUUUAUUGAUAGCUAGACACUGCUGGAUGAUAGCUAGAAUAUUACUUUAGAAUGUGCACCUUAAUUCAGCCGUAACUGCAAGGCUCUGAUAUCAACCAAAUCAAAAUUCUGCCUAACCCUUCAUAGUUUGUGCUCGCAAAAUUCUCCACUAUAGCUAGAGGGAGGUUGGGAAGAAGGUUAUGUUUUGAGUUUAUAUUAUGUCUGGAUGGAGCUAAAUAUCCUCUUUGCUUGAAAUUUAUAUCGUGCAAAACGAGCAAAAAUGAUUUAUUUUCCCCAAAUAUAUAAACUGUUGGAUCCCUAACGUGAAAAAAGCAAAUAUAUUGAAAAUAUUUUGAAUAUUAAAUCUAACAACUAGAAUUGGUCCCGGCGAAGACCUCUCUCUUUUGUUUGAGCAAAGGGCACUAACCUGAAAGAGGAAAUGGAGAUUUUUCUCGAUGUGACGGAGCUAUAUCAGUAGUUUAUCUGGGAUGAAUUCCUAAGUACUUUUCUUAUUAAUGAUAAUGAAGAUAUGCCAAGGGAAACUCAGGCCAACCAAUGUCGCAGAGCUGCCCGAGAAGGACCAGUCAAUCCAUUGUAGUGCCCUGGCGCACCCCACCAAAUAUAGUUUAAUCAGUUAGCAGUUUAUUUGCCCUGAUCUUUAUGGGUUACUACUUAUAUUUGCAAGCUUGCAAUAAACCUUUCCUUAAACAAACUACAUUAAGUUAUGCAAAUGCAAUAAACCUUUCCUUAAACAAACCUUUCAGAUUUUUCUUUUGAUGAUACGUCAGUGAUGAAACCUUCACCAGUUAGUCCUGAAGCUGUGAACCUUCUACCAAUCUGCCAAUUUUUGGCAUCAGUUAUUUCAUCUUUCUUCAUCAGUUAUUGCUGUGUCAAUAACCUUGGCCCAUAAAUGAGUUUAAUCUCCCAAUAGAGUAAGUAAAGUGGCUUGGAGCCUUGGAAUCGAAGUAGAGUAGACAGUAACAUUCUCUCUGCCCCCUCUUCGAUAAGUGUGUGUGAGAGAGACAACGGUGGUGGCCGUGCAUCUCAACUAUUUCAUCAAUAAUCAUCAGACACCUACCACCUGUCCACUCUCACGUAUAUAACUGUGUCCACCAAGACUUGGACAAUGCACAACUAUUUCAUCAAAACAUCAGACACCUACCACCUCAUACAUGAAAAACUGUGUCCAAGACUCUGGACAAAGGGUAAGAAACUGUUGAUCUCUUUUGUUUCUACAGGAUUCUGAACCUCAUUUUCACAUAAUUUUAACCGAUUGCCAGACACAUCUUGAUGUUAUCUAGAUAUUGCUCCAAAAAAAAUGCAAUACUUUUGGAGGGUCCAAAAUGCACGUGCCAUCAUUGUUGCUGGCUUGUAGAUAUUGGAUUCCUGAAAUACAUCUGAAGAACUGUUCUCUAACAGCUUGUUUGAUAAGGAGAAAAAUACUAUUUCUUAGUCUUUUAUAUUCAAAGAGAAUCGAAUAUACAUUACACUGAUAUUUUUUUUCCAUCUCCAAACAGAAAGCUAUGGAGAGUAAUGAGUGAUUUUCCCACAUUGACAACUAAUAGAGAAGAGGAGCGAAAGCUGUAGUAUUUGUAAUGGGCUGAGCUAACUAGCGUACAUACUUACUUGGACGGGGUCAAUGGGUGAUCAAUAAGACCCAUGGCCUAGGCUUGUGACCACCAUUGCACUUUGGAGGGGUGCCUGCCUAAGGUCGGCCCAAGUGGUCGAGCCUGAUACAAGAAAGACAAGGAACAUAUGAAAACGCACUCCAAAAACAAUCCACUAGUUCAAGAACCGAGGACCCUUUUGAAGACCACUCUCGGAUUCGACAAAUACAACAAGAAUACAAGAAACAAGGGUGUAUUUGACACCAAAUCAGCCAACAAACAAGGGUGUAUUUGACACCAAAUCAGCCACCACAAACUAACAAGAGAUUAACAAGACAACAAGAUGAAGAACAAGAUGAGCAAUAACACAAUGGAAACAACAAUACACGUUUUUGACUAGAACAACAACAAAGAGUACAAGAAAUGUAAAGAUAGGUAGUGAGACAUAUAUUAUUACUAGACCUAAGAACAAGGUUGUGUAUUAAACACCUAAACUCUUAGAAACAUGGAAUAAGAACACCUACACUCUUCGUGGACACAAGAGGGACCUCAAUCCUUCAAGCACCCAACGUUCCAAGCCAUGAAUCCAACACGAGUGAUUCCACACUCAAGUUGAAACCUAGUUUCGAUUUUGCCUCAAAGGAGAGAGGCUUUGGUAUUUCAAAAGUCAUACAAGACUUACAAAUAUCAUGAAUAAUCUAAGACUAAAUGACCUAAAAUGUUCUAUUUAUAGUAGGUUACAAAAAUAAUGUGAAAUGUCCAAAAGACCCCUUAGUCAAAUCCUUCACUUUGGGCACUCUUGGAGUGUAGUUUGUGGACUGUUUUGGAGCCUAUUUAGGCCUUCCUUUGCACUUUACUUGUACGCUCUAAGUCUCGGGUUUAAUACAUCUCACAUAUGUCCAUCCUCGUGGGCGUACUUAUAUUAUCCUCCCCUUCUUGAAAAGGAUUCGACCUCGAAUCCGUAUCUUGCAAAAUCAAGAGAAGACAAACAAGCACACAUCCUUAUGACAAGAGGUGUUAGGGUUAGCAAUAAUAACAUAUCAACAUGUCAUGCCGAGGCGGAACAAACUUAAAGCAUAUCCACGGGUCCUUUGUUUUAAGCAUGAAAAGAUUAGUACAAAUGUGACAAAGGAAGUGGAUUGGAUAAGCAUCAAGAAAAAAGGACAAUAGGCCGAGAGUCAUCGUUCUCACCCUAAGAUGGUACCAGGAUCAAAUGGUAGAAGCAACCAAGGACUUAUGUCUCUCCCACUCUCACUCUCCCCUAGGAUGUCAUCCUCAAAGUUAAGCAUACCCUUUUUAUCACAAUUGGAAAUAUCAUGAACAAAAAGAGGUUUGAGAAAGGUGUUCCACAACUCAACUUCAAAUAAAGGAUUCUCAUGCAUGCGCUUACUACAAGUUUCAAAAUCUCCACUAGGCAUAUGUCCAACAUAAGAAACACAUAGAGAAGGAAUCGAUGGAAUUUCUAAACACGUAUCACCUUCUCUUUCAAAAGAAUACUCCUCACAUACAUACAAACCAUCAUGGGCAUCCCAAGGAUCAUAAUCAAAACCAUCUUCACAAUGACAAUCACAAUUUGGGUUUUCUAAACAUUCAAGCAAAUCAAGAUCAUUUUCACCCGGUUGAUCAUUUUGCUCACCCUCACUAAUUGUUGGCAACUCACAUACCAACGUAGAACUCACCUUGGUUUUCACAAGGGUCAACUAGUGUGUGAAUACUCUCGUCACUUGGUAAUGGAACCGUAGUCAAGUUAUAAGUUCUAGCACUAGAUGGACACAAAUCAUUCUCACAAGGAGAAUCAAUUUCGUCAUCUAAAGGAUCAACUAGUGCUUGCGUGCCUACAACAAGAAUUUGGUACUCAUGCGGCCUAAAAAUAUCAAGAGUAUCACAAAGGGAAGACUCAAGAACCUCUACUCUAGUCAAAGUCGCAACUACACCCACUUGGCUCCUACUAGCCACAACACAACAUUCUAAGUUCAUACGAGUGUAGGGGAUAGAGUUUUUACCUCGUAGCUCACAUGAGCUAUGGUCUUCCUCUUGACGUGUGUUCAGGAAGCCCACUUGCUCCCUUUGACAUACCAUAUGAUCCAACCUUUCAUUUGCCAUAGCUAGGUCUCAGGACAUAGUGUCAAGGUAGGCCAAAAUGGCAUUGGUGGCAUUAUUUUCCAUGGGUUGAGAGGUUGAAGCCGCAGGUUCCCUUGUAAUUGUACCUAAAGAAGAAAAGAACAAGACUACAAAACAAAACAUAAGUUAUUUUGAAACAACCUCACCAGACUCUCACACACUUGAUCGUCGCACGCUUGGAUUCACAAAUGUUGAAAGCCGGCUUGUACUUCGUGAGUGAUUGAGGGAUGAGUCUAUCUUUGCUCGAAAUAGAUUUUUUGUUUGAGUUGACUCAAAAAAAAUUAUUUAUGGAAUUGAACCAACAAGAUACAACGAAUUCACAAAAGAUAAAAACACACAACAAACGCUAAACACGAAUUAACGAACACCAAGACUAACUAACAAUCUAGUAGAUGAGUACUAGUUUUCCACUUAGUAGUGGAACCAACGAAAUUGAAACUAAGGAACAACAAAAGGAAACUAUGAAAUCUGAAAUUUGAGCUUAAAUAUGUUAUGUGAACAGUAAAUGAUGAUGUGGCAGCCACGUAUUGGUUGCGGUUCUUUAACAAUUUUUAUUUUCCAAAGUUGAAAGUCUUGGUCAAUUUUUCAAUUUGGGAAUUGGUGGAAUUGGUUAAGGAGGGAAAAAUAAAUCUUGGAAUCCUCUUUCAAUUUUCAAAAAAAGAAGACUUGACUUGUUUUGUUCUCUCUCCUCAAAACAUGACACUUAAUUCAUGGAAAAUUGUUGGUAAGUGGUUGUUAAAGUCUUUGGUGGUUGAGGAGUCUUUCAAGACUAACAAACUUUACACCUUUCUCCUCCAAACUUUUAGAUCUAACAUCCACUUUUCUUUCAAUAAAGGAUUAAGAUUGGUGAAGAACACCAAGAACACAAACUUUUGAAUCUUGGAGUCUAAGGUUCAAGUUGGUCUCACACUUCAAUCAACACUUUCUCAAGUUCCACCUUUCAACAACAACUUCAAUAAAAGGUUAUUAGGACACCAAAUUAUAACAACAUCCACAUACAAUCUUAAGAACAACAAGGCGAAACCACACGGCCAAAAACAGUGCACCACAACAAUGUUCAACAAUAAUGGGCCAAGUUUAUGUUCACAACAACAACAUCAAAAUACAAGCUCAAAUCAAGAUAUAGACUGAAUGUGUUAGUGAGGAACAAAACUAACACUUAGAUACAACAAAUAAAAGUAAAAAUGUCGGCCAAGACACAACAAAAACCUAAUUUUCGGCUAAGAACACAAAAUGGACAGAUUGCUCUCUUUUCUGGAAUUUGCAGUUUUCAACUUUUUUUUCAACUCUCAAGCCCAAGAUUGAUCUUCUUAGAACAAAAUAAAAUAUGGAUUUGAUACCAAAUGAUACAAUAAAGACAAGUAACACACGAAAACACACUCCAAAAAAUCCACUAGUUCAAAAACCGAGGACCCUUUUAAAGACCACUCUCGGAUUCGACAAAUACAACAAGAAUACAAGAAACAAGGGUGUAUUUGACACCAAAUCAGCCACCACAAACUAAAAAGAGAUUAAAAAGUAACAAUAUGAAGAACAAGAUGAUCAAUAAUACAAUGGAAACAACAAUAUACAUUUUUGACUAGAACAACAACAAAGAGUACAAGAAAUGUAAAGAUAGGUAGUAAGACAUAUAUUACAACAAGACCUAAGAACUAGGGUGUGUAUUAAACACCUAAACCUUUAUACACAUGUAAUAAGAAUACCUACACUCUUCAUGGACAAAAUAGGGACCUCAAUCCUUCAAGCACCCAACGUUCCUAGCAAUGAAUCCAACACGAGUGAUUCCACACUCAAGUUGAAACCUAGUUUUGAUUUUGCCUCAAAGGAGAGAGGACUUGGUGUUUCCAAAGUCAUACAAGACUUACAAAUAUCAUGAAUAAUCUAAGACUAAAUGACCUAACAUGUUCUAUUUAUAGUAGGUUACAAAAAUAGUGUGAAAUGUCCAAAAGACCCAAUCCUUCACUUUGGGCACCCUUGGAGUGUAGUUUCUGGACUGUUUUGGAGCCUAUUUAGGCCUUCCUUUGCACUUCACUUGUACGCUCCAAGUCUCAGGUUCAAUACAUCUCACAUACGUCCAUCCUCGUGGUCGUACUUGUAUCAAAGCCUAUGUCAUAAUUUGUGGUAGAGGGGUCCUGCGUUCGCGUGGCCCCUGCCCAAUUCAAAGUAAAUUUUUUUAGGAAAAAUUACCUAAAUAAACAACAUAAGUUUCUAAACUUCUAAAAAUCCUCCCACUUCUAAAAAAUUACUUAAAUUCCAACAUUUCGUAUUGUUUGCUAAAUUAGAGAUACAAGUUAACCCUAUUCCUCUAUUUCCACUAUUUCCACUAUACAAGUUAAUCCUAGGUUUUAAGCCCAAAAAAAUUAAAAAUUAACAAACACAUUAGUACUAAGACGACACCAAAAGUAAAAAGCAUCAUUUCACAAAAGUAUAAAAUGAUACAUUUGAUCCUAUUACUCUAUCUCCACUAUUAAUUCACAGGUAAAACUAUAUCAUCUAAAUAUAAUAUAAAUCAAAUUUCAUCUUGAGUCUCUCUGAAGUAAUAUUUCAUCAUCCCCUUAGGUGUCGUUUGGUUUGAAAAUGGUUAUCCCGGGAUAACUAAUACCAGAAUUAGUUAUCCCGGGAUUACUCGGGAUAACUUAUCCCACCAUGUAUAUGGGAUAAGUUAUCCCGGGACUAAGGGGAAAAUGGUGGGAUAAGUUAUCCUGGGUUAGAUUAGUCCCUCCAACCAAACAAAGGAAAAUGUGUUCUUUUAUUUUAUCCCGGCAUAAUUAGUUAUCCCGGGAUAACCAAAUCUGUGAAGUAAUGAACCUCUUAGAAGCAAUAUGCUUCGUCUUGGAAAAAAAUUGGGACUAUGAGUUACUAAUGGAACUUGUAAACCAUUUCCGUCUGGCUACCAAAAAACAAUGCGGAGAGAAGUGAAAGCUCUUAUAAAUCUUGUAAUCUUAACCGGGACAUUUUAGUAUUUUCUUGAAUCAUUUUAUAUAUACUUUUGGCUCUGACAUUGAUUAUCUUCUAUUAGUUCGUUCCUAACUUUAUGCAAAAUGAUUAUCUUUACAAAAUAUUUAUUGAAUUACAGACACUAUUUGGGAGGAAUAUAUUUUUGCCUUUGCUCCUUUUGUUAUGUUCUUUAGUUUUAUGGUGUUCACUUCUCCCACGCUAGAAGAAAGCAAGAAGCAGACAGCAGAAAGUUGCUACAAAAACAAAGGCCCAUUUCCAUGAAAAAGCAUACAUUUCUCAGCCUUUUGGUCAAGAUCAAGUGUAGUAUCUGUUCUUAUCAGCUUAAAAUCUGAUUGUGGGCCAUUGGUUCACAUGAUAUUAACUCUAUUUUUUGAGGGGGAAGGCUUGUCAAGGUAGAUUGCCGCCUGGGCCUUCAUCCGUCGCCUAAGCGUUGCAUUAUUGUUUGGCCUGGCAUACCCCACCAAAUCUGUUAGAAUAUGAGAUUUUUCUAGAUAGUCUUUUGUUUAAUAGUUUCUUUUAAAUAUUAUGUUUAGUUUUUUCUUAGAAAAUAAAUGGUAGUCCUUAUUUUGAGAAGUGUGUCUUAUAAGAUACUAUGUAAGGUGUGUCUUGUAAGAAUUAUGUAGCUAUAAGUGUAGUCUUUUGUAAGAUGUUGGUAUGUAUGUAUGAAUGAAUGAUACGUACUGCUGAACUUUAUAUUUUCCUUUCUCUCCAGUUCCAAAUUCUAACAGUGGUAUCAAGAGCCAUUCUUCUUGAGGGAUCUGUGAUGGCAUAGAGCCGAACAACAGUAAUAAUGGCAUCCAACAGCUUCUUGGGUGCAGGCCUUCCUAUGUUUAGAGGAGAAAAUUAUCACAUAUGUGUGAUCAGGGGCGGCUCUACCUUGUAAAAAAUAGGCGGCCACCUUAGGCCUCCAAAUUUGAGGGGCUCAUUUUUUAUAAUUAUAUAUAUAGAUUUAAAAAAAAAUUGAAUAUAUUUAUAGUAAAAAUAAUUUUUUUAUAUAAAAGAAAAAAAUUAUUAGAAGAAGUUUAUAUAUCUAGAGUAUUAUGUCUCAAGAAAGAUUAAAUGCAUUGAUUAUAUUAUUACUUAAAAAGAAUAAUUAGAAAAAAUUGAUUAUAUAAUUUUGAAAAUAGAGUUAAUUAAAAGAAAGUUAUUUUUUAAAAAAAAUUCAAGGCUUCUGUUUUAUUUUCGUCUUAGGCCACAAAUAUGCUUGAGCCGCCCCGGUGGUUGAUAAAGAUGAAGGCUUAUCUCAAAGCUCUUAGUCUAUGGAAACAGUUGAAAGUGAAAAUGACUCCCCUCCACUGAACCGAAUUCAACUAUUGCACAAAUGAAGAAUUAUGAAGAUGCAAAGUCCAAGAAACCAAAGGCUCUUACUUGUCUUCAUUCAGCACUUUCAAAUGUGAUUUUCACAAGAAUAAUGGCUUGUAAAACACCUAAAGAAGUAUGGGAGAAGCUAAAAGAGGAGUUUUGAUACGGGACAAAUAGUCAUCUUAUCUUUUGAUGACAUCUUUGGAGGCCAACACAAAGAGGCUCAAGACUUGGUCAUCUCGAGGAUACGAGAACAUGCAUGGAGGACCCAUUUUGAGCCUACCAUUGAGCCUAACAUACAUCAAGGUCGGGAGUAGAAUAUUGUUUGGAGCAUUGAAGAUGUGAGGAAUCACGGCUUGGACCCUUAAUGGCUCACGGUUUUAGAGUCAUCUUCAUUGAGGACAUUUUAGUCACUUCACUUUGCCCAAAAUGCACUCCAUGGCCGCCCCUAUCAUUAAGGGUAGUGUAGUCAUUUUGUCUUCUUUUGUAAUACACUAUAAAAAGGACAUUUUAGGUCUUCUCUUAUUAGUUAUAGAAUGAUGAAAAUAUGAGACAUUGAAAAUCCCCUGUCUUGAGAGUAGACCACCUUAGUGUAGUUCUUAGCUAGGGCUUGGAUUAGCCAUUGUAGUUUAGGGCUUGGAAAAGACAAUAUUGUUCUUUGCUUGGAAACAGUGAAUCUUUAGAUGAGUUGAUUCCGUUGGCGGUCACCAUAAGAGUGUGGUGUUGUUGUUACAUUCAUUAAAGAUUUUUGAGUUUAAUAUACUCUUUAGUUCCUAAUCUUUGUAGUAAUCUAUGUCUCACUAUCUAUCUUUACCUUUCUUGCAAUUAUGUUAGUAUUUGUAUCUUGUAGUCAUUUGUUCUUGUUGAAUCCAAAUCUUGUGUGUAUUGUGUUCAUCUUGUUCUUGUUGUAUUUUUCCUAUUUUGGUAUUAAAACAUGUUGUAACUCAUGAUGCUUGUGUUGUUGUUGUUGGCUGAAACUAGCACUCAAAGGGGUCCUCGGGUUGCUCUCAAUGCAUAUGUGGACUAUUUUGUGUAGUUUUUGUGCCUUUCAUGGUCUUUCUCGUAUCAUUUGGUAUCAGAGCUAAGGCUGAUUUUUCUCCAACAAUACCAAUCUUGGGAUCGGUUAGUUGAAAUUUUUUAAAAAAAAUGUUCUAAGUGUUAUGUUUGGCCAAAAUUUGUGUCUAGAUCUAAGCGUGUUUUUGUUGUUUUAGUUGUUUCAAGUGUUGGUUUUCUUUCUCUCUAACACUUAUUGAGUCUAAAAACAAGUUCUUGAACUAUUAACAAGUUGUUGUUGAAGGUUGUGGAUGACUAGUGUUGUUGUUGUUCUUAUUGUUCUUCAUUUGUGUUGAAGAAGUAGGUUCAAAAGGUGUUAUUUGAUCUUGAAACAAUAAAGGGAAGAGUGAGACUUUUGUUUGUCAUGAAAACAUUAUCAAGAAAUCACCAAAGUUGUAAAAGAACAAAAGGCAUCCCAAAAGUCUAGGUACUAUAAAAGAGUAAGACCACUUUUCUAGGUAGGCCAAAAGAGGAAAGGGACAAGACUCCCAAAAAGCUUGUCUUGCCAAAAAAGUGCAAGUUGGUGACAAGAUUUUGACUUGAAAAGAGAGUCUAAAACCUUGUAAACCUAUACACAUAGCUGAAACUUCUCUUCUAGGGUGUGAAAUUGAACAAUUAAAGUCUUGGAACAAUUUUCUUCAACUUCAACAUGAUUUCAACGGCCAAUAGUCGAGUGCCACAUCAUCAUAAGCUCAAGAAUUAGAAUUCUUAGUUUUUUUCGUUUGUUUCCAUUAGUUUCUAUUUUCUUGAUUCUAGAAUUAAUUAACAACUAGUAAUUACCUACUUAGUUAUAUAUUAAUUGUUGAAUCCAUUUCUUUCGUAUCUUUGAUAUUUGUGUGCUUUUAUCGUUUCUAACUCAUAGUAACUUCUUUGUUUCAAGUUUGUAAGUAAAUUUUGUUUUUGUGUCUUGAGUCGAUGAACAAGAAUCCAUUCCAGCCGCCAAGUAGAAUUGACAUCCUAUUGACUACCGGAGUAUAAGGAACUUUCAAUAUUUGCCGCUCCAAUUGUGAGAAUCACAAAGGUGAGUGUAUACGAGUGUUGGUGAGGAGCUUUUACUACUAGUCUUGUUUGUUCAUUGUGUAGGUACAAAGGUGAUAUAAAGAGAACAUGUCUUCGCUAGUCGAGGAUUAUUGUGACUACAACAUGGGAGACUCUGAUUGUAAUGAGGAGUUUUAUGGCUACAAGUUGAGGGAGAUUGUGGAGGCUAUGAAAAUAGUCAGAUCAAAACUUGGGUAGAUUUGAGGGACAUGGUUUUAAGGGAGAAAAUGAAGGGAAUAAAGUACCUAGAGCUUAUGGUAAAUUUAGAGGUGAUGUAGGACCGCGUGAUAGUUCUUAUGAUGACAUUGGGGAACGUGAGGAGUCUUACACUUCCCACUCCGAACCUAGAUUUGGUGUUAGGUAUAACCCUUUCAUUUGCAAAGAUUAUGAGAGCUAUGAUGAGAGUACACGCGAGGAGUGUGAAAAUUCAUUUUCUUCACCUUUUAGUUCUUCUUAUCAAGAUAGACAUGGUGUAAAUGGUUAUCUUAACUAUAGUAGAUGUUGUCCCACUAGAAGAAGAGGAUAUGCAUCUCCAAAAUUGAUGGGUAAUCAUGUGCCUUAAUAUGUUGAUCCAAGAAGGAGUGUACACUCCAAAAAUGUAACCAUUUAUAGGAUACCGGGAUGCCUCAUUGUGUUAAAUGAUAGGUACUAUAGAAACUACAUCCUUCCAUCCAUGGUUGACUACUUGGAGUUAUUUCAAGAGCCUUUACUUGUUCCAUACUUCUUGGGUGGGUUUAAGGUUACCGAGAGGGUGAGGGUUUUCUUCUCCCAAUUUGAUUACUAUGAGGAGGUGUGGUGCGAUGUUUUUCAUAGGUCAUGUGAUCUUGGGUGCCGAUUGGUUUGCACAACAUAAAAUUCCAAAUAUGCAAAAUUGGCCUGAUGUUGUAAGAGACCAAUGGGGAAAUUGCCUCGUGACGUACAUUCUGCUUGGGCCAUAACAAAAAGUGCUCACCUACUCCAAUCCGAAUGAUAAUGAGAGAAAAAAUAUUAAGAGGAGUAAGGGUGUGAAAGGUGGUAAUCCAAGAGUGUAAAAAGGAGAGGUUGUGUGGAGCGAAGUGAGGGGAUUGCCACCAAACCGUGCUAACAAUGUUUGUCCUUCUAUUUCAAAGGACAUUUCUGUAGGUACCAACAUGGAAAGUGAAGGUGAUCAAGAACAAAGCAAAGCUUCUACCCAAGCUUGUGGAGGAACUUCACACUAUGACAAAGAGGAAUCUACUCAAGAUCUUUAAGGUAAAAUAACUAACUCUUACACUUUGGUGCUUGUGAAUGAUAAUUGUGUGGCUAGUAUCCCAUUGAGUAUGAGUUAUAGCUUAUUUACUUGCGAGUCUAAUAAUUCUUUUCCUCUUGUUUAUGAUGAACAUGUUGUGAGUGUGGAUAUACUAAUCAAUCCUACUAAUGACGAAAUUGAAUUUUCUUGUAAAAGCAAUAUAUGUCCACCUAGUGUUGAAGCCAAUAUGUUGAAUAAAAAUACAUCGUCUUGUGUAAUUGGUAUUGAUUAACUUAUGUGUGAAACUUGAAAUCUCUAAAUAGAUCAUGAUCUUUUAGAGAGUGAUGAAUGUGUUUGUUUCGAAUCUUCCCAUGAAAUAGAUCAUGCUCUCUUUAGGUAUAAUGUCUUGUUUGAAGAUGAUAUAAACACUCCUAAUAGGACCAGUGGUAAAAAUGAUCGUACAACUUGCCUUGGAAGCUAUAACCUAUAUGCUAACCCACUAUGGUGUGACAAUAUUUCUUCUAAAGAUGGAAAUCUCUUCUUGGAAGAUGAGAGUACUCUUAAGGGAAAGGAAUUCUUGGUCUUGGAAACUACUUCUCCUUCUACUUUGUGAAAGGAAUUCUUGGUCUUGGAAACUACUUCUCCUUCUACUUUGUGUGACUUUAUUAUUGAGAGUACUCAUGGUGAUGAUUGGAAAACUAGUAGUGAGUACUCACAUGAGGGCACCUUAGUAGAAUUUGACUUGAGUGAUACCUUUCUCUACUCUUUAUUUGCUUUGGAUGAUAUGUAUGCUAUUGUAGAGAGUAUAUUGUUUAGUUUGGGUGGAGAGCACGGAGAAAGGGAGUAUUGUCUAGACCCAUGUCUAUGGCCACUGUUUUCGUUUGACCCGGGUGCCAAAUAUAGAAAUGGUGAUGUUGGUGCACCCAACUUGUUGCUUUUUCCACAUGACAAAUAAAGUGUUACUCUUGGUGAAUCCCAUAACCAAAUCCUUCAUACAUCUUUUAUUGAGUUUUUAAUAUGUAUGAAUGAAUGAAAGCUACUGCUGAACUUUAUCUUUUCCUUUCUAUUCAGUUCUAAAUUCUAACAAAAUAUAGUUGAAUGUUUCUGCAGUAUGUUGUUUUUGAAUCCUAUGUACUUGUUUUAUUGGAAUUAUUAAUUGUGGUGUCCGUGCACCUCAACUAUUUCAUUGAAUCAUUGGAUGCCUACCACCUCUAAAGUACUCAGUAAUUGUGUCUACUAAGACUGGUACAUGGAAAGAAAUCACAAAACCGGUCUCACAUGAUUAUCACCCAUUUCAUUGAUCUCUAGACACCUUUGGAUGCUAGCUAGAAUACUACUUUAGAAUGUCAGAGCCAAAAAUUUAGAGACUGAUUCUCUCACCCACAAAACUGCUACCCUUGAUCCCACCCAUUCUUAAGUUGGUUGAUGUACUUAACCUAAAAGUGAAGUUUGUGAAGUAUACUUAUGGUAGUUUCAUCUUUCCUGGGGCUCAACCAUAUCCACAUCACCAUUUCUCUAAAGAUGUGAGCGUGCUUGACAGCUAUUUCGGUAAAGUUUGGUGCAGGCAGCAAUGCAUAUUUGAUGGGUAGUGCUUAAAGGAACUAUUGCUGAACAGAGAAUGAGAAGAUCGAUCUUUAUUCAAAGGCUAAUGGAGAAUAAUAGGCGCUAAUACAACACCUAGUCCUAAAUGAAUACAACAACUAAUUACAAUCCUAAAGUUAUACAAUAACUAAUUAUAGCGUACAAUUAGAUAACUAUGAAAUAAUUACAAGUUAUUCUUGUAUAUCUCUUUUACGCCCCUGCAAGUUGGUAUUGAUGUCUACAAUGCCCAACUUGUGAAACAUACGACUAAAAAAAGCAUUUGGAAGUGGCUUGGUUAGGACAUCAGCAACCUGAUCAGCAGCAUGUAAGUGCUUGACUUCAACCUCUUUCUGUUGCACCUGGUCACGGACAAAGUGGAAAUCGAUGGCAAUAUGCUUCAUCUUACUAUGAAAGACAGGAUUCUCAUAGAUGUAGGUAGUUUAAAUAUUAUCACAUAGUAUGCGCGGGAUGCAAGCAAGUAAAAAAUGAUGCUCACGGAGUAGGUUAGUGAUCCAGUUGGUUUCUGCCAGAGCAGCAGCCACAGCUCGGUAUUUAGCUUCGGUGGAUGAUCGAGAGACAGAUCGCUACUUCUUGGAGGACCACGAGACUGGAGUAAUUCCAAGAUAUAUAACAUAGUUGUGGAAGUUUUGUCCAUAGAGUCACCAUCCCAACCAGAGUCAAAGUACACCAUAAGUCGAUUAUUAGUCUCACGAGUUAUUUGAUGACCAAAAGAGAAGGUAUGUUUGAGAUAUCGAAGCAAUCUCUUAACAACUUUCAAUAACAUGUUUUUGUAUUAACAACAGUGGAUUUGGUGGCCAUGUUUUUGCGUGAGGCAGUAGUUAGGGUUGGAGAGAAUAAAAAGACAAAAAUUGGGAUCAUAGAUUUAGAGCUCUGAUACCAUAACGGAACUACUGCUGAAUAGAGAAUGAGAAGAUCGAUCUUUAUUCAUAGGCUAAUGGAGAAUAUAUAGGCGCUCAUACAACACCUAGUCCUAAAGUAAUACAAUUACUAAUUACAAUCCUAAAGUUAUACAAUAACUAAUUACAGUUGUACAAGUAGAUAAGUAUGAAAUAAUUACAAGUUAUUCUCGUAUAUCUCCUUUAGUGUUGAUACACAACAGAACUGGCAUAUGCAUUCUUCUUCUGCUGAAUCUGUCGAUACCAAUUAUGUGAAUCCAGUUUAUACACUAGAAAUGUUCAUGACUAAUGUAACACCCCGAAUCUAGUACUCGGAACGCUACACGAUGCUCAUGACCUCGAAGGACCACAAGCUAACCUAUAAAUAAUAUUUGUACCUAUAUACUGAUAAUAUACUGUACAAUAUGGAAACAUGAACUGAAAGGCGAUAAGGUUCAAAACUUUAACAUAGGAUCUAAUAAAUCAUAACAUAUGGAUGGGGUAUGAAAUACCCAAAACAACUGAAAUAACUAACUGAACAUGAUAGUCUAGAAAGCCUCUAACUGACUGAACGGUCUUAAUAAGGAGUUAAUGGGAUAUGUCUCGAACUAACUCCAACUAAUAAAUAAAUUAAUGAGAUAAUAAAGAAUGAUUAUGUCCUCAAAAGAUGAGGACUCACUUCUAGCUCUGACUGCUAAGACUGGAAUCUACUGAUGUUCUGGAGCUCGUGUCUCUGAACCUAUGGUAUAAGACACCAUAGCGCAAAUAUGUCAAUACUUUGAAUGUGAGGUAGGUUGAAUGCAUGGGGUUCAUAUGCAUGAACAAUACUGGAUAAUUGACUAAUAUGAACAUGAGAGAAUACAUGCAUGCAUACAUAGUAACUAUAUCUAAAAUUGUGAUAACAUGAGUUUACUGAUAACUAACAUGACUAAUGACUGAGUUCUGAUAACUGAUAACAUGAGUGAUUGUAUCAGACAGCCUUGAAUCUAAUGGAAGUAGAUGAGUUCCGUACUAUAUCUGAGUUGACUAUAUCUGAUAGUCUUGAAUUUUGUAACAUAAAACUGUGGGAAGUAGUCAUCUAACUUAAAUGCCCCAAAUGACACAUUAUAGCUGAAUUGGGGUCCAAUCUGUGCCAUGAUUGGAAGGGUGUCAAUACCUCACCACUGGUAAGGACAAGAUAUGAGUGACCCUCAACUAGCAGGUUACUCUAAUGAGAAUGGUGGGAACCCUUGACUAGCAGGUUAAGCCAUUUCAUCUACCCUCAACUAGCAAGUAUGAUGUCUUAACCUACACUGGCUACGUAGUUGUAGAGCACAAGGAUUGCUUCUAAGAAUCACACUCUCUAAUGGCAGGUGAGUUCCCAUCCUUGGGUUUACUCGGUGAUAAUUUCUACCUAUAAUACCCCGAUUUACUAAACCAGAACACUACACGGUGCUUAUGACCCCAAAGGACCAUAAGCUAACCGAUGACUAAUAACUGUACAUGUAUACGGUAUAAAAUACUGAAUAAUACGAAACAUGCACUAAAAGGACAUAAGGUUCAAUACUGAACAUAACAUGGAUGAUAUAACAUCUGUGGGGUAAUACAAUACCCAAAACAAAACUGUACACACUGAAGUCUGAUACAUAAUAGUCUGCGAAAGCCUUUACUGUCUGAAUAAUCUGAAUAAGGAGUUGAUAGGACAUGUCCCCAACUAACUCCAACUAAUAACUAAUCAAUGAAAUAGUGGAGAAAUAAUUGUGUCCUCGAAUGAUAAGGACUCACUUUUAUUCUGACUGCUGAGACUGGAAUCUACUACUGAUCUGGAACUCGUGUCUUUGAACCUAUGGUUUAACAUAAAAAGAAAGCACCAUAGCACAAAUGUGUUAGUACAAUGGAAUGUACUGAGUAGACAUGUGAGGUAGGCUAAGGUUUAGCAUGUAUGAAUAAUUCUAGAUCACUAUCUAACAUGAAUACGAGAAUGCAUACAUAAAUACGUAACUAUGACUAACACUGUGAUAUCCUGAUUACUGAAUCUGAAUACUGAUGACAUGACAUACUAAUAACUGAUAUAAUUGAUAGCAUAAAUAUCAGUAUCUAAAUGUAACUGAUAACAUGGGUGACUGUAACUGACAGUCCUGAAUUAGAUAGAACUAUCUGAGUUGACUGAAUCUAACAGUCUUCAAUCUAAAAAACUAUCUGAGUUCUUUUACUGAGACUGGUACUGAAACUGUGGGAGGUGGUAUUUAAAUGACAUGUCCCUGAUACGCCAUUAUGGCUGAGUUGGGGUCCAAUCUAUAACCCCAAUUGGAAAGGUAUCAAUACCGCACCACUGGUAAAGACAAGUUGCAGGCGACCCUUAUCUGAUAGUGUCCCCAAAAGAGAAUAGUAGGGCUCUUAUAUGAUAGUUCUUAUACACCUCAGCAACCCUCAUCGGACAGUGUUGAUGUCCCAACCUAUGCUAUAUACAUAGUUCUGGAAUGCAACAAAAACUUCUAAGGACCACACCCUCAUCUGAUAGUGUGUAUCCCCAUCCUUGGGUUCACUGGUGCUAAUUCCUACUCCCAUAUGAAUGGACAUUGAACAUGAUUUACUGAACUAAACAUGAGCUAAGUUACUAAGUUUCGUUGACUAAUGAAAUACUACUGAUAUCUGACAACUGACUGAGUCAUGAGAUCACGAAGAUUUUUCCUGAGUCAUAAGACUAUAUGAAGUCUAAGGAUUCAUAGCUUGACUGAGAGUAUCAUGAAAAUAUGACAUGGCUUUAGGUAUAGAGCUAAUGUUUCGGGAACAAGUACCCCCAGGACUCGAUGGAAGGUAACUGACAAAGCAUGACUUACUUGUAUACAUAAUAAUCACCAUAAUACAUUUACUGAAGCAUUUCAUCAAACAUGUGAUAGGCAUAAGCUUGUACGUAGAUGGGGAUUUCAUGAUAUCAUGCUAAUUAGACACUUUCCCUUUAUCUAGGAAUUCAACCAAACACAUAGUAGGCAUAGAAUGUGUAAACAAUAUCAUACAACAAUUAACUUUCGUGAUUCAAUUCCAAUUUAAUCAUUCAAGGGCUUAGUCCUAGGGUUUCAUGAAUCUAUACCGUUAUAAAUCAACCCAUAUGGAAUUUAACACUCAUUCAUGGAAUACAAUUCAAUUACUCAUUAUCAACAUGAACAAAAGCAGCCCAAACAUGAACUUCAUAAGAAAAUCCAUAACUUGAAUUUAGAAAAGGGAUUCUUGGGCUUCAUGGACGAAAGGAGUCCAUGAAUGAACACUAUGCAUACCUUAGUUCAUGAUUUUGUGAAGAUUGAUGGUGAAACCUUCUUGAAUUUGAAUCCCCAAUAGAAACCCUAGCUUGUUCUUGAGAGAAACUUGAGAGAAAAUAGUAUUUUUGGGUAAAGAAUAGCUAAAUCACGUGUUAUUGGGUUUAAAUAGGGGUAAGAAAUUGACCCUUUUAACUCUAAAAGCGUUAUUUAAUUUCAAUAAAAUUUUUCCAAACUAGGCCCCUGGCGCGACGUGGGGGAAAUCGCACUAAGACACUAGAAAAAGGACAAUUCUGAAUUUGAGUGCUGGUGCGAUGCGCCAUAAUUGCGGACACCUACUAAAAAUUUCCAAAUUCUAUUUCCUCUUGUGGUAUGGCGCGCCACUGAAUAAUAUGGCGUUGUUUUACGAUGGGAACUUGAAAUAGUCAUAACUUCUUACCCGGUUAUUUGAUUUAAGCGAAUAAUAUAUAGAUGGAAAGCUUAUUGAAUUUUACACAUGACAAAAAGUGAAAAUCUUGAAAAUUCCUCAUGGAAUAAUUAUCCUCCACUUUAGAAGAGAAUACUAAGAAUUCUUGGGACGAAAUUUGCUAGAAAUCUUUAGGUUAUUACAAUAUCUCUCCCUUGAGAAAAUUCAUCCUCGAAUGAGAUUGACUGAGAGGGGAAACAAUAAGAUGAACAUUAACUAAACAUGAAUAACUGGAACAUGAUCUCAUGACUGACAACCUGAACAUAACAUACUGAACAUACAUAUCUGAUGUAUGUGUAACUGAUUCAUAAAUGCAUGACUGAAUGUUCCGAGGAACUAAGUUUCUUACAAUGAGAAUGCAUUUUUGAUGCAUAAUUAUAUAACUGAGCUGAUAUAUAAAUGCAUCACUGAAUAUGCAAUGGUACUUGAUACCAAGUUUAUACUGGGAACAUGAAACUGAAUACCAAGUUCAUGAUGAACACUGAUCAUGAAACUGAGUAAGCUUAAGGAGAACUAUUACCUUUAGCUUGAUCUAAGCUGGCGGAGAAAAGGUGAGGAUACUUAGUAUGCAAGUCUGCUUCUUUAACAAGAGGGACUUCUUUGUUCCUCAAUCUACGAGUCUGAUAGUCUAAGAUUUUGAUUGGAAUCUCUUCAUAAGAGAGACUAUUCUAAAUAUCCAUGCUCUGAAUAAGGACUAUGACUGGUGGGUCACCUAUACACUUUUUGAGCAAAGAGACAUGGAAGACUGGAUGAACUGAGGCUAGAUAUGAAGGCAAUUUGAGCUCAUAAGCUACCUUGCCGAAACGACUGAGAAUCUUAAAGGGAACAACAUAUUGGGGACUGAUCUUUCCCUUCUGGCUGAAUCUCUUCACUUCCUUCAUGGGAGAGAUCUUUAGAUAGACAUGAUCACCAAACUCAAACUCAAGAUAUUUUCUAUUAACAUCUACAUAAGACUUAUGUUAGCUCUGAGCAGCCCCGAGUCUUUCUCUGAUUAACUGGACUUUUUCUAAGGCGUCAAAUACAAAUCCAGGACCUAUGACUGAGGCCUCACUAACUUCAAACCAACCAAUUGGAGAUCUAUAUCUCUUACCAUAGAGAGCUUCGAAUGGAUCUAUCUGAAUACUAGAAUAAUAGCUGUUGUUGUGUGCAAACUCAAUCAAAGGCAAGUGGUCAUCCCAACUUCCCUUGAAAUCAAUUGCACAUGCCUUAGCAUAUCUUCUAAAGUUUGAAUGGUCCUUUCUGCUUGGCCAUCUAUCUGAGGAUGAAAGACUGUACUAAGAUGAACUUGGGUACCGAGACCUUUUUGGAAUGCUUUCCAGAGAUAAGAGGUGAACUGGGUACCUCUAUCUGAGAUAAUGGACAACGAAACACUGUGCAAUUUGACCAAAUCCUUGAUAUAGAGUUAAGAGUAAUCCUUGGCUGAAUAAGAGGUAUGAACUGGAAGAAAAUAAGCUGAUUUGGUCAUUUUAUCUACAAUAACCCAGACUGAAUCAUGUUGAUGACGAGUUCGAGGAAAACCUGCCAUGAAGUCCAUGUUCACAACUUCCUACUUCCAAGUAGUAAUACUAAACUCCUGCAUGGACCCACUAGGCUUCUGAUGCUCUAUCUUAACUUGCUAACAUAUCGAGUACUUAGCCACAAACUCUGCAAUGUCUUUCUUCAUCCCACUCCACCAAUAGAUUUUUCACAAGUCGUGGUACAUCUUUGUGGCCCCUAGAUGAAUAGAGUAGCGCGCAUCAUGUGCUUCUGCAAGAAUUCACAGCCUCAAGUCGUCUAUACCUGGAACAUAGAGACGACCCUGAAAACACAAAACACCAUCUCCCCCUUGGGAGAAAACCACUACUUUCUGAUCUUGAACUGACUCUUUCAACUUGACAAGGCUGGAAUCUCUAUCUUUAUUUUCUUUCACCCGAAAACUAGAGAUAAUUCUGAACUACUUUGAACACAUACACCACUCUUUGAAGAAUUGACUAAGCGAAUGCCUAUUCUGGCAAGCUAAUGGAAUUAUUGAGCUAACUUCUUCUUACUAUCCUCCACAUGAGAAACACUACCCAUGGAUAGUCUACUAAGAGCUUCGACCACUACGUUGGCCUUACCCGAAUUAUAGAAAACACUCAUGUCGUAGUCUUUUAAGAGAUCUAACCACCUUAUCUAAUGAAGAUUGAGAUUUUUUUGAGAAAAGACAUACUGAAGACUCUUGUGAUCUUUAAAGACAUCUAUAUGAACUCCAUAGAGAUAAUUCCUCUAAAUCUUCAAGGCAAAGACUACGGCUGCUAACUCAAGAUCAUGAGUAGGAUAAUUUCUCUCAUGGGGUUUAAGUUGUCUGGAGGCGUAGGCUAUGACCUUACCAUGCUGCAUGAGGACACAACCUAAACCUACUCUGGAUGCAUCACAAUACACCACGAACCAUUUGAACCAUCUGGUAGAGCUAAGACUGGGGCUGAGGUAAGUCGAGUCUUUAACUCCUGAAAACUCUUCUCACAAGGGUUUGACCACUAAAACUUGAUUUUUUUUGAGUCAAUCUAGACAUAGUGGAUGAAAUAGAUAAAAAUCCUUCAACAAACCGUCUGUAAUAGCCAGCCAAACCCAAGAAACUCCUUAUAUCUGAUGGAGAGACAGGUCUUGUCCAGUUUCUUACUGCUUUAGUCUUUUGAGGAUCAACUCUAAUGCCUUCACUAGAAAUAAUGUGACCAAGGAAUGCUACUGACCUUAGCCAAAAUUCGCACUUACUGAAUUUAGCGAAUAGCUGAUGAUCUCUGAGAGUCUGAAGUACUAUUCUAAGAUGGUCUGCAUGAUCGCGCUCAGUGAGGGAAUAGACCAGAAUAUCAUCUAUGAAGACUAUGAUGAACAUAUCCAAUUACUUCUUGAAAACGCGGUUCAUCAAGUCCAUGAAAUCUGCUGGGGAAUUGGUAAGACCAAAUGAUAUGACUAAGAAUUCAAAGUGACCAUACCGAGUACAAAAAGCUAUUUUUGGAACGUCACUUUCUCUAACUCUGAGAUGAUGAUAGUCGAAUCUGAGGUCUAUCUUAGAGAAAUAGCUGGCACCCUAAAGUUGGUCAAACAAAUCAUUGAUUCUAGAAAGAGAAUACUUAUUCUUGACCAUGACCUUAUUGAGUUGGCGGUAGUCUAUACACAUUCUAAGAGAACCGUCUUUCUUGCGCACGAAUAAUUCUGGAGCGCCUCACGGGAAAUGCUGGGCCUGAUGAAUCCCUUAUCUCAGUUCUUUGAGUUAUACUGGUUCCAUUCUAUAUGGUAUAAUAGAGAUAGGAUGAGUAUCUGGAAAAAGAUCAAUGUCGAAGUCAAUUUCCCUUUCAGGAGAAAUCCCUGGAAGAUCUUUGGGAAAGACAUCUAAAUAUUCAUUCACUACUGGGACUGAUUCAAGGCUGGGAGUUUUGGAACCAGUGUCCUUAACUCAAACAAAAUGAUAGGCAUAUCCUUUAGAUAUCAUUUUCCUUGCCUGAAGGUAGGAAACAAGCUGACCCCUGAAAGCGGAUACACUGUUCAUUUAGAAACUGAAACUAGACUAUUCUAUUUCUAAAAAAAAAAAAGGAAUGAAGCCAACCAUGCUGAGAAUGAAAUCAAAAUUAGUCAUCUCUAAUUUGACUAAAUCUGCUGAAGUGACUUUCUAAAAUAUGAUAACUAGGCAGUUCCUGUAUACCCACUGGGCUAUGAUGGUUUUUCCCACUGGGGUAGAGACUGAGAAGGGAUCUACUAGAAUUUCAGGACUGAUUCCAAAAUCAACUACUAUAUAGGGAGUAACAAAAGACAAAGAAGCUCCUGGAUCUAGCAAAGCAUAAAUAUGCACAUGAAAGAUGUGUAACAUACCAGUAACUAUAUUAGGAGAAUUUUCCUGAUCUUGUUGGGUCUGAAGAGCAUAUAGUCUAUUUGGCAUUUACCCGCUAAUACCACUGGUGGUGGCACCCUACUGAUUCGGGCGACCAGACUAAGCUGAAGUGCGAUGAAUUUGAUAACCUGAUUAAGGGCAGUCUUUGACUCUAUGGCCUAGCUUGCCUCAACCGAAACAAACAUCGCUGCCAGAUUUGCGAGCACCUUUGUAGUUCUUACCACAAGUCUAACAAAGGAGAUUAGUUUGGGCAUUUCUGACACUACCCUAAGGCUUAGAGCCUGGCACUCUAUCUCUGAACUUAGGAGCUGGAGCACUGGCUGAAGAAGGAUCUAGAACUGAUGACUUAGGAUGAAACUGAGAACAGUUUUCUCCUUCUAGUUUAGGCUGACUAAAAUUGAAGCUACCUAUCCUAGCUUUCUUAUUCUGCUUUUCCCUCUGCUUAAUCUUCUGGUCCUCUAUCUGCUGAGCAUGGGUCAUAAGUCUGGCUAAAGUUAUAUCAUAAUUUAGCAUGGCGGAUUUGCACUCAUUAACCAUGCUAUCAUUUACCCCUGAAGCAAACUUACUUAUCUUGGCUCUACCGUCUACAACCACAUGAGGAGCAUAUAUGGCUAAUUGAGUAAAAUUUAGAGAAUACUGUUUCAACGUCAUAUUUCCCUGCCUGAGUUUGAUGAAUUCUACCACCUUAGCCUCUCAAAGAUAUUAGGGAUGUUGAGGAAUGAAUCUAUCUAAGAAUCCAGUGACAAACUCCUCCCACUCUAUAGGACCUACAUCAUCUAACUUUCUGACUUCCACUGUUUGAACCAAGUAUGAGCCACAUAUUGGAACUGGUAUGCGGCUAACUCAGCACUCUCAACAGUAGUCACCCCCAUGAUGCGUUUCACUUUCUGAACUUGAUCAAUGAAUUCCUGAGGGUCUUCAUCUACUUUAGACCCAUGGAAGGACGGAGGAUUCAUUUAGGUGAAGCCUCGAAUCCUAGCUGCAGUUGAGGUGACCACUGGGUUGGCUAAAACAAUAGCUGGUCACUCACUAUGGGAAGUUACUGACUAAGCAAGAGUGGUAAAUGCAGUCUUUAAAUCCGCAUUAGAAAUAUGAUCACCCAAAGGUUCUUCGGGUUGAGGGGUUGAUUGAUUUCUUCUCUUAGGAGGCAUAUUCUAAAAUAAAUAGAAAAAAAAUAUUAGACUGAGAGAUUGACUUGUGAUUAUACUCAUUGGCACGACAUGAAUACUGAAAAAAGGGAAACUGUUCCAAAACAUCUCAUAACCUCUUGCACAUAAAUGUGGCGCGCAACACACCCAUGUACAAGACUCUACUAGAUGCGGCUUUCAGACUUCCUAGGACGCUAUUGAAACUUAGGAUUUGAUACCAAGUUUGUAACACCCCGAUAUGAUGAACCGGAAUUCUACACGGUGCUCAUGACACCAAAGGACCACAAGCUAACCCAUGACUGAUAUUUGUACCUGUAUACUGCAUAAAAUACUGAAUAAUGAGAAAACAUGAACUAAAAGGCCAUAAGGUUCAAUAAUGAACAUAACAUAGAUGAUAUAACAUUCUUGGGUUAAUACAAUACCCAAAACAAAAUUGUAAACACUAAAAUCUCAAACAUAGUAGUCUACAUCUAGUCUGAAAGCCGUUACUAUCAUAAUAGUAUGAAUAAGGAGUUGAUGGGACAUGUCCCUGACUAACUCCAACUAAUAACUAAUCAAUGAAAUAAUGGAGAAAUAAUCAUGUCCUUGAAGGAUGAGGACUUACUUCUAUUCUGACUGCUGAGACUGGAAUCUACUGCUGAUCUGGAACUCGUGUCUCUGAACCUAUGGUGUAACAUAAAAAGAAAGCACCAUAGCGCAAAUGCAUCAAUACAAUGGAAUAUACUGAGUAUACAUGUGAGUUAGGCUAAUGCAAGGGUUAACAUACAUGAAUAAUUCUAGCUGAUUGUCUAACAUGAAUGCAAGAAUGCAUACAUAAAUAUGUAACUGUAACUGACACUGUGAUAUUAUGAUUACUAAAUCUGAAUACUGAUGACAUGACAUACUAAUAAAUGAUAUAACUGAUAGCAUAAAUAGUUAUAUCUAAAUGUAAAUGAUAACAAUGGUAACUGUAUCUGACAAGACUGAAUCUGAUGGAACUAUCUGAGUUCCUUACUGUAUCUGAGUCAACUGUAUCUGACAGUCCUAAAUUUGAAGAACUAUCUGAGUUCUUUUACUGAGACUGGUAUUGAAACUGUGGGAGGUAGCAUUUAACCGACAUGCCCCUGAUACGCCAUUAUGGCUGAGUUGGGGUCCAAUCUAUAACCCCAAUUAGAAGGGUGUCAAUACCACGCCACUGGUAAGGACAAGCUGUGGGCGACCCUUAUCUGAUAGUGUCCUCAAAAGAGAAUAGUGGGGCCCUUAUCUGACACUACUUAUCCACCUCAUCAGCCCUUAUCGGAUAGUGUUAAUGUCUCAACCUAUACUGGCUACAUAGUUCUGAAAUGCAAGGAUGACUUCUAAGGAUCACACCCUCAUCUAAUAUUGUGUGUCCCCAUCAUUGGGUUCACUCGGUGCUAAUUCCUACUCCUACCUGAAUGGACACUGAACAUGAUUUACUAAACUGAACAUGAGCUAAGUUACUACGUUUUGUUGACUGACGGAAUACUACUGAUAUCUGACAACUGACUGAGUCAUGAGAUCAUGAAAAUUUUUCCUGAGUCAUAAGACUAUCUGAAGUCUAAGGAUUCAUAGCUUGACUAAGAGUAUCGUGAAAACAUGACAUGGAUAUAGGUACAUAUCUAAUGUUUUGGGUACAACUACCCCCAGGACUCUAUGAAAGGAAAUUGACAAAGCAUGACUUACUUUAAUACGUAAUAAUCAUCAUAAAAUAUUUACUGAAGUAUUUCAUCAAACAUGUGAUAGGCAUAAGCUUGUACUUAUAUGGGGAUUUCAUGAUAUCAUGCUAAUUACACUUUCCCUUAAUCUAGGCAUUCAACCAAACACAUAGUAGGCAUAGAAUUUGUAAACAACAUCAUUCAACAAUUAACUAUCGUGAUUCAAUUCUAAUUUAAUCAUUCAAGGGUUUAGUUCUAGGGUUUCAUGAAACUAUACCGUUACAAAUCAACCCAUAUGGAAUUUAACACUCAUUCAUGGAAUACAAUUUAAUUACUCAUUAUUAACAUGAACAAAAGCAUCCCAAUCAUGAACUUCAUAAGAAAAUCCAUAACUUAAAUUUGUAAAAGGGAUUCUUGGGCUUCAUGGACGAAAGGAGUCCAUGAAUGAACACUAUGCAUACCUUAGUUCAUUAUUUUGGGGAGAUUGACGGUGAAACCUUCUUGAAUUUGAAUCCCCAAUGGAAACCCUAGCUUGUUCUUUAAAGAAACUUGAGAGAAAAUAGAAUAUUUUGGGUGAAGAAUAGCUAAAUCACGUGAUAUUGGGUUUAAAUAGGGGUAGGAAAUUGACCCUUUUAACCCUGGACGCGUCAUUUAAUUUCAAUAAAAUUUUUCCGAACAGGGCCCUGGCGCGACGCGAGGGAAAUCGAGUUGAGACACUGCAAAAAGGACAAUUCUAAAUUUGAGUGUUGCCACGACGCGCCAUAAUUGUGGACACCUACUGAGAAUUGCCAAAUUCUAUUUCCUCUUGUAGCGUGGUGCGCCAUGGACUAAUAUGGCGCUAUUUUACGAUGGGAACUUGAAAUAGUAACAAUUCUUACCCAUUUAUCGGAUUUAAGUGAAUCAUGUAUUGAUGGAAAGCUUAUUGAAUUUUACACAUGAUAAAAAGUGAAAAUCUUGAAAAUUCCUCAUGGAAUAAUUAUCCUUCACUUUAGAAGCUAAUACUAGGCAUUCUUGGGACGAAAUUCACUAAAAAUCUUUGGGGUAUUACAAUAUCUCCCCCUUGAGAACAUUCGUCCUCGAAUGAGACUGACUGAGAGGGGAAAAAAUAAGCUGAACAUAAAUAACUGGAACAUGAUCACAUGACUGACAAGCUGAACAUAACAUAUUGAACAUGCAUAUCUGAUGCAUGUGUAACUGAUUCAUGAAUGCAUGACUGAAUGUUCCGAGGAACUAAGUUUCUCUUAAUCAGAAUGCAUUUCUAAUGCAUAAUUAUAUAACUGAGCUGAUAUAUGAAUGCAUGACUUAAUAUGUAAUGGUACUUGAUACCAAGUUUAUACUGGGAACAUAAACACGAAACGGAAUACCACGUUCGUGAUGAACACUGAUCAUGAAAUUGAGUAAUCUUAAGGAGAACUCCUAUCUUGAUGUUGAUUUGAGUUAGUAGAGAAGAGGUGAGGAUACUUGGUAUCUCUCCUUCCCAAGUAGCUCCCUCGACGGACUGAUUUCGCCAAAGAACUUUAACUAGAGGGACUUCUUUGUUCCUCAAUCUAUAUACUUCUUGAGCUAAGAAACAUGGGAGACUGGAUGAAAUGAGGCUAGAUCUGAAGGAAAAUCGAGCUCAUAAGCUACCUUGCCAAAAUGACUGAGAAUCUUGAAGGGAACGAUAUAUCGGGGAUUUAGAUUUCCCUUCUUGCCGAAUCUCUCCACUCCCUUCAUGGGAGACAUCUUUAGAUAGACAUGAUCACCAACCUCAAACUCGAGUUCUCUUCUACAAACAUCUGCAUAAGACUUUUGUCGGCUCUAAGUAGCCCGGAGUCUUUUUCUGAUUGACUGGACUUUUUCUAAGGUGUCGAAUACUAAGUCAGGACAUAUGACUGAGGCCUUACUAACUUCGAACUAACCAAUUAGAGAUCUAAAUCUCCUACCAUAGAGAGCUUCGAAUGGAGCCAUAUGAAUACUGGAAUGAUAGUUGUUGCUGUAUGUAAACUCAAUCAAAGACAAGUGGUCAUCCCAACUUCCCUUGAAAUCAAUUGCACAUGCCCUUAGACUAUCUUCUAAAGUCUGAAUGGUCCUUUUUGCUUGACCAUCUGUCUGAGGAUGGAAGGCUGUACUGAGAUGAACUUGGGUACUGAGACCCUUUUGGAACAUUUUCUAGAGAUAAGAAGUGAACUAGGUAUUUCUAUCUGAGAUAAUGGACAACAGAACAUCGUGGAAUCUGACCAACUCCUUGAUAUAGAGUUUGGCAUAAUCCUUGGCUGAAUAAGAGGUAUGAACUGGAAGAAAAUGAGCUGAUUUGGUCAUUCUUCCUCCAAUGACCCAGACUAAAUUAUGUUGAUGACGAUUUCAAGGCAAAGCCAUCAUGAAGUCCAUGUUCACAACUUUCCACUUCCAAGUAGGAAUAAUGAACUCCUGCAUGGACCCACUAGGCUUCUGAUGCUCUAUCUUAACUUGCUAACAUAUAGAGCACUUAGUCUGCUGAAGUGAUUUUCUGAAAUAUCCUUACCAAGCAAUUCCUAUAUACUCGCUGGGCUAUUAUGGUUUUGCCCACUGGGAUAGAGACUGAGAAGGGCUCUGCUAGAAUUUUAGGACUAAUUCCAAAAUCAACUGCUAUACAGGGAGUAACAAAAGACAAAGAAGCUCCUGGAUCUAGCAAAGUGUAAACAUGCAUAUGAAAGAUCUGUAACAUACCAGUAACUACAUCAGGAGAAUUUUUCUGAUCUUGUCGAGGCUGAAGAACAUAUAGUAUAUUUAGGCAUUGUCGGCUAGUAGCACUAGUGGUGGCACCCUACUAAUUCGAGCAACCAAACUGAGCUGAGGGUUUUGUCCUAGGGUUUCAUGAAUCUAUACCAUUACAAAUCAACCCAUAUGGAAUUUAACACUCAUUCAUGGAAUACAAUUCAAUUACUCAUUAUCAACAUGAACAAAAGCAACCCAAUCAUGAACUUCAUAAGAAAAUCCAUAACUUGAAUUUAGAAAAGGGAUUCUUGGGCUUGAUGGACGAACGGAGUCCAUGAAUGGACACUAUGCAUACCUUAGUUCAUGAUUUCAUGAAGAUUAACGGUGAAACCUUCUUGAAUUUGAAUCCCCAAUAGAAACCCUAUCUUGUUCUUGAGAGAAACUUGAGAGAAAAUAGUAUAUUUUUGGUAAAGAAUAGCUAAAUCAUAUGUUAUUGGGUUUAAAUAGGGAUAGGAAAUUGACCUUUUUAAACCUGGACACGUCAUUUAAUUUUAGUAAAAUUUUCCCAAACUGGGCCUGGCGCGACGCGGGGGAAAUCGCAUUGAGAUACUACAAAAAGGACAAUUCUGAAUUUAAGUGCUGGCACGACGCGCCAUAAUCGCGGUCACCUACUGAAAAUUUCCAAAUGCCAUUUCCUCUUAUGGAGCGGCGGUUCCACUAACUAAUAUAGCGCUAUUUUACGAUGGGAACUUGAAAUAGUCAUAACUUCUUACCCGGUUAUCAGAUUUAAGCGAAUCAUAUAUUGAUGAAAAGUUUAUUGAAUUUUCCACAUGAAAAAAAGUGAAAAUCUUGAAAAUUCCUCAUGGAAUAAUUAUUCUUCACUUUAGAAGCUAAUACUAGGCAUUCUUAGGAUGAAAUUUGCUAGAAAUCUUUGGGGUAUUACACUACUCCAAUAUGAAUAGACACUGAACAUGAUUAACUGAUAUGAUUAUGGACUAAGUUUACGGAAUUCUAUUAACUAGUGGAAUACUACUGAUAUCUGACAACUGACUGAGUUCGUGAGAUUACUGAGGUUACUGAAUUUCUGAGCUUUCCUGAGUCACAUGACUGACUGAGUUCAAUGGAUCAUGGCUUGACUGAGGAUAUCGUGAAAACAUGACACUGACUCUAGGCAUACAACUAAAUUGUCGAGUACAAGUACCCCAUAGAACUCGAUGGAAAGAAACUGAUAAAGCAUGACUUUCUUGAAUACAUGACCAACAUCGCAAUCCAUUAUUCAUUUAUUGAGGCAAUUCAUCAAACAUGUGAUAUGCAUAAGCUUGUACAUAAAUGGGGAUUUCAUAAGAUCAUACUAGUUGGGCAUUUUUUCCUUCACAUAGGCAUUUAAUCAAACACAUGUUAGGCAUAGUAUAUGUAGACAACAUUAUAUAACAAAUAAACAUUAUGAAUCAACUCUAAUUUCAUCAUCCAAGGGUCUAAUCAUAGGUCCAUAUGAAUCUACCAUUAUACUAAUCAAUUCCACAUAAAAUUCAUUACUCAACAUAGAUUAGAAUUCAAUUAUUCAUUAUAAACAUGAACAAAAGCAGCGCAACAUGAAAUUCAUAAGGAAAUUCAUACAAUUGAACUUUGAAAAAAGAUUAUUGGGCUUUAUGGACGAAAGGAGUCCAUGAAUGAACACUAUGCAUACCUGGGUUGAGUUUUUUGAAGUUCUUGAACUUGAAGAAUUUGAAUGUCUUAGUUUUUAAAGGAGAUUUAGAUUUUAUUCUUGGGGAUUAAUCUUAGAGAGAAAACCCUAAUUUUAUUGUUGUAGGGAUAAUGAAUUUUUAAGCUUUGGUCAUAUAUAACUAGGUAUAUAAACGGGUGGUAAAACACUAAAAAAACCCUUUAAAAAUGAAUUUAAAAUAACUAAACGGAACAUGCGACGGUCCUUCGCUGGGUCGAUGGUCAAUCGGACUGACCGUCGCACUGGGACCAGAACUGGAACUUACUGCCUUGGUGAGACAGUAGGGUACUAUGGUCGGUCUCUGGGUCGAUGGUCCUUCGGUCCUGACCAUCGCUUCAAGGGAAAAUAGGGCCUCACUGUUUCCCUUGCAAUGGCUUGAGCGUCGGUCCAUCGCUAGUCCGACAGUCCUUUGGCCUAGCCUGUCAAUCCAGGGAAGAAUGUAGUCACACUACCUCGCUGUGACGAUCAUGAGCGAUGGUCCAUCGCUAGUCCGAUGAUCUAUCGGCCUCACCGUCGUACCUGGGCAAUUUUACUGUCUUCUGUAUUUUGGCCAUAACUUUCUCUUCCAAUGUUGAAUUUUGAUGAAAUUGGUAUCGAUGGAAUGCUUAUUCAAUUUCCCACGUGAAAAAAAAAGUGAAAAUUUUAAAAAUACCAUGUGUACAAAAGUGGAUUCAUCUUUCAAAGAAAGUUUCUAAUAUUCUUGGGACAAUUUCAAGCUAGGAAAAAGUACGAGGUAUUACAAUAUCUCCCCCUUGAGAACAUUCAUCCUCGAAUGAGACUGAGAGAGGGGGAAAGUAUAUAAACUGACGUACAUACUUAACAUGACUGGAUGGAACAUGAUUUCAUAAAUGACAUGACUGAUAACUGAAUAUAUCAUACAGAUCAUGCAUAUCUGACGCAUAUGUAACUAAUUCAUGAAUGCAUGACUGGGUGUUCUGAUGAACUAAGUUUCUCACAAUGAGAAUACAUGUCUGAUGCAUAAUUAUAUAAAUAAUAUGAUAAAUAAAUACAUGACUGAAUAUGCAAUGGUACUUGGUACGAAGUUUGUGAUGAACACUGAACAUGAAACUGAGUAAUCUUAAAGAGAACUAUUACCUUGAGCUUGAUCUUAGUUGGCGGAGAAGAGGUGAAGAUACUUGGUACGCAUGUCCGCUUCUGCUUCCCAAGUAUCUCCCUCGACGGACUAAUUUUGCCAAAGAACCUUAACUAGAGGGACUUCUUUAUUCAUCAAUCUACGAGUUUGAUAGUCUAGGAUUUUGACCAAAAUCUCUUCAUAAGAGAGGCUGUUCUGAACAUCUAUGCUCUGAACAGGGACUACAACUGCUGGGUCACCUAUGAACUUCUUGAGCAAGGAGACAUGGAAGACUGGAUGAACUGAAGCUAUAUUUGAAGGCAAUUCAUAAUCUACCUUGUUAAAGCGACUGAGAAUCUUAAAGUGACCGAUAUAUUGGGGACUAAGCUUUCCCUUCUUGCCGAACCUCUUUACUCCCUUCAUGGAAGAUAUCUUUAGAUAGACAUGAUCACUAAUCUCGAACUCGAGAUCCUUUCUACGAACAUCUGCAUAAGACUUCUGUCGGCUCUGAGCAGCCCGGAGUCUUUGUUUGAUCAAUUGGACUUUCUCUAAGGCAUCAAAUACAAAGUCAGCCCCUUACUAACUUCGAACCAACCAAUUGGAGAUCUACAUCUCCUACCGUAGAGAUCUUUGAAUAGAGCCAUAUGAAUACUGAAAUGAUAGUUGCUGUUGUAUGCAAAUUCAAUCAAAGUCAAGUGGUCAUCCCAACUUCCCUUGAUAUCAAUUACACAUGCACGCAGCAUAUCUUCUAAAGUCUAAAUGGUCCUUUCUGGCUGACUUUCUGUUUGAGGAUGAAAGGUUUUACUGAGAUGAACUUGGGUACCAAGAUUCUUUUGGAAUGCUUUCCAGAAAUGAGAGGUGAACUGGGUACCUUUGUCUGAGAUAAUAGAUAACAAAACACCAUGCAAUUUGACCAACUCUCUAAUGUAGAGUUUGGCAUAAUCCUUGGCUAAAUAAGAGGUAUGAACUGGAAGAAAAUACGCUGAUUUGGUCAUCCUGUCUACAAUGACCCAAACCGAAUCAUGUUGACGAUGAGUUUGAGGUAAACCCAUCACGAAGUCCAUGUUCACUUCUUUCCACUUCCAAGUAGCAAUACUGAACUCCUACAUGGACCAACUAGGCUUCUAAUGCUCUAUCUUAACCUGUUGACAUGUAGAGCACUUAGCCACAAACUAUGCAACGUCUCUCUUCAUCCCACUCCACCAAUAGAUUUCCCAUAAAUCAUGGUACAUCUUUGUGGCCCCUGGAUGAAUAGAGUAGCGUGCACCAUGCGCUUCUGCAAGAAUUCGCUGCCUUCAGUCAUCUACAACUGGAAUACACAAAUGACCCUAACAACGCAGAAAACCAUCUCCCCCUUAGGAGAAAACCUCUACUUACUGAUCCUUGACUGACUCUUUUAACUUGACAAGGCUAGGAUCCCUAUCUUACUUUAUUUCACCUUAGAAACUAGAGAUGAUUCUGAACUACUCUAAACCCAUUAAUCACCUUUCUUUGUAUCGACUAAGCAAAAGCCUAGUCAUGCAAGCUGAUGGACUUCCUGGGCUAAAUUCUUCUUACUAUCCUCGACAUGAGCAACGCUACCCAUAGAUAGUCUACUGAGAGUGUCGUCCACUACGUUGGCCUUUCCCUGAUGAUAAAGGACACUCAUGUCAUAAUCUUUCAAAAGCUCUAACCACCUUCUCUGACAAAGAUUGAGAUCUUUUUGAGAAAAGACAUAUUGAAGGCUCUUAUGAUCCGUGAACACAUCUACAUGAACACCGUUUAGAUAAUGCCUCCAAAUCUUCAAGGAAAAUACUACGACGGCAAACUCAAGAUCAUGAGUAGGAUAAUUCUUCUUAUGGGGCUUAAGCUGUCUGGAAGUGUAGGCUAUGACCUUACCAUGCUAUAUGAGGACACAACCCAAACCUACUUUGGAUGCAUCAGAAUACACUAAGAACCCAUCUGAACCAUCUAGAAGAGCUAGAACUAGAGGUAAGGUGAGUCGAGUCUUCAACUCAUGAAAAAUCUUCUCACAAGGAUCUGACCACUAAAACUUUACUUUCUUCUGAGUCAAUCUGUACAUAGGGGAUGCAAUAUAAUAAAAUCCCUCAACAAACCAUCUAUAAUAGCCAACCAAACCAAAGAAACUCCUAAUAUCUGAUGGAGAGAUAGGGUGAGUCCAGUUUCUUACUGCUUCAGUCUCUUGAGGAUCUACUCUAAUGCCAUCACUGAAAAUGAUAUAGCCAAGGAAUGCUACUGACCUUAGCCAAAGUUCUCACUUACUAAAUUUGGCGAAUAGCUGAUGAUCUCUGAGAUUCUGAAUUACUGUUCUGAGAUGGACUUCAUGAUCUCGCUUACUGCGGUAAUAGACCAGAAUAUCAUCUAUGAAGACUAUAACAAACAUGUCCAAGUACUGCUUGAAGACAUGGUUCAUCAAGUCCAUGAAAUCUGUUGGGUCAUUGGUGAGACCAAAGGACAUGACUAGGAAUUCAAAGUGACCAUACAGAGUAUGAAAAGCUAUUUUUGAAAUGUCACAUUCUCAGACUCUGAGCUGAUGAUAGCUGGAUCUGAGGUCUAUCUUAAAGAAAUAGCUAGCACCCUGAAGUUGGUCAAACAAGUCAUUGAUUCUGGGAAAAGGAUACUUGUUCUUAAUCGUGACUUUAUUGAGCUAACAGUAAUCAAUACACAUUUUGAGAGAACCAUCUUUCUUACGCAUGAAUAAAAAUGGUACACCCCACGGGGACACACUGGGUCUGAUGAAUCCCUUAUCUAAGAUAUCCUUCAACUGCUCUUUCAAUUCUCUGAGUUUUGUUGGAGCCAUUAUGUAUGUCAGAAUAGAUAUAUGCUGAGUAUCUGGAAGAAGAUCAAUGCCAAAGUCUAUUUCCCUUUCGGGAGGAAUUCCUGGAAGAUCUUUAGGAAAGACAUCUGAAUAUUCAUUCAUGACUAAGACUGAUUCAAGACUGGGAGUUUCAAAACUAGUGUCCUUAACUCUAACAAGAUGAUACACACAUCAUUUAGAUAUCAUUUUCCAUGCCCGAAGGUACAAAAUAAGAUGACCUCUAAAAGCGGAUACACUACCCUUCUACUCUAGGAUGAGUUCAUUCGAAAACUGAAAUUGGACUAUUUUGUUUCUACAGUUGACUGUGGCAUAACAGGAAUAAAGACAAUCCAAGCUGAGAUAGACAUCAAAAUUAGUCAUCUCUAAUUUGACUAAGUUUGCUGAAGUGACUUUCUAAAGUAUCAUCACCGGGCAGUUCAUGUAUACUCGCCCUAUGAUGGUUUUACCUACUGGGGUAGAAACUGAAAAAGGCUCUGCUAAAAUUUUGGGACUGACUCCGAAAUCAACUGCUAUAUAGGGAGUAACAAAAGACAAAAAAGCACCUAAAUCUAGCAAAGAGUAAACAUGCAUAUGAAAGAUCUGUAAUGAACCAGUAACCACAUCAAGAGAAUUUUCCUGAUCUUACCGGGACUGGAGAGCAUAGAGUCUAUUUGGGCAUUACCUACUAGUAGCACUGGAGGUGGCACCCUGCUGAUUUGGGCAAUCGGACUGAGCUGAGGAAUAAUUCUGAUGACCCUGUGGACCCAACUGCGGACAAUCUCUAACUCUGUGGCCAUACCCGAAAUAGAUAUCACUGCUAGCUCUGUAAGUACCCUGAUGGUUCUUUUCACAAGUCUGACAAAGGGGAUAGAUAUGAGCACUGCUAACACUGCCCUGAGACUUAGAACCUAGUGCUCUAUCUCUGUUGCCAUCUCUGAAUUUUGGUUCUGAAGAACUAGAUAACGAAGGAGCUGGAACUGAGGACUUAGGAUGAAAUUGAGAAUGGUUUCCUCCUUCUGACUUGGGCUGAGCAAAGUUGAAACUACCUGUCCUUGCUCUUUUAUUCUGCUUCUCGCUUAUCUUAAUCUUUUGCUCCUCUAUCUACUGAGCGUGAGUCAUAAGCCUAGAUAAAGUUAUGUCAUUAUUCAGCAUGGCAGAUCUGCACUCAUUAACCAUGCUAUCAUUCACCCCUAAAAUGAACUUACUCAUCUUGGCCCUACUAUCUACAUCCAUAUAAGGGGCAUAUCUAGCCAAUUGAGUAAAAUUAAGAGAAUACUCUUUCACCAUCAUGUUUCCCUACCUGAGGUUGAUGAAUUCUAACACCUUAGAUUCUCUAAGAUCUAGGGGAAAGCUUAUUCAAUUUCCCACAUGACAAAAAGUGAAAAUCUUAAAAAUACCAUGUGUACACAAGUGGAUUCAUCUUUCAAAGAAAGCUUCUAACAUUCUUGGGACAAUUUCAAGCUAGGAAAAAGUACGGGGUAUUACAACUAACUUGGACAAUAAUAAGGCAUCCGUAUUUUUAAGACUCAAUCUAGCACUAUUGCUGAGAUGACUGAAGUUUCAGACAUUCGGAAGAUUCUUCCAGAACCUGAUAUAUGUGAUUUUGACUUUGACAACCAUCUCCACAAUUCCCAUAGCACUCGAUGAUGGAUUCAUAUAUGCUAGUUUUGAAGUAGUAGGUUGUAAUUUCAGAAAGGUCAACUUGACUACAAUGAUUGAGAGGGUAUUCUCCUACAUCAGAACCGUUGAUUACACUGUGACGCUUCUGAGAAGGAACUUUAUACUGAGUCUGGCCUAGACAUUAUCUAAUCUGAAAAAAAUACUACUGAAGUGUUUGGUGAGGGAGGAUCAAUUACAUACCACACAUUUAGUAGCAGUGGCAACUAUGGAUCCCCCAAACCAACCCUGGCUUGGGGUCUUCCUUCUCGAAUUGUUCUCUCAAGUGAGUUGAUUAUCGGAAUGCUUGAUCCGCCAGUAAUGAUAGAUGAUCAACAAGUCAAGCAAGGAUUUCCCGUAUAAGGAACUAAUAUACCGCUUCUGUAAGUUAUAGUUCCGUAUAUCUAGGUGUGUAAAUAAUGUUUCUUUGUAGGUUCAUGAGGUCUAGUAGUAGUAUCAGCAUUUGGUAUUUAAGUUCUGUGGUAUGUCCGGGAUAAAAUGAACUGUCUAUUCUAAGUUAAUAAACCUCGUAGCAUUAUACUAAUGUUUCUGCGAGAGAGUGUUAAGAUUAGUUCCUCAAAAGUUGUAGAUUAGCUGUACCAGCUGCUGUAAUUCAAAAUAUAGCAUUAAAGUAGGAUUUGAAUUUAGCGAAAUAAGGCUGCAAUCUUGCAGAAUCGGAUUUAUUACAUUUGCUGAUCUUUAGGACAUAAUUAUUAGAGAUAAUGGUAGCUUAUUUUACUCCUUUUAUUGAGCUUUUUCAGUUAUGAUCUUAUGUAUAAAUGUGGCAGUGAUCAAUGAAACUUUAUUAUGCUUUCUGCUCUUUCUUUUCUUUGAUAAAGUUUUGUUUUUUUCUUUCCAACAGAUUGGAAUCAAGAGCAUAUCAAUAUCGAGGACCUAUGAGAAGAGAGUGAAUAAAAACACAAGUUCUUUCUAUAUAACCUUUCUUUAUACUAUUAUCUUAAAUAGUUUAUAGAAAAUGAAUUCCAAAACAAGUUUUCUAACUCCACCUGUCUUCAACGGUGAGAAAUCAAGCUUGAGCAAUAAAAAUGAUGGUUCAUCUCGAAGCACUGGAUCUAUGGGAAGCAGUAGAGGAGGACUAUGAAGUAUCUCCUCUUGGAGCUAAUCCAACAGUGAAUCAGAUGAAACAUCAAAAGGAGAGAAAAAUAAGGAAAGCCAAAGCAUGCCUUCUCUGUAGUAUCUCCUUCAAUUCUUACCAAAAUUAUGCAAAUGAAGUCCGCUGUAGAAAUUUGGGAGUAUCUCAAAAAGGAAUAUCAAGAAAAUGAAAGAAUACAGAAUAUGCAAGUGAUGAAUCUAAUUUAGGAAUUUGAAAUAAAGAGAAUGAAAGAAUCAGAAACUAUAAAAGAUUAUGCUGAUCAGCUACUCGACUUAGCCAACAAGGUGAGAUUGUUUAGUAAGGAUUUUACUGAUGAAAAAAUUGUUCAAAAAAUUCUUGUCACACUUCUUGAGAAAUAUGAAACCACAAUCUCUUCAUUAGAGAAUUCUAAGUAUUUGUUAAGCAUUACCUUGGCAGAACUUGUUAAAGCUUUGCAGGAAUUAGAGCAAAGGAGAAUAAUCAGGAAAGAAGGUUCUAUUCAAGGUGAUUUUCAAGAUAAAUCACAUAAUGACUCAUACAAGGGAAACAUUUACUGAUGAAAGAAUUGUUCAAAAAAUUCUUGUCACACUUCUUGAGAAAUAUGAAACCACAAUCUCUUCAUUAGAGAAUUCUAAGUAUCUGUUAAGCAUUACCUUGGCAGAACUUGUUAAAGCUUUGCAGGAAUUAGAGCAAAGGAGAAUAAUCAGGAAAGAAGGUUCUAUUGAAGGUGAUUUUCAAGAUAAAUCACAUAAUGACUCAUACAAGGGAAACAUUUACUGAUGAAAGAAUUGUUCAAAAAAUUCUUGUCACACUUCUUGAGAAAUAUGAAACCACAAUAUCUUCAUUAGAGAAUUCUAAGUAUCUGUUAAGCAUUACCUUGGCAGAACUUGUUAAAGCUUUGCAGGAAUUAGAGCAAAGGAGAAUAAUCAGGAAAGAAGGUUCUAUUGAAGGUGAUUUUCAAGAUAAAUCACAUAAUGACUCAUACAAGGGAAACAAAAAUAACCAGAAGGUAAUGCAAGGCAAUAAUUACAAUAAUCAGGGUGGAAAUCCGCCCUGCCCUCAUUGCAAAAAGACAAAUCACUCUCAACAAAAAUAUUGGUGGAGGCCAUAUGUCAAGUACAACAAAUAUGGUCAACUGUUCCAUGUGGAGAGGGUAUGCAAGUCACAAAUACAACAAGAAGAAGCCAAGGCUGCUGUAAAUCAAUAUGAAGAAGAGCAAUUGUUUGUAGCAACUUGUUUUGCCAGCAAAAACACUUCUGAAAAUUGGAUGAUUGAUAGUGGAUGUACAAAUCAUAUGACCAGUGAUCAAGAUCUCUUUAAAAGACUAGAUAGAUCUAUUAUUUUCAAAGAAGAAAUUGGAAAUGGAGAAUAUCUUGAUGCAAAAGGCAAAGGAACAGUUGCAAUUCAAAGUUCUAAAGUUUGAAACUUUAAACUAAUGUUUUCUUUGUUUCUAAUCUUGAUCAAAACCUCUUAAGUAUUGGACAACUACUUUAAAAUGGUUUCAAAGUAUUGUUUGAAGAAAAAACAUGAUGUUCAAUGUCAAUGAGAGGAAGGAGUUUUUUCUUGAAUAUAUUGGACAAGGAGCAAGCAACAGUUGUCAGGUUGGAAAAUGAUUUCGAAUUAUGGCACAAAAGAGUCAAACAUUACCAUCAUGAUGUCAUACUCUUCAUGAAAGAAAAUCAACUAGCAGAAGGUCUCCCAAGCCUUGAGAAAAAUCUGCCUGCAUGUGAAACUUGUCGUUAUGGGAAGCAAACAAGGAUUUCUUUUUAGAAUUCAUCAUGGAGGCCAAAGAAUAAGCUGCAACCUGUUCACACAGAUAUAGGAGGACCUGUAAAAACACCAUCUUUAAAGGGUAGUAAGUUAUAUUGCCUUUAUCAAUGAUUGUUCCAUAUAUUCUUGGAUUUGUUUUCUUGAAUUUUAAAUCUGAGGUCGUUGAUGUAUUCUGGAAAUUUAAAUCUUUUGUGGAAAAUCAGAGUGGUUGCAGAAUAACAGAUAAUGGAACCAAAUAUACUUCAAAAAAGUUCAACAACUUUUCUAAUGAAGCAGGAAUCGAGUAUCAGCUAAUGACACCCUAUACUCCUCAACAAAACAGAGUAGUGGAAAGGAAAAAUAGGACUCUAAUGGAGAUGACAAGGUGUUUGCUCCAUGAGAAGGAGCUGCCAAAGAAAUCUUGGGCUGAAGCUUCCAAUACCGUAGUAUUUCUGCUAAAUAGAUUGCCAACUAAGGCUCUACAAAAGAAGACACCAUUUGAGCCUUGGUUUGGUUACAAACCUUUUCUAACAAAUCUGAAAAUAUUUGGUUGUCUUUGUUUUUCUUAGGCACCUCAAGUUACUGUUUUAGUUUUGGUUCUGGAAUAUUCUCUUGGUGUUGAAAAACAAUAAGACGUUGUGGCUCAAUCUACAAUUGAAGCAGAAUAAAUUGCAACUGCUUUAUCUGUGAAUCAAGCCCUUUGGAUUCGAAAGGUGCUGGAAGAUUUGUACAUAGAACAAAAGAAAAGUACCAAAAUCUUUGUGGAUAAUGAAGCUGCAAUUUCAAUUGCAAAUAAUCCUAUUUCUCAUGGAAACACAAAACAUUUCAAGAUCAAGUUUUAUUUCUUGAGGGAGGUGCAAAAGAAUGGAGACAUAAACAUGGUGCACUGCAGAACUGAUUUUCAGAAUGCUGAUAUUUUAACUAAGUCUCUACCUAGAGUAAGAUUCAAGUUUCUCAUAGAAAGACUUGAUGUUACUACUCUUGAGUCAAGGAGAAGUGAUAAGAUUAGUGCCUCAAAAGCCAUAGAUUAGUUGUACCAACUCUGUAAUUGAAAAUACAGCAUUAAAGUAGGAUUUAAAUUUAGCUAAAUAAGGAUAGAAUCUUGCAUAAUCAGAUUUAUUGCAUUAGUUGAUCUUUAGGCCAUAAUUAAAAGAGAUAAUGGUAGCUUAUUUUACUCAUUUUAUUGAGUUUUUUCAGUUAUGAUCUUAUGUAUAAAUAUGGCAGUGAUCAAUGAAACUUUAUCAUGCUUUAUGCUCUUUCUUUUCUUUCUUAAAGAUCUAUUUUUCUUUUCAACAGGGAGUAUAUAAAAUAUUGUCAUUCGUGAAUAUGUUUGUACUUUAUAUUCUUCUGACAGUGUUUUACUCUUUGAACAUUCCCUUGCUUUACUAAAUAUUAAUUGAAUUGCAGACUAUUUGGGAGGACUAUCUAUUGCUUUUGCUCAACAGAUCUUAGUUUUUGUUGUUCAAUAUGUCCCAUAUCAGAAGAAAUUAAGAACGAGACACCAGAAAGUUGAUACAAAAACAAAGGCCCAUUAACUUGAAAACUCAUACCUUUCUCGGCUUUUUGGCUAAGAUCAAGUGUAGUAUCUGUUCUUAUCAUUUUAAUAUCUGAUAUGUGGACCAUUGGACCACAUGAUACUAACUCUAUUUUUAGAGGGGGAAGGGUCAUCAAGGUAGCUUGCUAUGUGGGCCUUCGCACGUCGCCUAAGCGCUGCACUACUGGUUUGGCCAGGUGCACCCCACCAAUCCUAAUUUAAUGUUUGAGCAGUCUUUGACUUAGGCCCGGUGCUUUACAAAUAAGUUUUGAGUUCCGAUGCAUUGCAAAUAAGUUGUAAGUUCUUCAUAUUAUUUACUGAUACUGAUUUAACAAAUAGUGUAGUCAUUUUAGUUGAACAGUUAAUGCAAAGAGAUAUUUGCACACUAAAAUGAAAAAAAGUAAAUGUGGGCGUAAAGUCAAUCCUGAAAAUGAAAACUCCAUAUUGCUGAAGCUUUGACAAAAUUUGGUUUUGCCUAGUACCUUAUGUGUUUCCACUUGUAAUAUUCAUACCCCCUUCCUCCUCUGUGUGUGAGAGAUACCGGUGGUGUUCGUGCCCUCAACUAUUUCAUCUACUUAUCGGACACCUACCACCUCUCACAUAAUGAAUAAUUGUGUUCACCAAG
Molecule: long non-coding RNA, 232735 nt
Filed under: Capsicum annuum
Lineage: Eukaryota; Viridiplantae; Streptophyta; Magnoliopsida; Solanales; Solanaceae
Description: long non-coding RNA (CANN_LNC021437)
Rfam family: U2 spliceosomal RNA (bases 46809-47004)
Source: RNAcentral